RNAcentral lists this long non-coding RNA (197475 nucleotides) under Vitis vinifera (wine grape). RNAcentral describes it as "long non-coding RNA (VVIN_LNC006928)". The record is from RNAcentral. Lineage: Eukaryota; Viridiplantae; Streptophyta; Magnoliopsida; Vitales; Vitaceae.
UUUUCAACCAAAAGCACUAACUUACCAAAAAACAUAGUUUUCCAUUCAACCUCGGGAGCUGUAUGUGCAGGUGUACUGUACUUUCUGAUAUUGUCUUCUUCAAUGCCCAUUUCUUCAGGCUUCUUAAAGUGCUUAUGAUUGGUGGAGGUGCUUCCAAAAUUACACAACUUCCAUAAUCCAUUAGGGCCCAAUAGAAGAUUCUCAGCAUUUAUAUAAGAACUUUAGGGUUUAUACCAAUGAUCAUGUUACAGUAUAAAUCAUAGUGAACUGGUGGAAUUUGAUCAUUUAGCCAACCUCAUCAAAAAACUGUUUCACAGUUGAGGGGAUUGUUAACCUUCCCAUGGGCCAAGCAGCAAUUUCUGAAACUGAUCCUGAAAUCAAAAAUCCCACACAAGUAGAUAUUUAACAGAAGAGGAUCCGAAUCUCUUCAAUUGAUUAAUGUAUAAAUGAAAUAAUAAAAAAUUUUAGAGAUAAUUAUAGGGAGAUGAACCUUAUACCUCUGAGUUUCUUAGUCUUCUUGAACAGAGCAAUGAGCAUCAAGUGUUGAGCACCCAGGAAUCUCCCUUCCUCUACAGGGAAAAUCUGAACAAUCUAUCUUUCUUCAUAUUCCACUUCCUUGCAAAAGUCAAAACAUGAAGAAAAUAUCAUCAAAAUUGAGACAAAAAUAAGUGCAUCAACUGUCUCAAGAAGAGAUUUAUGCCUAUUGCUUACCUUUUGCAGAAGUCCACUUGGUUAGAGCACAUUUUACAUGGACGCCCAAUCACUGCAAGCUGCUGAACCAAAGGAGGUUCAAACAUCUAAAAAAUUUGACUAACUCAAGUAUCAUAAAAAUGCUUCACAUGAAUUCCAAAUGAUCUCAUAUCUAAAAAACAUUGGCAUAAAAUUAUUGUUGUUUACCUUACAUGUUUCUUCCAUGGUCAUAAUUGAAACUUUGUUUAUCAUAACAAAUCUUCUAUGCUCAUCCUGAUUACUUACAAUGAACACUGAAAUGAAAAGAAAAAAAAAACACAAAAAAUGACGAUUAGUUUGGUUUGAUAAAUUUAGCACACACAAUUCCCUUUUUCUUGUAUGAAAAAGGAAAGAGUAAAAAAAAAAAUGAAUUUAAUAAUUUUUUAAAACUAGCAAUUAUAAAACUAGUUUGGUUCUCAGAAAAUUUAUGGGAAAGCAGGGAAAAAAAAGUGUAAACUUUUUCUCUUGUUUGAUUGUUUAUGGGAAAAUUGAGGGAAAAACAAAUAUUUAUGAGGAAUCUAUUUAACACUUUUGAGGAACAAAAAAUGUUUUAGAUGUUGUCAAAUCGAUAAUUUAAAUGUAUUUAAUUCCAAUUAAAUAAGUUUAAUCAAACACAUGAAAUGAAAUUGUGAAUAAAAUUAUUUAAAAGCAUUGAAAUUCAUGUCAUUAAAGUUGUCCAUAAAAUUUGGUAUAUUAAAGCAAGAAAAAAACAAAGCAAUUUGAAUGACUUGCUAAUAAAGCAGCUAACUAGAAUAUGCCCUAGAGUUGUUCUAUGUAUAUAAGAAAUAAACAGAGAACACAAUAAAUAAAUAAAAAACCAGAAAAUAAAAUACAAACAAACGAAAAUAAACAGCGUUGUUCAAUGGUUAUAAAUGGUUAUUUUUGCAAACCACCAAAUCAAAACAGAGCAUGAAAACGUGUUCAAUAUUUGUUUCAGGCUUGAAGCAUCAAGAAAAAGAAAAUCUUAAAUCAAAUAAAUAGGACUAGCGAAUGAAUUGGAACUUGAAAGAAAAGUUCAAGUGCAAAAGAAUUACCUGACUCUAUAUUGGCGGAGUGGCACUUUGAUUAAUAUAGCACACCAUUGAUCAUUAUUUUUGGAAUGUGAGCUAUAUAACGCCAUUCUUCCCCUUUCUCAAAUUGACACCGUUUUUCCAGUAGAGGACACCCGUAGAUCCUCAGAAAAGAGAGGGAGUCUGAAAGUCUCUCUUUUGUCAAGUAUUUGAGCUUACGACAGAUCAUGAUCUCCAAUGUUUUAAGAGAGGUGAGGUGUUGAAGACCCACUUUUUUCAAGGAUUGGAGCAUUGGGCACUCAUGGAUCCACAAACUUUCAAGAGAGGUGAGGUGUUGAAGACCCGCUUCUGUCAAUGAUUGGAGCCUCGAGCAUUGACAAAUUACUAAUCGUUUUAGAGAGAUAAGGUGUUGAAGAACCGAUCCUGUCGAGAACUGGAGCUUUGGGCAGAAGUAGAUCCUUAAUUCUAAAAGAGAGGUGAGUUGUUGAAGACCCCCGCUGUCAAGAGACUUGAGAUUUGGAAGAUUCCAGAUUUGAAGAGAAGUCAGAGAAGAGGGCAGCAAACACUCUUUGGGAAAUAAUUCAAUGUCUUCACAUCCACCUUUGAUUAUGAAAUGAGUAAGAGAGGUCAGCCUUUGCAAACCCCACUCCACCUGGGGCGUGAGUUGGUUGCACUUCUUAAUUUCAAGUUCACGUAGGUUGGAAGGCAAACCCUCUCUCUGAAACAACAAUUCUGGACAAUCAUAUAAAUUCAAGUACUGUACAGAUGACUGUCUGUGUGCCAAUGACCUGAGCUUGGAGCACCUAUGAAUCGAACAAGACUUCAAGUUGAGAGCGCGUAAUUCGAUAGAUUCAAGAUCAGAGCAACCUCUUAGACGCAGGGAACAUAAAGAUGUGGGAUCACCCUCUGAAACCAAAAUCGAGAGCUUCUCAAGCCCAUUAAGACCAUUGAUUUCGAAAUCAGUCAACUUGGGGAAGAUGCCUAAUGAGAAGGAUAACGACAGAGAAUCAUCGAUAACACCACGUUCGAUGAUUAGACGUUCAAGGACUGGGAGAUGGCAUCUGAACAACUCAGGUACGAGAAACGCUAAUUUCGAGCAGUUAUAGAUUAACAGUGAUUUCAGUGUAGUGGGUAAACCAACUUUGUGCAGGGAUCUAGAAAAAAUACAAUCACAGAUUUUCAGAUCAUGAAUGUUGGUUUGCGAGAUUUCCUCCUCUAGCAGAGACUCCACAUAAUCACAUUUUCUAAUUGACAGCUGGUGUGGUGCCAUUGGAAGUUGACUCCACUGAGACACAUCUAAAAUUUCAAUUUCUGAAGUUUGAAGAGGUGUGAAGUCACAACCUGGCAUUUGCAACCGCAGUUUACCAAAAUCCACCAUCCUCAACUGACGAAUUGCAGGAACUGUGAGUGAAGCCAUAAGCAGCUGCGGACAUCCAUCAAUUUGAAGUUCCACCAAUGAAAGAAGCUGUUCUGGUAAUUUCCCAGUGAGUUUGGGACACUUUCGUAUAAAAAGCUUUUGGAGACGAGGGAAUUCUCCACAACAUAACCAUUUCUCCCAGUUCUUCAUAUCCUCAAAUGAUAGUGUUUCUAGGAAUUGAAAGGAAGCAUUCUCAUAUAACUCAUCACCCACACACUCUACUCCAUUCAUCCUUGAGAUUUGCAGAUAUUUAAGCUGGGUUAGCUGUCCAAGUGGUGGCAAUGUUGAGCAAUUGCCACAACCCCGAAGCUCAAGGGACACGAGAUUCAACACUGAAGGAUCUCCAAGCCAAUUUGGAAAUCCUUCACCAGGAUAGUUUGUGAUGGAGAGUUGUUUUAAAUUUGGAUGAGGUUGUAACUUGUUGAGUAUAUCAUGCGUUGUUGCACCACUUUGUGUAACACCACUGGUACCCCAACCAAAGAUUAACUCAUAAAGAUAACUUUUAUCCUUCAUAUUAGCCCUUAAUGCAUCAUUAACACUCACCACAUUCUCCAUGUUUGAAAUACAAAGUUUUCCUCGAAUCUCUGACAGCUCCCCCAAUUCUCCAAUUCUUAAUCCAUCGUUUUGGCCCACAAUAAAUUGAGUCAACCUUUGUAAACUUUUUAAUCGACCAAUUCCAUGACUUGACAUUUCUCUCAAUGAACCACAUCCAUCAAUAUCAAGAUAGCGCAAAUUAAUCAAUUUUCCCAUCUUUGAAGGCAAUUCAUCAAGUUUUGAACAAUUUCUCAGCAUCAUCGUUUGUAAAUUGCAUAAACAACAUGCUGAUUUAGGUAAUUUUUUAAUCCUCGUGGAAGACAAAUCCAAGUAACGCAAAUGUUUUAAAUUACCUAUCGAUUUAGGCAAAUCAGUUAUUGUAUAUGCACAUAAUGAUAACACGCGUAAACACCACAUUUUUGGUAAUAUAUCUUGCAAAACUCUUUUACUCAACUUAUACAAAGGAAGAUCAACCCAUGGCUUCACUCUUAAGAAUGUCCGAAGAGAUUUAGCUUUAGGGACAGCCUCAAAAUUCUUAAAUGCAACAAGCCUGGUAUCAUCACUAUUAAAGUACAAAAAGUGGCGAGCCUUCUCAGAUACUUCUGGUGGUAACUUAUCAUCAUCUUCCACUCGAGCACAAAAAUCUCCAGACACGUAUUGAGCCAAUUCAUGUAUUAGAUCAUGCAUUACAAAGCAUGAUCCUUCUAUUCCAAUAGAUUUUUGAAAGAAAGACUUGGCAAGAAGCUCAUCAAAAUAUGACUCACCGAUCUCUUCCAUUCUCCUUCCUUUGUUUUGUUGUGCAUGUAAAAGACCUUCUGCCAUCCAUAAUAAAAUCAGCUCCUCUUUGUUGAAUUGGUGGUCCUGGGGAAAAAUAGAACAAUAAGCAAAACAAUGCUUCAGAGGUAAAGAAAGAUGAUGGUAGCUUAAUAUCAAAGACGGAAGAAUUUCGGAGCCACGCUGCGGAUGCCAUAUUUCACUUCUCAACACAUCGUCCCAUUCCCUUUUUUCGUCCUUAGAAUACAAGAGACAGCCGAGUGCUUUCACAGCCAAAGGCAAUCCUUGGCACUUGUCCACAAUCUGUCUGCCUAUGCGUUGAAGCUCAAGGUAUGCGUUGGGGUCUCUAUCUUCAAAUGCAUGCUUUUUAAACAGGGACCAACUAUCUUCAGAGCUUAAUUCCCCAAGAUGAUGAGUAGGGACUGCUCGCAUGGUUGUUGCAACAGAUUGAUCACGACUGGUCACGACAAUCUUGCUUCCCUCUGCUGCGAGGAGUGGAGUUCGUAGAAUAUUCCAAACUUCACGAUCACUAAGCUCCAUAUAACCUUCAUCACGAGGCUUCAAAUUCCAGACGUCAUCAAGAACAAGCAGAAAUUUCUUGUUACGAAGUUGCUCUGUGAGUUGAAGCUGAAGCAAAUUUAGGUUGUCAGCGGAAGUAGGUGGAGAACCAAUUUCCUCAAGAAUUGUUUUGGUGAGUUUGAUAAGGAAAAACUCAGUGGAAACACAGACCCAUGCUUGCAAGUCGAAGUGUUUCUUCACUUCCUCAUUUUUAUAGAGACGCCGAGCAAGCGUGGUCUUGCCGCUGCCGCCCAUGCCCACUAUGGACAUCACCCCCAUUUUGUCGCCUGUUGUAUUGUCAGAACGCAACCACUCCACCAUCUCCUUCUGAAUUCCAUCCCUGCCGACAAAAAUGGAGUCAUGCUCCAAAGAAGUGGUUAUUGGUGAUCUUGGUCUUGGUGACCGUUUCUCGCCCCCACCUUCUGCCAGCCCCAACCCAACUUUUUCUAGUGCGAUUUUUUCCAGUUGAACAAUCAUGCCCCUGACCCUGGACUCCAUGCUUUUGAUAGCAAAUGGGGCCUUCACAGAAGCAGAGAACUUCUUCCAUUUCCACGCCUUAAGAGUUCCGUCGGUAACGAUCUCGUCCAGCAGGUCUUCCGCACCAUACACAGCAUCCUUGACAGGGACGAGCCACUCUUUGACAUUUGGGUUCGAAAAUUGCUUCACCUCCGCAUCAUCGAGCACAUUGUGAACAACCACGAGUUUCCUCUUCAACUCGUUGAGGAGUUCAUCGCUAAGGCUCCGUCGCCGAAUGAAGUUUAUGAGCUCUGGAGAAGCCAACCUUUCGAAUAGAACUUGAAGCGAAGUUGAGAGGAGGGCGUCCGCCAUAUCUGUGUCGACUGUUGCUUUGCAAUAGGAAUUCAGAGGAUUGGUUUCUGUUACCGCGAUACCACCAAACUGCAAAAGACUGGGUUUGGAUUACCACACUGCAGAAUGCUUGAAGGAAUCAUUAUUGGUGGUGGACCCAGCUGCCAGAUAUUGGUGGUGGACCCAGCUACACUGCAGAAUGCUUGAAGUUAUUGGUGGUGACCCAGCUGCCAAUAUUUGUCAAACACCAUAGUGGUGAGAAAAAGAACAGGAAAAGCGAGUGGGAGGUAGAUGCGCUUUCCCCAAGGAAAGCAGAAUCAACAACAGCAUUCGGUAUUUUUCUUUUUCAUCUACGCAUUUCUUCUUUCUUUCUUCUAGUAUUAUUAUUAGUAGACAUAUACACACAAAUAUUUGUUUAUAACAUUUUCAUUCUUAAUAUUAUAAAAUUUAUUAUUAAUAAUAUUUAUACUAAUAUUAUUUUUUAAUAAUUAUAUUAGUAUCAGGAUUUUAUAAUUAGUAUCCUUACUUUUAUUGCUUAUAAUAAUAAUUAUUAUUAUUAUAUUAUGUUAUUAUUAAAAUUUAUUAGUAUUUUCACAUAAACAAUGAUAUAUGCAUAAGACAUAUUAAAAUUUUGAAUAUUAUGGUUAUUAUUAUUUAAUAAUAAUAUUAUUAUUUGAUUCAAAAAAAGUUUAUAAUAUAAUAAUAACAAAAAUAAUUUUUUUAAUAAAAUAAAUUAUAAAAAUAUAAUAAUUUUAUUAUUUAUAAAAUACAUUUAUUUUAAUGCAAUUAAAAAAAUUAAAAUAAUUUUAAAAAAUUUAAAAAUUUUCAAAAAAAAGUUAAAUGGGACGGGAUUAGGAUGGGAUCGAUCCAUCCCAAUGUCGUCCCGUUGUCAUCCCUAACUCAUCUUGUGAUAAUUAAGGCCAUUUUUUAUCAUUGUUUUUUUAAAAUGGUCUUUUAUCCUUAAUAUAUAUAUAUAUAAUAAUUAGAAAUAAAACAUAAUUUUUGUUUUUAAAAAUAAAAAAUAAGGCAUUUUUAGAUCAUAUCCUUUUAGUUACUUUUAUUUGUUUUUAAAAAGUAAUUAUAUAAAUAUAAAAAAUAAAAUAAUUUAAAUAAAAUUUAUUUUUAAAAUAUAGAAAAUUAGUUAAUAACACUUUAUCUUCUCAAGCUCUUGUUUUAUAAAAUAUCAUAAAAUAAUUUUCAAAAACUUUUUUUUUUCACAAUUUUGACAAACAAAACGUGUUGCAAUAAUGCACUUAAAUUCAAUGAACCUAAAAGCCAAAUGUGCAGUGUUGACUUUUCAACAGAGAGUUCACACAUGCCCAUUUUUUUAAUUAAAGCACUAUUGAUAUAAAAUAUAUAUUUAAAUAAAAAUUAGACUUUUAAAAAAAUUAAAAUAUAUUUUUAAAAUUAAAAUAUAUUUUUAAAAUGUUAAAAAAAUAUUUACAAUAUUUCCUUAAAAAAAACAUCUUCCAAAAACAUUUCUUUAAAAAAUACUUCCACCGAUAACAAUUUAGACACACUUGUGAUUUAAUAGUUAAAUAUUCUUUCCAACAGGAAUUCAACUAUCAGUUUGUAUUACCACGAUACCACCAAACUGCAAAAGACUAAUUUUGGAUUACCAAAAUGCAGAAGAGCUGAAGGAAUCAUUGAUGGUGGACGACCCAGAUGUCCACAUUAUUUGUCAGACACCAUAAUUGAGUGAUGAGGAAAUGAAAGAAAAGAAAAUAAAAAACAAAAAAGGUGAUGCCAAACAUGGUCUUAUAAGGUGGGUGGAGCGAAAGCAACAAAGGAAACUAGCAGGAUUUUUCAUUGCUAUUCCAUACCUUAAAGGACAAAUUUUGAAUUACCAAAAUACAAAAGACUUGAAGGAAUCAUUGAUGGUGGUGGACCAGAUGUCCACAUUAUUUGCCAAACACCAUAAUUGAGUGAUGACAAAACAAAAGAAAAAGCAAAAAAGGUGAUGCCAACAUGGUCUUGUAAGGUGGGUGGAGCAAAAGCAACAAAACAAACUAGUAGGAUUUUUUUAUUGCUAUUCCAUAUCUCAAAUGACUAAUUUUGAAUUACCAAAAUAUAGAAGACAUGAAGGAAUCAUUGAUGGUGGUGGACCAAGAUGUUCACAUUAUUUGCCAAACACCAUAAUUGAGUGAUGAGAAAAUGAAAAACAAAAAAGGUGAUGACAAACAUGGUCUUGUAAGGUGGGUGGAGCGAAAGCAACAAAGUAAACUAGCAAGACUUUUCGUUGCUAUUCCAUACUUCAAAGGAUUGAUUUUGAAUCAUCAAAAUACAGAAUACUUGAUGGAAUCAUUGAUGGUGGUGGACCCCGAUGUCCAUAUUAUUUGCCAAACACCAUAAUUGAGUGAUGAGAAAAUGAAAAAAAAAAAAAAGUUAAGAAAAAACAAAGAAGUGAUGCCAAACAUGGUGUCGUGAGGUGGGUGGAGCAAAAACAACAAAACAAACUAGUAGGAUUUUUUGUUGUUAUUCCAUACUGAGAAAAUAAAGGGCUAUUCUAAAUAGAUAAAAACACCCAAGAGAGGAGGUGAAUAGAAGUUAAAAAAUUUCUUUUUAAACACAAUAAAAUUAAGCAUAAGAAGUACAAAUAUAAAGAAGUAAGGUUAUAGAAAGUAAACUCAAAUUUAUAGUGGUUCGACACUUCCUUACUUACAUCCACUCUCCUCAAGCUCCUAAUCGAGUGAGGGUUCCACUUAUACUUGAAGUUUCAACCAAACUUCUAAUCACUUUUUACACUUGGAUUCCAUCUCCAAUGGACUCUUACACAAUCUUUUCAAGUCUUUACUCACUUGAAGGUUUUAACACUCAAUUAACAAGUUUGAAUCUCUCAACCUAGCUCAACAAUGACUCAAAUACAACUCAAGGCUAGGAUGAAUCACUAAGGUGCACUAAAGAAUAUGCAAAUGAAAAUUUAAUGCACUAAUAAAAUAAUGAGAGCUUUUAUGGCAAUAAUAAGUAGGUAAACAAAUAAAUGCAAGUGUUCUCUUACUCAUAAAUGAGGUAGAGCUCUCAAUUUAUAGGUUUCUAACCUCAGGAGCUAAAAAGCCAAAAAACAGUCUCAACUGGUUGAACUGGGGGUUGACUGGUUCAUUAGCCGUUGGAACAUUAAAUGCUUGGCAGGUGACCGUUACCCUCGACCAAACCUUAACUGAGAAGGCAAAUCCAUCAACCAGGAAAGAAAGGCUACUAGAAGAGAGAGAAUGUUUUUCACAUCUCUCAACCGGACCUUGACAUAGAAAGAGUAAUCGGUAGACCGAUACCUUAGCUGAUUGAGCCGAUUGGCCAGUGCCUCGACUAGUUCACCAUUUUUAGUCUGAAAACCUAUCUUUUUCUGGUCUUUUUGCUUCUAGCACUUAGGUAAGGACUUUAGAUAAAAUAAUAUGUCAAUUUUGAAAUGUUUUGCCUAAGGUUCAUUUGAUAGAACUCGGAUUUUGAUGGAAAUGUAACUUUAAUGCAUAAACCGAGUUUUAAAGAUGUAUGAAAUGAUAUGAAUACCCUAAGUACACUCAUGCAUUCAUCUUACGUAUGUUUCCUAUGAUUAAAAGGUCGUUCAAAAGUCUUGAUCUUGCAUUCAUUAGGUCCUUUAAUGAAUUUCCAAAUUAACACCUGAAAUUCUUUAUAAUUCAAAUCAAUUAGUAACUUAACCAUGAUUUGUUAUAAUCAAAACAUGAUUAGGAGAAUCAUUGGGCUAACACAUACCUCAAAGGACUAAUUUUGAAUUACCAAAAUAUAGAAGACUUGAAGGAAUCACUAAUCUUUUUAUAAUUUAGAAAAAUAAGUAAAACGAGUUUGAAGAAAUGUAUAAAAAUAAUUUAUUAAAUUUAAAUUUAUUUCUUAUUUUCCUUCAUUUUUUCUUUUUUUCUACUUUUUCUUUCUAUUUUCUUUCCUUCUCGUUUUCCCUCAAAUUUUCCAAGAGCCAAAUAUAGCUUAAAGGUUUAGAAUCUUAUGCACAAGACUUUCAAUUUUUUUUACAAUAUUAUUUUAUUAGUUAAGAAUUAAAAUUUAAUGUACCAUAUCUAACACUAACAAAAAAAUUUAUAACAACCAAUCUUAUCUUUUAAGAAUAUAUUGUUUAAAUGAGAUUAAAAAUUAAAAAUAAAUUUUAAUUCAUUUAACAACUAAAUUAAAAUGAAAUUUAUAUAUAUAUAUCAUAAAUUUAUACAAUUUUGAAUCAUUUUAUAUGGAGGAUUGAGAAUGGAGAGAUUGAAGAAUUGUUUGGUGACGAGGAGAUUGAUCGAAGAUUUUAUAGUCUUAAGGUUCUAUGGGAUGAAAUUUUUUGUAAAGAGUUUAAAUUUUUGUAAAAAAUAAAAUUAGUUUUAUGUUAUUUGAUUUCAUGGAAAUACAAAGUUUUAAUUCAAAGAUUAUGUUUUAAAAAUAUUAUUUUUAAAAUAUAUUUAGUAAAGAUUUAUAAAAAUUUAAAAUUAAAAUUAGUUAAUCUAUCAACUAAAUUAAAAUAAGAUUUAUAUAUUAUUUUUAUAGAUUUACAUGUGUAAAAUCUUUAAAAUGCCUCAACUUAAAAUAUCCUUACAAAAUUUCAUUAAUCUACUAGCAAUCUGCAUAUUGUCUCUACAUAGAGUCAAUUUGCAUUAGGAUGAAUACCAUCAUAAUAAUAAUUACGCUCCACAUAUGAUGUAUCUUAACAUCCACUUGGAGGUUAAAAAAUAAUUAAAGUAAGGGAAACUAAUAUAUUUAAAAUUUAAAAAUCAUUAUGAAGAUUUGGACAAUAAUUCAAGUAGGCAUCUUUGAAAUUUGGCUUCCAAAUCCCUUUGUCAAUAUACACCACCCUAUGACAAUUAAAUAAAUUAAAAGAAGGAAAAAAAAUGUUAAAGGAAUGACAAAACAUAGGGAACAAUUAUAUUUAAGGAGUGGAUGGAGUUGAUAAUGACUAAAGGGUACAAAUCUUGCAUAAUUGAACUAAAAAGGUAGAAAAGGUUUGUAGAUUGUUGUGGAAGAUAUAAACCCACUUUGUGAGUCAAAAAUGCUCAAAAUACCCUUAAGGGUGUUUUUUAAAAAAGGACAAUUAAGUACUCAUGAUAAUUAAUAUAUUAAGAUUUCAAGAAAAAUUAAUAAUAAAUAAAAUCUUUUUCUAAAUCUAUUUAACAAUCAUAUAGUUUUUAUUUUAUUUUAUUUUUUCAAGUGGCAACUAUUAUCUUAAUUUAUUUUUCAUUUUAAGGUUCAAUUAUUAUUAUUCUUUAUUUUGAAAUUUAAUUAAAUGAAACUGUAUAAGACAUGUUUAUAUUAAUUAGCUAAAAAGGAUAGAUUUUUUAGCAAUAUGAUUAAAAUAAAUAAAAACAAGGAAUUUGAUUUUCUUUAUAAAAUAGAUUAGGAAAAGUAUAUUUCGAUACAUUCGUAUGAAAAAAAAAUUCAUAAAAUAGGAACUCAAGUUUAUAAAAUACAAAUUUUAAGCAUUCAUCUAAAAAUAAUUAUCAUUUCAUGCAUUUUUUUUGUCAAAUAUAUUAUAUUUGAUAAUUUAGGUAUUAUAUUUUAAUAAUAUAAGUAGUACCUUUGACCCCCAUAAAACUUGAAUUAUUUUAAAUAGUUUCUAUUAUAUAAUUAUUUAACCAUUUGAUAUAAAUAUUAAAUAAUAAAAAAUAUAUCAUUUUUUAAAGAAUUUUAAUUAUAUUUGACUUUCUUUUGUAUUUUCUAUGGUGUAAUUCACAUAUGAGAAAAUCAUUUUCUUUAACAUUUUUUUUUCUUUCCUUAAUAAUUUUCGAGAACCAAACAAGGCUUGUAGGUUUGAAUUAUAGGGUAUAGAUGCCAAAAAUACCAGAAUGAGUUUGGGUUUUCAUGCUAAAUGUCUUUAUUAUUAUUUGGUAGCACUUUUCCAAAAUUGUUCCAUUCCCAAAACCACUUAAUUUGCUUAAAUAUUUUUACCUCACGAUAUCAUAACAUUAUAAUGGAAUAGAUUUUGUUGGUGUUCAAAUCAUGUCAACUCAAUUUCCAAACCAUUCGGAUUGUCAUUUGGUGAAAAAUAGAAAGAAAUUUUACUUUAUUGAAAAGCAUUUCAUUUUGAUUUGAAUAUGCUGCAAUGAAAUAGUUACUAAACCAUGGGGUAGCAGAAGAAGUAAUCGAGAAAAUGAAGAAGGAUGUUCAAGAAUUCUUUAUGCUGCCAUUGGAGAAGUUUUCAAGAUUUCUCCUGAGUAGAAAACUUAAUGGUAAGAGUACAAUAAGUCAUAUGAAAUUGGAGAACUGAAAGAGCAUAAGAACCAUGUUUUAUUAAAAGACCUGUGAAAGUUUAAUCAGUCAUGGAACUACUAAGAGGGGAUGAAUUAACAGUUUUCUUAAAUUUUGUCCAAAGUUAUGAAUUUUUAUUUUUUAUAAUUUUUUUUUACUUAAAUUGAAACUUAUUAAUCAAGGUAAGAUUUCAGCCACAUCGAGAAACAAUUUACGUGAAAAGGGACUGAUAAAAUCUUGAGUUUACAGAUGUAAAAACCAUAAGGCCAAAGACUGUAGAACUCCAACCCACUGAAUCAAGAAUAGAAACACAAAUUUAUCUACCAACCUACACUAAUCUCAUAUCUACAAUGCAACACCAUCGUACUCUUAAGUGACUUGAAAGGAUGUGAAUAUUUCUCACAAACUUCAUAAUGAAAUUCAAAUUAGCUCUGAGAGUUUUGGGUUAGGCACAAAGAGUAAUAAUGCAUAGCUUUUGUGUGUGAGUUUUUAAGUGAACUUAAGACUCAAUUUAAAGCAUGUAUUUUACUAAAAAUAAAAAAAUAAAUUUAAGAAACUUCAAGAAUUUUGGAAAGAUAAAUUUUAAAAAAAAUUCAAAGAGAGUCAGAAAAUGUUUCCUUUUUAAAUUCUCAAUUUAAUUUAUUUUCAAAUUUAUUAAGAGUUUAAGAAAUAUUUUCUUUUUAAAUUAUCAAUUUAAAACUCUCUUUUAAAUUAAUUUUAUUAUUAAUUUUCAUGCAAGUCUACUCUAUACAUUUUACAUCGUUAUUCUCAAUUAACUCAACAAUAUUAGAGUGUAACAUCCCCAAUUGAUUUUGCACCAACCUUAAGUCUUCAAAGACAAUGAUUGAGGCAUUUCUUCUCCUAUUUUCUCCGAUGUAGAAAAAAAACUUGAAUAAGGUUAAAGCUGGUCUAUAGCAAAAAGUCUUAAUUUGAGUUAGCCUCUUUUUUUUUUUCCAAAUGAUAUGCAGGUCCAUCUAGCCUUCAACUCAAAUUUUUUAUUCAAAAAUCACAUGUGGAUAUGUGAACAAGUAAAAGUUGAGUUUUACCUAACAAAUCAUUUUGAAAAUUAGGAAAUUUAAAAGGUAUUAGUUUGUUAAACUCACCACCCCUGUCUAUUCUACAAAACAAGAAGAUUAGCAAAGAAAAAGUAUUCAUAUUUGUACUACAAAAUAAAAAGAUUAGCAAAGAGAGAAAUUGUACCCAUGAGUGCAGAGUUUUGGGUUAAAACAACCCUUUUGAUGGGAAAAAUAUUAAAUUUAACCACUUUGUCAAACUAAUGUGUAAAAUGAUCCUUUUAUUAUCACAUAGGAGUCAUAUCACUAAUAUAUAUAUAUAUAUAUAUAUAUAUAUUUAAUUUAAGUUGAAGCCUCAAUUGCCAAUUAAGGCUUCAAUUAUCAAUUAUGACUUUAUUUUUAACCCGAAACCUUACUUGCCAAUUGAGGUUUCAACUAAAAAAAGAAACCUCAAUCGUCAACUAAGACUUAAUUUUUUAAUUGAAGCCUCAAUUGACAAUUGCGGUUUUAUUUUAAAACUGAAAUCUCAAUUGUCAAUUGAGGCUUUACUUUUGUGGAAGGAUUAUGUGACACUCACGUUACUAGAAAAAAGCCAUACUGAAUAUAAGUUUCAAAAGUGGCUUAAAAGGUAUAAAUUUUAUGAUCAAAGAUGCCAUUUUGACCCAAAAUCCCAUGGGUGCAUGAGACUCUAGUUAAUCAUAGAUUUCAUAGAUAAAAAUCAGAGUUAGGAUGAUUCAACCCCUAAGCGUCAAGAAUUCUUUAACAUAAUGUUAGAACAUUUUCCAAUUUAAAUUCGAGAGUUGACUUUAUUUGAAUGUGCUUUUGAUUUUUUUUUUUAAAUAAGCUUCAGUGUUUUUUUUAAAAAGAAAUAAAAAUAAAUAAAAAUAGGAGCUUCUAUAUAGAAAGUAAAAAUUUUAUCCAACAAAUAUAAGGCUCACCUUAUAUCCUUAUAAAAUAAAAAAUUUUAAAUUUUUUAAUACCUCAAAAUUUUUAAUCAAUAUUUAAAUAUCAUUAUAUUUUCAAUAUGAUUCCUUUAAAAGUUAAAAUUACUUAUAUUUUUUAUUUUCAAAAAAAAAAUAUAUAUAUAUAAGUAAUUUUAUGUUUUUUAAUUAUUAAGAUGGAUGAAAUAAUCCCAAAUUUGCAAAAAUAACUUCUUCUAUGUUUGAAUUUGAAAAAUAACUCAUUUCCAACAUAAAUACUCUUCAAUAUUUGGAUUAUUUUAAUAUAAAUUUUAGAAGAAAGUGUUAUUUUGACAGGAAAACAUGAAAGACAUUUUUGUUAAAAAUUGAUCUUUUUUUAAGGCUAAAAUAUAUAUAGGUUUAUAUUUACAAAUUUGAGACUAUUUCGUCCUCUUAAUCAAAUAACUUAAAAAAGAAAAGAGUUAAUUCCACAAGUGGGUUUAAAAUACUCACAAAAUUGCAAUAUAUAUAUAUAUAUAUAUAUAUAUAUAUAUAUAUAUAUAUAUAUAUAUAUAUAUAUAUAUGAAAUUACAAAUUUACCCUCGUGUGUUGAGCACAUGACACUUCCAUUCAUUAAAGCUAACAUUGUUAAAUAACAAAUGUACAUUGCAACUAUUUAAGAAGUAUGAAGGGCACAUUGCUUGAUUUUAGUACAUGGUGAGAAACUUGUUGAACAAGUUAUGUGUAAAGUUUUAUGGUUCAUGUAUGAUAGAAAAUACAGAUCUACUACAACACUGGAUUUGCAAUUUGGGUUAAUAUUUAAAGAAAAGACCAUAGGACAAAAAGAAUUAAACUUUUGGUGGAAAACAAUAAAGAAAGGACUACAUGGAAAAAGGGAAGAGAUCAUUAUAAAGGAAGAUUAUUGAAUAGAAAUAAUUCCAAGAACCUAAGGCAAGACAUAGAGUAUCACUACUACUAUCACAAAAAGGGGUAUAUCAUAAAAUUUAUGAAAUUUUGAAAAAGACCUAAAAAAUGAAGAAAAAAAAAAACAAAUCAAAGAAGCCUACAAGUGUAACUAGUGUUCUUAAAGUUGCGAAAUGAAGGUAAUAAAUCAAAAGUAGAUUUGUUAAUAGUUUUUAAAAUGCUUGAAUUAGGAAUUGUCUACUUGUACCAUACAAGCCCUUGUAGAGACUGGUUUGACAUGUAAAUUGUUUGUAAAAUCAUUUUAAUGGGCAAUAAUGCACCAAGUUGCUCCACGAGAAGGGGAGGGGUUUGUGAAACCAUCACUUGUCAUGACAUACAUCGUCGGGUAAUCACGGAUGAGGGCAUCCACGGGAGGCCAAUGUCUACCCUCGCUCCACACCCCUCUAGUACAAGGCUCUAGGAGGGAGAGAGGCAACAAGUGUGUGACACCAAGGUAAAUAUGCUUGACCUUAUGGCUUUGGGAGCAACUUGCAUUGAAAGACUUGAUGAUUCACAAGAUUCUACAAUUCAUACAAAGUAUUGCAUUUUGCGACGUUCUUCAUCAAUAAGAGAGCCUAGAUAUCCAUUGUCAAGAAUUCUUUAUGUAUGAAAACAAAGGCGCCUAACCGACAUGCCCAAGAUCAAGGCAACUGGAGCGUGUUGCUUCGCCCAAGUUACUUAGCGCGUUUUGUGCCAAAGUUUGUUGUUCGCUCAAGAGGGCUUUUGUGAAUCUUUGUAAUAAAGGGAUAAUACAGAGUGGGCCGUAAUUUAGCAUCUUACACGCUUAGUUUCUUCCAUUGGUGGCAUAUAUUAUUUUGUCUGUCAUUGGUGAUUAUUUAAUAAAACUAUGAGAGUAUUUCAUGAAAUAUAAAUAAGAGGUUUUUAGGAUAUUUAAUCGAUGGUAAACAAAAGUUGAAAACUAAGUAGGGAGGAAGAUAAAAUAUUUUAGAUUUGAUAGUGGACUUGAGCAUUAGAACAAGAAGUUCACAAAGUAUUGCGAGAAUUCUUAUAUUACUUAACAUCACAUGUAAAGAAAUUACAAAGCAAAAUGGAGUGGUUGAAAAGAUGAAUAGAACACCAUUGGAAUGACUAGGUGGCUAAGAUUAACCAUUGGGUUACUUAAGAAUUUAAGGGCUAAAGCUAUCAACAUAACUUAUCAUGUAAUUACUUAGUUGUCAAGUUUUACAAUUAUUUUCAAUAUUCCAAAAGAAGUGUCAAGUAAAUCAAUUGACUUUUCAUCUAUUGAAAUAUUUGAUUGUUGCACUUAUAUUCAUAUAUAGGUGAAAAAAAAAUUCAAUCCAAAAUAAAAAAGGUAUAUAUUCCUUGGGUUUGAAAAAAGGAUUGAUUAAAGACUAUAGACUUUGGGAUCCAACAAUUAAAGAAAAAAAAGUGGUGAGCAGAGAUGAAUUCAAUGAAAAACAUAUGUUAAAGAAAGAUCAAGGACAAAUGAAAUUGGUAUUGAAAAAAAAUUCAACUACAUGACCAAUCAUCGAGAUGAAAUUUGAGAAAAAUGUCAUUAAAUAUGAAAUCCCUCCUAAUUGAUGUCCCUAUUAGAACUUUAUAUGGGCAUCUUUCUCUAUUGCUCUAAAGAAUCAUCGAAUUGGGUAAGGACAUCAAUUUUAAGAUUUUAAUUUUUUUUCAUUAUUUAUUGGAAUAGGAGAUCUUUAAAUUUUUUUGGGGCUCAAUUAGGAAGGAUGAUAGUUAUCAAUGUGUUGGUGCUAUGUCAAAUGAGAAUCCAAUGCACAUGUUGACUAAAGUUGUUCUUAAGGAUAAGUUCAAGCAUUGGUUGAAUGUCAUUAAUUUUUCAUUUUGUAGAACAUGGAAGGUCAAUUUUAUCGAAGAGCCAGGUCAAUCAACUUCUAUUAGGACUUCCAUUGAUUCUUGAUUUGACUAGAGGGACUCCUAGCAGUAAAUUUGUAUGAAGGGGCCCUACGGAGAUGCAAGAGCUGCCAAUCGGAUCGACCAAUAAAUGAUAGGCCCAUGCAGAGAUGUCCCUGAAAUAGGGGAUUGGUUGAUUGGAAAGCUUAGGCAGAGUAUAAAGGAGAACAAUUUAGCAUUUUGGGAAAAGCACAUAUGAAGAUGUUUACAAGUUUGGAAAUUUGAGUUAAAGAAGAGAUGGUCUAAAAAUGUUUCAAAUUUCAAUUUUAUGUUUUUCUAAGUUUGAUAUAUCCUAUUUGGAUAUUUGGGAAGUCUUCUCUUGUUACAUAAGGUAGUCCUAUGAUGAGAUUUGUUAUGAAAAUAGGUUCUUCCUCGUGUGAAAUAUUCCUAUGAAAUUAAGAAGGAAUAUAGGAAGAGUUUUUAUUGAAAUUAUGAAUCUUUUUUUUAUGUAAUUAGAACUAAAAUAUGAGAGUUUUAGAAUUGUAAUUACACCUUUGAAUAUAAAUAAUUGAUAAUAGUGAAUUAAUUUACCUUCUCCCUCUAGAUGUAGGUAAAUGCUAAAUUAUGUUAAAUCUUGUAUUCUCAUAUGAUUUUUUUUUUCAUUUAUUUUUCAUUUUCUUGCCCAUUUCUAACUUGCUACUACAUAAUAACAGGUGGUAUCAGGCUUUUUGUGUUUGCACAACAAAUGGUCUCAGUUUUUCCAGCACCACAAAAAUGAUAUUUUACUUAAUUGCUCCUCAGUGGAAAAGUUGGAAAGAAAAAUUAAAUCAUCGACUACACCUUUUUUUUUUUUUCCAAAACUUUUCUUGUCUUUGUGCAAGAAAAUUAGUAUAUUUUCUCUUUAGUAUUUGUUUCUCAUUUAUAUAUAUAUAUAUAUAUAUAUUCAAAUGGAACCUUAAUCAUCUUUUAUAUGAAGUAUAAAAGAAUUAGAAAAUAUUCAAAUUUUAAAUGAUUUUUAUUAUACUUUGUCCACUUCCUAUUUCAUAUAUCAAAUUACAAUAGAAUUUAAAAUUCUUUUAUAAGUUUUUUCUCCCUUUGCUACCACAUAAACGCAAAGACAGUAUGUGAGUUAAAUACCUUAAAAGAAAAAGAAAUUAAAAUGUGAUACAAAACAAAAGUAACCUCUUUAAAUUCAAGGAAACAAAACACUAAACUUUUUCAUGUAUUUUAUUCCAUUUAUAAAUGCAACAUGACAAAAAUAGACAAAAAUAUAAAUGGAAACCCUUUGGGUCCUUUAUUUUAUAUUUUAUCAACUUCAACCAAUUCUAUUUCUAUAGCACAACCGAUAUUAUAAAGUUCAAUGAGUAUAUAAUAUAUAAAGAUACUAAUCAAUACGAAUUAUUCUUUCUUUCAAAUGGCUACUUGUAUUAAAAAUUAAAUGUAAUUCCUCCUAAACAAUAAAAUAUGUUGACACGAUUUCAAUGAAUAUACAGUACAUAAAGAUAUGACCAAUUAGUACGAAUUAUUCUUUCUUUUAAAUAGCUACUUAUACUAAAAUAUAAGUAAACAUAAUUCCUCCUAGAUAAUAAAAUAUGUUGACACAAGGAGGAAUAUAUUUACUAAUUAUAUCAUUUGCAAUAGCCUCAAUCUCGUGACGUUCUUCGAACCAACCAUAGACUUUAUUGAGAUAGGUUAACCAAGGGAGCUUCCACUCUCAUAACUCGUAUAUGAAAAUUUCAUCUUGUACAACUCAAAUAGAAACCCAUAAAUACCAGUUGAAACCAAAAUGUAAUAAAUAAAUAAAAACAUAUUUCAAUGGAUCCAAUUAGUAUUUUUCUGAUCUCGGAUAAACAAACAAAUUUUUCUUCAUUUUGUUUUUUUUUCCAUUAAUCUUUGUAAGUAAAUUAUAUUUUAAUUUAACAAAGCACUAAACUUUACUUUAAUUUUCAUGCAGGAUCAACUAGCUUAUCAUAAUAAAAUUUAUCAAUAUAGCUGAGCAGAGAUUUGAUGUAAUAAUACCAUACAAAAUUCAAGUAAAAUUAAAUUAAUCAAAUAGGACACUACGGUCAUAUUUGGAUACAUAUUCUAUUUUUUAUUUUUAAAAUUAAAAUUUUGAUAUAAAAUAUGACAACCCUUUGUAUAAAAAAUAAAAAUUUAUCCUAUAAUCUUAAAACUACUUUUCAAUAUUAAAAAAAAAUGAGGACGUGUCCUAAAAUUUUAAACAAAUUUAAAAAUAUUUUUAAAUACCAAGAUAUCCACUUUUUUCUUUUUUAAUAAAAAUUCCUAUAUUUGAUAUAAAACUCUAUUUUAAAAAAUGAAAAAUAAAAAAUGUAUCCAAACAUAAGCAAAAUUGUUAGAUUUCAUUGUGAGAUUUCUUAGAUUCUACAAUUCAUAGUGAAAUGAAGACGAGAGAUAACUGACUGAAUUAUGAAAAAAAAAAUUAACAUUGAUGAGAUUCAAAAAUGCUAGUUAAUGAAAGAGUUUCUCCGCCAGGAUGACUAAGAAAAAUGCUGAAAAAUGUGUCAUGCCCAAAGCAAUGUUACAAUGAAGAAUAGAAUGAGAGCUAACCCGAAACAAAAUCCGACAAUCGCCAUGAAAGCCUGGAUGCAGAGGAAAUGUAACUAGAGACAUGUAAGGAAUCAUUAAGCAAGUGAGAACAAUAUCAAAAUCUCAUGUACGACUUACUUACCUUUCCCUGAGAUUCAAACUUGAAUUUUACUGUAAACCAUGACAAUCCUCUAUCUACAAUAGGUGCAAGUGCAAGGGCCCUGCAUGAGAAGCACCUCUACAAAAAUCACAGAAAACCCAAAGGAAAAAAAAAAAAAAAGAGUAAAUAAAUAGAAACUAGUCUAUCAGAAACCAGGAGGCUGCAACAAAUAAUCUCCAAAUGUCAGAUUUAAUAUUUAUUUACAAAUGCCACUAAAAGGCCUUUUCAUCAGAGAAAUCUAGAAUAAAAAAGGAUAAGGAGCCAUUUGGAUUACAGAGGUCAAAGAUUGGGUUGGAUGGGAGCAAGUUUAACCUCCUCAGUGAAAAUGAAAAUGCAAGGCCCAUCAUCAACGCUAGGUUCAAAAAUUGACACCAUUUCUUGAAGACUUUCUUUUUUCAUUCUUCAAUUGUCAUUUUGAUUCAAAGAAGCAGCAGCAUGAUAGACUAAACAAUCAUCAUAAACCCAGUUGCAAGUUAUAAGGAUAAGAAAGAAAAUGAACAGAAAACAUAUAUGAGAGAACUGAUAGGCCAAAAAAAUCAUUGUUGAAGGAAUCGAGCAUAAAUCUCUGAACAAAAUUUAGCUGAAAUUCACUGAUUUUGGGUUAUUUUGUGAUAAGAGCAUUGCAAUAUCCCAAUAAACUGUUACGCUAACUAAAGAUUUAAAACAGAAUUUAGCUGCUUACCCUCCAGCUCUGACAAGUUUAGUGACCUGGCUGCCUGCCCACACCAUAGCCAUGAUUUUGACAAAUCUGCCAAUUGGAUUCCAUGUCAAGAUAUUUUGAAAAACUUGUGCAAAAAGAAACUUUUUGGAAUAAGUUUUUACCUUUCAACUGCCGCCAAAUAACCCAUCCUUCCUGGUGCUGGAGCAAUAUAAAACCUAGAAGCAGCAUAGUGAAUUCAGAGUUAUACUGGUUAUUUGAAAUCUACUCUGAACACCUAUGAUAGAGACUGCAGGAUGUGGUAAAACACUAAGGCAUAUUUCAAACUACAUUAUAAGGUAUUUGAUUAGAAAAUUAAAUAAAUAAAUAAAUAAAUAAAAUAACAUAACAUAAAAUACAAAAAAGAAAAAAAAAAUUAACAAACUGAAUUUGUCCAUAUGCAACAAUAUGCAAUUGUUAGCCAUGAAUCCCAGUUAUGUCGGUUUCCAGUAUUAAUAAUUAAGCAUGAUGUUUAUGAACUAGACCAGCAUUCUAAUAACUCUAGAUUGAAGGGCAUGGAUGUCACAUUUGUAUUCCAUCAUGUGCAACUAACAUCACAUUGAAAUAAUAUCCACUAAAGCAAGUUAAGACCCAGUAUAUCAGAUUAAAUUUUUUCUACCAUGAACAUAAGCUUGAUAAAAAUGAAGAUGGAAAUGCAAUACUUCUUUAUAUGACAUAAUGAAGGGAACCAAAUACAAGGACUCCCCAUUCCAGAUGCAGAAAGCCAAGUUACAACCUUUGCCAAAUAAAGAGAUCCACCAUAAGUUCAUUUUUAGACAUGCUAUAGUUGAAUAUGCCAUCAGUAAGUGAUCAAAAGCCAAUUCAGAUGGGAAUAACAGCCACAAUGUUGGGAAGGUCAAUAACAAAAGCAUUGACUUGAAUGUUGGCAGUGUCAUUUACACUGGCCAUAAGAACCAGAGGUAAUGCAUACAGUUGGUAAGGUGGGGAGGAGGAGAUGAGAAAUUGAAAAGUCUUGAAUUUAUUUGUUUCAUGCAAUUCCGUUUUCCAAUACUCUAUACGAUAAUAUACAUUGUACAGCACAAGAAUAGGGUUGUUUUAAAAUUUUGAACAAAUAAAAAUUUCAUAUCAAUAUCUAAUAUUUAAUAAAAAAGAAUGAAACAAGAGUAAGUACAUUCUCUUCUCCUUAACAUGGUAUUAAAGCAGUCUCCAAACUCUUAACUCCUAGUUGCAUACUUGAUUUGCACUGGAAGUUGCAGUUUGCUCAUUUUGUUAUUCAAGUAAGUUACUUCAAUCUAUCAUAGUUUAAAUGACUUGGGACGGUAGUUGUCAUGGGCACGAAUUUUCCCACAAAUUUUUCGCAUUCACACAGCGCUUAGAAGCCCUCUAAGCCAACAUACUCAAACCCACAUGAGAUUGCAAUCAAGAAAAACCUCACAAAGACACACAAGGCUAUGGAGCUCAAUCCCUAACUUGUAUUUUAUUUCUUCUCUAAAUAACAAUACCAGACAUAGCUUAACAAGACUUCCACAAUCUCUUUGGUGAGUUCAUGCUCUCUCUCAAGCUAUGUAUAUUCUCUAUGAUCUCCAGAUUGCACGAUAAUUCAAAGGGCACUCCAGUCCUCCUUUUAUAGGUGUGACACCAACCACUCCCUAUUUGAUAAGGAGCAACGAAUCCUAGUUCUACUCAAACUACAAUUAAAAUAAGAAUCUAAACUCCUAUUCAAACUCAAAUUACAAUAACAAUUUGAAUUCAACUCUGAACUUUCAAAUGUCUUCGGCCCAUUCCUCUUUCAUUUGAAACUCCUUGUAUCAGGCCACAUAUCAGCCCUUCAAUUCCCUGGUUUGUGGUGCAAUAUAUCUUCCUUAAGCUUGUCCCAAUGCCAAGACAUCUUUGUUGUGUUCUGCCUGAAGUCUACCCACUCUUGUGCCUUGAGUCAGUCCAUUCAUGCAUUUGAAUCAGCUGAUGCAUCCGAUCAGCUUGCUAUAGCGUCUCUAGGCAGCCUACUACAUGUGUCUCUAUGCAACUAGUGUGCAUGCCAAGCCCUCUCUUAGCCUACAGAUCUAGCAAUUUUCCUUGGUGCCAAUCUUUCCUUUGGCUGUAGCCCCUUGUUGUUCCUUGAGCGUGUCAGUCAUGCUCAUAUGUGUUCCCGCAUCUGGAUCACGUCCAUGCUGAGGCAACCUGCCCAAGUUUGCUCUGCCUAGCUGUUGUUAUGGCAUCAUGCCAUGCCCAAGCCCUCUUCUUGGUGCAGCAACGAGUCAUGGCAUUGCACCCAUGACUCCUCAUCUCUAUGCACAAGGCAUUGUGCCCUUGUGCCACGCCACCUCAUUGCACAAGGCAUUUCCCCCUCAUGCUACCGUUGGGAAGGGAAGACUGCAUAGCACCCCAUGUCGUUGCAACCUUGAGUUGCACACCAUCACAUGUCAUGGAGCCCAUAUAUGGUUGCUAGCAAGGCUUGCCCAUGUGCCUUGCUCAUGUUUGAGGACUUGCACCAAAGCCCCUAAGUGUGGCCAUGCCCAUGCCACCUCGUCUCCCUUGAGUCACCCCCACCCUCACCCCCCUUAAAAGAGCAUUUUAAGCCCUUUUAAUUAAUUCAAGAAAAUCUAGAAAAUUUUGCUUCCACUUGGAGUCUCCCUUUUGAAGGUUCCUAUAAAUCUUUUAUCUCUAAGCGAAUUAACCAAGUCACUUAAUUGUUUUGCAACAUUCCUUCCCUUCCCAUAGUGUAUUUCAAGAUCUCUUAAUGAACAAGACAAUUGGUGGAGGGCAUGAAGUAAGUGGAAUUUAUCACCAUAUUGGCCCACCUUUUACUCCAAUUGCUCUACGUACUUCCAUUUCUUCUAUGUAGUGGCACACCUUUCACUACGCAUCUUUAGCAUAUGGGACUUCUAGUUAUAUUGGACUCCAAGUUAAAGCACCAAGUUUGUGAGUCAAGCAAAUAGCAUCACCAUAGUGUUGUUCUAGUCCUUUUUGUUCUAUAAUCAAUAAGAGGAGUACUAGUCCUUUUCAUCUUGUUCAUUUAGACAUUUACAGUUUAUGUAGUGUUGUUCCUAAUGUUGAACUAAACUUUUUUAUUGCUAUUUUAUUAAUUAGAUCAAUGAAAAUGGUAUGAGCAUAAAGAGGCUGAAUAAUAGGUACUAAUCUCUUAAAAAAAACUAUCUUGUAGAAACAUCAUCAGGUGACUAUGCACAAGUAAAUGGUCUGACAAGGCGUGAGAAAAACAUUCAUUUUUGUGCAACAACCAAGUAUUUGCAUCUUAAUCAACCAAAGAAUAAAUGGCUGAAGACAAUAAAUGACUGAACAAAAAGAAAAUCAUAAGUUUUAGGCCAGACACUUUUUUCAUCAAUUAUAUACAACAACAAUAAAUCAAAUAGUCCUAAAUUUCAAAAGAAUAAUGCUCAGCAGCUAUGCAUACUCACAAGUCACAAAUACCUCAUCCUUGACUAAUUUACAUGAAUGAAUUAUUUACUUACCAUACCAAGAGAAACGUUGUAAGAUAGUAUGCAGUAUUCAGGAGUCCAUAGGAUAAUAUUCCAGAAAUUCCAUAUCUCUUCAGUUUCUUUAGAAGACUGAAAGGUUAAGCAAGAAUGAGCUCUCAAUGUAAGUAGACAUGCAUUUCAGCAUACAAAGGGCAAAAGGAUUGAGGUAUCACUUCUUACAGAUUGUUUGCAUGAAAUUCAGUAGUAGAAGAGAAAUUAAAAUGAUUGGGACAAGAUCACUCAUCCAAACAAUAGUUUAUUUACAGAGAAAAGGUCUAAAGCAUAAUCAUGCAGUAGACAAAAUGAAUCUUUUGUGUCAUGUUCCAAUAAUGUUAACAAACUACAUUAAAUUCAUAAGGUUACAUAGAAAAAGAAAGAAAAGACAUUGUUGCAAUAGUUUGGUUGUUACACUGCUAGCACCCAGACUACGACCAAAUCCUUGCAUUGAAAUUGAAUUUCAAACUCCCAAUGUGAAAAAGGAAGAUACAAAAAAGAAAAGAAAAACAGGAGGAAAAAAAAAAAAACAGAGGGAAAGAAAAGAAACAUGGGAUUUCCAUGUAUAAUACAUACAUAUUAUAUCUAUAGAUAAAUGCAUGUAUGUGCAUAUGUCAUAGAGGCUGGUCAGACACAUUUCAAGAAGUUUCACAACUUGCUUUGGAAUGACAAACACGUGGAUCAAUAAAUGGCUUGUCUCCAUUAUUGAGAAAUUGCAGGUAAAUUUCAUCCACUACAGGCAUGGGGUGGCUGGACAAAGUUAUGCCAUUUGGUGGGAUGUAGUGGACUUAAGACAGAAAAUUCUCAAUCAUUCUUCUGUCCCUUGUGCAGUGUUGAAGCUGACAAUAUUAUUGAGCAUACAAGGAAUGUGAUGUAAAACAUCAUUGAGGACCAUGAGCUGCGAAGGCAGGGAGAAAUUAAGUUAUGAUUAAGUUUUGGUGAGGGAUUUUCAGAUGCAGAUCAUAUGGCAAAUUAACUUCAGAGAAUUGCAUGUUUUUAUUCAUUUCCAUACACAUUGAAUAAUCAUAUUUAAAAUCCCUCAUUCACUUGUUUCGCUUCCAUUAGUGCUCCUUCCACAUGCCUAUUAGCAGCAUAGACCUCAUGAUAGUUUGGUAAAGGUAAGACAAUAAAAUUGAAAAAUACAGCUAAAGCCUAAAAUAUUGGCUCAUAAAGAGAGAAACCAUCCAAGUUCUAUCUUAAAUGACUCUACAAGUUCUAAACAGGGAGACAAGGACUUCAACCUGGUCCAUCAAUGCAUAUAAAUGGGUAAUCAUUCCAACAACCAUUACGUUAGAAGUACACUAAAAGAAAAUUAUUAAACAAUGUUGUUUCCAAAAAUUCCAUGUUAAAGAAUAGAAGAACAUACUGCUAUAAAUGAAAUUCAUUCAAAACAGUUCAAACAGUAAAGUUAAGAAUUGUGACUGCAUAUUUUUUUUUAAAAGAAACAAGAAUUGUGACUGCAUAUCACCACACUUGUUUUAUUUAUAAUCCACACAAUGUAUUCUUCCCUAGCAUGUUAUCCCAUUAAGUAACCUCCAGAUAAAAUUCCCUUUCUGACUCUGUCAAUCAGCCAAAAAAUUUGAUGUAAAAUGUAAAAUACAUGGGUACACAAAAACAACUAUAUAAACUGCCAUCCCAUCAUUAAUAAAUCAUUUGUCUAUAACAUAGACUAAUAGCACUGUAAGGCAAGUAGGAAGUACUCUUUUGAUGUGUGCAGUUCUCCUUCACCAUUUUCGCCCUUUGCACUGGAGUCUAUAAAAAUAUGUAUAAGUAGAUUUUUAGAAAUAUCAAGUUUAUCAAAUGUAAAAUAUGGUAUCACAGAAAGCUACACCAUUUUUCUAGUUAUCAUUUGAAAGAUAUUGAUACCUUCAUGGUUGGCAGAGUAGUCAUGACCAUUUGACAUGCCAGAAGCCUAACCUACAACAAAGGCAAUGUUGAAAAAGCAAUAUUCAAAAUUCAAUGAAAAAAACAGAAGACAAACAAAUGAACAAAUAGCAAAUCAUCACACUCAAUUGUUUUCCAAAAAUGAAAAACCAAAUGAAAGGAACAAGGAAUAUAUUGAGAAAAAAACCUAUGAUCAAUGGAUAUGCAGUUGCAUUCUAGCACAUAUAUAGGAUCAAACAAGUAACUAAUCUAGACAUAGCUGCAGCAAAUUUGUGUAUCUCUGAAUGCGUGUCUGCUUUUUGUGGGGGGAUAUUUAUUAUGACAUGUUCUUAGUGCAGACAAACCAUCUGCAUUUACUUGAGGAUUAGGUAAACAUACUUUCCAUUUAAAAUGAGGCCUUGAACAUCAAGCCCCGGUGAGUUUUCAAAUAAGGAAAACAUAAUAGCUUUACAAUGAGUCCCAUAGCAAGAAGGCAUGCAAUUCCAUUCAUCAGCAUACCAGAAUAUAGAAUAGUGUGGACAUGUGGACACAUGCCAGAAUUAGCAUUGGACACACUAACAUGCCAGUCAUACAUAGAAAGACUUUCCAAAGAUAUUAAAGUAAAACACUGGUAGUAAGCAAAUUAGACCCAGAAAAACAUGCAAGUAUAGGCCAAGAUCAAAUCUUAAUUUUAAUUUCCAGAAAAAAAAUAAAAAAUUAUAUCAACCAAUAGAAAUGGUAUCAUCAGCAAUUAACACCAAAACACACCAACAUAUCGGAAUGCAUAUCACGUGUACCAAUCUCCAAUCAGCAUUACACCUGUACAAGUUAGCCUGUAGCAGGUCAUAAUAGGUUCAGACUAUAAAACCUUCCAAAUCUUCCUUUGCAGGGCUUAGAAACUAUUUUCUAAGUAAUUUGCAAUUUUAAAAGCCUGUGACAAAAUUUUGGAUGAAGAGCUUAAACUAUAUACUCACAAACCCACUCCAAAAUUUCCUUAAGGUAAUACACAUUUUUUGAAGUCCUUUCCAAUGUCUUCUCUUAUUUGAGUUAGAAAAGCCAAUGUUUUUAUGAAUUGACUACUACGGCUGUUGAGGUUUGAGGUGUAUAACUAAUUUCUUAAUAUAUCAUAAUUUACAUCAGUCAUUAGAAAUUAAGGUUCCAUCCUUUUACACUAAGAAAAUCCUGAGAGCAAUUAAAAAAUACCUUCUUUAAUAUUAUUAAAUUUAAGUUUCCUUUAGGUCUUUGAGUCUAAUAGAAAUUAGUAUAAAAGGAAUUUUAAUUUUCUUACACUAAGAAAAUAAAAAUAAUAGGCAAAAUAAUUUUCAAAUUUUGGAACUUUAUAGGUAAUGCUUAUUAAAAUAAAGCAACAAAGUUUGUCAUUUGCCAAUGAAUGAACCAAUUGUGGAAAACUAUGCAAAAAAUUUUAUUAGCAUGGAAUUUUUUUUUUCUGCCAAUAUAUAGAAUUCAAUUUCAAACCUGCCCCUCCCAACCCACCACUUGCUACUUGAGGCAAGCUUAGAGGCAGAAAACUAUUUACAAUUCUACGUAUGGAUAAAAAUUAUUUCUUAGAUUUUAUGCCAAUUCCAUAUUUAUAGGUAUCAAUUUAUUAUUCUACUGUUGUCAGAAGCUUCAAUUUUGGGCGUCCUCAUGGCUAUGCCACCCUUAAAUGAGAACAACUUUGGUCUUCUGUUUUUCUUUUUGAGCUCUUCAAAUUUUUGCAAGUUACUUCUAUCCAGGUUCUAGGAAACACCCAUUUUUUUAAAUCUCCAAUAAUUUAGGGUUCUGUGGCUGAGGGAAUAGACUUAUUUUUGGUUGAAGCACAUAAAAUUCUUGGCUAUUUUUUUAUUUUUUAUUUUGCCAUCAGGUCCUUUUAGGUUGAUUUUUCUACUUAUUUUUCACCCACCAAUUAACAUUGCCCUAACUCUGUUAUCUAUCCGAACAAAUGUUUAUGAACUAGCAAAUCAUACUAAAAUUUCUUACUAGUUGACAUGUGCAUCAUCUCAGCAUGUCAUUCCAACACCAAACUACAACCAUAAUCUCACUAACAUCCUAACUGCCUCAAUGAGUAUGGAUUACAGAAAUGCAAUUAAAAUAUACUUCCCUAUUUAAUUUCAUAAUUUUUAUAAUAAUAUUUCAGCAAUAUUUCCACAUAGUAGCUUAUGUGAGAAAUCCCCAUUUCCGUAUAAAAUCGAAAAACCCUAUAGCUUGCGCAUGUAAAUAGAAAAAAAAAAAAAAAAGACAGAUUUUGCAGAAUUGGGAGAGCAGACUCACACCAGCAUGGCCAUUGAUUGAGCAGAAACGCAGAUGACGAUGAUGGUGGUGGAAUUGGGAGAAAUUGUUGAGUUUGUGGAAUGUGGGAACCCUAGGAAUGCUGGGAUUGAAACCCUGGAUUGAAACAAGAGGAUUGUGAGAGAGAAUUGGAAAUUGAAGAAUCAAACACAAAAAAUAAAUCCAAGAAAUAAAAAAGAAGCGUAAAAAUGAAAUAGAGAAGAGUGUGUAUGACGCACCUGAUGAUGUGAAAGCAGCUUCAGCUGGUGAAGGCAAACUUUCGACGGGAGAGACAUGAGCAUACCGGCCUCCGACAACAAUCCCUCCAAAAUAUUCUUUCUAUACCAUUUAUUAUUAUUAUUAUUAUUAUUAUUAUUAUUUUCAGGUUAUUUGAAGUGCAAUGUCUAGCUAUACCAUUUAUUAUUAUUAUUAUUAUUUUAUUGCUAUUAUUAUUUUCAGGUUAUUGAAGUGUAAUGUCCACCAUACCUUAUAUGCCAUCCAUGAUGAAGGCCUUAGAACUCUCCAUGGAGCCUAAAUCUCGGGAUGCUAAUCACCCUAUAAUAACCAGCAUAGAGUAUAUUCAAAGUAUCAUUAAUGACAAAUUUCGAACUUAGGACCAUAUGUCAUUUACUGAGACCACACUUCUUAAUGUUCAUCCUUAGCGACACACUCAUAUGUACCAAAUCAUCCGAUAACCUGUUUUUCCUAUUUUCUCAUUUUUACAAAAAAAAAGAAAAAAUAAGAAUAACUUCUAUUUUUAAAAUUUUAAUUUUUUUUAUAAGUAAAUUUUUGUUCUCAUUAGGACCUGUGGAACCUCCCACAAGUCCUCCCGAAUCAUUUACCACUUGAGUCAUGCCUUAAUGGCUUGUUUUUUUAAAAAAUAAUAACAACUUUUAUAUAAAAAAAAAUACUUAUAAAAAAUAUAUACAUGUCAUUAAAAGUUUAAAGAAAUUUAAAUUUGAUAAUAAUUUUUUAAAUAAUUUAAUGUGUUAAUUGUUCUUAAAAACCGUAAAUAACCUAAAAAAGAACAGUAUGUUUGUAAAUUGACCAAAUUGUUAUAUGGUUUUAAAUAGUCACCUUAACAAUGUUACAAGUGAGUUGAUUAAUUUAUGGUAGAGAAGAAUUACAAUAGAAUUCAAUUAGUUAUCGCAUUUGAAGUCUUUGAUUAUUUGUUGAAUAAUAUUUGCAGCCAAUUAGCUAGGGUUGGCUAACCCAAGCCAAACCUAGUUACCAAUAUGUCCAACCUAUGCUAAACUCGAUUCAAAGUAAGGUUGGUAGUUACUAAACUCAUUAACAACUAAAGUUUCUAUGGAUUCCCACGAGUUUUCAUGGAUUAUCAAAUAAACCACAUAUAAUGGAAUCUCCUAAUAUAUAAAAGACAUAUUUCAAAUUAUAAAUUAAACCAUAUUAUAAAAUAAAAUUUUAAAAGCUAAGUAUAUAUCAAAGUCAUAAAUUAUAUUACUAUUCACUAAUUUUAAUGGUAACAUGAAACACAAGUGUGAAUAUUUAAAAAUAUUUUAGUAAUUAAACAAAAAUGAUAGACUUAUAGUGUAAUGUAAUAAAACUAGCAAAAGUUAUAGUUAUUUCAUUAUCCCUUUUAUAAAUUUCAUAUUUUAAAUAAACUAAUAAAUAAUAUAAUAGUAAUGAAUUUGCUUAGUCUUCAUCAUGUAGAACCAAUUUGAAGAAUUUUUUUUUAACAGGACUGAUUAAUGACUUAAUUAAGGGUAGGUUACAGCUAAAAUAUUUAGUAGGACUGAUUAGUGACUUAAUUAAGGGUAAACUACAGCUAAAAUUUUCCUAGUAGUCUUCCACUAUGGCAAAUUGUGGGAACUAGUAGUGGCCUGUCCAACCUAUAGAGGAAACAAAUAGGUGAGUGAGUUAUUGAAUAUGUGGCUGAGAGUGACCAACCAUUGAGGCUCACAUGAAGUUGUAGUGGCUGAAAGGAAGGGAUAAGAGACCAAAAACAUGCUCAGAGAGAUUCUUGUUAGGAUCAAAUUGGGGGCAUAGAUAUAUCUCUUUGGUAAGAGUUCCCAUAAUUUAGGUAUUAAUGAAAUAGGUAUAAAAUAAUUAUAUAUCUUGAUAUGAUCAUGUUGUUAAUGAUGAUCUAAUGAGUUGAAAUAUUAUGUUUUCAACUGUGUAUAUCUAAUAAAUACAUCAAGUGCUUAAACUUUAAUAUAGAAAUGGUCCACAAUGGCUUGUAUGACUCAUCGUCUUAUAAACAUAUUAUUUAGAUUAGGCUAAAGUGGUCAAAGUAAGAAGAAAAAUUGAUACUUGAUUUGAAGUAUGAAGAAUUCUUCUUAGACUUUGUGUGUAGUGUUGUUAGCUUAUUGUUGUGUUAAAGUCUAUUUUGAUGUAUUUUGGAAAGAAUGACCAACUAGAACCACAAUAAGAUGUUGCAAAACUUAUUUAAACAAGGGCUUGUGAGCAAGAUUUUUUUUUUUCCCUUUCAUGUACAAAUAGUAUGAUGAAUGAAAAUUUGAUUCUCGAUUGUAAUUAGUGUUUUCUUUAAGUUUUAAAUCAUGCAAUGAAUACUUAAAAUUAGCUUACGAUGUCAAAGAAUGUAAGUAAACAAGGUUUUACAUGUUGGAUAUAUAAUAAAUUCAAAACCUUUACCUUCCACAUUGAAUGAUUACAUUUUUUCUUUAAGUGCCCUUUAAUCAUUCUCAUUUUGUUUAAUCAUUUUCUAUAAUGUCUCGAGCAUAGUAGAUUUCUAUAAAUUUACAUGAGCAUUCCUUAACUCUUCUUGAGUGAUCCUAAACUUAGCAUUGAAACAAUCAUAAUUUAGGCGAAGAUGCUUAUACGUCUUCAUAAUCAUCCUUGGUUGCUAGCCAUUUUUCCUUAAUUACUUUAGGAUGUUUAGUGAAGAUGAUUACAAAUAUUAACUAGUUCACUCAAACAUUUUUGUAUGAGUGUAGAACAAUUUUGCAUUCUUUCCACAUCACUUAUGCAUCUUCGUUCCAAGAAAUAAGAUAUAGAACUCUUAUGUUUUGCCUACACCACUUGGUUCUCCAACCCAUUGUGCUUAUGCAUCCUUUUUAUAUCACAUAUGCGACUUGCUUCUCAUUAAGAUAUUUCACUUACAUGUUCUUGUAUAUGCAUAAUUUAGGAAAAAAUAUUUAAAAAUAGAAAAAUAGAUUUUAAUACAUAUAUUUGGAACAAUUAAACUCAAACUAUGCAAGUGACCUUGUCUACUAUGUAGGUGACUUUGUUUACUACAUAGGCAAAGUAUAUGACAGUGAUAGUCAAGGAAGCUAUGUGGUUGCAUGGUUUAGUGGAGAAUUUAAGAGUAAAGCAAGAUCACAUUGUGAUUUAUUAUGAUAAUGGGAGUGCCCUAAAUUUAUUUAAGAAUAAAAUUCAUCACUCAUUGGUAAGGCAUAUUGAUGUCUAAUUUCAUUUUAUUUAAGAGAUUCUAGAAGAAAGUCAUACCUUAUUUUAGAAAAUUACUGAUGUUAAUGAGGUAGGUCAUAUUUAAAUGUGAUCCAUGUUGAAAGGAUCAAUGUACCUUUAGGUGUGUAGUAGCAAAAUCUUUAAAGAUUGUUUGGUUAGCUUCAUUUAAAUUACUUAGUUAAAUAUUACAUAGUCAAUUAUAUGUUUGACUUUUUGAACUAGAACAUUUAGAUUUUGGUUGUUGUAGUUGUUAUAAUUACUAUUUAGGUUUUUAAAAAGGUAUAAAUUUAUAAUUUUAGUUGGUUUUAUUAGUUUCAUUUAAAAUUCCCAAGAAACUUCAGUGAAGGAAAACAGAGCAAGAGAGUUUUUGAGAAUUGCUUAUAAUUCUUGUAUAUUAUUUUGAUAUCUUUAGUGCAUUCAUCUUAUCAUUACCAUAGAUGAAGGCAUAUUGUCAAACCAUAUAAAUUGUUUAUCUCUUUGUCUAUAUUGAGCUGCCAAGAUCAGUUCCUUGUAAUCCAAUGGCUUAUUUUGAUUCCACGAUGCUACAAUGUAUUGAAUUAAGCAUAGGGAUUAACAAUUCCAAUCAUAAACAAUAAGAGAUCCUCCCCAACAGCAUAAAAAACUUGAGAGACCCGAGGCUCGCAUCUCAGAAUAUGCUCUUGAACUAACACUAAAGAUGCCUAGAUUCACCACCACCCUUUCCACCCCAAUGUUGUUAGAAGUAGAAUCUAAUCAAAUGAAGAGUUCCUGAUAGUUGCGAGUUCUUAUGAUUUUUUUCCAUCAUUUUCUGACUUUUUUUUCAUCCAUUACGUACGUCCUUCUGAGUGGAGUUCUCCUUUCAUGGUAUCAGAAAAUCAUACUCAAUGAAUUCGUUAUAACCAGACCAUAACCAGAACCUCCAUGGCGUGUUUUUCCUGUGUUUUUUCUGAAAAUAUAGCUACAUUUAUACAUAUUUUUAAGAAUAUUAAAGGCAUUAUCAAAGGAAGAAACCGAGAAAACUGAUUGUAUAGAAAUCUAUAAUUGUGCUUACUUUCAGUCCUAGUCACAAAGUUUCAACCAGAUAAAUCAUGUCGAGAGAUGCCCAGCAAGUGGUGGUGGUCCAGGAUGCAUCCAGAGAUGUUAGUUCAAGAGCAAUCCUUAGGAUUCUCCAUGACUUAACACUUAAGCCUGGAGAUGACCUUACACUCCUCGGAGUUCUUCACCAGGUUAAUAAUCCUUGUACGCUUUCUUUCAUGGGAGGUAGGAAAAUACGUAAAAAUUCAUGCCUUUUUUUUCUUUUGAGUACAGAAGAAAAAUCCAAGAAGAAAGAAAUAUUAAACAUAGCACCAGGAAAAUGAUAUAUACCAAAAGGGAAAUUGUGCAGGUUUAUAGAUUGAUGAAUGAUGUGUCAGAUUUCCCAAUACAACUAUUUUAUUCUAAGGUAUACUUUGAUAAUAGAGACAACUAUUUUAUGAUCAAAUGAAAAAAUGAGGUAUAACAAUUAACCCAAGACAAAUCCUUAAGUGAUACUUUAGUUUUUUAUGAAAUAAAUGUUCUUUUUAUAUUAGUAUAAAAGAUUAUUUUUUCUUAGUUUCAUUUAGGGAAAAUUUUGAUUUUUUAAAGUUUUAAAGUUGGUUAAUGUAAAAUUUGUUUUUUAUCUUUUAGAUUUUCUUUUCCAUAUUUACAAAAAUAGAUAAUUAAAUAAACUUAGAUAAAAAUAGAAUUUUCAUGUUCACUUGUUUGCCUUAUGAAUUUAUUUUACUAUUAAAAUAGGUGCUUCUUAUUAUUUAAUUUUAAAAGUGAAGAUGCAUGUUUUAAUAAAUUCUAAGAGAGGACAAUGUUUAAAAUAAAAAAUUGAAAUAUCGUGGAAAUUAAUAUUUUAUUUUAAAUACAGACAAUUUCCAUGUAAUUUUGUUUGUAUAUUAUCACUACAAAUCAACGAUGACUCCAAAUAGCCAUUGGCCUUAAGAGAUGUCAAGCUCACAACAAAAAUAAUGUUCUAAGUUCUCUAAAAAUAUUUUAAUUAAACACAAAGGUAGUCCAUCAUCUAAUCAACAUUUGCAUAUACAAAACCAUUUUAGCAAAAGUUACAUCAUCCGUUAGUAUAAGCAAACAUGAAUAAGUAUUUCCUAAUUAAGAAAAAUAUUAAUUCAAAUAUUUUAAAUUGGCCAACAAAUUAGGAUAUUGAAAUAAUGGUCUCUAUAUCAAAUGAGUUAUAAGAAAAGGUAACAUUAUCUUUCAUCUAAAUUUCUAUGCUUUCACAAUCUUCAAAAUUAAUAAAACAAUAAGUUAUCUUUCAUUUGAUGCCAUUGGCUAUAUUGUAUUUUCUCGUGACAAAGUGAUGAUUAUCUUUUUUUUUUUUUUAUGCACUUGAUUGAUUUGGUUUCCACCAAUGUGACUUUAGUGAUUUAUCCUUCGCCGGUUGUUAGGAUAAUGGUAGUGGUUAAUAUGAUGUCGUCAAUAGAAUAACUACCUACUCUAGGUAGUAUGUUGGAUAUGAUGUUAUAAACCUACUUAUAGAUUAAUAUAGUUCAACAAAUACUAAUUUGAGAGAGAGAGAGAUAGGUCUAUGGUGAGUUGUAGUGAAAGGGAAGGAUUAAGGCUAGGGUUUGUGUGGGUAUGAAAAAGAUAAAAACAUUUUUAUUUUCAUAUCCAUUUUUGGAUUUUAAAAAAUAAAAAUAAAUAGGUGGAUAUAGAAAGAGUUCAAGUGGUUCGUUUGCAAUUUCCCUUCAUAAAACAUCACAGUUGUCAAUGAGAUCUAUGCACUAAGUAAUUUUAACAACCUUUGUUUGUGAAUUGCUUGUUACUGCAUUAAGUUUUGGUAUUCUCCUCCAUGUAGGUGAAACAUAUCAUGUUUAUGUAGAAUCAUUAAUAUAGUGUUUAACAGCUUCCAUGAAAAAGAAAGCGUGAGAGCUUGGGGAUAUACUUCCCAACUUAGAGGACAUCUCAAUAGCAAUGAAUAGAUUUUCAUAUAAAUGGUUAAAUAGUAUAUAAAAUAAUCGAAGAUGUCUUGUUUUAGUUUACCUCCUAGGUAGAUAGCCUAGUUACUUCAAGUAGUUUUGGCAACACCAUUUACUAUCAUCUUCAACGAGUAUAUAUCCUUCAAGGCAAGGCCUCACUUUCUUAGCUCAACAAAAAGUUUAUUAUGAUAAGUUAUCUUGAUAACUAAUGACUAAUCUUGGUGUAUAUAUAUAUAGUUAAGAGGGAUGUGAAUCAAUGAGAAAUAGUUUCCACUUUGUGCUAAUGAUAGGUUUGAGUCAAGGUUCAAAUUUUCAUCCAUGGAAGUAUGAAUGUUGAUCAAUAUGAAAUUCUGGUCCAUCUUGUGAUAACAAAUAGUUUAUCAUAUGUAACUCAAAAUUAUUCUUUCUAUACAUUCAUCUUGUGCACCCACCUUUCUGUUUCUUUAUUGUACGUAUCACUUUCUCUUAUUCCAUAAGGAGAAGCCACUAGACUUGAGAAAUCAAUUAGAGAAUGAUACAAUUCCAACAAGAUCGAGUAUGAAACAUUUCUUAUCAAUCUUUUCAUAGUGACUCAUAGCUUGUAGUAAAUUAAUGGGCUAUUUGUUUUUUAACUUGAGUUUUGAAGCAAGUUGUUUUAAGAUUUAAGAUAAAAGUAAAAAAGAAAUUUACUUUUUCUAUUAACACAAAAUUAUCUUAGAAAAUAUGAUACGUUAAAAAAUAACCAUUUUAAAAAUGACAAAUCUUAUAGAAAAAAAUAAUAUAAAAAAAUAACACUUAACACUAUUAAAUAGUAUUUAGUUUUGAGUUAUAUUAAGGUAUAUAUAUAUAUAGACACACACCACCUAAGGUGAUGUUUUACUUGUUUGUUUGUUUUUUCUAAAAUCUAAAUAGAUUUGAAUUUGGAUUGAAUUUAAAUAGAGCAAAAUGUCAUAAGUGUUUAGACUCUUUGUGCUUUAUUGUAUUUGAAAUAUGUUAAGUGUUAAAUUGUUUAUUUUUACUUAUGUCAAAAUACUAUAAGUAUUAAAUUUAUUUAUUUCACUUGUUAAAAAUGUCUACAAAAUUAAUUAUAGUAUUUGUUAUUAUUUUAGUUUUAAAAAUUUACAAUUUUUAAAAUAUAUAGUAAUUUAAAUAUUUCCAAAAUAUCAAAAUUAUUACGAUAAUAAACAUUUUAUAAUAAUUAAUAUUGUAAUUAUUUAAGCAUAAUUGGAUAAUAACAAGGAUUUCCUAUUAUGCUUGGUUACUAAAAAAAUAUUUUAAAAAAUUUCUAAUUUGACACUUAUUUCUAUAUGGUGUGUCUUCAUAUUUAAAUUUAAAUAUUUUCCAAAAUAUCAAAAUUUAUUACUAUAAUAAAAAUUUUACAAUAACUAAUAUUGUAAUUAGUUAAGAAUAAUUAUAUAAUAAUGAGACUUUCUAAUUAUGCUUGAUUACUAAGAAAAUAUUAAACAAAACUUCUAAGUUAACAAUUAUUUCUAUCUGGUGUAUCUUUGGAUUUAUGGAUUUGUAAUUGAAAAAUGUGUUUUAUUAUUGAGAUUAAUUCAUUAAUUUUUAUAUUUUAGAUUUUCAACAUUAAAUCCUAACAUUUUAUUUUUCAAAAUUAAUUAUUAUUGCUUAUUCUAAUAAUGUGGACCCCGCAUUUCGGCUCAUGCACUUCCACUCGAUGGCGAGCUCGAUUUUUAUUUGAAAAACGAUUUUAUUUAUUAGAAAAUGACUUGGAGUCACCACUUAUUUUUGUUUUAUUUUUAAAGGGUAAACAAAAUACGAAAGAAAACCCUAAGUGUGACUCCUUAUUUUGGAAAAGAUAAUCCACGAAAAACCGGAUCGGGCUCGGGGGUCAGGUUACUUAUCGGGAAGGUAUGGUAAAGACCGUAGCACCCCUCUAAGUCCCUAAAGUCGGGUCUCUACUAAUAAAAUGAAGCUAACGUGGCAAUUGAUGAGGGAAUCAAUGAAUACUUAGUGUAAUCAUGCACAAGUGAGAAUUAAAACAUACAUAUAGAAAGACCAGAAUGGGAGUAGAUGCGUACCUGGGUGAUGAGCCACAAUGCGCUAUCAAGAAAUGGGAUUAGUGCAUAGUAAUGAACAUAAAAUGUGUCAAUCUUAUCACCAAACAAGAGAAAGAACCACCAAUAGCACGCAUGACAUUUCGUUCAAAUUCAUUUUUAUUUUAAAGAAAAUUUAUUUGAUGUUGGGCCCCCACCAUAGCCCAUCUACUUUUGAGUGAAUCGAUUUCGUAAAUUCCAUCAUCAAGAAUUACGAAAAAUAAAUUCACACUUAUUUUGAAACAUUUUGAAAAUCAUGGAAAAUUCAAAAGUGGCUCGCCGGAAAGGAAAUGGUGGCCAAAUUUCAUUGAAAAUGGGAUUUUUAGGUCCUAAAAAUAAACUAAGGAUGAAAACUUAAAAAAAAUGUCAAAAUUAUUUGAAGAAUUUAAAAUUUGAGAAACCAUUUGAAAACUGGAAUAUGAUGGAUUAUUUUAAAAUCAAGGAUGAUGAAAUGAAAAGAGGUGGUACGUGGUCACCAAGACUACAUGUCAAAAGUGACCAUGCAACUCAUGCAAGAGUAGGUCUACGGGUAAGAGUACUGGAAUUGGGUAUAAGAUAACCAAUAGGAAUGGGGUAAAUUAAGAGACCCCAGCGGCAAGCAACUUCAUGAGGCCUUCCUUUGUUGAUGUGUACCAGAACCAACCUUCUUUUUGCCUUUUACAAACUUCUGUAAAGAUCCACCUCUACAAUUCUGAGCUUUUAUGCAUGAUUCAAAGAUAGCAUGAUGUUGUGCUUGGAUGUUCUCUUGGCUAUUACUGCCUUUUCUCCUUGUUGACCGAGAAUUAGUACCAUCAGGCAUCAAGUUAUGCAUUUCUUCCCUCAUCCAAACAAACAAGUUUUCUCUUGCAACUUUAAGAUCCUCUAAUAAGGACUCCAUGAAGAUUUUAAAAUCAUCCAAUGUUGCAGGAUCACAUGCAUUGCUCUUACUCUUCUUCUUAUUAACUUUCUUGAAAGAAUCCCUCUUCGUCUCUUUACUAUAUAAAUUAUUCCUCUUGCUUGAUCCAAUCUGCAUUUUGUUAGCUUUCCCAAUUUUGAAUUGAUCCCCUGAACUACGAUCAGACUUACCUUCUUGUUGAGAUCUAGGAGUACCACUGGUUUCAUCAUUUUCAGGCGAAAUAAGAGAGGAAACCAGUUUGUGCUUCUUGAGAACUGGCUCACCACUGGAACUCGAUUUGGAAUUAUCACUUGAAGAAUCAACGUCACUGUCUCUCCUCCUGAACUCCCACCUCUGCUGAAAUUUCAGGUCUUCACUCAUGUUAGUACUUGGGGAUAUAAUCACAACUGUAUAACUAUGUGCUCAAUCCUCGGGAGAGUCCGACCAUAAACGACUAGACCCACUUAUCAUCAAAGUUUCAACUGCUUGUUUGGAGAAUGAAAUCAGUUUGAUGGAAGGAUUUCCACUGCAACUGCACCUUGAACUCGUUUGAAAGAUUGUACCAGUGAUUCUAGCAGCACCCCUCCUCACAAAUCAAAUUUUGUGAAGAGACACCAUGAUUAAACCGCUCCAUCAUUCUCUUUCAUACACCCAGCACAAGAGCAUCCUCUGUGGAUGAAGCCCAACCAUUGCUCUGCAUCCACUUGGAACAAUCUUCUUAGCCCCAGAUGGGAGCUUGAUCCUGCUGGUGCCAUUAUCAGGGUUGUGGCUGACGACAAUAGCUCACUUGCCGGAUGCCCUGGCGAAGACACCUCGAUCACCAACGUGAUCUUCAACGUUACAGACCUCGGCACCUUCGGGAGUAGAGCGCAGGGGCAGAACGUUAUCGGCAAUGAGGGUGGCUUUCUUACUGCAGCAAACGAACUGGCCCGUGUAUAUGCUCUCAGCCACCACGAUAGGUUCAUCAUGACUGCAACUCCUACUAAACCAUAUCCCUGUCUCAGCAUCAAUAACCAGCUAGGUACUGCAUGUAUCACCAACACCACUAUCGAGGUCCAGGCUAUCACAAGUUCUGUUGCUAGGCAGAGCAGCAGGAAGUUGGUUAUCAAAGACAUGGUAAAUUUUAUCACCACCUAGGCGCACGCCAUCGAGAUGCUCUUUGUAUGUCUGAUCGAAGACACAAGAAAUUUCCAUGAUCAUGUAUAACUUUCUUCCAUUCUUCUUCAGUUGCACCAGUACCAAAUCCAUAUCAGCCAAGGACCCUUCACGCACAAGUAGCCACAGAUCUGUCAGAGAUGCACUUGAUACAAUUUUGCGAGCAACUGUAUGAUGAUUCUGCUUUUGGCCUGGAGGUGGAACUAAACCUUCCACUAAUCUAUAUUUUUCUCAAUAAUAUAUAUCCUCUAACCUUGACAAAAUAAUAACUUAAAUCCCAGUGUUGACUCCUUGCUUCUCGCCACUUAAGCUAACAAUGAUUAUGCCUUGUCACCAGAUGACUUCAAGAGCUAGGUUGUCCAAAAUCCUGUUAAGAAAUUAGUCCACACCAACUGAUAACAAGCUGAUGUGGCCCUCGAAGACAUUGAUUGAACCUAGUCCAUGUUGUAGUCACUUUUUGAAUUUCAUGAUCAAGAAAAUGAAGAGGAAGCCAUUUAGAUGCAUGGUUGAAAAUGGUCAACUGUUAUGCCCCCAUCAUCAUCACCUCUAGUAUUAUGAACACAAACCAGUUGCAACCGCCAUUCACAGACUCCCAUCACAGUUCAUGGGCCUGAAAUGAAUCUCCAACUAAUGGUGUAAGCAACAAGCUGAAUGUUGUUAAAAAUAUGAGAAAUGGGUGGAGAGUUGUGCGUUAAGAAGCAGAGAAUGGAAUAAGGGAAUAUACCCCUUCCCUCAAAGGCACAGAGAUGGAAUCAAGUAAUUGAAGCCGAAGGAAAGCCUUUCGGGUAGCCAAGAAAGCUUGAUUUACAUAUUCUGCAUUACUUUCAGCAACAUUGGCAAUCACAUCCCUGUCUGAGAGGCCAACUGGUUGUCCUUUGUGGUGAGUUCAGUGUCAUUUUAAACUUCUCCAUUGUAUCAAGGGAUAGCCAGCACAAGAAAGAAAUGAUACAAUGAAGCAGACAUGAGGCAUCUUUAGAAAUCCUCUGUGGAUGACAUUUUAAAGGCUCUGUGAUAUUCUGAAGCAUUGCUACUCAACUAUGACCUCCAUCCCUGAUAUAAAACACUAAACCAACCUCAAUCUACUUAACAUGCAUCUCGGGUACUCCAUAGAGAUUAAGCAUCUGUAAUCAUAGCUUCCGCUCCUUGAAUUUGCGUUCUCAGAUGGAGAUGCACCAAUCAAAGCAAACCACAGACAAACACCAAAAACAGAGACGUAUAGAGAAGAAAAUUGAUAAAACAAAACAGGGAUAGGUGAAAUGAGAGUUUGUUAAGCAAAACCUGGUCCCAUAAAUUAUCAACAGGCUUACCAGUUAGUGGGAGGGGAAAUGGGUUUAAGGAGAAAUGAUAGGAGAGAUACAUUCAGACAUCACGCAAUAAAACUGGACAAGAUUCAUACUAUUUCUCUCAACUAAAACCCAUAAACAAUAGAUGGAUAUAUAGUCAUAGCAAAUCCAGUGGAUGCUCAGAGAUCAACAAAAGUAGCCAUAUGAUAUCCACACACAAAUAGCUAAAUAACACCCACUAAUGAACAAAAGAGAAUGAAUAGCAAGAGAAAAAAAUAGAGAUGGAUAAGAAACAUACCUGGAAAUACCCCUCUCCAGUAAAAUCAGCUGAACUGCUAGUCCAUUGCUCUCUCCCCCUUCCUCUGGUUCCCCUCAAGUUAAAACAAUACCCUUCUCAAAUAUCUCCGACCAAAAAACCUUCUCCAAAAACUUCCCUUUCUCCUCUGCCAACCCCCCUCCAAAAAGCAUCUCCCUCUUCUCUACAACUGGCAGAUACGCUCCUCCCAUAACAGAAACGUUCUUCUCUAAACGUCCCUUUGGGAUCUCUUAUCAAACCUCUAAUGACUCUCAAGACUAGGUCACCGAUAUGUAGUGGUAUGGGCUUGACCCGCUUUUUGAAAGCGCGGGCCAUCUUCCUCUAUUAUGCACGAACAUGGUCUGUUGCUCUCAAUCUCAUCUCAUAUAGGAGAUUGAGCUGAUCAAAUCGAGCCUGAGCCCAAUCCGCCUCGGGAAUCUGCUACUUUAGUGCUACUCUCAAUGAACUCAUCUCGAUCUCAACUGGUAGCACUGUCUCCAUACCGUAUACCAAUGAAUAAGGUGUGGCUCCUGUAGAGGUGCGAAAAGAAGUCCGAUAUGCCCACAAUGCGAAAGGGAGCUUCUCUGACCAAUCCCGAGAAGUCUCAACCAUCCUCCGCAAUAUCCUCUUAAUAUUCUUAUUCGCAGCCUCUACUGCCUCAUUCGUCUACGACCUAUACGCAAACGACCUAUGAUGUCGGAUGUCGUAUCUCUGUACUAAGGUAUCAACCUCUGCUCUGAAAUGUACCCCUCUAUCUGAAAUCAACUCAUGAGGGACUCCAUAGCGACAGAUAAUGUGUGAUCUGAUGAAACUAGCAACUCCAGCUGAUGUCAAUCUCUCAUAUGAGGCGGCCUCCACCCACUUGGUGAAGUAAUCGAUGGCGACCAGGAUGAACUCAUGACCACUGGAAGAUUUCGGUGAAAUCUUUUCGAUGAUGUUAAUACCCCAUAUAGAAAAUGGCCAUGGUGAAGUCAAUGCGUGCAACUCAGAGGACGGCACGUGAAUGAGAUCUCCAUGUAUUUGACUCUUGGGACAUCUCUGAACAAACUGACAACAAUCUGUCUCCAUGGUCAACCAAAAAUAGCCAAUCCUCAUGAUUUUACGGGCCAACAUAUGCCCUCCCAUAUGUGGUCCGCAGACUCCCGCAUGAACCUCUCACAUCACUCUAUCGACAGAAGCGUAGUCCAAGCAUAAUAACAGCAUCCCAUCAGGUGAUCGUCUGUAUAGUGUCUUGCCACAAAUCACGAAUCAUGCAGCCAACUGUCUCAAUGUUCUCUUAUCCUUGGCCGUGGCGGCCUUAAGAUAUAUGCCAAGUCUCAAAAAGUGAUAUAUGUCAUGAUACCAUGGCAAACCAUCGUCUAUCUCCGUAUCAUCGAUCAGAAAACAAUAUGUAGGAGCAAAUCUGGACUUAAUCAGUAAAUGACGAAUAGUGGCAUCAGCAGGAAUGUCAAUCAUGGAAGUUAGAGUAGCUAAGGCAUCAGAAAACUAGUUAUGCGCUCUAAGCAGAUGUGUGUAUCUCAAAUCAUCAAAUCUCCCAACCAGUAGCUCCAAAUAUGGCGGUAAGGCCUAAGUUUCACAUCUCUAGUCUUCCACUCGCCCUGAAUCUGUCUCAAAACCAGAUUGAAGUCGCCAAACACCUCUAUCUAUCUAAUCCCGAGCUCAAGGGCCGUCUCUAAUCCCAAGAUACAGACCUCAUACUCAACAAUGUUGUUUGUGGCCGGAUGUCGAUCCAAGAAUGCCAAACAAAUAGAUCGGGGAAUGUGAUCACCAUGAGGGGAUAUCAACAAGACGCCUAUCCCGUAUCCAGAAUGGUUGGCUGCACCAUCAAAGUACAUGUGUCAACCUGAUAAACUAGUCACAACAGCGACAUCCUCGCCUGGGAAGUCAUCAUCAAUGGCUCUACCAUUGGAAACUAGUAAUGAGGCUAAGUGAUCUACAACAAUGCUCCCUCUUAUGGACUUCUGAGUGACAUAAUGGAUGUCAAACUCGGUCAGAAGUACCAGCCAUCUCAUGAGACGACCGAUCAAAGCGGGUCUGUCAAAAAAAUAUCUCAGAAGAUCUAGAUGGGAUAUCAAGUGCACUGAAUACUCGGUCAUGUAAUGUCUUAGUCGGUGAGUGGCCCAAACCAAUGCCAAACAGUAGCGCUCAAUCAUGACAUUCCUUGCCUCAUAGUCUAGCAUCCUCUUACUCAAAUAAUAAAUGGCUUAGUCAUUGCCUGAAUCAUCAAGCUGAGCUAACAUGCACCACAAUGCUACAUCUGAAAUUGACAGAUAUAGGAGUAAGGGACAACCUGGUGUAGGAGGCGCCAAGACUGGAGGUGACAACAAGUACUUUCUGAUCCUCUCAAAUGCACGCUGACACUGAUCAUCCCAAACAGUAGGUUGACUCUUCCUCAAGAGUCGGAAAAUGGGCUCAUAGAUGUCUGUCAAUCUGAUGAUGAAUCUACUGAUAUACUGAAGUCUACCCAAGAAGCCCCUGACCUCUCUCUCUGUCCUCGAUGCAGGCAUGUCAAGGAUGGCUCUGAUCUUAUCCGAGUCUACCUCUAUGCCUCUCUCUCUGACCAUAUACCCCAAGAGUUUCCCAGAAGUCACUCCGAAAGUGCACUUCUUGGGAUUCAGUCUCAAUUUGAACCGUCGGAUCCUCUCAAAGAACCUCUCUAGAGUUGCUAGGUGAUUUGGUCUGUCUUGGGAUUUCACUAUCAUGUUGUCUACAUAAACCUUGACAUCCCGAUGCAUCAUGUCAUGGAAGAGGGUGGUCGUCGUUCUCUAAUGGGUGGUUCCUGCAUUCUUCAAUCCGAAUGGCAUGACUCUAUAGCAAUAAGUACCCUACUCGGUAAUGAAGGACGUCUUCUCCAUGUCCUUUGGAGCCAUCAAGAUCUUAUUGUACCAAGAAAAUCCGUCCAUAAAGGACAACAUCGAAUGACCUGUCAUACUAUCAACCAACAUAUCGAUGUGUGGGAGAGGAAAAUCAUCCUUAGGACUGGCCUUGUUGAGAUCUCGGAAAUCAACACAAACUCUCACCUUGUCGUCCUUUUUGGGAACAAGGACUACAUUGGCCAGCCACUCCGGAUACUCGACCACUGACAAAAAUCCUACACUGAGUUGCUUCUGGAUCUCCUCCUUCACUUGCAAGCUCCAACGAGGGUGCAAUCAUCUCAACUUCUACUUAACCGGUCUAGCAUGGGGCAGAAGUGGCAAACGAUGUUGGACGAUAGAUGGAUCAAGGCCUGGCAUGUCCUCAUAGGACCAUGCGAAAACGUCCAAGUAUGCUCUGAGCAACUGGAUGAGGUUGUCCCUCUCAUCAUCAGAUAAAUCUGAUCUGAUCCUCAACUCCCUAGGCUGAUAUAUUGUGCCGAAAUCAACAAUCUCCAUGUCCUCUAUAGCAGGUGAAACUCUCUGAUCAAAGGGAUCCGAAUCGGAAAUAGAAGAUGAGUCAUCAUCUGAGUCGUGUUGUGCAAUCUCAUCAUCAAUAUCAAAAAUCUGUGAUGUGGGUGAAGAUGGUGCAGAUAAAACAAUAUCGUAAAAGAGAGGCAAAUUUUAAAAAAUGCUCAAAUCCAUAGAUGAAAAGUCAGAAACAUAGUCAUGAUGGGAGACAAAUCCCGAUAAAACAUCAAAUGAAAGAGGUGAGUCUACAAAGUCGAACAUUCCCUCAACUAGGCCAAUAGGGCCAUCAAGAAAAUCAUCAACAGCUAUAAUGUCCUCAGUAAUCUCCGAAGUAGGGGCAGUCUGGAUCUCCUCAGCGAUCUCAAUGAAAGACACCCCGAAGAGAUCAAAUGGUGAAGUGAGCUCAGGCUGGACUAUCUCCUCAAUCUGGCUCAAGCUCAAUGCAAGCAUCUCAUCGACGUACUCGUCACAUGGCAUAGCUCCGUCUACUAUGUCGCUAAUCUCAACAAAUGUCUUGUGAUCAUCGAUCUCAUCCAAUAAGCAAAGCGUCAUAAGGCUCGUGCGAUCUGGAGAGGCAGGAGCGAUCAACGCAGAAGUCGAAGGAUCAAGGGCUCCGUUACUCAAUUGUAACUGCUGGACGAGGCGCUGAAGCUCGGCCUCCUUGGUGGUGUUGAAUCCUCUGAUGAUCCCAUCAGAUGGUGCAUGUGACUCCGAUGCCCUCACAAAGUAAUCUGCCAGGCUCAUGGUGUAUGGGCGAACAGGAUAAUAAAAGAGCGUAUGAGUCAGUCGAGCCCUCACCCUCUCCUUGCUCAAUCGCGCCAUAUAACGAUAAUCGGCCUCAGUGGGGAUGAACCUGAGUCCGAAUGGUACGUCGUGAUCAGGGAUGGCUAUGAACUCACUAGGCCCAUGCUGACACUACCCUAACCCUAUGCCGGGAAAAUAAGGCAUACUCUGCAUCAUAUCGAGCACCACCGUGCUACUAUGCUGGUCAAAGGACAUGGCUACGAAAUCUCGGUAGAAAUCUUCUAUCUCCACGGUUUGUACCUCAUCAAAGGUGAAUCCAGUCAGAAAAAGAUCGUCAUCAGUGUGACUAAUCUCAAGCACAGGCUUGGCAAAAAUGAACAUAUCUCCCACAGACUGCACCACGACGACCUGGCCAUCGUGAAUAAACUUCACCUUUUGAUGAAGGGAAGAAUGAAUGGCCCCAGCUCUGUGGAUUCACGGUCGGCCCAGAAACAGGUUAAAGGAUGUAGGAAUCCUCAAAACCUGAAACACGGUGACAAAAGUGGCCAGAUCAAUUAGUAGUUCAAUCUCUAGUGUGCCCAUGACCUCCCUUCGAGUACUGUCAUACGCGCGAACGGUCUAAGUGGAGGGACAGAAAUCAGAUGGUGCAUAGCCGAGGGCAGUGAUGGUGGCCAGAGGACAAACGUUCAGGGUCGAGCCAUUGUCCAGAAGGACAGAUGGGACUCGACGGCCUGAACAACCAACAGAUAUAUAGAGUAGACGCGUGUGGUCUGAGCCCUCUGGUGGCAAGUCAUCAUCGGAGAAUACAAUGCAUGUGGCUCUACCGACCGUCAUCAUAUGAAUCAAUCCCUCAUGGGAGGUGGUAGUCUUAACUCUAAUCUGGCUCAGGGCUCAAAUCAGAGCAUCAUGGUGAGUGGUCAAGGAUGCCAACAAACUCCAGAUGGAAAUACGAGCCUGAGUGCUCUAUAGCUGCCUCAAAAUCUCGGCGUCCUCUACUCUGACCUCAUCGGGAACAGAUGUACCCUCAACUGGCUUAGCUGCUGCGCGAGGUGGCUAUCGCAACACUCUACCUCCUCAAAGAAUAUACUAAACAUCCAAAGUUUGAGAAUCAUCAACAUGCGGAGCUUGAACCUCCUCAACAUUCGAGAUCAAGAUGAAUGGCGUCUGGACGCUGUAAUAUGGAAAAAUCAAUGGCUCAACAGUGGUAGUCUGUACUAAUGCCACCUGGGGAACUAAUCCGAAUGAAAUGGGCAUCUGAGGCCCCAAAGUCGCUCCGUCCAUCUCAUAAAUCCCAUUUGACAUGAUAGGCUCUGGCUCAAUGUCAUCACAGCUCAACAUAUGGAUAUAGUCAUCAUGAUCAAAGAACUCCAGGAAAUGUAUGCUAUCGACCGGUGGGGGGACCACAUGUGUAGUGUGGGCAAGUAAUGGGUUUGUGGUUACACUCGGCUGACCCAAGUGCACCAAACCCUGGUCGAUCAGAUCCUGGAUGGCAUGCCUCAAAGUGGUGCAGCGAUCGGUCUCGUGUCCAGGCCCUUGAUGGUAUGCACAGUGCAAAUCCAUCCUGAAUUAAGGUGGAAUCGGCUGAGGUGGCAGCCUGGGAGUGAGAACGGUCAAUAACCCGGCCUCUGUAAGCUUCCGAAGAGCCUAGCUCAAUGGCAUGCUUAAUUGCGAGAACUACCUCUGUGUCCUCAAAGCAGAUGGAGCAAAAGUCUGCUGAGCUUUGGGUUGAGGAUAAGGCGUUGUGGGUCUCGCAGUGAAUUGAGCAGCAUAGCAUGGCUGUCCUAUGGCCGUGUAGGAAAUUGGGGGUCUCUCAAUGUCCUGGGUGGCAUAAUAAGGCAAAGCCAAAGUCUGUGGCAUGUAGACUGAUCAUAAGUCGGGUGAGGCGCUCGUGGCCUAUACUGCUGAGGUGGAUAUGAAGAAUGAGCCUCAGGAAGCUAUGGGAUCGGCUGAUGGCGCCUGGGAGGUCUCUAACUGGAAGAACUAAUGGCGCUCACGUCAACUGAUCUUUGUCCUCCAAAGGGCUUCUUCCCCUUAACAUCACUAGGGGAAGAAUCUGUCCACAAUCCUCUAGAGAUGUCGUCCUCGACAUCGUAUAAAGUCAAAACCAAUGAACCAAAAUCUGUGAAUGGUACCCUAACCACGUGUCUGGCGAUCCUGGGCUGUAAACUCCUCAAGACCAUCUAUAUCUGAUCUCUCUCUGAAGGUCUAUCAAUGAUCUCGACAAUCUUCCCACGCCAGCGGGAAAUGAAUGAAGAAACUAACUCAUCUAUUAUCUACCUCAGAGCCUCGAGCUUUCUCCUCGAUACAUCCACGACAGUGUUAAAUGAAAACUGUCGUAAGAACUCCUGGGCCAAGUCGUCCCAUGUUCGGCGUCGUGAGGACUUCAAGGAUGCAAACCAACGUUGGGCCGUCCCACUCAGAGAUAGUGGAAAUAAAGUGAUCAUCUGAGACUCAUCCAAUCCAUGAGCCCUCAUCACUGUGCUAUAGAGUCUGAGGUGGAUGCGUGGACAACUAAUGAUCGUAUAUCUCUUGAUGUCUGGCAUCCUAAACUUAGCCGGCAAACUGGCUAUCGGCAUACCCUCGAAAUCAUCCCAAACAAUUGAUCUAUCUGACACUCUCAUCUGCCUCAUACGCUGUUUAAGACAGUCCAUACGUGCAUGAGCAUCAUCAACGACAGUGGUCUGGACAACAGCGGGUGGAACAAUCUCAGAAUGUCCAUGUAAUAUAUAGGGUGAGGCCUGAGGCACUGAAGGAACGGGUGGUGGUGGUGGAUGUGGAUGUGAGUCAUACGACGUCUCAUCCUGAACUGUUGGUGGUCUACUUUGCUGACCACUGAUCUCCUGCCUGAGGCUAGCCAAAGCCUCCUGGAUAGAAGCCAUGGUAGCCGUAAACUGAUCCAUUGUAACAACCUGCUGAUCCAUACUCGGUCUCUCUGAAUACCGGACUAAUCUCCCCUCUACUCUGACCCAAGAAGGCGUAUCCAGACUGUGAACGAAGAUCCGAUCCUGAUCGAUUCUUCUCCUACUCCUCUCCUCAAGUCUCUCAAAACCAGCAUCCAAAAGCACCUCCUUCGACCUCUCCUAUCUUCACUCCCCUCAAAAGCACCAGAAGUCUCUCAAAAAUCUCUUUUGCCCCUUGCCAAAAAGCCCCCUCCUCUCCAAAAUAUCUCCCCACAAAACGCCCCCUACGCUUGCCAGAAUAUCCUCUCUCUCAUCCGAUCCUCCUAACAGACUGCGGCCUCUCUAGAAUGUUCUUUCCACGUGUUCAACUCUCAUUUGCUCCUCGAUUCCACUACCUAAUUCUCUGUCCACCAACCACGAGGUGAUACGUGGCUCCUUGAGAGCCUUCCACCUGGCAAAAUGAGUUGCAGAAAAUGCAUGAAAGUGAGGCCCCAAAAUGAGGGUCUACAAAUAGGUUUUUAGAUGAGUGUGAAUUGUGUUUUGGAAUUCUAACUAAAAAAAAUUCAUUAGAAUUGAUGAUAGUUUAUUUUAGUCUUGUUCUACUAUAAGAGGUUGAAUUAUAAAAAUUUGUAGUACAUACAUUUCUAAUAAAAAUGUUUAUGAUUUAAGUAUUGUUAAUUUUAUUAUUAAAUGAGGAAUCUACAAAAAUUUAUGAAAUUUAAUUUUGUUGAGAAUUUGAUGAAUUAUGAAGCAGAAACAGUAGCUAAAUGUGGUAGAAUUUUGAUUCAAGUUUUGGAAUUUAUGAAUUUAUUUAGAUUAAUUUGUUACCCAAAUUAAGUUACUUUUAUGUUGUUGGGCUUCUUUUAAUAAAAAAAAAAAAUCAUUAAAAUUUAUAUCUAAAUUUUAUCAAGAAUCAAGAGGAAAAAUGGACAAAAACAAAGCAUAUUUCAAUCAUUUCAUUUUUUUUUCUUGAUGACAACUUUGUUAAUUUAUAAUAUAUUCAUUUUUCUUCCAAAUUACACAAAAUUGAAAUAGUUUAAUUCUUUCUUCAGAUAAAAGUUAUCUAAAGUCAUAAAAAAAAAUGAAAUUGAUUUUAUUUUAUGUGAGGAAUUAGGUCUAAAUAUCAUAACACAGUUAGAGAUCAAAAAAAUAUAAAGAGAAAAAAAAUGACUUUUUCUAUUAAUAUAAAAGUUAAAAUUAAUUCAUUUUUUCCUUAAGUAUAUAUAUAUAUAUAUAUAUAUAUAUAUAUAUAUAUAUAUAUAUAUAUAUAUAUUUUAAAAAAAAAAGUAAUAAGCUGAAAAAUAAAUAGUUCUAAAAUGUAUUCAGUCUUGAAGCAACUUACUUUAACAUUUGAGUAAAAAAACUAAAUAAAAAAUAAAAAUAGAAAAAAUCAAGCCCUAAAGCAUUGGAUGAGCCAAUGAUCGGAUACUUGAUUUUAACUAAGCAGUUACUUGUCAAUAAUUGUGUUCAUGUUCAUCUCUGCCAAGUACCUUAAAAUGAAAAGGAACAAGUUCAUAUAAAAUCCAAUUUGUCUUUCUCACCCAACACAAUUGCAACCAUCCACCACCAAUUCAAUAUCUCGAAAAACCUUCAAUGUCUCUAAUAGAACCAAAAUCAUGUUAUAUUUGGGAACAUUAAAAUCUUGAUGUAAUGCAACAUUUCAAAAGAAUUUUUCACUUUGAUCUAUGCUCAUAUCAACAUUUCUCUUUGAUAUAGGCAUUUUUCAAAAGAAUUCACCUAUCUUUUCUUGCUAAAGCCUUAAAUUUCUCUCUUCUCUCCAUAACAAACCUUGAGCAUGCAACUUACUAAAUAGACAUUACAUAGGAUUCAAAAUUAAUUUUCAACAAUUCUCAAGUAUAGUGCCUAUUGCAUAAGCAAAUAUACUUUUAAAGAUAUUGUUGAUAGCCUUCUCUAUGCUAAUAGCACUUUUAAUGCUUGGGUUGAUCUUUAUGAUUGAUUCCACCAAAGCAAUGCCCCACGAAUCUUCCAAAUCGAGAAGCACAUAGUUGUUCUUGAGCAAAGAUCUAUGGAUGUCAACACAUACUACACUAAGCUCAAGGUCCUCUAGGAUGAGCUCAAAAAUUAUCAACCCAUUCUUGUCUAUCACUAUGGAGGCACAAAGUCUUGGUUAGACACCAACAAUAGGAGUACAUCAUGCAAUUUCUUAUGGGUUUGAUUGAGUCAAAUGCUUAAACUUGAACACAGAUCUUAAUGAUGUCUUUGCACUAGUUGUCCAAGAAGAAUGCCAAUGUACUAUUAAUCAAGGCUCUUUUUUUCCUAUCGAUUCUCUUAUGCCCAACAUUUCAAAUUCCUCUGCUUUUGUUACAACAACAAAUUUUUCUCGAAAUUCAACUUUAAAACCCAAGUGUGAGUGACCCUAAUAUUCCCACUGUGGCUUGCAAGAACAUAUUGUAAAUAAAUGCUAUCAUCCUGGCUAUAAGUCAAAAUCAAAGAAACCUGAAGUAAAAAAUUCAAGCCACCUAGGCCAAUGCAACUAUUAAUGAGACUAUUAACUCUGGUUCACCCCUUGGAUCUCUUACUUUAGCUCAGUGUCAUCAAUUGUUUGCAUUCUUGAGCUCUCAACUUCAUAACAACUUUCUUGUUAUGCUAGAAUCUCAAUAGCUAGAACCCUUUGUUUCCCAGUUCAAUGGUAUACUAUCUUUUUCUUCUGUCUCAUAAUUUUCCAAUUUCUUUUUCCACCUGGAUUUUGGACAUAGAAGUCGCACAUCAUGUUUGUUGUUCAUUAAGCACAUUUACACAAUCUACUCCAGCACAAAAUUCUUUUGUAACUUUGCCUAAUGGUCAAUCUGUUGUUAUUAAUCGUAUUGGUUAUGUGUUUUUGUCUCCUGAUCUCAUCCUUAAUAAUGUCAUGUUUGUUUCUAAUUUCCAUUUCAAUCUCCUCUUUAUCUGUUCGCUCACUCAAAGUUAUAAAUCUUCUAUUAAUUUUAUGGUUGAUUCUUGUACUAUUCAAGGCCAUACACGGACCAAAAUGAUUGGGAUGAGUAGAAGACAUGGUAGCCUAUACUUCUUAAAUAUAGUCAAUUUUCAUUCCACUACACCACAAAUUUUCAGUCCUUGUAAUAAUGUUUCGUUGUCUCAAAAUGAAAUUUGGUUUUACCAUUUAGGUCAUCCUUCUUAUGUAACAUUACAAACAUUCAAAAAUGAAAUAGAAGUUAAACCAAAUUCUGGUGAUUCAAGUCAUUGUUUAGUUUUCCAUUUAGUCAAAAGAUGCAAAUUACAUUUUAUUUCUCACAAUUAUUUGUCUGUUUUGCCUUUUCAACUCAUACAUUGUGAUGUUUAAGGUCUCCUUCACACAUUUACCAUUGAAGGUUAUAGAUAUUUUUUUUACUAUUGUUAAUGAUUGUACUCAUUUUAUUUGGGUGUAUCUUUUGCGUGCUGAGCCUGAUGUUACUGAAGUUAUUCCUAUUUUUUUUUCUCAUUGAUUCAAACUCAAUUUGGAACACAAAUAAAAUUUGUUCACUCAGAUAAUCCUCCUGAAUUGGCAUUUUUUGACUUCUUUCAUGCAAAAUGAGUCAUCUCAUUUCAUUCUUGUGUUGAUUAGCCUCAACAAAAUUCAAUAGCAGAAAGAAAGCAUCAACAUAUCUUAAAUGUUGUAUGGUCUUUAUGUUUCCAAUCACAUAUUCCAUUGGUUUAUUGGGGGGAUUGCAUUCUUAUUAUUGUACACUUAAGAAAUAAAACUGCAUUCCCACUUUUGUCCAAUAAAACAACCUUUGAACUUCUUUGGAAAAAGAAGCUUGCAUAUUCACAUCUUUGUAAUUUUGGUUGCCUAUGUUAUGCAUCUACUUUAGAUCGUCAUAGGACAAAUUUCUCACCUCAUGUCAUUCCUUUUGUCUUUCUUAGGUACCCAUCUGGUUAUAAAGAAUACAAAUUAUUGAAUCUAGUCACUAAUUCUGUGUUUAUCUCCCAUAAUGUGGUAUUUCAUGAGUCUAUAUUUUCUUUCAAAACUAUUCAAACUUAUUCUCCUCUUCCAAAUAUUUUCUCUGAUACUGUUUUACUAUUUCCUUCUUUUUCUUCCAUUCUUGAAUCUACAUCUUUGCCAAUAUCAACAAUUCCUACUGUUUUCAUACCUUCUACGUCUCAUUGUCAUCCUAAUCGUGUUCGUAGGCCUCCUUUUUAUCUAGCAUAUUACUACUGCUAUUCUUGUUCCCACAGCACAUCUUCUACCUCACAUCCUCUCACACAUGUCCUUGAUUACACAAAAUUGUCAAAUUCAUAAAAAUAAAAAAAUGAAUAAAAGUUUGUGUUAUUUCCUAUAAUUUUGAACCCACCACAUACUUCAAGGCUGCUACUAUUCUAGAUUGGCAAGAUGCAAUGUCUGCUGAGUUAGGAGCUCUUGAACAAAAUGACACUUGGUCUUUAACUACUUUGCCACAAGGAAAACAUGCUAUUAGGUGCAAAUGGGUGUACAAAAAUAAGUAUAGAGUUGAUGGAACUAUUGAACAAUACAAAGCUCACCUUGUAGCUAAAGGCUGCACACAACAAGAGGGCAUAGACUAUCUAGGUACCUUCUCUCAUGUUUUCAAAUUGGUUACUGUUAAGGUUUUGCUUGCUUUGGCUACCAUUAAUGGUUGGAGCCUUCCUUAGAUGGAUGUCAAUAAUGUGUUCUUACAUGGUGAUCUUUUUAAGGAAGUUUAUAUGACUCUCCUAGUUAUCACCUGAAGGAAAAUCAUUAUCCUCACACUCUGUUUACAAAAUUCAAAAGUCUUUAUAUGGCUUGAAACAAGCAUACGACAAUGGUUUUCCAAACUCUCCAAUUUCUUACUUGUUGAAGGUUUUUAAACAUUCUAAUGCAAAUCACUCUCUUUUUGUCAAAGUUGUCAGUACUCACUUCAUUGCUCUGUUAGUUUAUAUGGAUGACAUUGUCAUUGUUAGUAAUAGUGAUGAGCGAGUUGAGAAAUUAAAAGUUCUAUUUAGGAAAGCUUAAAUACUUCUAAGGCCUUGAGGUGGUGAGGUCUAAUAAGGAAAUUUCCCUUAGUUAGCACCAUUAUGCCUUACAAUUACUAUCAGAUAUAGGCUAUGUUGGUUGUAAAUCAAGGAAAACACUUAUAAAUCCAAAUGUGAAGCUCACACAAGACAAAGGUGAUCUAUUAAAAGAUCUUUUAUUUUACAGAAGAAUGAUAGGCAAAUUGCUUUAUCUAACCGUAGCAAAUCCAGAUUUAUCAUUUUCAGUACAUAAAUUCAAUCAAUUUCUUGCAAAGCCCAGAGUUCUUCAUAUGUGGGCAAUACAACAUGUGCUUCAGUACUUGAAAGCAUGGUUUGAAAUAUUGGUAAACACGGAUAUAUCGAUACUUGGAUUUUAUGAAUAUGUUGGAAAUAUUGGUAAAAUAUCGGUAAAUAUUGGUAAAAUAUCGGUGGAUAUUUUGGCAAAAAUAUUGGUGAAACAAAAAUUAUUCAAAAUUCAUGGAAAUGUUUGGAAAACUCUAAAAAAAAUGAUAAAAUAAGCAAGAAUACAUAUGUUAAAGUUAUUGUAAGUGGAAUUGACAUAAAUAUGGUCAAUGAGAAAAAUAUGGAGGGAUAUAUCAAACUUAAUAAUUUAUUAUUUAUCUUAUCAAAUUAAUUUUAAUUUAUAAAAUAUUAGAACUUCAUUAUUUUUUUUAUUUUAGUAAUGUUUUGAAUACAUUUAUAUUUUUAAUAUUUGUAAAAUAAAAACAUUCAAAAUUAAAUAAAAUUAAAAGGAUAAACAUAAAAAAAGUGAACUGAUAGCAAUUUUUAAAAAUAAGAUUAAUGAGAUAAAUGAUGAUACAUUUAAUAUUAAAACUAUAAUUUAUUUAAUUCAAAUACAUUCAACAAUGUAAAAUAAAUUAUGAUGCAUAUAUAAUUUUUUUGAUAUUUAUAUUUUUUUUAUAUAAUUGUCAUAUAAAUGAUAUAAAAAAUAAAAUAAAAUAAAAGACUUGUUAAGAAAAUUAUAAUGAUGGUUUUAUACUUUUAUUAAAUAAUUAAAUAAAAUUUUAAAUAAAAUAAUUAGAAUUAAUUUAUUUAUUCUUUUAAUGAUGAAUUUUACCAUAUUUAUUGUGAACAUAUAUUUACAAAUGUGGACUUGGCCCAAUAGUAGUCAGGCUUCACCCAAGCCUUUUGGCCUAGGUUUGAAUCCCCUUGGAUGCAAUAGAAAAAAAUUUGAAGGAAUUUACCCGAAUAUCGACAUCUUUUCGAUGAAGUUGAUUGACUUUCGGUGUACAAUAUCAUGUCGACUCUCCCUGAUAUUUUGACGAUCAACUUUUAGUGUGGAAUAUUGUGUUAGCUCUCCCUGAUAAGCAAAAUAUCGACAAUAUUUCAUCAAAAUUUUGCAACAUUUUAGUGUGGAAUAUCAUGUCGACUCUCCCCAAUAUUUCAACAAUCGACUUUCAGUGUGGAAUAUCGUGUUAGCUCUCCCUGAUAAGCAAAAUAUCGACAAUAUUUCGCCAAAAUUUUGCAACAUUUCAAACCAUGCUUGAAAGUUAUGCAGGACAAGGUUUUUUUUUUUUUUUUUUCAUUAAUAGAGUUGAAAAGGUUUGUUGAUUCAAAUUGGGCAACUUGUGUGGUCUGUUAAUGAGUUUUGCUUUUUUUUAUUUAUUUAUUGUUGAUUCCUUAAUUUCCCAGAAAUAAAAAAGGCAGCAUACAGUUUCAAGAUCUUUUGUUGAAGUUGAGGACAAAUUUAUGGCAAAUGCAACAUGUGAAUUGAUGUGGUUACUUUCUUUAUUUAGAGAUUUGCAUGUAUCUCGUCCUAAGCCUGCCUUGCUAUUUUGCAACAAUCAAGCAACUCUUUAUAUUGUAGCUAAUCCAAUUUUUCACAAGCACACUAAGCACAUUAAGAUCGAUUAUCACUUGGUUAGAAAGAAACUGCAAAAUGGAAGCUUGAAGACACUACAUAUUUCAUCUAAACAUCAAGUGAGAGACUUGUUGACCAAACCUUUUUCUUCACCUCAAUUUCUUUUUCUUCUUAGUAAAAUCGAAAUUCACAAUAUUCAUUCUCCAUUUUGAGGGGGAGUAUUAGAAUAUUUGGGUAUCUUGCAGUAUGGUUACAAGUUAAGUAAAGAAUUGUUAGUUUGUUAAAUAAUUGUUAGCUUUUUUUUUUUUUUUUUUUUUGCAACUAGAUGUGUCUAUUCAAUAACUUCAUAUGGUUAUAGUUAAUUAAAGAAUCCUUUACGUAUUAACUGUUAAAAUAAUUUGUUUCCAACUUUCCUAUUAAAUUUUCUUCUGCUCAAGAUUUCAAAAAUUAUAGUUCAAGAAAGCUCUUUCGAUUUCUAUGUUGCACUGUAUCUUCUUAUAUGUUAGUACAAAUCAUACUCCUCUUUUUACCUCUUCAAUGAAUCCUUUUAGGAGUAAGACCACCAAGUGAGCACCCUUAUAUUGAUCCACAAGCUUUUUAUUACAUAUUUUUUGUUUGUGCACACCACCUCAAAUUUAAGUGGCCCAUAAAUUUUAUACUUUGGAUACCUUACCAUCCAAUCAUAAGCAUAAACUAAAUUUGAAAGGAUAAGAUUAGUUUAUUUUAGAGAAAUUGAGCUCCAAGUCCCCUAGCCAAACAUGAAGUUUUGAAGCAUGAAAUUUUUGUGAUGGGACAUAAUUGCAAUCCUUAUUAAAUUGAUCAAUUGUGUUAUGCCAAGAAUGCAAAUUAUGCAUGGCAAAGUGGUUAGAAAGUGUACAAAUGCACCAUCUUUUUACUUGUUUGUUUACUCAAAUUUCUCGGUCAAUUUUUUUUUUUCAUUCUUAUCCCUCUUGAUUGAGGCAAACAUGUUUUGGCUAGUGCUCUCAAAUUCCUUAAAUAUAUUCUUUUCAAUAUUGUAAACAUUUGGCUUGGUCAUUGUUAUAGUUAUCAAUUGUGUCAACUUUUACUUUCUCUCAUCCCCAAUUACAUAUGCACUUUGUAGCUUUAAUUUUUUUUUAGUGAUUAAUCUUAGUUUUUAUCUAAUUGUUUGCCUUAUAGUCUUUGACAUAACUAUAAGUGUAACAUGUACCUCUCACAAACCAAAAGACAUCACUUGUCUUCUUUAAUUUAAACAUUUUUGCAUCUGUGUAAGAUCUGAAACUAGAAUUUCACAACAUCGCGUAGUCAUUUUCUCUAGUUGUUUCUCAAAGCUCUCUUCAAGAUUUAGUUCAUGUUCAAUUACCAACUUUGAGUUUUCACUUUUUUUUUUUCCCAUGAGUCAUGAGGAAAUGAAUUUCAACUGUGUUUCAUCUAUCCAUCUCUCUUAAAUUGUUUUAUUCGAUAGUUACCAAUUGUAGAAUUGUUUUUAUAUAUUCUUUUCAUAGAUAUUGUUAAUAAAUUAUGCUAAAUGAGUAGCUUCCUGAUGUGGUGAGAGCUAAUUUUGUUAUUGCUAGGAUAAUAUCUUUUUAACUUUCUUAACUUUUUCCGAAUUAUAAACCACUCAUGCUUUGACCAAUCUCCAUGUGUUUUUCAUUUGUUUGGAUUUAUGGGCUUUUGAUUCUAUUUGGUGAAUAGAUAAUAAGGAAUUAAGGAUCUGAGAUUGACAUUACUUUAAGGAUGUUUGAAGAUGACAUAGUGAAGCAUAGAAUAUUUUUUUGGGUUGUAUCUCCUCAUUUCCCAUACUUAUGGUGGACAUUGAUGAGUUGGAUUAUUUGAAUGAAAUGAGCUUUGGAAAAAUACUAGUAAUUACAUGAAUUGUUGCAAUAUAUUUGAGUGAAAAUAUUAUGUUAGUGUCUCUCCAUGUCACUAAUUCAAACCUGUUACUUUCCAUUGUAAGUGGUAGAAAUAUAUUUUUUAUUUUCUAGAAAACAUUACUCUAACUUGUGAAAAAGGUUCUUAUGCCUCCAUAUUAAAUGUUAUAUGAUGGAAAAAAAACUUGAAUCUCUCUGUUUCCUCAGUCUGGAUCAGGUUAGGAAUAUGCAUAACUAUCCUAGGCUUUUUCUAAAUUCUAUGCACAACAAAAAAAUUAAUUUUUUUUAUACUUUAUAAGGAUCUAGAAAGUGCUAACGAAAACUAUACCUCAAAUUCGGAUGCUCCCGAGUCUUCCGCUCGAUGACUCAAACCUUGAUCUUGGCACACUUCUAAUGGGGAGGAAAUGAGGGUGGAGGCUAUAGUUUUCUCUCUCUCUGGAUGGUGGACGAUAAAAGCUAUGGAACCCCUAACCUCUAGGGGGUAUUUAUAGGGUUCCUAAGUGGGCUUAAGUGACUUGAGCCCAUACAGGCUUGGGUCACUUAAUCUAACCCAAAAUGAGUUCUAACUGAUUAAUUAACCCAAUAAGGCUUACUAAUUAAUCAAUUAGCCCAAUCAAGAGACCUUGUUCACUUACCCCUAUACAACCUUGCGUAAUUAUCAAAAUGCCCUUAUGCACAGAAGUGAACUUAGAGUCAAUUCAACCCUCAUAACCCAUGCCAACAAGGUAUAUGAGUUCAAAGUGGGGACCAUUGGGACCCAUAGAAAUACUGACUCCCUCAAAAUCAAAUUCUAAAGUUGAUUCAAUAUCACACUAUAGAGAAUCAACUAAACUCCAAUAUCUUAUGUAAAUAACAACGAGACACUAAGUGAUCGGGUCUGUGACUUGCUAUCCAUUGUGUUCAGUCUCCCCAUGAACUAAUGUCCGUAGUUUAAUAAGGUGAAAGCUAUUAGUCUUUCAAGACUACCUCUACCUUCUAUUUUGUGUUCAAUUGACAUAUCUUAGCUCUCAAAGAGCCUAUGUCAAGUUCCAUUUAAUGAACUACAUGACCAUAGUUUCCAUGAACACACCUCCUUAAGAUCACCCAAGGGGACACACUAUCUCAAUCCUAAGAGAUAUCAUAGUGCCUCUAUUGAAAAUACCUAUUACUACCAGCUUCUAUCAACAAUGACCCAAUCCAUACGGAAUAUAUGAUCAGCUUACGAUUUCACCUGUAGGUCAAAGUCAUUGCCAACUUUAGCACAAGCUUAAUAUUCUCUCAAGGUUGAGAGACAACACAAUGAAACAGCUUGGUGAGGUCAUGACUCAAUAAUAGCCUUAAGUCAUGACUCACCAUAAGUCUUGUCCAAUGUGUAACCAUACAUACUAGUGCACUCACCAUGGGAAACCCAUCCUGAUAACCAAGACCAGUGAUCCCUCCAAUUAGGAGGUGGUGCACUACAACCUUUAAUGGGUUGCCUAGACCCAUGAACCAAUUGUAAACAAGUCAUCUAUUUGCAAGGAACCCAUGACUUAGAUCUUCUGUGCAACUCCUAAUGCACCUAAGUCACGUACAAUACAAAAAAUGCAGACAAGAAUGCUCAUAAAGUAUAAUAUAUGGAAUAAGAAUAGAUAAAAGUGAAACUGGAACAUCAUUAAAUAAAUAAUGAAUUCCAAAUUUAUUACAUCAUGUCAUGAUUUUAAGUGCUUUAUCCUAACAUUAUAUAUUUGAGAUAAACAUGAUAUAAUGAGAUUUAUGUUUCUUUGUUAUAAUAUUUCAAUAAGUAAUUGUGUUUUAAUUUUAAUAAACUAUGCAUGCAUGAAACAAUUCAAGUAUCAUUAGCAUCAUUGGUAUCAUUGUGAGACAAAAGUUUCUCUUAUUACAUACUAAAGAGAUUUAAGUUAUCAAAAAGUGAAAACGGUUUUAUCUAGGCUAGUUUCAAGUUGACAACUUUUAAAUUGUUUAUCAUGUGAUAAAGAACUUUUCCCUACAAAUGAUACUUGAAUUGUAUAAUUAGACAGUGUAGGAAAACAUAAUAUCUAUGAAGUUAACUGUUUAUUCUUAAUUCAAUUUUUAGAAAUUUUGGUAGUCUUUCCUCUUAUUCUCUGGGUGCAUAUUUGGAUAAAGUUGCAUAGUAUGCCUUGUCCAUUUUACAUACUUAGAGAACUAUAAGGAAAUUCUACUAAAACUUCUUUAAAAUGAAAUUGACCACAUUGGUCAUUGACACAUAGAGAUUAUGUAUUUCUAUAUGGGAUAGGAACUACUACCGAAUUUAGGAUGUUGGAGAUGUUAGAAUGCAUAAAACAUGCAUCAAAAUUUGACAUACUCAAAUGAUUUUCUUUAUUUAGUAAAUUAGUAUAGAUAAUGUUUGAUGCAAAGGUCAUGGACAAACCCAAUAUAAUAAUAUUAAUAUGCACUAGUUUUAUUGAGGUUAUACAUCCCUUUUAAUGCAAGUAUUCAUGGUCAACAACAUUUAUAACUUAUUAGUCACUACUACAAAUAAGAUAUACCAUGACCUUGUUUUUUCCUUGGCACUUUUAAAAAUGUUAAUAAUUAGCGUGAUAUUUCAAAAGUGUAGAUCUAUGUUCAUAGAUCAAAAUGGUUAGAACAAUGCUUACUUUUUUUCUUUUAAAUUUGGCAUCUUAAAGAAAUGUUGAACUACACUUUCUUGAUUAUUAUUUGAACAAAAAAAAAAGGUUGUUAAACGAAUAGCAUAGAAAAUGUUGCUAUUUUCUUCAAUUUGAAGUUUGAUCACUAUUGAAAGUUUGUUCUUAAAAAAUGGAUCAUUUGUGGAUUUCAAAGGAUAGAGGACUAAAGGAGUAUGGGGAUGGGGUAGAACAUUUUUAUCACAUUUGCAAUAUAAAAUUCUGCAUAUAAAAACUCCAUUAAAUGUCCAUGCUUGUAGAGUGGUAAUAUGAUAUUUCAUACUCCUCAAAGAUUUCCUCAAAGAUUUCCUCAAAAUAUUAGAGAGCAUAUGUUUUUCUAUAGAAUUAAUCAGAAUUACCAUAUAUGUUAUUGGCAUGGGGAAGCAACUCCAAGUGAACCACCAACUAGAAGGGUAGAACAUUAUAAUAUGGUUCAAUUUAAUGAUGUAGAUAGUACAAUAGAAAUGGUUGAAGUUGUACAAGUUGAAUGUCAAAAUGACCUAAAAUUGCUUGAAAGAUUACUUCAAAUUGUUGAAAAACCUUUUAUAUCCUAGUUGUAGAAAAUUCACACAAUUGUUUGCAUUGGUUAAAUUAUACAACUUGAAAACACACUAUGAGUGGUCUGAUAAAAGCUUUUCAGAGCUUUUAAAAAUGCUUAGAUAUAUGUUGCCUCUAAAUAAUGAGUUACCCUUGUCUAUGUAUGAGACAAAAAUGGCAUUGAAUACAUUAGGAAUGGAAUAAGAAAAAAUACACGCAUGCCCCAUGAUUGUAUACUUUACAGGAAUAAGUUGAAAGAUGCAUUUCAUGUCCUAUCUAUGGAACUUCAAGGUGAAAGGUAGAUAAUAUAGGAACUAAAAAAAUGACAGGAACUCCUGGGAAAGUAAUGUGGUAUUUUCCUCCAAUUCCAAGAUUUAGAAGAAGGUUUCAAUCAUAAAAAAUCGUAAAAGACCUCAUAUGGCAUACCUAAGGAAGAGAUUUAGAUGACAAAAUGUGUUAUCCAGCUGACUCUCUAUCAUAGCUAAUUGAUCAUAAAUGGCCCAACUUUGUUUCAAAACCUAGAAACUUGAGACUUCCCAUUUUAGCAGAUGGUAUAAAAUCCUCACAAUUCAUUGAUUAGCAAAUAUAGUUGUUUGUCCUAAAGAGCUCGAAGCAGCAACUAUGGACAAUGUUUUUUUUAUCAUAAAGAGUAAGUUAUGGGCAACACUAUGGCUGUAAAUAGAGGUAAAACCUUUAACUUGUUUUUAGUUUGAUUUUUCUUUUCUUUCAUAAUGGAAAUAGAAAAUCAUCUAAACAAAUAGGACCUUAAUAAUUUUUUUUUUCUACAAUUUAUUUUUGAAUAAAAUAAUUUAAAAGAUUCCAUUCUUAUAUUUGUUAGACUUUUUUUUAAUGAAGAAAAAAAUAGUCUCCCUUUUAGCAUAUAUAUUAUAUAUGAUUAACAAUGGGUAUAAUAAAAUUUAUUUAAUAAAUAAUUGAUGUGACAUUCUAAAUUGAAAGUCAUAAAUUAGCUCAUUAGUUUGAUGUUGGCCCUAAAACUACAAGACUUGAUUACAUACUUAGAUUUUAUUCUUGAAAUUUAAGAGAUAAUUGAUGUGACAUCUUGAAUUGAAAGUCAUAAAUUAGCUUAUUAGUUUUAUGUUGGCACUAAAACUACAAAACCCAAUUACAUAAAUUUUGUUCUUGAGAAAUGUCAUUAUGGUUCAUAGUAAGGCUUAGUUUGGUGUGUUAGACCAUGCAUGCAUGAUAUCUCUUCACAUUCUCUUGUUUUUUGACAAACAUGCUACCAUACUUAAGGUGUUUGUCAAGGCUCAUCUUGGACUACUCAAAACUUUGGGGUCCUUUCUUUGAGUUCACAAGCUUCUUUCCCCUAGUGUCAACCCCAACUCCCAAAAUCCACUCCUUAGUAGUGCACUGACGAAAUCUACAAAUGCACUAUAAAGUGAGAAUGGCAUCAUGAAAAUGUAUUAAUGCAUCGUAGAUGUGGGAACUUAAAAAUAUAUAUAUAUAUAUAUAUAUAUAUCUAGAGUUUAGACUUGUUUCUAUUAAUUAGAAAUUACUAAGCAAUGAAUCUUGCUAGUGUGGAAAGUACCAAUAGAUUGACCAAGGAAGGUAUAUGUAAAAAAGAUUGACAUUGUCAAUUGGAAAAAUUCCUUUACAAACGUCAACCCUAUCUUCCUAACCAUCAUGGAUGUUGAGAAGUAGAUAUCGAUGACUAUGAUGAGGAUCACAAAGGAUUAUCAUACCAAGGAGUUAGACAUUUGUUGGGUUAUCAACAAUUUUAAUGAGGGUGGUAUUAACUAUUUGGUUGUUGAUAGUGUAUUGCGUAGUUCCACCAAGCCAAUCUGCUCCUGCAUUGAGAUCAAUCUCGAUGAAAAGGUAGCAUAUAUUUUUCAUUUCCUAAUUCUAUCAAUUGCUUCAUGGUGCCUUUGUCUAAUAAGCUUAACAGGUUCUUCUACAUUUUCACCAUUUAAUUCUCUAACGUUCAUCAUGAUAGGGUUGAAAUUUCAUCAUCAAAUCAAAACAUAUCCUCCUAUAAGAGGCCUUUGAAUUCUGAAAUAAUCAAUUCACUUUAUUCUCAUAUUGGCAAAGACAAGCUUACACUAUUGGAAAGACUACCCCUAACCUUUGCCCUCCCAAAUAGCAAAGAUGAGAGAGAACCUUUCACAAAAUCACAAGAAUUAUUCAAGUUUGGAAUUCAUAGGCAUUGUUAUUGAAUUUCAUUUGUAUAAAAUUGGUGUGUUGUGUUUAUUUUGUUGGUAUUAAAAUUGAAUUUUUUUUAAUUGCAAAUUGAUGAUUUUUUUUCUCUCUCACAUUUAUACCCAUUAGAGUUUCUUAUUAGGGUUUGUGUUUGAAAUUUGGAGAAAGUAUGGUGCAAUUGUUCAUCGGUGUGGUGUACCAUUUUGUUUGUUGUAUCUAAUAUUUGGGUAUUUGAUUUAAUUUUAUUGUUGUUGAAAUUGAAAGUUGAAAUCCAAGUUAAUUGUUUAACUAGCUAUUUGUAGUUGACUUGUUUUGCACCAAUCUUGAUUACCCAUUUCAUGGGAAUAAUCGAUUCCAAUUUUCCUUCAUGGUUACUAAAAAUAUAUUGUAGGUGAAGGACUAUUAUGGAGUAUAUUAAUUCACAAGAAAAAUGUUCCUUUAGUUAGUAAAAACUUCAUUCAUGUGGUCAUUUAUGAGCAUCAUAAUAAUCCAUAUUAAAAAUAUUUAAAAACAUUAAUGCACUAAAACAUUGAUUUCAUCAACAAAAAUACACUCAUUCUUUUGACUUAUAGCAUUCAAAGAUGUUUAAAAAUAUAUAUGUACAAUAAAACAUCAUCGAAUUUAUUAACAAUUAAACUUUUAACCCCAAAACAAUCCGUUACUUUAGUAGAUAAGACACUAUUGGAAUAACAUUAUUUUUAGCUCAAGUUAGAAGUUAAAAUGAUAAGGUUAAAAGAACAAAACCAACAAAAAAAAAAAGUUAUUUUUUGUCAAACUUGACACUAGUACAAUUUAAAUAAUGUAGCUCAAUGCCCUAUUGAAUUGAGUCAUAUAACUAGACUCCCUAAUUAUAUAUUAUGAUACACACACAACCUUUGGUCUAGUAUACAUGAUUAAAUUAAAUGCCAACCUAGUUUGCAAAGCUAAACUGGAAUCCCAAAUCUAGUUCAUUAUAAAUACUCUUCAACCAACUUGCUACAACAUUCAAAUAAGACAAUGACAAUGAUAGAAAACCAAAAAAAUACCUAAUAUAUCAUUGAAAACUCCUUCCUAAAGGAGGUAAAAAAAAUCAUGAAGUAACUUUCUUCUAUUAAUAAAAAUGGGAAUACAAUGAUCUAUAUAGUGUUUUAACUCGAAACUGAUGGUAUUACAAAUAUUAAAGAAGAAAUUUAAAACACACACACACACACACACAACAAGCAUGUUGUCAAGCUUAUAAGAGUUGGAGAAAUUUCUCCAUAUAAAUCUUCAAAACAUGAUGGAGAGUAACCUUGACAUUUAAGUCAAUAAUAUACAAGGAAAGACAACCCAAAAAGAUACAACUUUGAGAACAAACUCUCCUUUUUGCUUUUUUACAUAACCUUUUUUUUUUUUUUUUCCUUUUUGAAAACUUCUCUCCUUUCCUCUAAUUGUUACACCAUACAACAAUCCUAAAAAAACAGAGUUUAAAGGCUUGUUUGAUAACUGUUUUUAAAAAUAAUUUUGAAAAAUAGUUUUUGAAAAUUAUUCUCUAAUGUUUAAUUUGUAGAACAAAAGUUUGUUUGGAAACCCAAAAUAUUUUUAACAUGUUUUUAAUGUUGUUAAAUAUGUUUUAAAAAUAAUUUUUAUGUUUAGUAUUUUAUUUUUAAUCAUUUUAUAUGUUUAUAUAAUUAUUUUUUAAGGCAAACCUUAAAAAAUAAGUGAAAAUAACAUAAAACACUUAAAAGAUAUUAUCUGAAAACACCUUAUUUUAUUGUAACAGAAAAUAAAAAGCGGUUUUUGGUUGUCAAACAUGUUUUCUUAAUUUUUUAUUUUGAAGAAUAGAAAUUUGUUCUUGAAAAUAUCUAGUUAUCACAUUAGUUAUUGCCCAUUUUAUGAUUUUAAUUAUUGCUUAAAAACUAGUUUUUCAGCUAAAAAAGAAGGUCCACUACUUAUGGGUCAAACCUUCAACUUUCAAACCCGAACACAAAGUUAUAGUCAAGACUAAUAUUCACAUAUUAGUAUUAAUAUAGUUCAUUAAAUAUGAAUUUCUAUUGAAGCCAAAAUCGAGUUUUUAGGGGAAGUAACAUUCACUUUCAAUUAAGCAAUUUUUAACUCAUAAGUUAGUACUUGUAACAAAAUUUCUUAAUAGAGACUUUAAUUGAGUUUUAAGAAGAAUUUUUUGUUUGUUAAAAACCAAUUCAAACAAAAUCUAAAACUAAUAUUAUUAUCUAAAAGACAUAAUGAACAACAUAAACCAUAAACCAAAGUGGUAGUGACAACCAAUAUGUAGCGUCAAUGAAUAAUUGAAAAUAACCUCAUUUUCUAAUGACCUCGAACCUAGAAGCUCUAAAAUUCUUGCCUAAUUCCUUGUGAUGACUUUGGUUCAACCUUAAUGGCGAGGGCAAAAUUCUAAAUAAUUUUUGUCACAACUCAUAAAUUUAGAAGAAAAAAAUGAGAAUAAAUGGAAUCCCUAAUGAGAAAUUGUUAUUUUUCCCCUUUAUGACAAAAAUAGUAACCUACUAGUAUUAUUAAAUAACAUGGAAAUUAUUAUUUCAACUUUAAUACCAUGUAUGACAUAACUUUAACAACCUUAAUUUAUAAGAUUAUUUAAUUUAAAAGGAUAAAACAAUUACAUAUUCAUAAGAAUCGCUUCUAUUUUUUAAAAACAAUAAAUUCCAUUUUUUGGACAAAAAUACCCUCCAUUGUUUUUAUCAACAUUUCACAAUCAAACACUUAUUGGAAAAAAAAAAGUAUAAGGGUAGCUAUAUUAAAAUGAGGUUAUAAUUAUAAUACUCAAUAAGUGGAGAUUUUUUUUCCAAAUAUUGGGAUCAUCUUCUCCAUUUGACACAAAUAUUUAUAAUUUAUAUUAUAAUUACUCUUAUAGUAAGAGAGAAAGAGUAAUUUCACAUGAAAUGGACCCAUAAACAUAGAUUUAUUAUGAGGCAUGAUACUAUAAUAAUAAUAGGAAAUAAGACGAGACGUGAUACCAUAAUAAUAGAAAAUAAGAUAAGUAAUUCAAUACUUAAUGAAGGUCUGAAAUAAUUAUGUUUCUCAUUAAAUGAUAUUAAAGACGAAAAAAAACUUAUUAAUUUUUAUUUUAAGUAUUAAGAUUAUUUAAUAAAAUUAACUUAAAAUUUAUUUUAAAUUAUCAAAUUGAUAUAUUUAUUUUCAUAGAUUAUAACUAAGGUAAAUGAAAUCAAGUAAUAAUGGAUGUCAUGUAGUGAAAGAGAUCCUAGAGGCAACGGGACAAAUUGUGGUAAAAAAUGUCAAAUAAAAAUACGAACUUAAGAACAAAUUAAUUGUUUGUACUUAUUACUUAAAGUUGUUAUUUAUUUUAUAUUAUUAAAUUAUUUUACUAAAUAUGCUUAAUUUAUUUAAUGACUUAAAUUAAUUUAUUAGUCACUUUAGGCUAUUAAAUCGGGUUUACCAAUCAUAUCGAAUACAUUUGGCUAGUAGGCCAAGACUCAAGAAUAUUGCUAUCAUAUGUUUUAUGUAUUAAGGUGCCAAGAAUAAUUCACCACAAAAUAUAUGAUGAGUUGAUAAGUAUAGGAUACAAUCUAAAAUAUGCACUUGAUUUCAUCAUCUAAAUAAAUGCUCUCGGCAAAUGGAUCAUCCUAGCUGAUACCAGAGCACAAGCCGCCAUGGACAGGAGGCAACGGAGAAACCCUUCUGCUUCUUCUUCUGCCUUUUCAUCUCCAGCUUCAUCCUCAUCGCGUUUCCGCUCAGAGAAAUUCUCCUCGAAUCCCCCAAAAACUAGUAACUCCCUGGAGGAUGCUCACCAAUUGAAAAGCAAAUGUGGGAAGCCACAAAGACCAAAGCAAGAGGAGGAAGGAGAGCAAGAUCCGAACAAUCUUCUCUCCUUAGUUGGAACUUGCCCAUUCAUGUGCCCUGGUAAAAAUGCGUGCUUAUUUUUCCAUUUUUUUAAAAUUCUAUUUUCCUGUUAUUCUGUGUUUGGUUUCCGAGAAAUUGGAGGAAAACAGUAGAAAAGAGAAGUGAAUCUGGAGUUUCUGUGUCAUUUUUGUGGCUUUUACAUAAAUUUUACAAAUAAAAUUGAUAUUUCUCCCCCUUUAUUAGAUACCAAUCUGCAGAAGAUGUAGGAAUCCCAAAAAAAAAUUCGCUUUUGCCUUUACUUCCCCCAAAUCUUUCAUAAUGGAAAAUGGACUUACCACCUCUUUUAUCACUUUUCCUUUACCAUGUCAGGUUUACAUGUAAUCAAACACUGUAUUUGGAGUAGGGCACUUAUUCUAAUGUCAAAUGGUGUUGAAAACUUGAAUUACUGGAUCUUAAGACUCCAGAAGAAAUUUGAUUGUUUAUGAUUAUUGCUCCAUGAGAAGGGAAAGGGAUUUCUUUUGUUUUUGCUCACAUAUAUGGCCAAAUUGAUUUAUCUCCUUCUCAUACGAACAAAAUAAGGACAUUUCUUGUCUUGCUGCCUUUUAUGCCACCGGUUCCACAUGCUGAUGUGACAACCCUUUUGCUAUUCUGUACAAAUGGUAGGAAAAUUCUGGUAAGACUGGUGGCCAGCCUAUCAUGUUCAGGGAAUAAAUUCAUUGUAUAUCUGGAAUUCACUCUAUAUCAGCAUAGGGUGUUGAUACUGAUUAUAAAUGACAAAUUCAAUUUAUUAUCCUUACAUUAGGGAGUGCUAAAAGGAUGCAAAUUGUUCAUGUUAUACCCAAAGACAUACAAGUGAUGCUAGAGAUUUUCACAAUGUGGAUAAUCAUAGAGUAGAGAUGAACACUAUGGAGUCUUUUGGCAUGUGUUCAUUCCAUGUACGGGAACAUGCAUUGGAAGAUUAUGUUUCCUCCUCCCUUCCCCUCCCCAAAGUUAAUACUAUGUUGUCAUGGCAAGAACUUUGGUGACAUGCUUCUGAGUGGAAUAGCCUCCUAGAAGUCCAUUUAUGUGGCAGUUGGCAAGUUCUUCCGGUCAAUGAGAACUUUGUGACUGUCUGAUUGUUGUACUAAUCAUCAUCAGAUUUUUUUUUAAGUUCAAGUUGUAAAUAGCCUUUCACAGUUGAAGGUAGCGAUGAAGAGGCCUGUUGACAUAAUUAUUUCUUCUGCUUGAAUGGAUUAAAAUCAGAUACCACACCUUCAGCCUAGAAAACUAUGGACUUUCCUAUGUACCUGCAAUUGGCUGAAUACUGGUGUGGCACUGACUAAAGGCUCUCUGAUGCUGUUAUUAAUUUCCUGAGCAAAUUAGAGAAAACAGAGAGGUCAUAAUGUGAAUCAGUUACCUCUUGAGUAGGGAUGAAGGCUUUUUAUAACUUUUUACUUUCUGGUUAGGCCUUGGAAGCACUUCUGUGAACCAUGAUUUUGUACUGUAAAAUUAGAUGGGAUGGAUAGGUCACCUUAACUCUACUUUUGGAAGUGAUUGGGGAGCGCAUGACUGUAUGAAUAUUGAUGUGUUCUCCCCAUACAGAGCCCAACUUCUUUUUGAACUAGGAAGCAUGAAGGGUGGGUGGAUGUGGGCUGAGGAAGGAAGAUUUGACUUGUGUGCCGCAGGCCUGCGGUACCAAUUUGUUCCAGAACUUGAUAAGGCCCAUAAACUGGUAGGCAAGUUUCAUUAUUUGGUCACCACUGAAUUUUGGCAGUAUGGCCACAAGGAAGGUAGGAAGGAGAGGGAGAAGAGAAAACCCCAAUUGCCAAUUGCAAGCUUCCGGUUGGCACAGUGCUCAUUGCUGACAUUUUCAUUUGAUUUUGACCUUGCAACAGAUACAGCUUAACAUGAUGGACCAGUUUUUCACAAUCUUGUGAUUCAUUACCCAACUUCUAGUAACAGUUUCUCAGCAGAUGACUCACCUAUGACAGGCUGAUGAUGUCUGCACACAACUUGAAAGGUAUUCAUGCCAAGGUGUGAAAGGUAAUAUUGUGACACCAUUUUGCCUAUUCCAGAAAAUGUAACAAAUGUAUGGCUGGUUCUUGACCUAAAAAUGCUGGCAUUGGUCACCAAGUGCUAGGGUGAUUCUUGACAAAAAAUGUUCGUAUUGUUCAGAACAAUGAUUUACAACUUCAGAUUGGCCAUCCAGUUAACGAUGAUAAUCACUUGUUUUACAAAGUUCAGUGUCAUAAAAGCAAAAUAAUUUUGUCAACAAAUAUGCGGAUAACUUUAUCAUAAUUACUACUUAUGGAAGUUAAGGAUAAGUUGGGUAAUGUGAGAAAGUUUUGGUCAGAGGAUAUGAGGAUAAAUUUGUUGCAAUUGCUAAGCUUCACCUCCUAGGACUACUAGGAGAAACGUAUGAGCAAUAGAACAAAUUUACAGUCCAUCCCCAUUAGCUGCAUGGAGAGGUUGGGCUUAUUGCUGCUAUGGUGGAGGUCACCUUCUUGUAGACUUUGAAAUCUGCGAAUGAAGAGGCAGAUUUCUUAGAGGAAUUGGUAGGACUCCAAGCCCCCCAAAUGACAGGGGGGUGGGGAGGAUGGGGGUGGUGGGGGGCCAUUUCUAAUUUCAUGUCUUCUCAAUGUGGAUUUGAGGUUUAACGAGAUUUUUGGGAAAUCAUUAAGGUUAAAAGUAAUUGAAAGAGUGUGUCUGUGGAGAGCAAGAGGGGGAAAUGUUUGGUUCCCAACUGGGGUUGCUUCAUCUGACCGUUAAUCUCACAGCAAACACCGACGGAGCGUUGUUGUUGGAGGCUUCCAGGUUCUCUGAUCAAUUCUCUUGUUCUUUGUUUUCUUUGGGGAAGCGGGAAACCUCUCUUUCUUCUAUUCCUUCUGGGCGGGAUGGGGAAGGUGUUGCCAUUGCCAGGGUUUCCGAUCAGGGCAGUGGUUUAGAAGCCGUAGGGGGAGCUGUUAUGGGCCCGUUAAGGAUGAUAUUGGCGGAUGGGAGGGAGGCCGAGGUCUCAAAUUUGGCGGGUAGGGAGUUUGGGACUUUCGAGGAGGCGUCAGAGGGGGUUUCGAAAAGGGUCUCCCAAGAGGAUGAAGAAGAGAGGGACAAAGAGGGGGAACUGUGUUGGCAUUCUAGUAGCUUGGCUAAGUUCAGCCGCUAUCUUGGAAUGCCGAUGGAGGGCUUCGAAGGGGAAAUUUUGUUUUUGCUUAAAAGAAUGAAAGAGAAGAAACUUCAAAAAGGAAAGUUGAAUGGCAGAAAAAGGAAAAAAUUGGAGUCAUCAAAAUUCGAAAUAGAAUUGAGAAAGUUGGAAUGGACAGUGAAUUAUCUUGGAGGAGGAGGAGGAGAGGGGGGGGAAGUACGAGCAGGUCUAAAUGAAGCUCCGACUGCUCACUUGGAAUGUAAGAGUGACCAAUAAUUGUGAUAAGAGGAAGGUGAUCAAAGCGUUGAUAAAGAAGAAUAGGGUGGAUCUGGUUUGCCUAUAGGAAACCAAGAUUUAGGAAAUGUCAAUGGGCAUUAUCCGUAGCUAAGGAGUGGGAAGAUUCCUUGAAUGGGGAGCUGUAGAUUCAAGGGCACAGCUGGAGGUAUAGUGGUGUUUUGGGAUAACAGGGUGUUGGAUUUGGUUGACCUUCAAAAAGGAUUGUUCUCUAUUUCUUGCACUUUUAAGAGUUGCGAGGACGGUUUCAUAUGGACGUUUACAAGGGUUUAUGGCCCAACAUUGAGGAGGAAUAGGGAGAGUUUUUGGGAGGAGUUGGGGGCCAUUAAGGGGCUUUGGAAUGGGCCGUGGUGUGUUGUAGGGGAUUUUAAUGCCAUUCUAAGUCCGGAAGAGCGCAACAGAGGAGGGAGCUUGAAUUCAAACAUGAGAAGGUUCUCAGAAGUUAUAGAAGAUCCAGAGUUAAAGGAUCUGCCUAUGGUUGGGGGUCCUUUUACUUGGAUUGGAGGGGUGAAUAACCAGUCUUUUUCAAGGCUGGAUCGUUUUUUGGUUAAUGAGGGGUGGGACAGUCAUUUUGGUGAUGCGAGGCAGUUUGUUCUACCAAGACCUGUGUCCGAUCACUUUCCGGUUCUUCUGGACGGAGGGGGCCUGAGAAGAGGCCCUUCCCCAUUUAGAUUUGAGAAUAUGUGGCUGAAACUGGAAGGUGUUAAGGACCUUUUGAAGCAUUGGUGGGAGGAAGGUAGCUUCAGUGGAUCCCCAAGUUUUAUCUUGGCCGAAAAACUAAAAUUUAUGAAGGCUAAGCUGAAGAAGUGGAACAGAAACACAUUUGGUAGGGUUGAAUAUAGAAAGAAUUUGGCUUUGGAGCAGGUGGAGUUUUGGGAUACCAAGGAGAAAAUUAGCAGACUGUUGUUGGAAGAGCUGGAAGCUAGAAAAGAAGCGAGGGAAGAUUAUAAAAAAUGGGUCUUACUUGAAGAAAUCACGUGGAGGCAAAAAUCUAGGGAAGUGUGGCUGAAAGAAGGGGAUAGAAAUACCGGUUUUUUCCACAAGAUGGCCAAUGCUCACAGGAGGAGGAAUAAUGUGGACAGAAUUAAGAUUAAUGGAGCCUAGCUUACAUAGGAGAAUGGAAUUAGGGAAGGGAUUGCCAAUGCUUUUAGGUUGUUGUUGUCCAAUCCGGGGGAAUGGCGCCCUUCUAUUUUCGAGCUGCAGUUUGAGACUUUGGAGCCUUUGGACGCUAGUGCCUUGGAGAUUCAUUUUUCGGAAGAGGAGGUCUUCGAUGCACUAUUGGGCUGUAAUGGGGAUAAAGCCCCGGGGCCAGAUGGAUUCUCUAUGACCUUUUGGCAAUUUGCUUGGGAUUUCGUGAAGGCUGAUGUGAUGUGUUUCUUCAAGGAGUUCAAUGAAAAUGGCAAAUUUGUUAAAAGCCUAAAUGCAACUUUUAUGGUCCUAAUCCCAAAAAAAGCAGGGGUUGAAGCCUUAGGGGAUUUUAGGCCUAUAAGCUUGGUGGGAAGCUUGUACAAGUGGCUGGCCAAGGUCUUAGCUAAUAGGCUAAAAAAGGUGGUUGGAAAGGUGGUCUCCAAGGCUCAAGGGGCGUUUGUGGAAGGUAGACAAAUCCUAGAUGCAGUGUUGAUAGCUAAUGAAGCCAUUGAUUUGGUUCUCAAGAAUAAUGAGAAUGGCAUUCUGUGCAAACUGGAUAUAGAGAAGGCGUAUGAUAACAUGGACUGGACUUUUAUUCUCACAGUUAUGCAGAAAAUGGGUUUUGGGGAAAAAUGGAUCAGGUGGAUUAAGUGGUGUAUAUCCACUGCAGGUUUCUCCGUGUUGGUCAAUGAAACCCCUACGGGUUUCUUCCAAAGCUCCAAGGGUUUGAGACAGGGUGAUCCCCUUUCCCCUUAUCUCUUUGUGAUAGUUAUGGAGGUCUUUAGUGCUUUUCUUAAAAGGGCUGUAGAGGGAGGUUUCUUAUCGGGUUGUAGGGUGAAGGGUAGGAGUGAAGAAGGGGUCCUAAUUUCCCACUUGUUGUUUGCUGAUGAUACACUGGUGUUCUGUAAACCUUCACAAGAUCAAUUGACUUAUCUCAGUUGGUUACUUAUGUGGUUUGAGGCCGUUUCGGGAUUGAGAAUAAAUUUGAAAAAAAGUGAACUCAUUCUAGUAGGGAGGGUAGAGAAUAUGGAUGAUCUUGCUUGGGAAUUUGGUUGUAGACUGGGUAGCCUUCCAACCACCUAUUUGGGGAUGCCCUUGGGUGCUCUUUUUAAGUCAGUUACAGUUUGGGAUGGUGUGGAAGAGCGCUUCUGAAGAAGGUUAGCCAUGUGGAAGAGACAAUAUUUAUCCAAGGGAGGAGGGCGACUCUUAUUCGAAGCAUGUUAUCGAAUUUACCCAUCUAUCUCAUGUCAUUGUUGUGCUUACCAAGCUCAAUUAGACGGAGAUUAGAGAAAAUCCAAAGGGACUUCCUUUGGGGUGCAAUUUGGAGCGAAAGCCUCAUUUAGUAAGAUGGGAGUUGGUGUGUUUAAGUAAGAAGAAAGGAGGUUUGGGGGUCAAAUGCCUUUCCAUUCUCAACAAGGCUCUUCUUGCUAAAUGGAAUUGGCGUUUUGCAAAUGAGAGAGAAGCUUUGUGGAAUCAAGUGAUUAGGGGGAAGUAUGGAGAAGAUAGAGGGGGUUGGUGCUCUCGGGAAGUGAGAGAGGCUCAUGGUAUGGGGUUGUGGAAAGGAAUAAGGAUGGAUUGAGAGUUGGUGAGCGAUAGGAUGGUUUUCAUUGUUAGUAAUGGGAGGAGGGUGAGAUUUUGAAGGGAUAGAUGGUGCGGGGAUUCUCCUUUGUGUAUGUCUUUUUCUUCUCUUUUUGAUUUGACUGUUGAAAAGAAAGCGUGGGUGGCAGAUUUUGGGACCCUUUGGCUAAGGGGGGUUUGGGGGGGGGGGGGGGGGUGGGAACCCCGUUUUUUAAAACUUUUCAAGAUUUGGGGGGAGAGGGAGGGGAAAAAUUUUUUGCGAAGGUUUCUGGUUAAAAAAUUUUUUGGGNNNNNNNNNNNNNNNNNNNNNNNNNNNNNNNNNNNNNNNNNNNNNNNNNNNNNNNNNNNNNNNNNNNNNNNNNNNNNNNNNNNNNNNNNNNNNNNNNNNNAAAAAAAGGGUGGGGGGGCAAUUUUUGGGCCCUUUUGGUUAAGGGGGUUUGGGGGGGGGGGGGGGGGUUGGAACCCCUGUUUUUAAGAGCUUUCAAUGAUUGGGAGGUAGAGGAGGCGGAAAGAUUUUUGCAGAGGCUUCAUGGUAAGAGAGUUAUUGAGGAUGUGGAGGAUAUGGUGUCUUGGACUGAAACUAAGAGUGGUAAAUUCUCGGUCAAGUCUCUUUAUGUUGCCCUUGAAGCGGGUUGUUCAUCUCUGUUUCCUUUAAGCUAUAUUUGGAAUGUGAAUGUGCAGCCCAAGAUUAGUUUCUUUACAUGGGAGGCUACGUGGGGCAAAGCCUUAACCUUGGAUAUGGUCCAGAAAAGAGGACGGGCAUUGGCAAAUAGAUGCUUUAUGUGUCUUGAGAAAGAGGAGACCAUAAACCAUCUGCUCCUUCAUUGUUCAAGAACAAGGGUGUUAUGGGAUCUACUUUUUACUUUAUUUGGGGUGUCUUGGGUAUUGCCUUCUUCAGUUAGAGAGACCCUUCUAAGCUGGAAUGGUUUUUUCGUGGGCAAAAAAUGCAAAAAGGCGUGGAGAGUUGCUCCUCUUUACAUUUUCUGGACGGUUUGGAAGGCGAGGAAUAGAUUGGCUUUCAAGGAUGAUAUGUUGUCAAUUUAGCAACUGAAACACUCUUUUAUCCUUUCUUUUUGGUCCGAGAUUAAGUUGUUUAUAGAUGAUUGCCCUCUAACUAUAGCUAAUUUUAUUGAUUGGUUGGGCUCUAAGUAGGAUUGGGUUGUUGGGCUAUCUUUGUUUUUUAGCCUUGUUGGAGGCGGGUGUAUAGGUAUUGUAUACCUUGAGUCACUUUUUUAGCGUUUCUUUUAUAUAUGAAAUCUUAUUUACUUAUCAAAAAAAAAAAAAAUGUAAUCGAAGACUUUCACAUUAAUGAGGUAAUGAAUAACCACUGAUACUUCUUCACCCCAAAGUUCCUUCACAAAAAUUUGGUAAGUGAAGAACCAUUUCUGAGUUGUGAAGCACCAAUUCCACCUUCAUUAUCUUGAUCUUUAGAAAGAGGGAUCCAACUUGAUUUGGGAUUUUAUACCUGUCAACCCAGUCACUAAUUUUUAGGAGAAUACUUCCAAUUUACCCUUGGGUUGCUUUAGAAAGUUUCUUAAUAGUGCCAUCUCUCUAGCUUAAGGGGCUUUUGUUAAUGGAAGGCAAAUACUAGAUGUGGUUAUCAUUAGUAAUGAAAUCCUAGACAAAUACUAGAUGUGGUUGUCAUUAGUAAUGAAAUCCUAGAUGAAAAAUUCUGUUCUAAGGACGAAGGGAUGGUUUUUAAAAUAGGUUUUGAGGAAGUUUAUGAUCACAUAGAUUGGGGUUUCAUGUAUGAUACAUACUUUGAAUAGGGAAGGCCUUGAACCUGGAUGGCACAAAGGGACUGGAUAUUUUGAGGUUGUUUUUCAAACUGCAGGCUCUUUAAUGGUGUUAUUGAAGCUGAGUGUUUAGCACUCGAGGAAGAUUCGGAUAUGGUUGUUUGCCUGGAUGUAAUGAACCUCCAUAUUGAAGGGGAUUCCUUUGUUAUUGUCUCAAAACCUUCUUUGAAGGCAAAGGUCCUUAGUGGAUUGCUCAUCAGAUGGGGUGGCUUCAUAAUCAUGCUAGAGACAUUGCUUGUUCUUCUCUAUUGAGGCCCAGAUCAGCUAGCCAGGUGCAUGGCUAUAUUUUUCUUAUAGGGAUGCUAAUAUCUGAAAAUUUUUAUUGAGAACACUUACUGCUCUUUGAUUGGUUUGAGGCAUGGAGUGGCUUUUCUGUUCUCUUCUUGCCAUACAUGCAUAUCAUCCCUCUUUUUUAUCUUGUUUAACUCAAUAAAUUCUCAUUUGUUAUAAGGAAAAAAAGAGAUAUUAUGUUACAUGAUGGAAGGACUUUAUUCUGUUAUGGAAUAGGCAAAACCUAGAUCUAUUGGCUAGAGCUAUACAGUAGGUUGUUGGGCUGUUCAGCAUUGUCUUUUUUUUGGAUAGGUUUGGCCAAUGCCCCUUGAUGUUACUUUUUGGUAAUGUAAUUUUCUUUGAUUUUUCUUGAAAAUUCCUCAUUUUUCAAGCUUGCUUGUAUAUCUUUCCUUCUUCCAUUAAUGAUUGUUUGAUUCCUUACUAAAAUAAAUAACAAAUUAUGAUGCAAAAGGAUUACGUUUAUGGAAAAUUUUGAGAUUUUCACCAUAUUAGAGUCUCUGAAGUUGGUACUUGUCUUGACACAGAUAAUAGGAAUCAUUUUCCCCCCAAACUACAUAAGACAUGUCUGCUACUUGGUAAUGUUCCAUUGGCAGUUAUAAACUCUCCUGUCAAAAGUGAAUCUGUUGUAGCAUUCCAAAUGGUGUAGUGUCGUACAUAGAUUGGUAAUUGAGGACUUUAUUAUGGAUUUUGUCCUGUUGUGGUUGUGCCAACAAGUUCUAUCCUGUUCUUUGUCUUGCUGAUUUGGGUGGUUGUGCAUCAUGUUCCUACAGCUGUAUAAUUAUGCUUCAGGAGCAUAGUUAUUCUGGUUUUACCAUCCAGAUGAUGGUAUUAAAGUAUUUGUAUUCUAGAUUGCGCAACUCCUUAUAUGGGAUAUUUUUGCACCAAAUGCUUAGUGAUCAAGAGAACUCUCAUAUUAAACACAGUCAUCUUCUAUUAAACUAAAUUCCUUAAGUAUGCAGUCUCACAACUACAUCAUACCAUUCUUUUCCUUUUUUAUUCCUUUCUUGCUAUUACAGGUUGGUUGCCACUAAUAUAGUAGAAAGCAAAUUACACGACCCUGCUUCCAUAAGACCUUUCUUAUUCCAUAGGUUGAAAUAGAAAAAACACUCGAUGGGACUAAUGUUUCUCUUUGCAACCAAGCAAAUUAAAAUGUUUUGAAACCCAUGCUGCCAUGAUCUUAGCUAAUUUGCAUUUUAUAUCUCUACCCCUUUCUAUUUACCAUAAUGAUGCAUGCAUCUAGUCAAAUUGUGUAUUUCUUAUGCUUAUAUUUAUUUCCUGAUGAGUUUAUUCUGACUCUUUGAUCAGGAUUUCUGCAAUCACAUUGCUUGCUAUUGAAUUUUCAAUGGCUUAAUAUGAAUUAUUAAUAAAGAUGUUGUUUAAUUAUUUCAGCAGCUUAUACUUGGUAAUUUCUUUUAACAACUCUUAUCUCUGAUGUUCAUUUGUAAUAUAUAGCUGGAGAAAGGGCCCAACGUGAACGCCUUCGGGACUUGGCUGUGUUUGAGAGGUUACAUGGAAAUCCUGGGAAAACAUCUCCAAGCCUUGCUGUCAAAAAGGUAAACCCUACAUCUCAUUCCUCUAUACCGCAUCUUAGCUUCUCAUCUUGCAUCGGACAAUGAUACUCUUAUUGAAUCAUCUUUACCAUAUCAGCCAUCAACAUGUGCACUUAUUGAGCGCUAAUUCAGGCACUGAUACUUGUGCUUUUGUUUUGUUUUGUUUUAUCUUGUCUUGUUUUGUUUUGGAGGUGAUUGUGUUGGAUGACCUAUAUCUGUGUUAGACACCAAAGCCUAUCUUAAUGCUACUGUAAAGUAAGACUAUGCUAAUAAGCUAUUGAUCUGUUACAGGGUUUAUGCCAAACUGAUUUUUUAGUUUCUCUAGUAGAAAACUUGUUUUUUCCCCUGUUAUAUCGGUGCUAUUGUUGGAUUUGUGUUUGUUGUUGAUCAAGCAUUUGCUGAAACCUUUUUUUUUUUCCUUUGCUUCUUGAUGUGCAAAGCAUUAUUGUUUGAAUUUUAAUGAUCCCAUUUGAUUCACUAUUCAAUAUUUUUAUUUGAUAUUACAUCUAUCUCAUUUGUUUUCUUUUCUUAGUUUGUUUGUUUGUUUUUUUUUUUUUUUUUUUUUUGAAUUUGUGACAUUUGAAUUUGAUGGAGCCACCAUUAAUUUAUUUUUCCUUAUUAUUGUGGGGUGUGCUUUAUUUUGUUCAAUUGUUGUUGCACUAUUAUUGUCAUGUAACUUUUCUUUUUUGUUUUGUUUCUAUUGUUCCUAUGAGCAUUAAAUGCUUCUAAAAUGUAUGGAACAGGCUAAACCUUUCUAUAGUUUUUUUAAAAAAAAAACUCAUUUAUUAUCUAUUUUCUUGUGCUCAAAAAAUUAUAUUUUUUUAGUAAAAUUGAAAAUUUAGGGAGCGCUUAGGCCUCAGCGGCUCAACCCCUUGAGGGUUUAGGCCUGUCAUAGCAAGAUGUAAACCCCCUUGCCUCUUAUGCUUUUACCUUAUGAAACUAUACCAAGAAACAAACACCACAACUCCCUGCUGCCAUCAAAGGAUACUUCAAAGUUUGCUUCAAAUCAAUCUUAAGGCCAAUUAUCAUAGGCUUGUCAUCAUGUCACUAAAAUUGGUAUUGUAACCAAAGUCCUAUUGCGAAAUCUUCAAGUUGCAGCUCCUCCUUUUCUGUUGGCUCUUGUAUUGUUAGGUGGCCGCAACCUGUUGCUUUUCUUAUGCUUUAUGAACUACUCCAGUUAAAAUAAUGCUUCAAGUAGAUGCUUUCUGGAUCUUGAUUCUAGCAAGAGGCUUAUAUUGCAAAUUUUUUUGUGGAGUCCUAGAUAGGUUAACUAGGAAGACAAUAGCUUGCUUAAGAGGAUUGCCACCUCUCCUUUUGGGUUUGUAAAAAUUUUGGUUCUCCCUUGACCUUGGGAGUCCUAUGGUUUCAAUUUUGGAUGUGCUCUAGGUUGUAGCCUGUGUUAUGCUUUCUAAAUGGUAAUCUUCUUCUUGUUUUAGCUGGGAUGCUUUUGUUUAUUUUGCUCGUUUGUUUUCUUUGUUUCUUUAUUGUGGCUGUAGGAUCACCAAUCAACUUUUUAUUCUCUGCAAAAACUGUUUAUGUUUCAUAACGAAAAAGGAAAAAACAAAGGCAAGUUAGCCUAGAAUAGGUUUUAUCUUGUUUCUUCUUUUACCAUUAGUGUGGAUUCAAACUCAGGAAGAGGCCUUCAAACAAGUGGCAUUUGUGUUUUUUAAACAUAUAUCUUUAUUCAAUCAUUGUUAAGUGUUUGUUGUCUUGUCUGUUCUUUUGGUUGUUUUUGUCUUUGUCAAAGUGUAUAAUUAUAAUAUCCCACAUUGUAUAGAGGAAAAAGUUUCUAACGCUAUAUAUGUAUGAACUUUUUUUAAUCUUGUUGAUUCGUUUUUAAGCCGCGAGGGUCGUUUAGGCUCAAAGCAAAUAAUAUCCACACAACUGGGAGUAGGUUGUUACAAAUGGUAUCAAAGUCAAUCCUCGACCUUGGUAGGAGAGUUUGCUUGGCCUAAAAUGGGUGUCCGUUUAUUUGACCUUACAAUCCUAUGGGACACAAUAAGGACGUUGUGUCUGCAUGAGAGGGUGAUUGUAAUAUCCUACAUUACAUAGGGGAAAAAGUUCCUAACGUUAUAUAUCAUAGUUUUAAAAGGCUCAAGGCGCACCAAGGCGCAAAGUAGUCCUGGAGCCUGAGGCGCAAGGCGCAUCUAAGGCGCGGGCUUUAGUGAAGUGAGGCGCACCCUAAUUUACAUAUAUAUUUUUAUAUAAUAUAAUCAAAUUUAACAAUCAUUUAUUUGUCCUAAACACAUAAAUCAUCAAAUAUCAUCCAAAACUUCAAUUUAAUAAACAAAAAACAUAAAAAUAAAGAACUCCAAGCAUAAAAACAAAUCCAAAUCCAUAUUGCUAAUUGCCUAAUACAUAUCCAAAUCCAAAGUUUCCAAACCUAAAGGUCCAAAACAUGAAAUUUGUCCACAAUUCAAAAACAUCAUUAAAAAACACUUAAAUCACAAAUUUGUCCACAACAAGCAAUCAUCACUCCUCCUCUAAAUCAACAAAAUCAUCAUCAUCAUCAUUUCCAUCACCACAUUUGUAGCCUUCCCCAUCUUCUUCAUCUGCUGAAUUAACCAUGUCUCCAUCUUCAUCUUCAUCUAUUAGUGAAUAAGAAGGCAAAGUUCUAGAACUUGAAGCUAUCCCCCUUGUUGGUGGUAUUAUGCUUGAGCUUGCUCUAGCUCUAGCUCUAGUAUCAAACCUGGCCUCCUCAUCUCCAGCAGCUCUAGCAACAUCACCCCAUGUCAAAUUGUCAUCAUCAAAUACAAAAUCAUCUUGUGCACCUCCAUGAGAAUCCUCAUCUUCCAUUCUCCCUAUCAACCAUUCAUUGCUAUCAUCUAUAUCUUUCAAGGAAAUUGGGUCAAUGGUGUUACGUUCAUUGUAUCUUCUCUUCAAGGCUCGAUUAUACUUGAUGUACACCAAAUCAUUCAAGCGUUGAUGAUCUAACCUAUUUCUCCUCUUGCUAUGAAUCUGCAAAAAUUCAUAAGCUCAUAAAUAUAUUUUAAAAUUUUAACUUUUAAGUUACAUUCAAGACUCUAUUAGACUAUUACUUGUAAUUAUUUUGGAUUUGGUCACUCACAUUCUCAAAGAUGCUCCAAUUCCGUUCACAACCCGAUGCACUGCAUGUUAAGUUGAGGACUUUCAUUGCAAACUUUUGCAAAUUUGGAGCUGAAGCUCCAUAUGCAGCCCACCAUUCAGCUGUAGUAUAGAUAUUAACAAUUUAGUGAAACAAUUCACCUAUUUUAGCAAAAAUACAAUCUAAUCAUUUAAAUAAACAAAACUAAAUAACUAACCUGGUGCUCUAGUCUUUCUUGUCCUAACAGCUAACUCAUUCCCGAAUAGUCCUUGGGCAUUUGUGAACAAACUCACUUCGGCCACAACUUUUUCUUGCUUAGCAGGGUCUCUUGUUAGCCUUAAGAUGCAUUUAUACAAAUCACUCAUAAUCUCGGCAUCAUGCUCUAUUUCUGGCUUAUCAUAGAAGAAUUCCGGGUUCAAAAAGUACCCUGCUGCAUGCAAAGGCCGAUGAAGCUGAAUCUCCCACCUCUUAUCAAUGAUGUUGAAGAUUUCUUUGUACUUCUCUUCAUUUCCAUUAAAACUUCUCACAAUUGCAUCCUUAGCUCUAUUCAUGGCCUCAUAGAUGUAUCCCAUAGGAGCUUUUUUUUCACCAUCAACCAAACGAAGCACACGAACUAGGGGACCCGAAACCUUUAAGCAAAACACAAUAGUGUUCCAAAAUGAAGGCAUUAGAACUAUGUUGGCUAUAGUUUUCCCCUUCUACUCUUUUGCCCAUUUACUAUCUAACCAAUCUGAGCUUGUAAACAUCUUCCUCAAAUUGUUUUUUUGUUCAUGCAAUCGCGAUAAUGUGAUGAAAGCAGUUGCAAACCGAGUCUUAGCAGGCCUAAGCAAUUCCCUUUGUCCAGUAAACCGCCUCAUCAUGUUGAGUAGCCCUGAGCGAUUAUAAAUAUACCGAUUUAGUGAUAUAGCCCUCUCCAAUGUCCUCUUGAUGUUUGGUAGCUUUCCAAUAUCUUCCAACAUCAAGUCAAGGCAAUGUGCAGCACAUGGUGUCCACUACAAAUGUGGACGCUUUAAUUCUAACAACCUCCCUAUAUGAAAUUGUAGAUAAUAAAUUUACAUAAGUUCUCAAGAUAAAUAAUUCAAAUUUUAAAAGUAAAUAAAAAUUCAAGAAAUAGUAUUUAUUACUUGCUAUCACAUAACUUGAGUGAUUAUCUGUUAUAACUUGAAUAACAUUCUCUUCACCAACUUGCUCUACCCAUUUGUCAAGUAAUUCAAACAUCUUUUCUCCCGUCUUAAUCAUUGAAGAAGCAUCAAUGGAUUGCAUGAACAUGGUUCCCUUUGAACAAUUAACCAAAAAGUUCACCAAAGUUCUCUCUUUCCUAUCGGUCCAUCCAUCCGACAUAAUUGAACAUCCAUUUUUCCCCCAUUCCACCAUAUGAUCUUUCAUCAAAUCUUUUGUGAGAGCCAAUUCUUUCUUAAGGUUAGUAACUCUUACCUCAUGAAAAGUUGGUCCCUUCAUACCCACACCAUAUUGGCCAAUAGUCUCAAUCAUUGGUUGGAAACUCGGAUAUGUGACUGCAUUAAAUGGAAUAGCAGCCUCAUACAUCCAUCUUGUGAUAAGCGUGCAAGCUCUUUCUCUUGCUUCCUUUUUGUAGGCAUCAUUGAUGGUAGUUUGAUUCAUCUUUCCACUCCUUUGAUUUUGAACAACCAUCUCUGCAUUAGGAGUGAAAAAAUGAUCCAUAGGACCUUUUUGUCUUGGUUUUUUUGAAGAAAACGUCCUACCACUACUUCCUCCUCGGUUACUACCUCCACUAGAAAUGUUGGUGACAUUCGUUCUACUAUUAAUCUCCUCACCAAUAUCUUCAUCUUCCAAACCAAACAAAUCUUCAUUAACAUAUUCGCUCCCCAUAUUCAUUUGCUCUUUUUGAUUUUUCUUGGAACUCAUAUACUCUUCCAUUUCUUCUCUAACAUGUUCCGGACAUUUUCUAAACUUUUUAGCAUUUCUAUAUCCACCAACAAGAUGUUGUUUGUGUCUAUAGAUGCCUCCUUUGGUUACUUUCUCACAAAAAAUGCAUAUGAUGGUGUUCAAAUCUUUUUCAUUAACCAAACGACCAUAUUUCCACCCCGGAUCUCUUCUUCCACUUGCACUAGAGUCCACUUGAGUUUCACUCUCAUUAUCCAUCUUGCAAACAAAUUAUCUAUACUCCACAAUAAAAUAAUUAUAAUUAAAUUAAGAAAAAAAAUUGAAAAAAAAAUGCAUAUCACAUUAUCAAAUAUCACAUUAACAACAAAUAUGCAUGAGUGCUUUUUAUUUAUUUAUUUUUAUUUUGUAAAAUUUUCAUGUCAAAAACUCAAAAUAUAAUAUUUAUUUUUAAAAAAAAAAAAUUACCAAUGAGAGUUAUGAGGUAAGAAUGGAAAAAAAUGCAGAAAAGUGAAGAAAAAAGAAAAAUACCGAGGUUCGGAAGGUACGUGACUAUUUCCCCUAUUUUUCUUCUUCUUUUUCUUCUUCUUCUUCACUUCUCCAGCACAGAAGAGGCUAAGGCAAAAAAUGGCAGUGGUCUCGGGUUGAGAAAGACCAGAAAAGGGGGCUGGAUGGAAGGAACAAGUCAAAACGGCGUCGUUUUGGUCCCUGUUCACUUAAAUGAACAGGCUCCAAAACGACGUCGUUUUGGGCCCAAAAAAAAAAAAAAAAAAAAAGCUAGGGCUGCGGGGCGUCUCUGCAACCCGACUGGAGGAGGAAGAAGAAGAAGAAGAAGAACAAGGAGAAGGAGAAGGAGGAGUGCGUACCUGGUCGGACCGUCGGAGGCGACUCGGGCGAUCGCCUCGCGCCUUGCUGGAGGCGAGCGCCUUGCGCGCCUAAGCGGCGCCUUCGUGAAGGGGCGUCGCCUCUCUUCAGGCGAGGCGCCGAGGGUGGCGUCGGGCCGCCCCGAGCCUAGGCGCGCCUUUCAGAACUAUGUUAUAUAUAUAUAUAUAUAUAUAUAUAUAUAUAUAUAUAUAUAUAUAUAUAUAUAUAUAUACUCCUCUUAACCUUGUACACGUAUUUUAAAGUCAUGAAGACCACUUGAGCAUAGGAUGGAUAAUAUCUAUACGGUUGGAUGCAGGUUGUUACAAUAAUUACUUUUGAUUUUCCUUUCAUAUGUUUAAUUGCAUAACAUUAUUAUAGCAAAAUAUUAAUCUAUCAUAAUGCAACGUCUUGUAAAGCUUAUGUUGGGUGUCAUGAUUUGAUCUCUUGUCAUUUUUAUUAUUCUGAUUCAACAUCAUCUUAGCUUAUAAUCAUUUAUACACUUGAUGCAUGAGAAAUGAAGAUGCUAUAAAUUGUAGGAUCUUUUUCUCCAAUUUGUUCCUUGAUAUUUUAUAAUGCCAUGAAAUGUCUAUAUUUUGAUGCAGAAAGCCGUUCACACUCCAUCUCUCUCACUAGUUUUGCAGAACCAUUGCCACUAAGCACAUGCAGGCGUCAGAUGUGCGGCCACUUCCAGUGUUGGAAGAGACUUUGAACUACCUAUUAAACCUGUUGGAUGCCACAGAACAUCCUUUUGAAGUGGUUCAUGAUUUCGUCUUUGAUAGGACAAGAUCAAUAAGACAAGAUCUUAGCAUGCAGAAUAUCAUUAAUGAUCAAACAAUUCAUAUGUUUGAAGAAAUGGUAUGAAUUUCUUGAAACAUAAUCUCAAUUACCUUUUUUUCUGAGCAUUCAUCUCCUCAACAUACAAUAAGUUAGCCAACCCAUUGCUAAACACUCUCCUAGUUGGAGAAAAUAAUCAAAGUAUACAAGAGAUAAAAUGUUGAAUAAUUGAGUCAUUAUCCUCUCUUUUUGCUUUAUUGAAUAAGAUAAUUUAUUCGAUGGAGUCCAAAUGAGGUGAAACUGUGAUCACACAACUUGAAGCCUACUUUACAAUGGAUAAAUGAAUGGUCUGAUUUUGAAUCUUUCUUGGCACAUUAGUUAUUAUCCAAUCCAUUCUAAUUAAAUUAUCCACUAUUAAGUGUCUAUUUCCAGUCACCCUCUAAGUUAUGAAAGACCCAUAGAACCAAAGCAACUCACACCACCUGUGAUAGGAAUUGGUGCUCUCUUCCAUAAUGUCAAGUUUUCCAGUACACUUGCUGACUUUGUAGAAUAUGCCUACAAAAAGGGCUGCCACCUCCUAAUUCCCAAUCAUAGAAGUUUCUUAACCAUAUUUCAAAAGUUGUAUUUCCUGUUCCCUCUCUUAAAGUUUUUUAAACCUAUAUAUCUUUAUCCUAGUAAUUCGGAAAAAUGAGGAAAUUAUUUAACAAGAACUCCAUCAAUUUGUUCCUCAAAAUUUUAUAUAGUUUCUCUCUCUCACUUUUGAUUCAAAUUCUUGAAGCAAAGGAACAAAUUCAUGGCCAGUAACAUUUUUAGCCAAGCAAUAGAAUGCACGACAAGCAUGUAUAUGAAUGAAUUGUGUUUUUUAAUGAUAAUAGAUCAGAUAUUUUAAUCUCAUCCUAAAACCUUUGAGUUAACUAAAAGCCGCAUCUUAUGUUCUGACUUGUGGUUUGUUUCAUAAUAUAGGUGAAAUUUCAUAUUAUAUCCCACCACAAGCUUCACAGUUGUAGCAGCAAGCCAAGUUUUUCUUCAGUUCAUUACCUCAAUAUGGAGCAGCUGAAAAAGUGUCUAAUAUCUCUAUAUGCUCUAUACAAAGAAAAUCGAAAUUCAAAUUCUAUUUACAAGAAUGAACCUGAGUUCUACUCAUUUCACGUUCUUCUUCAUCUUGGCUCUAACAACCAACCAUUGGUGGAUACUUGCUUCCGUUGUUUGUUUGAGUUCAUCUUUUUCAGUAUCUCUUGCUGCCUUGUACUGGUUUCUGAAUAUGUUACUAUUUCUGUUUUGAAGGGAGAGUCACUCUCUUUGUGGUUGGGUCGUGUACCUUCUCUCAUUUUAAAGUCAAAGGAAAUGUGUUUUGCUCGGAGACUUUUAAGGUGACCGUAAAGCUAUUAUAGAUUCGACUUGCAUUUAAAUUGUUUAUAUUCAUUUUACAUUUAACUCAAUGUAGAGUGGUUCUGUUUUCCAAUCGAUUUUUUUCUCUUCUUUUAGUACCCAAUGUUAAAAAUUUUGUUUUCAUGAACUGAAAGAUCUGUCUUUUCUUGUAACAGAUUAUUUCGGAUGGGCAAUUAUAAGCGUUUCCUUUGUACUACAGCAACUGAGGCAUCUUAUUUACAGUACUACAUAAUUGAACCUUACAUCAAUGAGGUUGCUUAAAUAUGUUGAUUUUGCUAGAUUUUUCAGUUUGAAAAAUAUAUGCUUCUUUGUUCAUUUAUUGUUUUCCAAUUUCAUUUAUGAGAAUAUAUCUAAAAUCUAGACUCGAGUACUUGUGCUUUUGGGUUUUAUUUUUCUUUCAUUUUUGUUAGUAGUUGUACUUCAUUAUUCUUAAAUUUCUCACAGUUGUUUCUUUAUGUGGUUUAUUGCUCCUCACUUUCUUCAUUCAUCUGAAGUGUUCAAAUUCAAUUUGCUUGUUUCAUAAACCAGGUCUUAUUUAGAAGUUCUUCUCAAUUGCCUUUUUUAGUGCUUUUAAAGGACAUGCCUGAUUUAUAUAUAUUUUUGUUGGUUUUCUUUUGACCGUAAAAGGUUCGAGCAUUGGCAUUGUCAUGUGUAAAUUAUUGUGGCUACAAACUUCAUCCGUAUCCAAUUGCACACUUGUCCAAACUCUUGAUGAUGAAGGUAUGAUUGCAUUUACUAGCAUUAAAUUGCUAAAAUUUGUCAUCCAAAGUUCCAAUAUCUUUUGAACCUUGAAGGCUUCAUUUGCAUUUUUGUAGGAAUUAGAUGUGGAAUCAUUUUGCAAUGCUUGUGGUCUUGAGACCAGCACUGAUGAACGGGGAAAUAAGUUCUUAUCAACCAAGCAAACAAACUUCCAUUAUCCCAAGGAAGUCUUUCCAAGCUAUUGCCUUCUGGGUUUGGAACACUUUUAGAGGUAACAAUCAAUUGGAACUAGUUACUCUUUCAAACUUCUUAUUGUACAAAUAUAACCUGCAUGUGCAACCAUUUCUGAUCCCAUAAUUUCAAGAAUUUAUGACACCUUCUAGUGGUUAGUUUUUCUGGGAAUAGAGUAAAGCAAUCUAUUCACUCCCAGAAACUAUCGUCAAAGGAACAGUAGAUAACCCCGCAAGACCAAAUUUAUGUGUGUGCAUGGAGAUGCAUGUUUUCUGCAUCCCAAUCAUGCAGUGUUGUGCCAAAUGGAAUAAUAGCAGCUGAUGAUAAGUGGUAUUUCUAAAAUCUUCUAAGAGUAUUCCAUCUAUUGUAAUAUUGUUUUCUCAAAAUUGUCUUUGAGUCUUAUAUGUAAAUAUUAGACUUGACCUCUUGUAAGCUAUCAACUGAUGUUGUAACUUAACUUGAAAGGGAAAUUCUAUAAAUUUAGCCUUGGUUUGGCUGUUGGAAAGCAAAGAAAAAUUAGGUUAAUAGUGAGUUGAUUUCUUCCCUUCCCAUGGAUGUAAGCACAUUCUUGAAUCAUGUUAAUUACUUUUUGGUUUAUUUUGUUGUUUUGUUGUUUUGUUGUUUAUUGUUCAAUUGUCUCCGCAUAACAAGUGGUAUCAGAGUUGUUUCCAACACAACAGAUGAUUCCUGUGCUAACACAAAGUUUGAGGCUAAACGUAAGAUGGUAAAAGUUUCUAGAAUAUUUCCCUAUGACAACUGCCAAUAAAGGAUGUACUUAACAGAAAGUUCAUAAGGUGUUACAUGGCAAGUUGAACAAAACCAAUAGCUAGAGAUAUCUGAAAUAUUUGGGGCCACUGAUCCAACAAUAGCAGAGAAUAACACAAGAAGAGACCCUCUAAUCACCAUUUUUUCUUUGAUUCUUCUCUACAAAGCAUCAUCUUCUUUAUACAAAAAGACAACCCAUUGCUGAGCCCACAUUAUUCUCUACAUAUCCCAAAAAAGCCCUCUAAAUUUUAGGGCAUGGUGCUCUUUUUAGGGGUAUUUUGGUACUAAAUUUGUGGUAGUCUCUCAAAUACCUAAACUACCCUCCAGAUUUUAAGGCAUGGCCCACUCUUUGAGGUGGUAUUUUGGGUACUAAUUUUUGUUAGGAGAGGUUUUGGUGUGGAAACUGGAGGGCUUUACACACGUUGCAUGUAUUUUCUUUUGCAUGCAUUACACAUAGAUUGGAGUUUAUGCAGUUACUCACUUUUUGUUCGUCCAACAAUACUAUAGUGCCACGUCACCAUAUGAUGGGCUCUUUAGUCUUUUCAAACCCAAAAAAAAACACUAAAAAAAAAAAAAACUAAUACUAAAAGGAUUGCUAACUAGCUAUGUGAAGAUGAACCUCUAUAGCUAGCUUCUUAGAGGGACCAUAAUCGCUUAGGCCAGGGAAGUUUGAGGUGAUAAUAUGUCUGUGAUGCCCUUAGAUGUUUUAGGCACAUGUGCGUUACAUUAAUGUAUUCAAUGAGUCUAUAACCUUGAUUGACAGGUCCGAGUAAUCUUUGAAAUUUCAUUGUGGUGGGAAGGUUCCAUGUGAACAACACUUGCACAUGGGUUAGUUAAUCUUAAGAGACGGGGGAAGCUCAUCUAACAGCACACAAUGUGCGAGCUUUGAAAGGCAAUCGGGUUAACAUUUCUGAAUUGGGACAUGACAGCGGACAACAACAUUAGGUAGUCCAAAGAUGUCGUCAUAUUAAUUGUUAUCAAUAUUUUUAUUUAUUCAAUAGAGAUUGAGGAUUAAAAAAAUACCACAAAAAUUAGAAAAAACAAAAUUAAUUACAUGGCUUACAUUUCAAAUAUUUAAUAAAAUAUUGUAUGAAAGUUGAAUAUCAUACACUAUUAAAUGGUUGGAUUCUCUUCUUUAAUUUUUUUAAUUGUCUCAUCCUAUUAAAUUACUCAUCUAAUAUUAAUUUAUUUUAAAGGUGAAAUUAAUUAUAUUGUAAAAAACUUUUAACUGACCAGAGUUUGUGCACAACAUCUAAUAUAUACUUAAAUAUAAUCCUCCAACUAAGAAAUGAAAUCAAAACUUAAAAAUCAUUUAUAUAUAUAGAUAUAUGUUAUCAAGUUUAGGUAGUGAAGCAAUUAAUGUGGAUAUAAAAUUAAUGCCAAAACUUUUGAUUGUUCCUUCACAUUCUCCACAACCAAACAAAGGAUAUAAGAAAAAUAAAGAAAGAAAUUUAGGGUAGUUUGAUUUUUGUUCUCAUCUUGUUGUGAAGUUAAUAGAGGAAUGCUUGGGUUGGUGCUCAAUAGUUAAGUGACAGCAGGGUAUAAUGAUUCUUCCAAUCGUGUAAAUAUUAUUUGUUUUAAUUUCAAUGGAUCAUCGUCACUUUAAAUUGCAUCCACAUGGUUAAGAGCAACUCAUAUGUAUAUAAUAUCAUGAAUUUCUUCUUAUUCGAUACGGAAUAUCAAAUUAGGUAUCUUUCAAUUUUAGGUAUUGUGUAAGUGUUUCAACUCAAAUGACUUGGCUUAAUGUAUACUCAAAGCCUUGACAAAGGAGCGUAUAUGUAAUAAAGUGAAAAUUAAACCUUGUCGCCCUUCUAUCUCUAGUACUCCAUUAUCCCUUAAACAUGUGCAAAAAAAGAUAUACACCUUUGAUACAUUAAUUAAAAUAAACGAUAGAAAAAGAGAUUUUAUAUAUCCAUGUACAUAAUUUGAUUAGAUUUGUUAUAUAUGAGAGAGAGAGAAAAAAAAAAAAACUGUUUAGAUUAAGGAUCUCAUUAAUUAAUACCUAGAAAAUAUAAAAGAAUAAAAAAAGAUUAGAAGGUGUGAAUCAGAAGAUAAGACUACAUUUUUUAAUUAGAUUCAUCGAAAGAUGGCAUAUUGUAUGAACAUUUUUACUCUACAUAUAAAAACUUAUAUUAUGGUUGAGAUGUAUUAAUUUGUCAUAUUUUUGGACAUUUAAAGUAAUGAGUAAUUACACUAAAUUAAAUUAUUGACCUUAUUAAUCAAUACCUCAAAAGUAUAAAAUAGUAAUAAAUGAAUAAGACAAACUUCAUCGAAAUAUUUUUAUGGGCACAUUACGUAAAUAUUCUUAUUUAAUAAAAGUUUAUAUGUCAUUAAAUGAAUAGAGAAUUUUAACAUUAAUUGCAGUGCUAAGUAGAGGAGAUCUCAUAUUUAAGCUGUUGAUUAAGGCUUAUUACUUAAUAAUUUAAGUUGACUUUAAGUUAGAUUAUAUUUAAGUUAUUUACGUAAAAUUUAUUAUUUAUUAUUUAAUAUUUACUUUAAGUAUUAAAGUUAUUUGAUAAAGUUAAUUUAAAAAUCAUUUUAAAUUAUCAAAUUGUCAUAUUUACCUUCAUUAAUUUGAUAACUAGAUGCAGAUAAAUGAAACAAAAAAAAAAUUGAGAUUAAGAAUAAGUUAAUUAAUUUGAUUUAACACUUAAAAGUAACUUUAAGAUAUAAUAUUAAGUUAUUUUAUCAAAUAUAUUUAAUCUAUUUAAUAAUUAAAUUAAGUUAUUAAGUUAAUGAAUGAUUACCAAACACCUUAUAAGACCCAAAAAAUCGAAUGAGUUUUAAUAGUUUCCAGGAUGGGCAUGACUAGGUGGUGGUUCAAUGCUGAUUAAUCAUAAUUCAAUCAAGGCAAAAUAUGUAACAAAUACAUGUCAAACUGCACCAUCCAAAUGGGCGCCAAGAACGUUACAUUUGACAAAUGCCAUUAAACCUCGACAGCUACCAAUUACUUGAAGCUCAUUAACUUCAUCUUAAUUUGAUCCAAAUUGCAGAAACAUGUGAAACUCCAUGAAUCUAUGGUGCUAUGGUGGCCUACAUUCAUAUAACUGGGGACACUUUGGUUUACACUACAAUGACCCCAAACAGGGUUUGUAGAGACUUUAUCAAGAUCACUAGCUUCAAAAGACUAAGGAAAGAAAGAUGUUCUCAAAACUUGGAGUCAAAUUGCAGAUAAAGACCUAAAACUCCCACUUAACGUGUUUGAGGAAUUGUUGUUUCAUGGGGAUAAGCUGUUUGGUUUGUACAUGUCUCCUUGGUGAUACUUAGAGUUCGGCGAAGUAUACGUAUCCUUUGUGAUCUGGUUUGUAUAUGGGCAGAUGAAUGUUGAUGCCAGGUUCAUAUAUGUUUCUGAUAUAUAUCACCCUGGAAGGAUCUAGAUCAAGGGGAUGAGUUUCAAAAGCUUGAGUAGGUUUAAGAUGUUCCGAGAAUUGGUGAGCAUGAUAUAUAUCAAUAUGAUAUUGCAGAAGACAACAGAGCUUCUGAAAUUAAUAUGUCAGGUUCAAUAGUGGGAAAUCUUAUCAGCUGUCACUUACUGUAAUCGUAUGCUCUCAAUAUUCAUUUGUUGAAGAAGAAAAAAAAAAUUGCUUUCACACUAUUCAAUUACAAGAGAAUGUUCAAUUAUAGAAGAAAAUAAUAUUCGCUAGUCUCUUUCAACUUAAUCAACAUGCAGAGAAAAGCAGUGAAUAAUAACUUACAUACAUUGUCUCUCUACCCCUACUUGUUACUCAUCAGCCAAGCUUAUGGUAAUAUAAGCUUGGGUUCAUCUCUCUAUGCCACUGAUGAAAACUCCACAUGGGCUUUGCCUUUCUGGUGAUUUUGCAUUUGGAUUCCGACCCUCUCCAAGUGAAGAGGACCUAUUCCUUCUUGCUAUCUGGACUGCAAAUGGAAGUUAACUGGUGCCAAGAGGAUCAAAAGUUUGGGCUUACCACCAAUGGACAGCUUGUUCUCUAGAGGCUAAGAUAUAUGGAAGACAAAGACUGGUAAUGUGAGCAGCGAACCAGUGCAUGGUGCCAUGCUUGGAGAUGGAAAUUGUAUACCAGUAUAUGGGAGAGCUUCAAGCACCCAACUAAUACCAUAUUGCCAAUCCAGGGAUUGGUGUUGGAGCCUACUGUGCAGUUGCUAUUUUUGAGGACCUGAGGUUUGCAAAUGGAACUGGAAGCUGUUGGAGGAAAAGACUACCUCUUUCAAAUGGGAGGUUGGAUCAAACUGCUGUUUCCAGAAGUGCUCUAAUCAAGAUAUUGAAGUCCAGUGAACUAACUUCAGGCAGAUGCAAGCAAAAUAAAGCAAUUCUAAUACUCUCAGUCCUCUUAGGCCCCUCUGCGUUCUUCUUCUUCGUUUCUCUAGCUGCAAUUUCACUAGUUUUCUACUGCUUGAACCUCAAAAAUCUGCAGCUUUAUCACAGAAUCCUGAGUACAAGCGAUGGUAGAAGCCUUUGGCACUGUCUAUAAAGGGAUAUUACCAUCAGGUUCUGGAAAUUCUGUUGCUGAAAAGUUGGAGAAGGUGGUGGGAGAAGAUGAGAAAGAAUUCAAAGCAGAAGUGAAUGUGAUGGGCCAAACUCACCAUAAGAAUCAAGGACACUUGCUGCGUUACUGUUGUGAGGGUGAACACUGACUACUGGUGUUUUUUUUUUAUGCACAAUGGCUCUUUAUCAAGCUUCCUUUCUGGAGGCGCCCGAAAGCCCUCAGAACACAACUCUUGGAUGAUUCUUUUACAGCCAAAGUUGCAAACUUGGACUGGGAAAGCUUCUGAUAAGCAACCAGACUAGAACACUCACAGGCAUCAGAGGGACUAUGGGGUAUAUUCAGACAACUCGGGCAGCCUAUGUCUCUUAUAAUAACACGUUAUGAAGCAUCAGCUCAAUGCUGGGGUUCAAUCUGCAAAGCAAGGGAUUCAUCAAUGUUUCCUUCAAACUAAAUAAUAAGGAACAGAAAUGGAUCAUUCUGCAUUUUCAGUGGUGUUUGUUAUAGCAUUUAUACAAGAACUCUAGGGGUUUCUAUGUAUAACUUCAUUCCCAUUUUGUAUAAUCCAAAUCUCUUCAAUCGAUUAAAUGUAUAAAUGAAUCCUAUUCAUUGUUUGGAGUAACAACAAAAUUCUGGAAGACUGGGAAAGUUUCAACACUGGAGAGAAAACAAAAUGACAAGACCAUAAAUUCUGGAAGAGGGCUUUGCUUUCUAACCAUUACCAUAAUUUUAGAGCUCAACCCGGAUGAGUAAAUUAUAUUUCAGAAUGUUCAGGAGAUAAUUCUAAAGUGAUGAACCUUCUACUCACAGUUUCUUGUUCUUCUUGAACAGAGCAAUGAACAUCAAUAGUUCAGCACCCAGGAAUCUCCCCUCUCCAAUUCCUCCACUGGGAAAAGUCACCUUUCCAGUUAAGAAAAUCUUCAGGAUUAAUUUGAGCAAAACAUCAGAGUAUACAUCAAGAAAGCCUUGAUCAAAAUCAAAAUACAUCAAGAGCUGCCAUUUUCUUCUAUUUCCUCUUCCUUGAAUGGAAUGCCUUUUGGACUGAGGUGAUCAAUGGUAACAGUCUAACACACUCCUUAAGCUUUGAUUGAGGUCAACGGGGAUUGGCACAUUUAAUGACUUUGAAAUCAUAGCUGUGUGAAGGGAGGCAAACAUGAAUCUCAGGAUAAUCAACAAGUCAACAACUAUCAAUCAGUAAGGAAAAGGAAAAGGAAAUACCUUUGGAUAUUUACAAAUAAAAAAUUUGAGAGAGUCCAGCUGCUCUGUACAGAAAGGCUUGAGCUUAUUCCAUGGCCAGGCUUUAGAUGGUUCUGAAUUACGGAUGAGAGGAUUGAGUUUUCUUUCAUUCUGCAAUAAGAUUAAAAACAUCAAUGAAACACUAAAAGUUUAUAUAUAGAAGCCCUUUAAAGAUGAGAAUUGGUAAGAGAGCUCACCCAUGGUCUAGUAAAACAACAUCUGUUAGAUAAGUAACCACCAUUCGAUUGUCCAGCUAAUGCAUUUAGACAGUCCAAAAUAGCUAAAGACAGUCCAAAAACUCAUUUGACUAAUAAUUUUCUAAAAGCAGUAACAUAAAACCUGGAUGAAGAAUCCACCCCUCUACCUGACACCACUUCAAUACCAAAUAAAAUGUUACGAUGACCAUUUAUAGUCUUAAGAGACAGUGGGUGUUGUUUGGGCUCAAGACCAUCAAAAUUGGCACAGAAACAAGUACAACAACUAUCUAAUAAAGAGAUUUAUGCAUGUAACAAAUGCAAAUGAAAUAUGAUACAAGAAGUUCAUAGAUUAAACAAAAAUAGAUGGCAAAAUAGAAGGAUAAGGUCACAGACAGGACAAUAUUAAAAGAAAUUAUUAUUUUUCCGACCUGAAAAUCGAGGCAUUUAGAACAGUACAAGUUUGUAAGUAGUCCAUGGAAACCAGGGAACUUAUGCAGAUGUUGUAUUCUAUUGCAUAAGGCAAACACUCAAUACUUACAAGCAUAAUCAUGCCCAGAAAGCCAUGAAUCCCUUUUUGUUUUGCUUUUUUACCUAUUCUCAUCUCUUAUUGCCAGAAGUGCCCAGGAUGAUACAACCUCACCAAAUAAGUUAGAAACCAGCCCAUUCAGCAGGUUGAGUAGCCAGCUUGCCCUCAAUCUUCUUUGAGUCAACAAACAGUUGGGCAUUAUUGCCUCCAAUGGAGGGUCUGGAAAUAUUAGAGCCGGCAGCAGGGGUGGCUGUAAAACUCUCUGUUCCAAAACCCCAAGUUUCAGGGCCAGAAGUUCCUUCUUUGGCUGGUUUGUUGUGAUGGCCAUUUCGGGUCCUACCAGACUUGCUAUUGUUGUCUGGGCACCUGCCUCAGAGAAAGCCUGCCAAAGAUUAGAGUCUGGGCCAGGGGAAACGGAUUUUCUUUGCUGGAGUUCCCAGUCUGUUGCUUCAAUCUUUUCUCUGUGCUGUUACGAGAAGAAAACCUAUCAGACACAUGAAUGGGUACAAAAAGGUAAACUUCAGGUUUUGGUUGUAUUGAAAAGCACAGGAAACUUCACAAGAGGCAAAUUAUACCCCAGACUUAUUGAAGAAAAAUGAAGUACAAUUGACUUACCCAAAUGUCUACUUCCUCAUUUAUAGAUUUCCUCCUAAACAAAUCCCCACAUCUAGGACAGGAAAAGGAAGAAGCUGGGAGUCAACAUUUUUUCAACCAAAUGUCAGCACUAACUUAUCAAAAAACAUAGUUUUCCAUUCAACCUCGGGAGCUGUACUUUCUGAUAUUGUCUUCUUAAAGUGCUUAUGAUUGGUGGAGGUGCUUCCAAAAUCACACAACUUCCAUGAUGCAUUAGGGCCCAAUAGAAGAUUCUCAGCAUUUAUAUAAGAACUUCAGGGCUUAUACGUAUGAUCAUGUUACAGUAUAAAUCAUAGUGAACUGGUGGAAUUUGAUUAUUAGCCAACCUCAUCAAAAACUGUUUCACAGUUGAGGGGAUUGUUAACCUUGCCAUGGGCCAAGCAGCAAUUUCUGGAGAAGCUGGGUGACAAAGAGUACCAUCAUUUGGACUAGUUUCAAUGGAAAUUCCUCUGUUUUUAUACAUGAUAUCUUCAGCUUCAGCUUUUCCUUUUGCUUUUGACAUGGCUGAAACUGAUCCUGAAAUAAAAAAUCCCACGCAAGUAGAUAUUUAACAGAAGAGGAUCCGAAUCUCUUCAAUUGAUUAAUGUAUAAAUGAAAUAAUCAAAAUUUUUAGAUAAUUAUAGGGAGAUGAACCUUGUACCUCUGAGUUUCUUAGUCUUCUUGAACAGAGCAAUGAGCAUCAAGUGUUGAGCACCCAGGAAUCUCCCUUCCUAUACAGGGAAAAUCUGAACAAUCUAUCUUUCUUCAUAUUCCACUUCCUUGCAAAAGUCAAAACAUGAAGAAAAUAUCAUCAAAAUUGAGACAAAAAUAAGUGCAUCAACUGUCUCAAGAAGAGAUUUAUGCCUAUUGCUUACCUUUUGCAGAAGUCCACUUGGUUAGAGCACAUUUUACAUGGACGCCCAAUCACUGCAAGCUGCUGAACCAAAGGAGAGUUCAAACAUCUAAAAAAUUUGACUAACUCAAGUAUCAUAAAAUACUUCACAUGAAUUCUAAAUGAUCUCAUAUCUAAAAAACAUUGGCAUAAAAUUAUUGUUGUUUACCUUACAUAUUUCUUCCAUGGUCAUAAUCGAAACUUUGUUUAUCAUAACAAAUCUUCUAUGCUCAUCCUGAUUACUAACAAUGAAAAUUGAAAUGAAAAGAAAAAAAAAACACAAAAAAUGAUGAUUAGUUUGGUUUGAUAAAUUUAGCACACACAAUUCCCUUUUUCUUGCCCGAAAAAGGAAAGAGUAAAAAAAAAAAAAAAAAAUUAAUAAUUUUUCAAAACUAGCAAUUAUAAAUCUAGUUUGGUUCUCAUAAAAUUUAUGGGAAAGCAGGGAAAAAAAAGUGUAAACUUUUUCUCUUGUUUGAUUGUUUAUGGGAAAAUUGAGGGAAAAACAAAUAUUUAUGAGGAAUCUAUUUAACACUUUUGAGGAACCAAAAAUGUUUUAGAUGUUGUCAAAUCGAUAAUUUAAAUGUAUUUAAUUCCAAUUAAAUGAGUUUAAUCAAACACAUGAAAUCGUGAAUAAAAUUAUUUAAAAGCAUUGAAAUUCAAGUCAUUAAAGUUGUCCAUAAAAUUUGGUAUAUUGAAGCAAGAAAAAAACAAAGCAAUUUGAAUGACUUGCUAAUAAAGCAGCUAACUAGAAUAUGCCCUAGAGUUGUUCUGUGCCUUGUAUAUAAGAAAUAAACAAAGAACACAAUAAAAAUAAAAAUAAAAACCAGAAAAUAAAAUACAAACAAACGAAAUAUCCAUGGUUCUUCGUUAUUUUUUUCUUAAUUUUUCAAUGGUUAUUUUUGCAAACCACCAAAUCAAAACAGAGCAUGAAAAUGUGUUCAAUAUUUAUUUCAGGCUUGAAGCUUCAAGAAAAAGAAAAUCUUAAAUCAAAUAAACAAGACUAGCGAAUGAAUUGGAACUUGAAAGAAAAGUUCAUGCGCAAAAGAAUUACCUGACUCUAUAUUGGCGGAGUGGCACUUUGAUUAAUAUAGCACACCAUUGAUCACUAUUUUUGGAACGUGAGCUAUAUAACGCCAUUCUUCCCCUUUCUCAAAUUGACACCGUUUUUCCAGUAAAGGACACCCAUCGAUGACCAGAAAAGAGAGAGAGUCUGGAAGUCUUUCUUUUGUCAAGUAUUUGAGCUUACGACAGUUCAUGAUCACCAAUGUUUUAAGAGAGGUGAGGUGUUGAAGACCCACUUUUGUCAAGGAUUGGAGCAUUCGGCAGUAUACGAUCUCCAAAUUUUCAAGAGAGGUGAGGUGUUGAAGACCCCCUUCUGUCAAGGAUUGGAGCAUUGGGCAGUGUUUGAUCUCCAAAUUUUCAAGAGAGGUGAGGUGUUGAAGAACCGAUCCUAUCAAGGAUUGGAGCCUUGGGCAGUAUAGGAUCCUCAAUAUUUGAAGAGAGGUGAGGUGUUGAAGAUCCGUUUCUGUCAAUGAUUGGAGCCUCAAGCAUCCAUAAAUUCCUAAUUCUUUUAGAGAGAUAAGGUGUUGAAGAACCGAUCCUGUCGGGAACUGGAGCUCUGGGCAGUUUCUGAUCUCUAAUUUUAGAAGAGAGGUGAGUUGUUGAAGACCCCUGCUGUCAAGAGACUUGAGAUCGGGAAAUGAUUCAAUUUGAAGAGAAGUCAGAGAAGAGGGCAGCAAACACUCCUUGGGAAAUAAUUCAAUGUCUUCACAUCCACCUUGGAUUCUUAAACGAGUAAGAGAGGUCAGCCUUUGCAAACCCCACUCCACCUGGGGCGUGAGUUGGUUGCACUUCUUAAUUUCAAGUAUACGUAGGUUGGAAGGCAAACCCUCUCUCUGAAACAACAAUUCUGGACAAUCACAUAAAUACAACUCCUGUACAGAUGACUGUGUGUGUGCCAACGACCUAAGGUUGAAGCACCUAUCAAUCAAACAAGACUCUAAGUUGAGAGCGUGCAAUUCGAUAGAUUCAAGAUCAGAGCAACCAAUUAGACGCAGGGAACAUAAAGAUGUGGGAUCACCCUCUGAAACCAAAAUGGAGAGCUUCUCAAGCCCCUUAAGACCAUCGAUUGUGAAAUCAGUCAACUUGGGGAAGAUGCCUAAUGAGAAGGAUAACGUGAGAGAAUCAUCGAUAACACCACCUUUGAUUUCUAGACUUUCAAGGACUGGGAGAUGGCAUCUGAACAACUCAGGUACGAGAAUCUCUAAUUUCGAGCACUCAGAGAUGAAUAGUGAUUUCAGUGUAGUGGGUAAACCAACUUUGUGCAGGGAUCUAGAAAAACUGCAAUCAUAGAUUUUCAGAUCAUGUAUGUUGGUUUGCGAGAUUUCCUCCUCUAGCAGAGACUCCGCAUUAUCACAUUCUCUAAUUGAGAGCUGGUGUGGUGCCAUUGGAAGUUGACUCCACUGAGACACAUCUAAAAUUUCAAUUUCUGAAGUUUGAAGAGCUGUGAAGUCACAACCUGCCAUUUGCAACUGCAGUUUACCGAAAUCCACCAUCCUCAACUGACGAAUUACAGGAACUGUGAGUGAAGCCAUAAGCAGUUGCGGACAUUCAUGAAUUUGAAGUUCCACCAAUGAAAGAAGCUGUUCUGGUAAUUUCCCAGUGAGUUUGGGACACCUUCGUAUAAAAAGCUUUUGGAGACGAGGGAAUUCUCCACAACAUAACCAUUUCUCCCAGUUCUGCAUAUCCUCAAAUGAUAGUGUUUCUAGGAAUUGAAAGGAAGCAUUCCCAUAGAACUCAUCACCCACACACUCUACUCCAUUCAUCCUUGAGAUUUGCAGAUAUUUAAGCUGGGUUAGCUGUCCAAGUGGUGGCAAUGUUGAGCAAUUGCCACAACCCCGAAGCUCAAGGGACACGAGAUUCAACACUGAAGGAUCUCCAAGCCAAUUUGGAAAUCCUUCACCAGGAUAGUUUGUGAUGGAGAGUUGUUUUAAAUUUGGGUGAGGUUGUAACUUGUUGAGUAUAUCAUGCGUUGUUGCACCACUUUGUGUAACACCAUUGGUACACUCGUCACCCCAAUCAAAGAUUAACUCAUCAAGAUAACUUUUAUCCUUCAUAUUAGCCCUUGAUGCAUCGUUAACACUCACUACAUUCUCCAUGUUUGAAAUAUAAAGUUUUCCUCGAAUCUCUGACAGCUCUCCCAAUUCUCCAAUUCUUAAUCCAUUGUUUUGGCCCACAAUAAAUUGAGUCAACCUUUGUAAACUUUUUAAUUGACCAAUUCCAUGACUUGACAUUUCUCUCAAUGAACCACAUCCAUGAAUAUCAAGAUAGCGCAAAUUAAUCAAUUUUCCCAUCUUUGAAGGCAAUUCAUUAAGUCUUGAACAUUUUAUUAGCAUCAUCGUUUGUAAAUUGUAUAAACAACAUACUGAUUCAGGUAAUUUUUUAAUCCUUGUAAAAGACAAAUCCAAGUGACGCAAAUGUUUCAAAUUGCCUAUUGAUAUAGGCAAAUCAGUUAUGUCAUAUGCACAUAAUGAUAACACGCGUAGACACCACAUUUUUGGUAAUAUAUCUUGCAAAACUCUUUUACUCAAAGUAUACCUAGGAUAGUCUUCCAUUGGCUUCACUCCUAAGAAUGUUCGAAGAGAUUUAGCUUUAGUCAUAGCCUCAAAAUUCUUAAAUGCUACCAAAUCGUUAUAAUCAUCACUAUUAAAGUACAAAAAGUGGUGAGCCUUCUCAGAUACUUUUGGUAAUUUAUCAUCAUCUUCCACUCGAGCACAAAAAUCUCCAGACACAUGUUGAGCCAAUUCAUGUAUUAGAUCAUGCAUUACAAAGCAUGAUCCUUUUCUUCCAAUAGAUUUUUGAAAGAAAGACUUGGCAAGAAGCUCAUCAAAAUAUGACUCACCGAUCUCUUCCAUUCUCCUUCCUUCGUUUUGUUGUGGAUGUAAAAGACCUUCUGCCAUCCAUAAUAAAAUCAGCUUCUCUUUGUAGAAUUGGUGGUCCUGGGGAAAAAUAGAACAAUAAGCAAAACAAUGCUUCAGAGGUAAAGAAAGAUGAUGGUAGCUUAAUAUCAAAGAUGGAAGAAUUUCGGAGCCACUCUGCGGAUGCCAUAUUUCACUUUUCAACACAUCGUCCCAUUCCCUUUUUUCGACCUUAGAAUACAAGAGACAGCCGAGUGCUUUCACAGCCAAAGGCAAUCCUUGGCACUUGUCCACAAUCUGUCUGCCUAUGCGUUCAAGCUCAAGGAAUGCGUUGGAGUCUCGAUCUUGAAAUGCAUGCUUUUUAAACAGGGACCAACUAUCUUCAGAGCUUAAUUUCCCAAGAUGAUGAGUAGGGACUGCUCGCAUGGUUGUUGCAACAGAUUGAUCACGACUGGUCACGACAAUCUUGCUUCCCUCUGCUGCAGCGAGGAGUGGAGUUCGUAGAAUAUUCCAACCUUCACGAUCACUAAGCUCCAUAUAACCUUCAUCACGAGGCUUCAAAUUCCAGACGUCAUCAAGAACAAGCAGAAAUUUCUUGUUACUAAGUUGCUCUUUGAGUUGAAGCUGAAGCAAAUUUAGGUUGUCAGCAGAAGUAGGUGGAGAACGAAUUUCCUCAAGAAUUGUUUUGGUGAGUUUGAUAAGGAGAAACUCAGUGGAAACACAGACCCAUGCUUGCAAGUCGAAGUGUUUCUUCACUUCCUCAUCGUUAUAGAGAAGCCGAGCAAGCGUGGUCUUGCCGCUGCCGCCCAUGCCCACCAUGGACAUCACCCCCAUUUUGUCGCCUGUUGUAUUGUCAGAAAGCAACCACUCCACCAUCUCCUUCUGAAUUUCAUCCCUGCCGACAACAAUGGAGUCAUCCUCCAAAGAAGUGGAUAUUGGUGAUCUUGGUCUUGGUGACCGUUUCUCGCCCCCACCUUCUGCCAGCCCCAACCCAACUUUUUCUAGUGCGAUUUUUUCCAGUAGAUCAAUCAUGCCCCUGACCCUGGACUCCAUGCUUUUGAUAGCAAAUGGAGUCUUCACAGAAGCAGAGAACUUGUUCCAUUUCCACGCCUUAAGAGUUCCGCCGGUUUGGGAGUCAGCAGCUUCCAUCUUGCAACGCAAAGCGUCGGUAGCGAUCUCGUCCAACAGGUCUUCCGCAUCAUACACAGCACCCGUGACAUGGACGAGCCACUCUUUGACAUUUGGGUUUGAAAAUUGCUUCACCUCCGCAUCAUCGAGCACAUUGAGAACAACCACGAGUUUCCUCUUCAACUCGUUGAGGAGUUCAUCGCUAAGGUUCCGUCGCCGAAUGAAGUUUAUGAGCUCUGGAGAAGCCAACCUUUCGAAUAGAACUUGAAGCGAAGCUGAGAGGAGGGCGUCCGCCAUAUCUGUGUCGACUGUUGCUUUGCAAUAGGAAUUUAGAGGAUUGGUUUCUGUUACCGCGAUACCACCAAACUGCAAAAGACUGGGUUUGGAUCACCACACUGCAGAAUGCUUGAAGGAAUCAUUGUUGGUGGUGGACCUAGCUGCCAGAUAUUGGUGGUGGACCCAGCUUCACUGCAGAAUGCUUGAAUACACUGCAGAAUGCUUGAAGGAAUCAUUGUUGGUGGUGGACCUAGCUGCCAGAUAUUGGUGGUGGACCCAGCUUCACUGCAGAAUGCUUGAAUACACUGCAGAAUGCUUGAAGGAAUCAUUAUUGGUGGUGGAUCCAGCUACACUGCGGAAUGCUUGAAGGAUACAUUAUUGGUGGUGGACCCAGCUGCCAAUAUUUGUCAAACACCAUAAUUGAGUGGUGAGAAAAAGAACAGGAAAAGCAAGUGGGAGGUAGAUGCGCUUUCCCCGAGGCGAACGCAAGUGGAAGCUGGAUGGCGCAUGCCCUACAACAACAACAUUCGGUAUUUUUCUUUUUCAUCGACGCAUUUCUUCUUUCUUUCUUCUAGUAUUAUUAUUAGUAGACAUAUGCACACGAAUAUUUGUUUAUAACAUUAUCAUUCAUAAUAUUAUAAAAUUUAUUAUUAAUAAUAUUUAUACUAAUAUUAUUUUUUAAUAAUUAUAUUAGUAUCAUGAUUUUAUAAUUAGUCUCCUUACUUUUAUUGUUUAUAAUAAUAAUAAUAAUUAUUAUUAUUAUUAUAUUAUAUUACGUAUUUUCACAUAAACAAUGAUAUAUGCACAAGACAUUAAAAUUUUGAAUAUUAUGGUUAUUAUUAUUUAAUAAUAAUAUUAUUAUUUGAUUCAAAAAAAGUUUAUAAUAUAAUAAUAACAAAAAUAAAUUUUUUUAAUAAAAUAAAUUAUAAAAAUAUAAUAAUUUUAUUAUUUAUAAAAUAUAUUUAUUUUAAUGUAAUUAAAAAAAUUAAAAUAAUUUUAAAAAAUUUAAAAAUUUUCAAAAAAAGUUAAAUGGAAUGGGAUUAGGAUGGGAUCGAUCCAUCCCAAUGUCAUCCCGUUGUCAUCCUAACUCACCUAAUGAUAAUUAAGGCCAUUUUUUAUCAUUGUUUUUUUAAAAUGGUCUUUUAUCCUUAAUAUAUAUAUAUAUAAUAAUUAGAAAAUAAAACAUAAUUUUUGUUUUUAAAAAUAAAAAAUAAGGCAUUUUUAGAUCAUACCCUUUUAGUUACUUUUACUUGUUUUUAAAAAAUUAUUUUAAAAAGUAAUUAUAUAAAUAUAAAAUAAUAAAAUAAUUUAAAUAAAAAUUAUUUUUAAAAUAUAGAAAAUUAGUUAAGAACACUUUAUCUUCUCAAGCUCUUGUUUUAUAAAAUAUCAUAAAAUAAUUUUCAAAAACUUUUUUUUUUUCACUAUUUUGACAACCUCAACUGGAAUAAUACACAACAAAAAUAAAUAAAUAAAAAUAAAAAGGUCCAAAGAAAGACAAACGUGUCCAGUAAUGCACUUAAAUUCAAUGAACCUAAAAGCCAAAUGUGCAGUGUUGACUUUUCAACCGAGAGUUCACACAUGCCCAUUUUUUAAAGCACUAUUAAUAUAAAAUAUAUAUUUAAAUAAAAAUUAGACUUUUAAAAAAAUUAAAAUAUAUUUUUAAAAUGUUAAAAAAAUAUUUACAAUAUUUCCUUAAAAAAAACAUCUUCCAAAAACAUUUCUUUAAAAAAUACUUCCACCGAUAACAAUUCAGACACACUUGUGAUUUAAUAGUUAAAUAUUCUUUCCAACAGGAAUUCAACUAUCGGUUUGUAUUACCACGAUACCAUCAAACUGCGAAAGACUAAUUUUGGAUUACCAAAAUGCAGAAGAGCUGAAGGAAUCAUUGAUGGUGGACGACCCAGAUGUCCACAUUAUUUGUCAGACACCAUAUUUGAGUGAUGAGGAAAUGAAAGAAAAGCAAAUAAAAAACAAAAAAGGUGAUGCCAAACAUGGUCUUAUAAGGUGGGAGGAGCGAAAGCAACAAAGGAAACUAGCAGGAUUUUUCAUUGCUAUUCCAUACCUCAAAGGACAAAUUUUGAAUUACCAAAAUACAAAAGACUUGAAGGAAUCAUUGAUGGUGGUGGACCCAGAUGUCCACAUUAUUUGCCAAACACCAUAAUGAGUGAUGAGAAAACAAAAGAAAAAGCAAAAAAGGUGAUGACAAACACGGUCUUGUAAGGUGGGUGGAGCAAAAGCAACAAAACAAACUAGUAGGAUUUUUCAUUGCUAUUCCAUAUCUCAAAGGACUAAUUUUGAAUUACCAAAAUAUAGAAGACAUAAAGGAAUCAUUGAUGGUGGUGGACCAAGAUGUUCACAUUUGCCAAACACCAUAAUUGAGUGAUGAGAAAAUGAAAAAAGAAAAGAAAAUGCCAAACAUGGUCUUGUAAGGUGGGUGGAGUGAAAGCAACAAAGUAAACUAGCAAGACUUUUCGUUGCUAUUCCAUACCUCAAAGGAUUGAUUUUGAAUUAUCAAAAUACAGAAUACUUGAAGGAAUCAUUGAUGGUGGUGGACCCCGAUGUCCACAUUAUUUGCCAAACACCAUAAUUGAGUGAUGAGAAAAUGAAAAAAAAAAAAAGUUAAGAAAAAACAAAGAAGUGAUGCCAAACAUGGUGUUGUGAGGUGGGUGGAGCAAAAACAACAAAACAAACUAGUAGGAUUUUUUGUUGUUAUUCCAUAUUGAGAAAAUAAAGGGCUACUCUAAAUAGAUAAAAACACCCAAGAAAGGAGGUGAAUAGAAGUUAAAAAAUUUCUUUUUAAACACAAUAAAAUUAAACACAAGAAGUACAAAUAUAAAGAAGUAAGGUUAUAGAAAGUAAACUCAAAUUUAUAGUGGUUCGACACUUCCUUACUUACAUCCACUCUCCUCAAGCUUCUAAUCGAGUGAGGGUUCCACUUAUACUUGAAGUUUCAACCAAACUUCUUAUCACUUUUUACACUUGGAUUCCAAUUCCAAUGAAGUCUUACACAAUCUCUUCAAGUCUUUACUCACUUGAAGGUUUUAACACUCAAUUAACAAGUUUGAAUCUCUCAACCUAGCUCAACAAUGACUCAAAUACAACUCAAGGCUAGGAUGAAUCACUAAGGUGCACUAAAGAAUAUGCAAAUGAAAAUUUAAUGCACUAAGAAAAUAAUGAGAGCUUUUAUGGCAAUAAUAAGUAGGUAAACAAAUAAAUGCAAGUGUUCUCUUACUCAUAAAUGAAGUAGAGCUCUCAAUUUAUAGGUUUCUAACCUCAGGAACUAAAAAGCCAAAAAACAGUCUCGACUGGUCGAGCUGGGGGUUGACUGGUUCACUAGUCGUUGAAACAUUAAAUGCUUGGCAUGUGACCGUUACCCUCGACCAAACCUUAAUCGAGAAGACAAAUCCAUCAACCAGGAAAGAAAGACUACUAGAAGAUAGAGAAUGUUUUUUACAUCUCUUAACUGGACCUCGACAUAGAAGGAGUAAUCGGUAGACCGGUACCCUAGCUGAUUGAGCCGGUUGGCCAGUGUCUCGACUAGUUCACCAUUUUUAGUCCGAAAACCUAUCUUUUUUUGGUCUUUUUGCUUCUAGCACUUAGGCAAGGACUUUAGAUAAAAUAAUAUGUCAAUUUUGAAAUGUUUUGCCUAAGGUUCAUUUGAUAGAACUCGGAUUUUGAUGGAAAUGUAACUUUAAUGCAUAAACCGAGUUUUAAAGAUGUAUGAAAUGAUAUGAAUAUCUUAAGUACAUUCAUGCAUUCAUCUUACGUAUGUUUCCUAUGAUUAAAAGGUCUUUCAUAAGUCUUGAUCUUGCAUUCAUUAGGUCCUUUAAUGAAUUUCCAAAUUAACACCUGAAAUUCUUUAUAAUUCAAAUCAAUUAGUAACUUAACCAUGAUUUUUUAUCAUCAAAACAUAAUUAGGAAAAUCAUUAGGCUAACACAUACCUUAAAGGACUAAUUUUGAAUUACCAAAAUAUAGAAGACUUGAAGGAAUCAUUAAUGGUGGUGGACCAAGAUGUCUACAUUAUUUGCCAGACACCAUACUUGAGUGAUGUGAAAACGAAAGAAAAGCAAAGGAAAAACAAAAAAAGGUGAUGACAAACAUGGUCUUGUGAGGUGGGUGGAGCGAAAGCAACAAAACAAACUAGCAGGAUUUUUUGUUACUAUUCCAUACCUCAAAUGAUUGAUUUUGAAUUACCAAAAUACAGAAGACCUGAAGGAAUCAUUAACGGUGGAUGACCCAGAUGUCCACAUUAUUUGUCAAACACCAUAAUUGAGUGAUGAGAAAAUGAAAGAAAAACAAAGCAAAGGAAAAAAAACGUGAUGUCAAACAUGGUCUUGUAAGGUGGAUGGAGUGAAAGCAACAAAGCAAACUAACAAAAUUUUUUGUUGCUAUUUCAUACCUCAAAUGACUGAUUUUGAAUUACCAAAAUACAAAAGACCUGAAGGAAUCAUUGAUGGUGGACAACCCAGAUGUCCACAUUAUUUGCCAGACACCAUAAUUGAGUGAUGAGAAAACAAAAGAAAAGCAAAGGAAAAGCAAAAAAGGUGAUGUCAAACAUUAUCUUAUAAGGUGGAUGGAGCGAAAGCAACAAAGAAAACUAGUAGGAUUUUUCAUUGCUAUUCCAUACCUCUAAAUCACCAUAAUAAUAAUAAUAAUAAUAAUAAUAAUAAUAAUAAUAAUAACAAUAACACCAAAUUUUAAGGUUAUUUUUUGUUAUAAAAAAAUACUAGGAAAAUAAAAAAAAAUUAAGGAAAAUGAUUUUUUUCAUAUUUGAUUUCACUAUAGAAAAUAUAAAAGAAAAUCAAAUAUAAUUAAAAUUAAUUUGAAAUUUAUAUAUUUUAAAAGUAUUUAAUCUUUUUAUAAUUUAGAAAAAUAAGUAAAACGAGUUUGAAGAAAUGUAUAAAAAUAAUUUAUUAAAUUUAAAUUUAUUUCUUAUUUUCCUUCAUUUUUUCUUUUCUUCUACUUUUUCUCUCUAUUUUCUUUCCUUCUCAUUUUCCCUCAAAUUUUCCAAGAGCCAAACAUAGCUUAAAGGUUUAGAAUCUUAUGCACAAGACUUUCAAUUUUUUUUACAAUAUUAUUUUAUUAGUUAAGAAUUAAAAUUUAAUGUACCAUAUCUAACACUAACAAAAAAAUUUAUAACAACCGGUCUUAUCUUUUAAGAAUGUAUUGUUUAAAUGAGAUUAAAAAUUAAAAAUAAAUUUUAAUUCAUUUAACAACUAAAUUAAAAUGAAAUUUAUAUAUAUCAUAAAUUUAUACAAUUUUGAAUCAUUUUAUAUGGAGGAUUGAGAAUGGAGAGAUUGAAGAAUUGUUUGGUGACGAGGAGAUUGAUUGAAGAUUUUAUAGUCUUAAGGUUCUAUGGGAUGAAUUUUUUUGUAAAGAGUUUAAAUUUUUGUAAAAAAUAAAAUUAGUUUUAUGUUAUCUUAUUUCAUGGAAAUAUAAAGUUUUAAUUCAAAGAUUAUGUUUCAAAAAUAUUAUUUUUAAAAUAUAUUUAGUAAAGAUUUAUAAAAAUUUAAAAUAAAAUUUAAUUAAUCUAUAAACUAAAUUAAAAUAAUAUUUAUAUAUUAUUUUUAUAGAUUUACAUGUAUAAAAUCUUUAAAAUGCCUCAACUUAAAAUAUCCUUACAAAAUUUCAUUAAUCUACUAGCAAUCCGCCUAUUGUCUCUAUAUAGAGUCUAUUUGCAUUAGGAUGAAUACCAUCAGAAUAAUAAUUACGUUCCACAUAUGACAUAUCUUAGCUUCCACUUGGAGGUUAAAAAUCAUUAUGAAGAUUUGGACAAUAAUUCAAGUAGGCAUCUUUGAAAUUUGACUUCCAAAUCCCUUUGUCAAUAUACACCACCCUAUGACAAUUAAAUAAAUUAGAAGGAAAAAAAAUGUUGAAGGAAUGACAUAAGAAUAAUUUAUGUAUGACUAGAUUUAAAGUUUAAUUAUAUGAGGAAUCCUUCAUUAUGAAAAUAUAAGGAACAAUUAUAUUUAAGGAGUGGAUGGGGUUGAUAAUGACUAAAGGGUACAAAUUUUGCAUAAUUGAACUAAAAAGGUAGAAAAAGUUUGUAGAUUGUUGUGGAAGAUAUAAACCCAUUUUGUGAGUCAAAAAUGCUCAAAAUACCCUUAAGAGUGUUUUAAAAAAAAGGACAAUUAAGUACUCAUGAUAAUUAAUAUAUUAAGAUUUCAAGAAAAAUUAAUAAUAAAUAAAAUCUUUUUCUAAAUCUAUUUAACAGUCAUAUAGUUUUUAUUUUGUUUUAUUUUUUCAAGUUGCAGCUAUUAUCUUAAUUUAUUUUUCAUUUUAAGGUUCAAUUAUUAUUAUUCUUUAUUUUGAUUAAUUAAAUGAAACUGUAUAAGACAUGUUUAUAUUAAUUAACUAAAAAGGAUAGAUUUUUUAGCAAUAGGAUUAAAAUAAAUAAAAACAAGGAAUUUGAUUUUCUUUAUGAAAUAGAUUGGGAAAAGUAUAUUUCGAUACAUUCGUAUGAAAAAAAAAAAUCAUAAAAUAGGAACUCAAGUUUAUAAAAUACAAAUUUUAAACAUCCAUCUAAAAAUAAUUAUCAUUUCAUGCAUUUUUUUUGGGUCAAAUAUAUUAUAUUUGACAAUUUAGGUAUUAUCUUUUAAUAAUAUAGGUACUACCUUCACCUGCAUAAAACUUGAAUUAUUUUUAGAUAGUUUAUAUUAUAUAAUUAGUUAAUCCUUUGAUAUAAAUAUUAAAUAAUUAAAAAAUAUAUCUUUUUUUUAAGAAUUUUAAUUAUAUUUGGCUUUCUUUUGUAUUUUCUAUUGUGUAAACCACAUAUAAGAAAAUCAUUUUCUUUUACAUUUUUUUUCUUUCCUUGAUAAUUUUCGAGAACCAAACAUGACUUGGAGGUUUGGAUAAUAGGGUAUAGAUGCCAGAAAUACUGGAAUGGGUUCAGGUUUUCCAUGCUAAAGGUCUUUAUUAUUAUUUGGUAGCACUUUUCCAAAAUUGUUCCAUUCCCAAAACCACUUAAUUUGCUUAAAUAUUUUUACCUCACGAUAUCAUAACAUUAUAAUGGAAUAGAUUUUGUUGGUGUUCAAAUCAUGUCAACUCAAUUUCCAAACCAUUCGGAUUGUCAUUUGGUGAAAAAUAGAAAGAAAUUUUACUUUAUUGAAAAGCAUUUCAUUUUGAUUUGAAUAUGCUGCAAUGAAAUAGUUACUAAACCAUGGGGUAGCAGAAGAAGUAAUCGAGAAAAUGAAGAAGGAUGUUCAAGAUUCUUUAUGCUGCCAUUGGAGGAGAAGAAUGCUUACACACAGCUACCAAAUAGCAUUGAAGGUUAUCACAAAGAAUUACUCAUUUUAUCAAUUUUUUAGAGUUUUCUUUUCAAUAUUUUUAUGAGUUUUGAUAAUUUUCAACAUUUUAAUCCUUACUUGAUGGCACUUUGCUCGAGUUUCCACCUUGUAUAUCAGGGCAAUCUUAGAUGAGUAUUGAUCAGAGCUCCAAAAGGUUUCAAUUUGCCUAUUAAAGUUGAUGGCCAAGAACCUUAAGAUCAAUCCUAACCAGCUCACAAAUAUAUUUGAGAAUGGAAGACAACAUGUGAGGAUGAAUUAUUUCCCCCUUGUGUGCAUGCAAGAAAGGUUGUGGGCAUUUAUAAACCUAUGAGCAAUGAGGAGUUUUCAAGACUUCGCCUGAGUAGAGGAAACUUAAUGGUAAGAGUACAAUAAGUCAUAUGAAAUUGGAGAAUUGAAAGAGCAUAAGAACCAUGUUUUAUUAGAAGACCUGUGAAAGUUUAAUCAGUCAUGGAACUACUAAGAGGGGAUGAAUUAACAGUUUUCUUAAAUUUUGUUCAAAGUUUAUGAAUUUUAUUUUUUAUAAUUUUUUUUACUUAGAUUGAAACUUAUUAAUCAAGGUAAGAUUUCAGUCACAUCGAGAAACAAACAUUUUAUGUGAAAAGCAACUGAUAAAAUCUUGAGUUUACAGAUGUAAAAACCAUAAGGCCAAAGACUGUAGAACUCCAACCCCAUUGAAUCAAGAAUAGAAACACAAAUUUAUCUACUAACCUACACUAAUCUCUUAUCUACAAUGCAACACCGUUAUAGUCUUAAGUGACUUGAAAGGAUGUGAAUCUUUCUCACAAACUUCAUAAUGAAAUUCAAAUUAGCUUUGAGAGUUUAAGAGUAAUAAUGCAUAGCUUUUGUGUGCGAGUUUUUAAGUGCUCCCCCAAAAGACAUAUUUAUACCCAAGUGAACUUAAGACUCAAUUUAAAGCAUGUAUUUUACUAUAAAAAAAAAUUAAAUACAAAUUUAAGAAACUUCAAGAAUUUUGGAAAGAUAAUUUUAAAAAAAAAUUCAAAGAGAGUCAGAAAAUGUUUCCUUUUUAAAUUCUCAAUUUAAUUUAUUUUCAAAUUUCUUAAGAGUUUAAGAAAUAUUUUCUUUUUAAAUUCUCAAUUUAAAACUCUCUUUUAAAUUAAUUUUCAAAUUUCUUAAGAGUUUAAGAAAUAUUUUCUUUUUAAAUUCUCAAUUUAAAACUCUCUUUUAAAUUAAUUUUCAUGUAAGUCUACUCUAUACAUUUUACAUCGUUAUUCUCAAUUAACUCAAAUGUAACAUCCCCGAUUGAUUUUGCACCAACCUUAAGUCUUCAAAGACAAUGAUUGAGGCAUUUCUUCUCCUAUUUUCUCCGAUGUAGAAAAAAAAAAAAAAAAACUAGAAUAAGGUUAAGGCAUUUCUUCUCCUAUUUUCUCCGAUGAAAAAAAAAAAAAAAAAAAACUAGAAUAAGGUCAAAGCUGGUUUAUAGCAAAAAGUCUUAAUUUGAGUUAGCCUUUUUUUUUUUUCAAAUGAUAUGCAGGUCCAUCAAACCUUCAACUCAAAUUUUUUAUUCAAAGAUCACAUGUGGAUAUGUGAACAAGUAAAAGUUGAGUUUUACCUAACAUAUCAUUUUGAAAAUUAGGAAAUUUAAAAGGUCUUAGAUUGUUGAACUCACCACCCUAUCUAUUCUACAAAACAAGUAGAUUAGCAAAGAAAGAAAUUGUACCCACGAGUAUAGAGUUUUGGGUUAAAACGACCCUUUUGAUGGGAAAAAUAUUAAAUUUAACCACUUUGUCAAACUUAUGUGUAAAAUGGUUCUUUUAUUACCACGUAGGAGUCAUAUCACUAAAAUAUAUACAUAUUUUUAAUUUAAGUUGAAGCCUCAAUUACCAAUUAAGGCUUCAAUUGUCAAUUACGAUUUUAUUUUUUAACCCGAAACCUUACUUGUCAAUUGAGGUUUUAACUAAAAAAUGAAACCUCAAUCACCGACUGAAACUUAAUUUUUUAAUUGAAGCCUCAAUUGAUAAUUGCGAUUUUAUUUUUGAACUGAAAUCUCAAUUGUCAGUUGAGACUUUAUUUUUGUGGAAGGAUUACGUGACACUCACGUGACUAGAAAAAAGCCAUAUUGAAUAUUAGUUUCAAAAGUGGCUUAAAAGAUAUAUAUUUAUGAUCAAAGAUGCCAUUUUGACCCAAAAUCCCAUGGGUGCAUGAGACUCUAGUUAAUCAUAGAUUUCAUAAAUAAAAAUAAGAGUUAGGAUGAUUCAACCCCAAAGCAUCAAGAAUUCUUUAACAUAAUGUUAGAACAUUUUCCAAUUUAAAUUCGAGAGUUAACUUUAUUUGAAUAUGCUUUUGAUUUUUUUUUCUUUUUUUAAAAUAAGCUUCAGUGUUUUUUUCAUAAAAAAAAAAAUAAAAAUAGGAGCUUCUAUAUAGAAAGAAAAAUUUUAUCCAACAAAUAUAAGGCUCACCUUAUAUCCUUAUAAAAAAUUUAAAAUUCAAAAUUUUUUAAUACCUCAAAAUUUUUAAUCAAUAUUUAAAAAUCAUUAUAUUUUCAAUAUGAUCCUUUAAAAGUUUAAAUUACCUAUAUUUUUUAUUUUCAAAAAUACAAAAAAAAGAAUGAUUUUUUUUUUUUGUUUUUUAAUUAUUAAGAUGAAUGAAAUAAUCGCAAAUUUGCAAAAAUAACUUCUUCCAUGUUUGAAUUUGAAAAAUAACUCAUUUCCAAUAUAAAUACUCUUCAAUAUUUGGAUUAUUUUAAUAUAAAUUUUAGAAGAAAGUGUUACUUUGACGGGAAAACAUGAAAGACAUUUUUAUUAAAAUUUGAUCUUUUUUUAAGGCUAAAAUAUAUGUAGGUUUAUAUUUACAAUUUGAGACCAUUUCGUCCUCUUAAUCAAAUAACUUAAAAAAGAAAAGAGUUAAUUCCACAAGUGGGUUUAAAAUACUCACAAAAUUGCAAAAUAUAUCUAUAUAUAUAUAUAUAUAUAUAUAUAUAUUACCCUUACUUAAUCAAUUCGUGUGUUGAGCACAUGACACUUCCGUUCAUUAAAGCUAACACCGUUAAAUAACAAAUGUACAUUGUAGCUAUUUAAGAAGUAUGAAGGGCACAUUGCUUAAUUUUAGUACAUGGUGAGAAACUUGUUGAACAAGUUAUGUGUAAAGUUUUAUGGUUCAUGUAUGAUAGGAAAUAUAGAUCUACUACAACACUGGAUUUGCAAUUUGGGUUAAUAUUUAAAGAAAAGACAAUAAGACAAAAAGAAUUAAACUUUUGGUGGAAAACAAUAAAGAAAGGACUACAUGGAAAAAGGGAAGAGAUCAUUAUAAAGGAAGAUUAUUGAAUAGAAAUAAUUCCAAGAACAUAAGGCAAGACAUAGAGUAUCACUACUACUAUCACAAAAAGGGCUAUAUCAUAAAAUUUAUGAAAUUUUGAAAAAGACCUAAAAAAUGAAGACAAAAAAAAAAAAAAAAAUCAAAGAAGCCUACAAGUGUAACUAGUGUUCUUAAAGUUAAGAAAUGAAGGUAAUAAAUCAAAAGCAGAUUUGUUAAUAGUUUUUAAAAUGCUUGAAUUACAAAUUGUCUACUUGUACCAUACGAGCCCUUGUAAAAACUGGUUUGACAUGUAAAUUGUUUGUAAAAUCAUUUUAAUGGGCAAUGAUGCACCAAGUUGCUCUAUGAGAAGCGUAGGGGUUUGCGAAACCAUCGCUUGUCGUGGCAUACAUCGUUGGGGAAUGACGGAUGAGGGCAUCCAUGGGAAGCCAAUGUCUACCCUCACUCCACACCCCUCUAGUACAAGGCUCUGGGAGGGAGAGAGGCAACAAGUGUGUGACACUAAGGUAAAUAUGCCCAACCUUAUGGCUUUGGGAGCAACGUGCGUUUAAAGACUUGAUAAUUCACAAAAUUCUACAAUUCAUACCAAGUAUUGCAUUUAACGACGUUCUUUAUCAAUGAGAGAGCCUAGAUAUCCAUUGUCAAGAAUUAUUUAUGUAUGAAAACAACAACACCUAACCGACAUGCCCAAGAUCAAGGCAACUAGAAGCUCAAGUUACUUAGUGCGUUUUGUGCCGAAGUUUGUUGUUUACUCAAGAGGGCUUUGUGAAUAUUUGUAAUAAAGGGAUAAUACAGAGUGAGCCGUAAUUUAGCAUCUUACACGCUCAGUUUCUUCCAUUGGUGGCAUAUAUUAUUUUGUUUGUCAUUGAUGAUUAUUUAAUAAAACUAUGAGAGUAUUUCAUGAAAUAUAAAUAAGAGGUUUUUGGGAUAUUUAAUCGAUGGUAAACAAAAGAUGAAAACUAAGUAGGGAGGAAGAUAAAAUAUUUUAGAUUUGAUAGUGGACUUGAGCAUUAGAACAAAAAGUUCACAAAGUAUUGUGAGAAUUCUUAUAGUACUUAACAUUUCACAUGUAUAGAAAUUACAAAGCAAAAUGGAGUGGUUGAAAAAUGAAUAGAACACCAUUGGAAUGACUAGGUGGCUAAGAUUAACCAUUCGGUUACUUAAGAAUUUAAGGGUUAAAGCUAUCAACAUAACUUAUCAUGUAAUUACUUAGUUGUCAAGUUUUACAAUUAUUUUCAAUAUUCCAAAAGAAGUGUCAAGUAAAUCAAUUGACUUUUCAUCUAUUGAAAUAUUUGAUUGUUGCACUUAUCUUCAUAUAUAGGUGAAAAAAAAAUUCAAUCCAAAAUAAAAAAAAGGUAUAUAUUCCUUGGGUUUGAAAAAAGGAUUAAUUAAAGACUGUAGAUUUGGGGAUCCAACAAUUAAAGGAAAAAAAAAAGUGGUGAGUAGAGAUGUAUUCGAUGAAAAACAUAUGUUAAAGAAAGAUCAAGGACAAAUGAAAUUGUUAUUGAAAAAAAAUUCAACUACAUGACCAAUCAUCGAGAUGAAAUUUGAGGAAAAUGUCGUUAAAUACGGAAAUGAAAUCCCUCCUAAUCGAUGUCCCUAUUGGAACUUUAUAUGGGCAUCUUUCUCUAUUGCUCUAAAGAAUCAUCGGAUUGGGUAAGGACAUCAAUUUGAAGAUUUUUAUUUUUUUUCAUUAUUUAUUGGAAUAGGAGAUCUUUAAAUUUUUUUGGGGCACAAUUAGGAGGGAUGAUAGUUAUCAAUGUCUUGGUGCUAUGUCAAAUGAGAAUCCAAUGCACAUGUUGACUAAAGUUGUUCUUAAGGAUAAGUUCAAGCAUUAGUUGAAUGUCAUUAAUUUUUCAUUUUGUAGAACAUGGAAGGUCAAUUUUAUUGAAGAGCUAGGUUAGUCAACUUCUAUUAGGACUUCUAUUGAUUCUUGAUUUGACUAGAGGGGCUCCUAGCAGUAAACUUGUAUGGAGGGGCCCUAUGGAGACGCAAGAGAUGCAAGAGCUGCCAAUCGGAUCGACCAAUAAAUGAUAGGCCCAUACAGAAAUGUCCCUAAAAUAGGGGAUUGGUUGAUUGGAAAGCUUAGGCAGAGUAUAAAGGAGAACAAUUUAGCAUUUUGGGAAAAGCACAUAUGAAGAUGUUUACAAGUUUGGAAAAUUGAGUUAAAGAAGAGAUGGUCUAAAAAUGUUUCAAAUUUCAAUUUUAUGUUUUUCUAAGUUUGAUAUAUCCUGUUUGGAUAUUUGGGAAGUCUUCUCUUGUUACAUAAGAUAGUCCUAUGAUGAGAUUUGUUAUGAAAAUAGGUUCUUCAUCGUGUGAAAUAUUCCUAUGAAAUUAAGAAGGAAUAUAGGAAGAGUUUUGAUUGAAAUUAUGAAUCUUUUUUUAUGUAAUUAGAACUAAAAUAUGAGAGUUUUAAAAUUGUAAUUACACCUUUGAAUAUAAAUAAUUGAUAAUAGUGAAUUAAUUUACCUUCUCCCUCUAGAUGUAGGUAAAUGCUAAAUUAUGUUAAAUCUUGUAUUCUCAUAUGAUUUUUUUUUUCAUUUAUUUUUCAUUUUCUUGCCCAUUUCUAACUUGCUAGUUGCUACUACAUAAUAACAGGUGGUAUCAGGCUUUUUGUGUUUGCACAACAAAUGGUCUCAGUUUUUCUAGCACCACAAAAAUGAUAUUUUACUUAAUUGCUCCUCAGUGGAAAAGUUGGAAAGAAAAAUUAAAUCAUCGACUAUACAUUUUUUUUUUUUCAAAACUUUUCUUGUCUUUGGCAAGAAAAUUAGUAUAUGAAGUAUAAAAGAAUUAGAAAAUAUUCAAAUUUUAAAUGAUUUUUAUUAUACUUUGUCCACUUCCUAUUUCAUAUAUCAAAUUACAAUAGAAUUUAAAAUUCUUUUAUAUGUUUUUUCUCCCUUUGCUACCACAUAAAUGCAAAGACAUUAUGUGAGUUAAAUACCUUAAAAGAAAAAGAAAUUAAAAUGUGAUAGAAAACAAAAGUAACCUCUUUAAAUUCAAGGAAACAAAACACUAAACUUUUUCAUGUAUCUUAUUCCAUUUAUAAAUGCAACAUGACAAAAAUAGACAAAAAUAUAAAUGGGAGCCCUUCAGGUCCUUUAUUUUAUAUUUUAUUAACUUCAACCAAUUCUAUUUCUAUAGCACAACCGAUGUUAUAAAGUUCAAUGAGUAUAUAAUAUAUAAAGAUACUAAUCAAUACGAAUUAUUCUUUCCUUCAAAUGGCUACUUGUAUUAAAAAUUAAAUGUAAUUCCUCCUAAACAAUAAAAUAUGUUGACACGAUUUCAAUGAAUAUACAGUACAUAAAGAUAUGACCAAUUAGUACGAAUUAUUCUUUCUUUUAAAUAGCUACUUGUACUAAAAUAUAAGUAAACGUAAUUCCUCCUAGAUAAUAAAAUAUGUUGACACGAGGAGGAAUAUAUUUACUAAUUAUAUCAUUUGCAAUAGCCUCAAUCUAGCGACGUUCUUCGAACCAACCAUAGACUUUAUUGAGAUAGGUUAACCAAGGGAGCUCCCACUCUCAUAACUCGUAUAUGAAAAUUUCAUCUUGUACAACUCAAAUAGAAACCCAUAAAUACUGGUUGAAACCAAAAUGUAAUAAAAAAUAAAAAAAAACAUAUUUCAAUGGAUCCAAUUAGUAUUUUUCCGAUCUCACAAACAAAUUUUUCUUCAUUUUGUUUUUUUUUCAUUAAUCUUUGUAAGUAAAUUAUAUUUUAAUUUAACAAAGCACUAAACUUUAAUUUUCAUGCAGGAUCAACUAGCUUUUCAUAAUAAAAUUUAUCAAUAUAGCUGAGCAGAGAUUUGAUGUAAUAAUACCAUACAAAAUUCAAGUAAAAUUAAAUUAAUCAAAUAGGACACUAUGGUUAUAUUUGGAUACAUAUUCUAUUUUUUAUUUUUAAAAUUAAAAUUUUGAUAUAAAAUAUGACAACCCUUUGUAUAAAAAAUAAAAAUUUAUCCUAUAAUCUUAAAACUACUUUUCAAUAUUUAAAAAAAAGAAAAAAAGAGGACGUGUCCUAAAAUUUUAAACAAAUUUAAAAAUAUUUUUAAAUACCCAAGAUAUCCACUUUUUUCUUUUUUUAAUAAAAAUUCCUAUAUUUUAAUAAAACUCUAUUUUAAAAAAUGAAAAAUAAAAAAUGUAUCCAAACAUAAGCUAAAUUGUUAGAUUUUAUUGUGAGAUUUCUUAGAUUCUACAAUUCAUAGUGAAAUGAAGAUGAGAGAUAACCGACUGAACUAUGAAAAAAAAAAAAUUAACAUUGAUGAGAUUCAAAAAUGCUAGUUAAUGAAAGAGUUUCUCCGCCAGGAUGACUAAGAAAAAUGCUGAAAUAUGUGUCAUGCCCAAAGCAAUGUUACAAUGAAGAAUAGAAUGAGAGCUAACCCGAAACAAAAUCCGACAAUCGCCAUGAAAGCCUGGAUGCAGAGGAAAUGUAACUAGAGACAUGUAAGGAAUCAUUAAGCAAGUGAGAACAAUAUCAAAAUCUCAUGUACGACUUACCUUUCCCUGAGAUUCAAACUUGAAUUUUACUGUAAACCAUGACAAUCCUCUAUCUACAAUAGGAGCAAGUGCAAGGGCCCUGCAUGAGAAGCACCUCUACAAAAAUCACAGAAAACCCAAAGGAAAAAAAAAAAGAUUAAAUAAAUAGAAACUAGUCUACCAGAAACCAGGAGGCUGCAACAAAUAAUCUCCAAAUGUCAGAUUUAAUAUUUAUUUACGAAUGCCGCUAAAAGGCCUUUUCAUCAGAGAAAUCUAAAAUAAAAAAGUAUAAGGAGCCAUUUGGAUUACAGAGGUCAAAGAUUGGGUUGGAUAGGAGCAAGUUUAACCUCUCAGUAAAAAUGAAAAUGCAAGGCCCAUCAUCAACGCUAGGUUCAAAAAUUGACACCAUUUCUUGAAGACUUUCUUUUUUCAUUCUUCAAUUGUCAUUUUGAUUCAAAGAAGCGGCAGCAUGAUAGACUAAACAAUCAUCAUAAACCCAGUUGCAAGUUAUAAGGAUAAGAAAGAAAAUGAACAAAAAACAUAUAUGAGAGAACUGAUAGGCCAAAAAAAUCAUUGUUGAAGGAAUCGAGCAUAAAUCUCUGAACAAAAUUUAGCUGAAAUUCACUGAUUUUGGGUUAUUUUGUGAUAAGAGCAUUGCAAUAUCCCAAUAAACUGUUACGCUAACUAAAGAUUUAAAACAGAAUUUAGCUGCUUACCCUCCAGCUCUGACAAGUUUAGUGACCUGGCUGCCUGCCCACACCAUAGCCAUGAUUUUGACAAAUCUGCCAAUUGGAUUCCAUAUGUCAAGAUAUUUUGAAAAACUUGUGCAAAAAGAAACUUUUUGGAAUAAGUUUUUACCUUUCAACUGCCGCCAAAUAACCCAUCCUUCCUGGUGCUGGAGCAAUAUAAAACCUAGAAGCAGCAUAGUGAAUUCAGAGUUAUACUGGUUAUUUGAAAUCUACUCUGAACACCUAUGAUAGAGACUGCAGGAUGUGGUAAAACACUAAGGCAUAUUUCAAACUACAUUAUAAGGUAUUUGAUUAGAAAAUUAAAUAAAUAAAUAAAUAAAAUAACAUAACAUAAAAUACAAAAAAGAAAAAAAAAAUUAACAAACUGAAUUUGUCCAUAUGCAACAAUAUGCAAUUGUUAGCCAUGAAUCCCAGUUAUGUCGGUUUCCAGUAUUAAUAAUUAAGCAUGAUGUUUAUGAACUAGACCAGCAUUCUAAUAACUCUAGAUUGAAGGGCAUGGAUGUCACAUUUGUAUUCCAUCAUGUGCAACUAACAUCACAUUGAAAUAAUAUCCACUAAAGCAAGUUAAGACCCAGUAUAUCAGAUUAAAAUUUUCUACCAUGAAUAUAAGCUUGAUAAAAAUGAAGAUGGAAAUGCAAUACUUCUUUAUAUGACAUAAUGAAGGGAACCAAAUACAAGGACUCCCCAUUCCAGAUGCAGAAAGCCAAGUUACAACCUUUGCCAAAUAAAGAGAUCCACCAUAAAUUCAUUUUUAGACAUGCUAUAGUUGAAUAUGCCAUCAAUAAGUGAUCAAAAGCCAAUUCAGAUGGGAAUAACAGCCACAAUGUUGGGAAGGUCAAUAACAAAAGCAUUGACUUGAAUGUUGGCAGUGUCAUUUACACUGGCCAUAAGAACCAGAGGUAAUGCAUACAGUUGGUAAGGUAGUGAGAAGGGGAUGAGAAAUUGAAAAUUCUUGAAUUUAAUUGUUUCAUGCAAUUCCGUUUUCCAAUACUCUAUACGAUAAUAUACAUUGUACAGCACAAGAAUAGGGUUGUUUUAAAAUUUUGAACAAAUAAAAAUUUCAUAUCAAUAUCUAAUAUUUAAUAAAAAAGAAUGAAACAAGAGUAAGUACAUUCUCUUCUCCUUAACAUGGUAUUAAAGCAGUCUCCAAAUUCUUAACUCCUAGUUGCAAACUUGAUUUGCACUGGAAGUUGCAGUUUGCUCAUUUUGUUAUUCAAGUAAGUUACUUCAAUCUAUCAUAGUUUAAAUGACUUGGGAUGGUAGUUGUCAUGGGCACGAAUUUUCCCACAAAUUUUUCGCAUUCACGCAGCGCUUAGAAGCCCUCUAAGCCAACAUACUCAAACCCACAUGAGAUUGCAAUCAAGAAAAAACUCACAAAGACACACAAGGCUAUGGAGCUCAAUCCCUAACUUGUAUUUUAUUUCUUCUCUAAAUAACAAUACAAGACAUAGCUUAACAAGACUUCCACAAUCUCUUUGGUGAGUUCAUGCUCUCUCUCAAGCUAUGUUUUAAGAAAGUUCCCCCUCUCAAUAUACCUCUGUAUAUUCUCUAUGAUCUCCAGAUUGCACGAUAAUUCAAAGGGCACUCCAGUCCUCCUUUUAUAGGUGUGACACCAACCACUCCCUAUUUGAUAAGGAGCAAGGAAUCCUAGUUCUACUCAAACUACAAUUAAAAUAAGAAUCUAAACUCUUAUUCAAACUCAAAUUACAAUAACAAUUUGAAUUCAACUCUGAACUUUCAAAUGUCUUCGGCCCAUUCCUCAUUCAUUUGAAACUCCUUGUAUCAGGCCACAUAUCAGCCCUUCAAUUCCCUGGUUUGUGGUGCAAUACAUCUUCCUUAAGCUUGUCCCAAUGCCAAGACAUCUUUGUUGUGUUCUGCCUGAAGUCUACCCACUCUUGUGCCUUGAGUCAGUCCAUUCAUGCAUUUGAAUCAGCUGAUGCAUCUGAUCAGCUUGCUAUAGCGUCUCUAGGCAGCCUACUACAUGUGUCUCUAUGCAACUAGUGUGCAUGCCAAGCCCUCUCUUAGCCUACAGAUCUAGCAAUUUUCCUUGGUGCCAAUCUUUCCUUUGGCUGUAACCCCUUGUUGUUCCUUGAGCGUGUCAGUCAUGCUCAUAUGUGUUCCCGCAUCUGGAUCACAUCCAUGCUGAGGCAACCUGCCCAAGUUUGCUCUGCCUAGCUGUUGUUAUGGCAUCAUGCCAUGCCCAAGCCCUCUUCUUGGUGCAGCAACGAGUCAUGGCAUUGCACCCAUGACUCCUCAUCUCUAUGCACAAGGCAUUGUGCCUUUGUGCUAAGCAUUAGGCAUCACAUCUGAGUCGGCUUCCCUUAUCUCUAUGCACAAGGCAUUGUGCCCUUGUGCCAAGCCACCUCAUUGCACAAGGCAUUUCCCCCUCAUGCUACCAUCGGGAAGGGAAGACUGCAUAGCACCCCAUGUCGUUGCAACCUUGAGUUGCACACCAUCACAUGUCAUGGAGCCCAUAUAUGGUUGCUAGCAAGGCUUGCCCAUGUGCCUUGCUCAUGUUUGAGGACUUGCACCAAAGCCCCUAAGUGUGGCCAUGCCCAUGCCACCUCGUCUCCCUUGAGUCACCCCCACCCUCACCCCCCUUAAAAGAGCAUUUUAAGCCCUUUUAAUUAAUUCAAGAAAAUCUAGAAAAUUCCGCUUCCACUUGGAGUCUCCCUUUUGAAGGUUCCUAUAAAUCUUUUAUCUCUAAGCAAAUUAACCAAGUCACUUAAUUGUUUUGCAACAUUCCUUCCCUUCCCUUAGUGUAUUUCAAGAUCUCUUAAUGAACAAGACAAUUGGUGGAGGGCAUGAAGUAAAUGGAAUUUAUCACCAUAUUGGCCCACCUCUUACUCCAAUUGCUCUACGUACUUCCAUUUCUUCUAUGUAGUGGCACACCUUUCACUUCGCAUCUUUAGCAUAUGGGACUUCUAGUUAUAUUGGACUCCAAGUUAAAGCACCAAGUUUGUGAGUCAAGCAAAUAGCAUCACCAUAGUGUUGUUCUAGUCCUUUUUGUUCUAUAAUCAAUAAGAGGAGUACUAGUCCUUUUCAUCUUGUUCAUUUAGACAUUUACAGUUUAUGUAGUGUUGUUCCUAAUGUUGAACUAAACUUUUUUAUUGCUAUUUUAUUAAUUAGAUCAAUGAAAAUGGUAUGAGCAUAAAGAGGCUGAAUAAUAGGUACUAAUCUCUUAAAAAAACCUAUCUUGUAGAAACAUCAUCAGGUGACUAUGCACAAGUAAAUGGUCUGAAAAGGCGUGAGAAAAACAUUCAUUUUUGUGCAACAACCAAGUAUUUGCAUCUUAAUCAACCAAAGAAUAAAUGGCUGAAGACAAUAAAUGACUGAACAAAAAGAAAAUCAUAAGUUUUAGGCCAGACACUUUUUUCAUCAAUUAUAUACAACAACAAUAAAUCAAAUAGUCCAAAAUUUCAAAAGAAUAAUGCUCAGCAGCUAUGCAUACUCACAAGUCACAAAUACCUCAUCCUUGACUAAUUUACAUGAAUGAAUUAUUUACUUACCAUACCAAGAGAAACGUUGUAAGAUAGUAUGCAGUAUUCAGGAGUCCAUAGGAUAAUAUUCCAGAAAUUCCAUAUCUCUUCAGUUUCUUUAGAAGACUGAAAGGUUAAGCAAGAAUGAGCUCUCAAUGUAAGUAGACAUGCAUUUCAGCGUACAAAGGGCAAAAGGAUUGAGGUAUCACUUCUUACAGAUUGUUUGCAUGAAAUUCAGUAGUAGAAGAGAAAUUAAAAUGAUUGGGACAAGAUCACUCAUCCAAACAAUAGUUUAUUUACAUAGAAAAGGUCUAAAGCAUAAUCAUGCAGUAGACAAAAUGAAUCUUUUGUGUCAUGUUCCAAUAAUGUUAACAAACUACAUUAAAUUUGUAAGGUUACAUAGAAAAAGAAAGAAAAGACAUUGUUACAAUAGUUUGGUUGUUACACUGCUAGCACCCAGACUACGACCAAAUCCUUGCAUUGAAAUUGAAUUUCAAACUCCCAAUGUGAAAAAGGAAGAUACAAAAAAGAAAAGAAAAACAGGAGGAAAAAAAAAAAAAGAGGGAAAGAAAAGAAACAUGGGAUUUCCAUGUAUAAUACAUACAUAUUAUAUCUAUAGAUAAAUGCAUGCAUGUGCAUAUGUCAUAGAGGCUGGUCAAACACAUUUCAAGAAGUUUGACAACUUGCUUUGGAAUGACAAACACGUGGAUCAAUAAAUGGCUUGUCUCCAUUAUUGAGAAAUUGCAGGUAAAUUUCAUCCACUACAGGCAUGGGGUGGCUGGACAAAGUUAUGCCAUUUGGUGGGAUGUAGUGGACUUAAGACAGAAAAUUCUCAAUCAUUCUUCUGUCCCUUGUGCAGUGUUGAAGCUGACAAUAUUAUUGAGCAUACAAGGAAUGUGAUGUAAAACAUCAUUGAGGAGCCAUGAGCUGCGAAUGCAGGGAGAAAUUAAGUUACAAUUAAGUUUUGGUGAGGGAUUUUCAGAUGCAGAUCAUAUGGCAAAUUAACUUCAGAGAAUUGCAUGUUUUUAUUCAUUUCCAUACACAUUGAAUAAUCAUAUUUAAAAUCCCUCAUUCACUUGUUUCGCUUCCAUUAGUGCUCCUUCCACAUGUGUAUUAGCAGCACAGACCUCAUGAUAGUUUUGUAAAGGUAAGACAAUAAAAUUGAAAAAUACAGCUAAAGCCUAAAAUAUUGGCUCAUAAAAAGAGAAACCAUCCAAGUUCUAUCUUAAAUGACUCUACAAGUUCUAAACAGGGAGACAAGGACUUCAACCUGGUCCAUCAAUGCAUAUAAAUGGGUAAACAUUCCAACAACCAUUACGUUAGAAGUACACUAAAAGAAAAUUAUUAAACAAUGUUGUUUCCAAAAAAAUUCCAUGUUAAAGAAUAGAAGAACAUACCGCUAUAAAUGAAAUUCAUUCAAAACAGUUCAAACAGUAAAGUUAAGAAUUGUGACUGCAUAUUUUUUUUUAAAAAGAAACAAGAAUUGUGACUGCAUAUCACCACACUUGUUUUAUUUAUAAUCCACACAAUGUAUUCUUCCCUAGCAUGUUAUCCCAUUAAGUAACCUCCAGAUAAAAUUCCCUUUCUGACUCUGUCAAUCAGUCAAAAAAUUUGAUGUAAAAUGUAAAAUACAUGGGUACACAAAAACAACUAUAUAAACUGCCAUCCCAUUAUUAAUAAAUCAGUAGGUCUAUAACAUAGACUAAUAGCAUUGUAAGGCAAGUAGGAAGUACUCUUUUGAUGUGUGCAGUUCUCCUUCACCAUUUUCGCCCUUUGCACUUGAGUCUAUAAAAAUAUGUAUAAGUAGAUUUUUAGAAAUAUCAAGUUUAUCAAAUGUAAAAUAUGGUAUCACAGAAAGCUACACCAUUUUUCUAGUUAUCAUUUGAAAGAUAUUGAUACCUUCAUGGUUGGCAGAGUAGUCAUGACCAUUUGACAUGCCAGAAGCCUAACCUACAACAAAGGCAAUGUUGAAAAAGCAAUAUUCAAAAUUCAAUGAAAAAAACAGAAGACAAACAAAUGAACAAAUAGCAAAUCAUCACACUCAAUUGUUUUCCAAAAAUGAAAAACCAAAUGAAAGGAACAAGGAAUAUAUUGAGAAAAAAACCUAUGAUCAAUGGAUAUGCAGUUGCAUUCUAGCACAUAUAGAGGAUCAAACAAGUAACUAAUCUAGACAUAGCUGCAACAAAUUUGUGUAUCUCUGAAUGCGUGUCUGCUUUUUGUGGGGGGAUAUUUAUUAUGACAUGUUCUUAGUGCAGACAAACCAUCUGCAUUUACUUGAGGAUUAGGUGAACAUACUUUCCAUUUAAAAUGAGGCCUUGAACAUCAAGCCUCGGUGAGUUUUCAAAUAAGGAAAAUGUAAUAGCUUUACAAUGAGUCCCAUAGCAAGAAGGCAUAUAAUUCCAUUCAUCAGCAUACCAGAAUAUAGAAUAGUGUGGACAUGUGGACACAUGCCAGAAUUAGCAUUGGACACACUAACAUGCCAGUCAUGCAUAGAAAGAAUUUCCAAAGAUAUUAAAGUAAAACACUGGUAGUAAGCAAAUUAGACCCUGAAAAACAUGCAAGUAUAGGCCAAGAUCAAAUCUUAAUUUUAAUUUCCAGAAAAAUAAAUAAAUUAUAUCAACCAAUAGAAAUGGUAUCACCAGCAAUUAACACCAAAGCACACCAACAUAUCGGAAUGCAUAACACGUGUACCCAUCUCCAAUCAGCAUUACACCUGUACAAGUUAGCCUGUAGCAGGUCAUAAUAGGUUCAGACUAUAAAACCUUCCAAAUCUUCCUUUGCAGGGCUUAGAAACCAUUUUCUAAGUAAUUUGCAGUUUUAAAAGCCUGUGACAAAAUUUUGGAUGAAGAGCUUGAACUAUAUACUCACAAACCCACUCCAAAAUUUCCUUAAGGUAAUACACAUUUUUUGAAGUCCUUUCCAAUGUCUUCUCUUAUUUGAGUUAGAAAAGCCAAUGUUUUUAUGAAUUGACUACUACGGCUGUUGAGGUUUGAGGUGUAUAACUAAUUUCUUAAUAUAUCAUAAUUUACAUCAGUCAUUAGAAAUUAAGGUUCCAUCCUUUUACACUAAGAAAAUCCUGAGAGCAAUUAAAAAAUACCUUCUUUUAUAUUAUUAAAUUUAAGUUUCCUUUAGGUCUUUGAGUCUAAUAGAAAUUAGUGUAAAAGGAAUUUUAAUUUUCUUACACUAAGAAAAUAAAAAUAAUAGGCAAAAUAAUUUUCACAUUUUGGAACUUUAUAGGUAAUGCUUAUUAAAAUAAAGCAACAAAGUUUGUCAUUUGCCAUUGAAUGAACCAAUUGUGGAAAACUAUGCAAAAAAUUUUAUUAGUAUGGAAUUUUUUUUUUUCUGCCAAUAUAUAGAAUUCAAUUUCAAACCUGCCCCUCCCAACCCACCACUUGCUGCUUGAGGCAAGCUUAGAGGCAGAAAAAUAUUUGCAAUUCUACGUAUGGAUAAAAAUUAUUUCUUAGAUUUUAUGCCAAUUCCAUAUUUAUAGGUAUCAAUUUAUUAUUCUACUGUUGUCAGAAGCUUCAAUUUUGGGCGUCCUCAUGGCUAUGCCACCCUUAAAUGAGAACAACUUUGGUCUUCUGUUUUUCUUUUUGAGCUCUUCAAAUUUUUGCAAGUUACUUCUAUCCAGGUUCUAGGAAACACCCAUUUUUUUAAAUCUCCAAUAAUUUAGGGUUCUGUGGCUGAGGGAAUAGACUUAUUUUUGGUUGAAGCACACAAAAUUCUUGGCUAUUUUUUUUUUUUUUUUGGCAUCAGGUCCUUUUAGGUUGAUUUUUCUACUUAUUUUUCACCCACCAAUUAACAUUGCCCUAACUCUAUUAUCUACCCGAGCAAAUGUUUAUGAACUAGCAAAUCAUACUAAAAUUUCUUACUAGUUGACAUGUGCAUCAUCUCAGCAUGUCAUUCCAACACCAAACUACAACCAUAAUCUCACUAACAUCCUAACUGCCUCAAUGAGUAUGGAUUACAGAAAUACAAUUAAAAUAUACUUCCCUAUUUAAUUUCAUAAUUUUUAUAAUAAUAUUUCGGCAAUAUUUCCACAUAGUAGCUUAUGUGGGAACCCUAGGAAUGCUGGGAUUGAAACCCUGGAUUGAAACAAGAGGAUUGUGAGAGAGAAUUGGAAAUUGAAGAAACAAACACAAAAAAUAAAUCCAAGAAAUAAAAAAGAAGCGUAAAAAUGAAAUAGAGAAGAGUGUGUAUGACGCACCUGAUGAUGUGAAAGCAGCUUCAGCUGGUGAAGGCAAACUUUCGACGGGAGAGACAUGAGCAUACCGGCCUCCGACAACAAUCCCUCCAAAAUAUUCUUUCUAUACCAUUUAUUAUUAUUAUUAUUAUUUUCAGGUUAUUUGAAGUGUAAUGUCUAGCUAUACCAUUUAUUAUUGUUAUUAUUUUCAGGUUAUUGAAGUGUAAUGUCCACCAUGAAGCCCUUAGAACUCUCCAUGGACCCUAAAUCUCGGGAUGCUAAUCACCCUAUAAUAACCAGCAUAGAGUAUAUUCAAAGUAUCAUUAAUGACAAAUUUUGAACUUAGGACCAUAUGUCAUUUACAGAGACCACACUUCUUAAUGUUCAUCCUUAGCGACAUACUCAUAUAUACCAAAUUACCCGAUAAUAUGCUUUUCCUAUUUUCUCAUUUUUAGAAAAAAAAAAAAAAAGAAUAACUUCUAUUUUUAAAAAUUUAAUUUUUUUUUAUAAGUAAAUUUUUGUUCUCAUUAGGACAUGUGGAACCUCCCACAAGUCCUCUUGAAUCCUUUACCACUUGAGUCAUGCCUUAAUGGCUUGUUUUUUUAAAAAAUAAUAACAACUUUUAUAUAAAAAAAUACUUAUAAAAAAUAUAUACAUGUCAUUAAAAGUCUAAAAAAAUAUAACUUUGUUAAUAAUUUUUAAAAUAAUUUAAUGUGUUAAUUGUUCUUAAAAACUAUAAAUAACCUAGAAAAGAAUAGUAUGUUUGACCAAAUUGUUAUAUGGUUUUAAAUAGUCACCUUAACAAUGUUACAAGUGAGUUGAUUAAUUUAUGGUAGAGAAGAAUUACAAUAGAAUUCAAUUAGUUAUCGCAUUUGAAGUCUUUGAUUAUUUGUUGAAUAAUAUUUGCAGCCAAUUAGAUAGGGUUGGCUAACCCAAGCCAAACCUACUUACUAAUAUGUCCAACCUAUGCUAAACUCGAUUCAAAGUUAGGUUGGUAGUUACUAAACUCAUUGACAACUAAAGUUUCUAUGGAUUCCCACGAGUUUUCAUGGAUUAUCAAAUAAACCACAUAUAAUGGAAUCUCCUAAUAUAUAAAAGACAUAUUUCAAAAUUAUAAAUUAAACCAUAUUAUAAAAUAAAAUUUUAACAAAGUCAUAAAUUAUAUUCCUAGUGACUAAUUUUAAUGGUAAGAUGAAACACAAGUGUGAAUAUUUAAAAAUAUUUUAAUAAUUAAACAAAAAUGAUAAACUUAUAGUGUAAUGUAAUAAAACUAGCAAAAGUUAUAGUUCUUUCAUUAUCCCUUUUAUAAAUUUCAUAUUUUAAAUAAACUAAUAAAUAAUAUAAUAGUAAUGAAUUUGCUUAGUCUUCAUCAUGUAGAACCAAUUUGAAGAAAUUUUUUUUAAUAGGACUGAUUAAUGACUUAAUUAAGGGUAGGUUACAGCUAAAAUAUUUAGUAGGACUGAUUAGUGACUUAAUUAAGGGUAAACUACAGCUAAAAUUUUCCUAGUAGUCUUCCACUAUGACAAAUUGUGGGAACUAGUAGUGGCCUGUCCAACCUAUAGAGGAAACAAAUAGGUGAGUGAGUUAUUGAAUAUGUGGCUGAGAGUGACCAACCAUUGAGGCUCACAUGAAGUUGUAGUGGCUGAGAGGAAGGGAUAAGAGACCAAAAACAUGCUCAGGGAGAUUCUUGUUAGGAUCAAAUUGGGGGCAUAGAUAUAUCUCUUUGGUAAGAGUUCCCAUAAUUUAGGUAUUAAUGAAAUAGGUAUAAAAGAAUUAUAUAUCUUGAUAUGAUCAUGUUGUUAAUGAUGAUCUAAUGAGUUGAAAUAUUAUGUUUUCAACUGUGUAUAUCUAAUAAAUACAUCAAGUGCUUAAACUUUAAUAUAGAAAUGGUCCACAAUGGCUUGUAUGACUCAUCGUCUUAUAAACAUAUUAUUUAGAUUAGGCUAAAGUGGUCAAAGUAAGAAGAAAAAUUGAUACUUGAUUUGAAGUAUAAAGAAUUCUUCUUAGACUUUGUGUGUAGUGUUGUUAGCUUAUUGUUGUGUUAAAGUCUAUUUUGAUGUAUUUUGGAAAGAAUGACCAACUAGAACCACAAUAAGAUGUUGCAAAACUUAUUUAAACAAGGGCUUGUGAGCAAGAUUUUUUUUUUUUCCUUUUCAUGUACAAAUAGUAUGAUGAAUGAAAAUUUGAUUCUCGAUUGUAAUUAGUAUUUUCUUUAAGUUUUAAAUCAUGCAAUGAAUACUUAAAAUUAGCUUACGAUGUCAAAGAAUGUAAGUAAACAAGGUUUUACAUGUUGGAUAUAUAAUAAAUUCAAAACCUUUACCUUCCACAUUGAAUGAUUACAUUUUUUCUUUAAGUGCCCUUUAAUCAUUCUCAUUUUGUUUAAUCAUUUUCUCUAAUGUCUUGAGCAUAGUAGAUUUCUAUAAAUUUACAUGAGCAUUCCUUAACUCUUCUUGAGUGAUCCUAAACUUAGCAUUGAAACAAUCAUAAUUUAGGCGAAGAUGCUUACACGUCUUCAUAAUCAUCCUUGGUUGCUAGCCAUUUUUCCUUAAUUACUUUAGGAUGUUUAGUGAAGAUGAUUACAAAUAUUAACUAGUUCACUCACACAUUUUUGUAUGAGUGUAGAACAAUUUUGCAUUCUUUCCACAUCACUUAUGCAUCUUCGUUCCAAGAAAGAAGAUAUAGAACUCUUAUCUUUUGCCUACGCCACUUGGUUCUCCAGCCCAUUAUGCUUAUGCAUCCUUUUUAUAUCACAUAUGCGACUUGCUUCUCAUUAAGAUAUUUCACUUACAUGUUCUUGUAUAUGCAUAAUUUAGGGAAAAAUAUUUUAAAAUAGCAAAAUAGAUUUUAAUACAUAUAUUUGGAACAAUUAAACUCAAACUAUGCAAGUGACCUUGUCUACUAUGUAGGUGACUUUGUUUACUACAUAGGCAAAGUAUAUGACAGUGAUAGUCAAGGAAGCUAUGUGGUUGCAUGGUUUAGUGGAGAAUUUAAGAGUAAAGCAAGAUCACAUUGUGAUUUAUUAUGAUAAUGGGAGUGCCCUAAAUUUAUUUAAGAAUAAAAUUCAUCACUCAUUGGUAAGGCAUAUUGAUGUCUAAUUUCAUUUUAUUUAAGAGAUUCUAGAAGAAAGUCAUAUCUUAUUUUAGAAAGAUUACUAAUGUUAAUGAGGUAGGUCAUAUUUAAAUGUGAUCCAUGUUGAAAGGAUCAAUGUACCUUUAGGUGUGUAGUAGCAAAAAAAUUCUAUUUGGACCUAUGUUUUUCUCUUGGAACCUCAAUUCUUUAUUUUUUUUAAAGAAAAAGUGGACAUAUCAAAUUAAGCAACAUCAGUCUUUUAUUUUUUUCAUUCUUGCUUGGUUUUUGUCUUGAAUUUAGAGUGGAGAAGAUGUAAUAAAUGAGUAAGGAAAGAGGUAGAAAAUAAAGAUAACAUUAGAACUAGGGAUUGUAAAAGAGGAAGAAGAUGAGGACAUUUUUGGCAAUGUUGCAUGUCAAUUUUCUAUUUAAUGAUUCCCCUAUAAUAGUUUUCAUAUUCAUUAACUCUCUCUAAACUAAGCAACAUAUUUCUUAAAUAUUUUAAAUUCUUAUUUAUUCUUAAACUCUUUCAUUCUCAACCGGCCUUUUCACCAUUCUCACAAACCUAAAAUUUGCUCUCAAUUUAUUUCAAUAAUGUUGACAUAAAAGUAAAUAGGUAAGUCAACAUUCAACUUUUUUUUUUUUUUACAAACCAAAAUCUAAUAUUUUUGUUUAGAAACAAAAAUUGAACAAAAAUGUAUAAACUAAGAGAAAGAAAAAGUAAAAACUAGAGACUUGUAAUUGUAUAAAUGUCAAGAUUUCAAGUUAGUAAUUUAUGUCAAUAUUUGUUUUUUUAUUUUUUUUCUUGAUUUUUAUAUACCAUUUUAAUUAAUAUUUUCAAUUUUGUGAUUGAAGUCUCAAGAAUUUAUGUUAUGCUUAUUUUAUUGUUUCCAUGUCAAAAACCAAUGUGAAAUUAGUAUGACAUGUACACUUAUUAUUUUGAAGCAUAGUGUUGAUAUCUUAUUUUGUAAAACCCAUGACGAUCAAUCAUUGUCUCUCAUGUGUCUCAUUUAUGACAUGUGAGUUUGACUAAUUAUAUAGCAUCAUGCCUCAAAGAUUAGUGUUACAUAUCCAAGACAUCUCUCUAAUAAACUUGACAUUCAUUACACUUUUCUUACCCUUAAUCUUUCAUACAUGGAUAGGUCCAUGUUCUACCUUCAUAUCUCCUAUGCCAUAGUGCUACAUUGUUUGAAAAUGAAUUUUUAUCUUCAAUAAGAUCCUAAGUCACAUGGAUGACUAUGAAGCAUGGAUGUCGCCCAUAGUGAAUGUCGAGGAGAGGGGUAGGGGUGUUUCUUACUCUAUUCUUCCUAAAGAUGGUAUCGCGUGCUUCUGAUAAUUGUUUCAUUUUUAAUCUAGAAAAUGCAUGCUUCCUAAAAACUAAUAGUUGUUAUUGGUUUAUGAUCUUUUAUACCCUCUUCUAAUAUGUCAACCUUAAAAUAAUGCCUUGAUGUUAAUAAAUCUACCUAGUUCAUGAGCAAAGCUUAAGGUUAUGAAAUGGACUUUGUGUCAUUAGUUGUAAAUCUAGUUUCCCUACCCAUUAGCAUUUCAAGAUUAGUUUGAGGGUCUUGGUUUAGUAGUUAGAUCUUAUACUUACCAAGGUCGGAUCAACACGCAUUGAUCUCAUUUUAGCUUAAAUGAGAGAGAUGACAAUUGUGUCUUCAUUAUAGGUGUCAUAUGAAGAAGUUUGUAUAUCCUUAUAGAAUAAUUAAUAUUCAAAAUACUAUUUCAGAGCAUUAUAAAAAAACUUCAUUUCUAGCCAAAUGAAAAAGAGUGAUAUUCUUGGUCUCUUUGAUCCUACUACCACCAUUUCCACCCAAUCAUCUACUCUCACUUUGCUUUGCUCUCAUUUUAAACUCUUGGCACAUUUAAAACUUUCAAGUUUUAGUUGUAAGCUUAUAGAUACUAUUUUAGAAAAAAAAUAAAAUUGCAAGUGAGAUCUAAUAUUUUGUUUUGAGAAAAGUAUUGAAAAAGCCCAAGGCUUAGAAACUUUGAUUUACCUAUGUCUAAUUAUGAACUUUCGAAUGAAGAUAACAAUGUUAUAUAAUUUAAUAGUUGAAGAGAGUUAGAAGGUUUUUUCUAAUUUUGGAGCAUGAUGUACAUUAUGAGCCUAAGUCAUGACAACUUAAGUCGCUAGGAAGAUCAGUUGCUUAACAUGCCAAUAGGGUCUUGUUUAGUGGGGGUUUGUGUGUUUGAAUCUCACCUCAUUAUUUCCAUGAUUUAUUGAGCCUCAAUGUAAGUCUAAUAUGAGGUUAGUUGUAUAGGAAAAUUUUUCUCUCCAUGUGUGGUAUGGGGUUGUAGUGAGAGAGAGUGUUAAAGAAUGGGAUUAAAUCUUAAUAGUUUAAGCUUUUAGAAAAAUCAAAAGUUCAACUUGGCAUUAGAGUCUUAUUUAUUCAAAGGUUAUUAGUUUGGACCUCAAGACAUAUUAUUUCCCUAAUUUAUUGAGCAAAAAGAAGGCUAGAUAUGAGGUUGCUGAUGAGAAGUUAAUGGAGGGUCCUGAGUCCAAGUUCUCCCCUCAUUAUUUAUCUAUCUAAUUAUUUAUGACCAUAAAGUGCUUCUCAUGGUAGGUAUGGGCUCACAUAUGGGGGGAGGAGGGGUGUUGGAGCAUUAUAUAUGUUAUGUGCCCAAAUUCUAACAACUUAGUUAAGCUUUUAGGAAAAUUUAUUAUCUAAAAUUAAUAUUGUUUUGUAAUCAAAGUAAAAUCAACCUUAGUUAUUCAACAUAAUAAAAAACAUUAGUUUCCUGAUUGAAAAUGGUAAGGACUAAGUAAACUGAUAUAAAAUAGAAUGUUAUUAUAGUUUAUGGGGUGAAGUAUUAGCACUAUAAAGUUAAGUAACUAAUUUGCUAAAAUUACUAGCUAAAACUUGAAAAGUCUUAUCAAAGUGAAAAAGAAAAUAAAAUUAAACUCUUUAUUUUACAUAAUAGCAUAUCUAUAUCCCCUUAAAUUAUGAAAUUCAUGUUGUUUUUUCAAAAAAAAAAAAGAAAGAAAGAAAGAAAGAAAAAAAAAAAACCUAGAAAUGCCUACUAAAAAAAAGUCGAUUGAUACACUCCCUAACCAUAAAAUUGAGUUGUAAAUAUAAAUUAUAGUUCAUCCAAGUCUUUAUACGACUUUAAGAAAUCAAUAGCUAGUUUCAUUUACACCAUUGGUUCGUUUUUUUUUUUUUAUUCCAUUGAAAAGAAAGCAAUAAAAAUGAAUUGAGACAAAAAUGAGAAUACAAUCCAUAAAAUAUCAAUAGAUUUGUAAACUCAUUAUAAAGUUCAUAAAUCUUUAGAUAAAAAAAGCAAUAUAAAGAGGUAAAAAAUUAGGAACUAUCAAGUUGAAAAAUAGAGUGUAUGGUAAAAAAUAAAAAAUAAAAAGAUAAAACAAACAACAUUUUAAAGUAAGGGUACAAUAGUUAUUAAAAUGAAUCACAAUAAAAGUUUUCUAAAAAUUGAAAAAAAAGAGGAAAAGUUUUUGGUAUGCUUUUAUGGUUUAGGGGGUAAAGGUUCAUAAUACUCGUCAUUUUAUCAUCUUUAUAGGAAAAAAAAUUUAGACUCAACUUUAUCACAACUCAUAUGAGUUAAAAAUUUCUUGAAUGUAUUUUCUCUCAAGUUUCUAAUGGAUACCCCUUUAUCAAAGGUGUGGACAUUGAGCUAAAUUCACCAUUAAAAUUCAUCAAGUUUCUAUUUUCCUUUUCCUAAUUCAUCAAGCUAUAUUUAUGAAAUAUCCUCAUUCUUCAUUAGUAAUAUCAUAUUGUCAAAAAAACCCUUAAUAGAUCUACACCUAUCACCAGUUAAUAGAUAAAAUAACUUAACAAUUAGUUUUAAGUUUUAAGGACUUUACAAGACAAGCUAAGAACCUCAUAUUGUUUGCACACAAUUGACAAGUUGAUUUGUUUUAAAAAGUAAAAUGCUAAAGAAAAUCCACAACACGUGUUGUUUUAAAAAUCUUUGUAUUUAUAUGACAAAAAAAAAAAAGAACCAAUAGUUUAAAUUGGAAAAGUUUAUGCAAAUUAGAUGAGGAAAAUGCAAGCCAUAAAAUAACAUUCAAACGUUAUCAUUCUCUAAGAAACAUCAAGAACAUAUUGAGAGAACCAUUACUCAACAUAAUAAAUUUGUCUUGAAAGGAAAAGAAAAUCAUCAAAGCAAUCAUAUUUGUGAUGCAUUCUGAUUUCCAUAGUGUUUCCAUAUUUACUAUUAGGAUAAAAAAAUGGAAGUUGAAAAUUAUGGCAAUUCCUUGAGACAAUGAAUUAGAGUAGUAGAAAAGGAAAAAAAAUAAAAAAUAAAGAGAAAAAUAUGGUGAGUGAAAAAUAUUUUAACCCCAUAAAUUUUUCUUUCACAUCUCUUUAAAUUUAUUAAUAUCAAUUCUUUUCUAAAUAAACAAUGAAAUUUUUGAAAUUUCUUGAAAUUUAAACAUAUUUACUAGUUGUAUCAUCUCCAGUCACCUAAAUCUCAAGAUGUUCUUCAAAUGAAUUAUAGACUUUAUUUAGAUAGGUAAACUAAGGGGACUCCCCCUCUAAGAACUGUAUAUAAGAAUUUCAUCUCAUACAACUCAAAUAGAAACACCUAAACACUAGAUGAAACGGAUAUAUAAUAGAAAAAUGUAUUUCAAUGGAUCCAAUUGGUAUUUUUCCUGUCUUAGAUAAACAAACAAAUUUUUCUUCAUUAAUCAUUGUAAGUAAAUUAUAUUUUAAUUUUAAAAAGUACUAAACUUUAUUUUAAUUUUCAUGUAGGAUCAACUAACUUAUCAUAAUUAAAAUUUGUCUCUAUGGCUGAAUAGAGCUUUGAUGUAAUAAUACUAUACAAAUUUCAAGUAACACUAAAUUAAUCAAAUAGGAAACUACAGUUACGUUUGAAUACAUAUUCUAUUUUUUAUUUUUAAAAUUAAAAUUUUGAUAUAAAAUUUUUUUUUAAAAAUAUUUUAAAAUAAUUUCAAAUACACAAGAUAUUGACUUUAUAUAUAUAAAAGUUCUUAUAUUUUAUAUAAAACUCUAUUUUAAAAAAAUAGAAAUAAAAAAAUGCAUUUAAACAUAUGCUAAAUUGUUAGAUUUCAUAGAUCCUACAAUUAAUAGUGAAAAUGAAGAUGAGAGAUAACUGACUGAACUAUGAAAAGGAAUUAAAAUUUAUGAGUUUCAAAAAUACUAGUUAAUGAAAGAGAUUUUGUGCCUGGAUGACUAAGAAAAAUGCUGAAAAAUGUGCUAUAGAGUGGCUUUUCCUUUCUCCUCUUGCUAUAUAUGCAUAUCAUCCCUCUUUUUUAUCUCGUUGAACUCAACAAAUUCUCAUUUGUUCUGAGAAAAAAAAGAGAUUAUGUUAUAUGAUGGUAGGACUUUAUUCUGUUAUGGAAUAUGCACACCCUAGAUCUAUUGGCUAGAGCUAUACAGUAGGUUGUUGGCUUGUUUAGCAUUGUCUCUUUUUUGGAUAGGUUUGGACAAUGCCUCUUGAUGUUGCUUUUUGGUAAUGUAUUUUUCUUUGAUUUUUCAUGAAAAAUUCCACAUUUUGAGAUUUUCACCAUAUUAGAGUCUUUGGAAUUGGUACUUGUCUUGACACAGUUAGUAGGAAUCAUUUUCCCCAAGCUACAUAACACAUGUCUGCUAAUUGGUAAUGUUCCAUUGGCAUUUAUAAACUCUCCUGUCAAAAGUGAAUAUGCUCUAACAUUUCAAAUAGUGUGGUGUUGUACAUAGGUUGGUAAUUGAGGAUUUUAUUAUGGAUUUUGUCCUAUUCUGGUCGUGCCAACAUGUUCUGUCUUGUUCUUUGUCUUACUGAUUUGGGUGGUUGCGCGUCAUGUUUCUACAAGCUGUAUUUUUAAGCUUCAGGAGCAAAGGUAUUUUGGUUCUACCAUUUAGAUGAUGGUACUAAAGCAUUUGUAUUAUGGAUUGCACAACCCCUUAUAUGGGAUAUCUUUGCACCAAUUGUUUGGUAAUCAAGAGAACUCUCAUAUUAAACAAAGUCAUCUUCUAUUAGUAAUAAUAAUAAUAAUAAUAAUAAUUGUGUGAUUUGGAUGCUUGUGAGUGACGAACAAUAGGGUUGUUUAGGUGUUGUUGGGUAUUGAAAAGUAUAGUAAUAAUAAUAGUAAUUUUUUUUUUAAAAAGUUUUAAUUUAGUUUAAGUAUACAAAAGAAAUAAAUUGUUAGAAUAGGAUUUGGAAGAAAUAUGAGUUUAUAAAAAAUUUGGAAAUUCAUUAAAUUAUAUUAUUAUUGUUUAAGAAGUUGAAAGUAAUAUGGGGUGGUAAUAAUAUUAUCAUACGAAAUUAAUUAGGAUCCCUAAUACUAAAUAAAAUAUCUUUAGGAUUGUCAAAUUUUUACCUUUAGAUAAUUGUGUAUGAUAUUAUAUUAGGUGGGGAGUAAAUUCAUCAAGCUAAAUACUUCAAGUUUUUGAGUGCUUCUUCAAGGUAAGGGAAAUUAAUGCAGAUUUUUAUAAAAGAAAAUAAUUUUCUUUUUAUAUUGUAUUUUGAAUUGUGUAAAAAUAUUAUUUUUAUCUUUACACAUGGAUCAAAUAUAUGUUUUGUAUGGAAAGUAUGUUUGAGCAUUUUCUUUAUUUAUGAAAAAUGAAAAAUUGAGGAGAUAUGAUGUUUUGUUUUGUAAGUUUGAAUUAAUGAAAUAAAGUGUUUGACUUUGGAUUAUAUGACCCUAGUAAACGAGUUAUAAUUGUUAACUUUUUUUGUCCUAGUCAACGAGUUAUAAUAGUUGAUAUUAUAUGGCCCUAGUCAACGGGUAAUAAUAGUUGACCUUAUGGUCAUAGUCAAUGGGUUAUAAUAGUUGACCUUAUGGUCCUAGUCAACGGGUUAUAAUAGUUGACCUUAUGACCCUAGUCAAUAGGUUAUAAUUGUUAACAUUUGGUUUUGUUCAUCUUAAAUGGAACAAAUUUGAAACUAGUUACUCAAUUGUGAAGUCCCACCUAAUUGGGCACCAUUUAUCAUACGAUAAUCAGAGUAAAGAUAUUUUGAAUGUAUUCGAUUUGGUUUUGAAGAGAAAUUGUUUUGAAAUGGAUAUGAGAAAGUUUUGUUAAAAAGUAUGAAUGUAUUAGCAUUUUGAACUCAAAAGUUUUUAUGAAAAUAAGUAUAUAUUAUAUCUCCUAUUUGCAAGCAUAAUUGAAAACGUUUGAUCCAUGAAACUGUAUUAAUGUUCCUUACUAUGCUUUGAGCUCAUCCCCUUUUGUUGAUAAUCUUUCAAGCAACCUCAGUUCGGGUGAGAAGUGACCGUUAUGAGGGAAAUUCGGCUUUAUUAGGACAUUUUUUUAAACUCUUUUUAUUUUGGAUAUUGUUUAGAUGUUAAAACUUAAUUCUUGUUUGAAUUAUUUUGAGUUUUGAGUUAUUUGGACAAUAACACUUUGGUUGAUGUAUUAGUUUUUUUUUUAAAGGUGAUACUUGGAGAUUUUAGAAUUUUGUCUUACUACUUUGAACAGAGAUUUGAUAAUUGGUAAAUUUCUAGUUAUAAUACGAAUGUUUGUGUCGCUUCCACUUUGAGCUUUUGGACUCGAGGUGUGAAAUGACCGUCAUGUCCUUGAAGUGGGUUUUGGGGCAUGACAUAGAGAGAUACCUAUAAGACUUUUUGGACUAUUGGGUUUGGAAUACUUGAAUUUAUUAUAUAAUUAUCUCGAUAGUCAGUUUCUUAAUUUGGAAAAAACGCAUAGAUUGAUGGUACUGAAUUUAUCACUUAAUUCUUUGUCAGGUCAGAUCCUAGAAAAUAUUUCCAAUCUUUGAAACCUAACGCCAUUGAACAUUUCAUAACAUUGCCUCUUUGGAAUGGUUCUAAAAGAGUGGGGCUAUUAGGAGGUUUCCAAGAGCAUUCGCAGGGAUCCAGAGCUAUUCGUGCAAUCCUUGGAUAAACAAUGUUAGAUAGCACAAGGACAUGCAAGCUUGAAAUAAAUAGAGGUAUUGUAGACCCUCAAUUUUGUCCCUUGACACUUGCAUUUUAUCCUAUGGGUGUCACAUGCACCCAUGCUUUCAUAUGAUUUCUCCAUGGCCUCCUUUUGGCCUUGAUAGGUUUCUGAGCCUUGUGUAGGUUCAUUUGCGGUCCAAUGUAGUGCGGGUGUGUAGUUCAUUUUGGAGUUCCAUCAUGGCCAAGUUCCUAGUUGUCACAUCAUGCUAUAGGGAAGGAAGUGAGGCCCCCCAAAAAUUUUAGUUCAGUUGGAAUUCAUAAGAGCGGGUUUGAAUUCAGAGCACUUGGGCUUGUUUUGAUCAUAUCUCCCUCAUCCGAACUUGGAAUUGCGCACCGUUUUUUUUUUUAUGGACUCCUUAUUCGUCAAGGAAAAUUUCAAAAUUUUUUUUCUCAACCAGCUUGACCGGUUCCCAAAGUUUGAGAUUUUUUCUCAAUCGGAUGAACCGGUUGGGAACCGGUUCAACAGGUGGCUUGGUGGCAGCCCCGUUUUAUAAAUGCUUUGCAUUGUUUCGGCCGGUUCUCCCUCAUCUGGGCUCAGAAUUGAGCACCGUUUGUUUUUUGGAUUCCUUGUUCUUUGAGGAAUCUUCUGGUAAAGUUUCAGAUUUUUUCUCAAUCUGAUGGACCAGUUGGGAACCGGUUCAACAGGUGGCUUGGUGGUAGCCCCGUUUUGUAAACGCUUUGCAUUGUUUCAGCCUGUUCUCCCUCAUCUGGGCUCAGAAUUGAGCACCGUUUGUUUUGUUGGAUUCCUUAUUCUCUGAGGAAUAUUUUUAUAAAGUUUAAGAUUUUUUAUCAAUCGGAUGAACCAGUUGGGAACCGGUUCAGCAGGUGGCUUGGUGGCAGCCCCAUUUUAUAAACGCUCUGCAUUGUUUCGGUCGGUUCUCCCUCAUCCGGGCUCGGAAUUGAGCGCCGUUUGUUUUGUUGGAUUCCUUAAUAUCUGAGGAAUCUUCUGGUAAAGUUUUAGAAUUUUUUUCUCAAUUAUUCGAGCCAGUUGGGAACCGGUUCAACCGGUUAUGCUAGGUAGCUCCAGUUUCAGCGUGUUUUAACCCCCAUUUUUGUUGUGGCUUGGGCCCUUAGACUCCAAGGCACUUGUAGGCCACCUUUAGGGUCUGAAUCCAAAUUUGGUUUGAAUUAAUGUGGGCCUACCUAUGAGUCGAGGGUAUUAUUGGCUAGGAAGGUUAGGGGGUUAUUGUGAAUGUUUGGCUUGGGUACAUUUUGAUGUUUGAUUAAAAAUGCUUGUAUCUAUUGAUUUGCCCUUGUUUGCAGCGCUUGGCUGGGGACCCGAGGUACGUACUUGACUUGUUGGGAAUUGGAUUCAUUUGCAUGCGUGGGGCUUGGAUAUGUUUGCUUGUUGUGUGUUUAUAUUGCUUGACUAACCUCUUAUGUAGCGCUUAGCUAGGGACCUCAGGUACACACCUUUUAGCUUUGAUUUGUGGAGACUAAGUGCACGCUAGAUACUGAGCAGGUUCGUGUGAUCUAUGUCAUUUGUUUAGCCUGAUUGAUCAAUUGAUUUUUGACCCAUAUGCUCCCAUGUGCCCAAUUCAUUAGUAGAGAGUAGAGACCGAGUUCCAGGCCUAAAGAGGUGCUCCCUCACAUGAGGUACCUUCCCAAUAGGUAACCUGAUCCCCGGACCCAGAAUCUAGUUUUCCCAGAUUGCUUUUUCCAUAUUGGAGUCAUUAAGGGUUUUUGUUCUUACUUGAUUUUCCCCUUUAUAAAAUAAAAAUAAAAAGUAAGUGGCGACUCCAAACAAUCCUCACCGGGAACGGAUUUUCCAAAACCCAAAAACACACUUACUUUCUUAUUCUUUUAAAAAGCGUGUCGCGUCGGCCCGUGGAUCGGGUGAGAGUCCACAAAUUGGUGACUCCACUGGGGAUCGAACCUAGGAUCUCUGGUUUCAUAAGAGAAUCAAGCUUGAACUUGAAUUGGGUAUAUUGGAGCACAUGGUUCUCUGAUCAGUAGACUCUUAGGCUACAUAGAUGACUAAUGAUCACGUACUUGAUUGGUAUCUGGCUUGCACCUUUGAUGUGUUGAUGCUUGUGUGUCCACUUGAUUGGUUUUAACAUGCUUGCUCAUUGUUGAUUGGUACUUAGUUAUGAGAUUUGGGAUUGUCAUAAAUGGUCAGAUUGUGUGUAGAUUUUAUGGUAGGCCUUGCCCUUUGCGCAUAACUGUUUGCUGCAUGGCUACACUUUUUCUUGCAUGACUGUUUGCCGCUUGUGUUUUGGGGCGCGCUUGUAUCCCCUUAUUUUCGAAUUACUAGUCUUGGUUGACUAUUCCUCAUUGAUUGCUUGAGUUGUUUGGGAGUCAUUCCCAACUGUUUGCCUUCGACCAAGAUAGGGGUUUGGGAGUAGGGUCUAGCAUAAGGGUUAUAUUGAUGUUUGGGAGCACUAUGAAGAUGAUGGAUAUCCGAGCAAUGAAGAUCUGUAUAGCCCUGAGCUGGAUUUCAUGGAUACAUGCGUGGCCAGUGUGUCGCUUUGAUUGUUGAUUGAUUGUAGGUUAGGAUCAGAAGUUGCGUAUCCCUGUGGGUACAUUCAUCUAGCUUGUAGGACUUGCCUUUUCCCAUUAUUAGCUUUUGAGCCACCUUACUUCUGAGGUAUCACCAUGUCAGAGUCCUGUUCCUACCUGUGGAGCCAUAUAUUGGAUUAGCUGUUGACAUCACAUGUCAGCUCAUUCCUUUAGAGGAUUUAGUUGUAAGAUUGCAUUACUAGAUUGAUUUAAGGAUUAAUAGUCACGGGAACUGACGUACCCCUUUCCUUUUGUAGGAUUGUUGAUCGAGACCGACUUGGGUUCUCGAGCUUGGAUCUAGAUCGGAGGUUGAUUGGUUAGAGGAUCAGAUCUACACAGUCAGUUAGAGCAGAUAUCAGAUCAUAGAGAUAUGGACCCCCAAUACGCCACUAUUGACCAGUUGACUGAGAUUACAGAUACCAUGGCAUCACUCCGGGAUGCUAUAUUGGGAUUGGGUCAGAGAAUAGAUGGGCACCAGGCCCAGCCAUUGCCGGUUCCGGGGAGCACCCCGCUUGACUCUACUGCACCUCCACCUCCACCAUUGCCAUCUAGGCCUACUAUACAGUAGGAUUAUAUAGUUCCAUCUCCGCCACCACCCCCAAUUUAGUCAGCCCCGUGGGCUAGGGCCUUUAUCUUACAUGGUCAGACUGAGACUACGCCACAUUCUGUUGUGUCACCUACACAGAUUGUUGAUGACACUCAGGCCCAUAUCGAUAGGAUUGAGCAGAGGAUCAGGUCUCUACAUGUUUUUGAUGGAUGGGUUGGGACGGAUAUGAUGACUUGCCAGUGGCAGCUUUGCUAGUUGAGUUCUGCAUGUCGGACAUUGAGAGGUACACGAGGAUAGGGUGCCCCUGUAUUCAUUUACAAUUGUAUAGCACUAUUAUGCGCUGGCAUAGAUUGGACAAGGCACAGAUGAUCAUGCUAUUCCUUCUGUCUCUAAGUGGUGCCGCUCAGCGUUGGUUUGCCUCAUUGGACCCUUCAAGGCACCGGACAUGGGCUGAUUUGGCACAGGAGUUUCUUAGACAAUAUUCUUUUAAUACUAUAGUGGAUGUAUCCCGAAGGGAGCUAGAGGCCCUCAAGCAAAGGCCAGAUGAGUCAGUUACUUCAUUCAUCUCCUGCUGGAGGGAGAAGAUAGCACAAAUUAUAGAUAGAUCCUCCGAGCGUGAUCAGAUCAGCAUGAUUAUGUGCAGUCUUCACCCUCGCUUUGCCAAGCAUCUCAUGGGCUUUCCACAGACAGACUUUGGAUCAUUGGUUCAGGUCCUCUAUGGCAUUGAAGAGGGCAUAGCUAGAGGAUUAUGGGUAGACUCUUCCCGUUCAAACUCAAAGGGGAAGAAGCCAGGGUCAGGAUCCAGGCCUUCAGAUGUUGGUACCAUUGGCACGAUAGGGCACAGGUCCCAUCGUCACCCUCCUUCUCAGAGACAGUUCUUAGACACUCUUUACCAGAUGAUACAACACGAUCAGUACAAACCAGUUGCUCCCUAUAGGCCGACAGGGCCUACUUAUCUAUAUCUGGCACCGUAGCCGAUAUAUGCUACAUAGGCUCCUUAGAGGCCACCUGUACAGUUCCAUCAGCAGUAUAGAGCACCGCCUCCACCGAGGUCGGCUAGGCAGUUUACAUAGUUAGAGAUUGGUUGAGGGGGGUUUGAUUGCUCCACUACCACCCAGACCAUCACCACAUCCUACCCCACUAGGAUUCAGGAUAGAUCUUCACUAUGCCUACCAUCAGAGAGCUGGCCAUGAUACAGACAAUUGUGCGAUGCUGAGGCACGCCAUUCAGGACUUGAUUAAUCAGGGUUUGGUUGAUUUAGGACGCCCUGCAGUGACUACAGACCCACUACCUACUCAUGACAUUAGAGCUGUAUCUUCACCCCCGGGGAACGUACAUUUGAUUGAUUUUUCAGGAGAUGAGAUAUUCAUGAUGGGGUGGGACGGAGAGGCUCCUCAACCUAUUAGUCUGUACGAGGACUCAGAUUUUAGUGGAUAUAUCCAUGGACAGUAAGCUCCCAGGCCAUUCAGAUUGAUCCCGAAUGAGAUUCCCCAACAGACAGCAGUAUCGUCGGUAUACUUACAACAUGUUCUGCCCAUGACACCCUUCAUUCUAUUCCUGGAAGAGUAUAGGCCCGUUCACAGAGAUGUUCAGAUUGUUACACGGAGUGGGAGAGUAGCUCAGCCUCUACCCUUUGAUAAGUCUUUUGUUGGCACAGAUGUUAGAGAUGAUGUUUAGAGAGAGGAUGAUGAGAUAUUGCACCAGCUGUGCACCACACAGGCUCGCAUAUCCAUUUGGAGCCUCUUGGCAUUGUCCAGCACACAUAGAGAUGCCUUGGUCAGAGCUCUUAGUUAGAUCAGAGUUGACACUGCUACUACUCCUGAUGGACUGAUUCACUUUCUGACGGUUGAUAAAGCUACAUGCAUUGUAUUUUCAGAUGAUGAUUUACCACCUAAGAGAUCAGAUCAUGUUUGACCCUUAUUCAUUGAUGUUGCUUGUUCAGGUUGUUGGGUGCCGUUUGUCCUGCUAGACAACGGCUCCGCCUUGAACAUAUGUACAUUGGUUACUGCCAUUGCUUUGGAAUUUUCACCAUCCGAUUUUGGGCCAUCUACGCAGACCUUCAAAGCAUACGAUGGGACUCAGAGGACAGUUAUGGGUACUCUCACUACACAUGUCAUGAUAGGGUCGGUCAGAUAUUCUAUACUCUUUCAGGUUUUGAGGAUCCAGACAUCCUUUAACUUACUUCUCGGCUUCCCCUAGAUUCAUGAGGCGGGUGUUAUACCAUCUUCCCUUCAUCAGAAGGUGAAGUUCAUACACGAAGGGUGCAUUAUCACGAUACAGUCAGACAGAGACGUUGUUACCUCUUCCAAGCCAGUGUUACAGAUCAGUCACAAUGAGAAUGACUUGCACUUGACCGGAUUUACUUUUGAUGAGGUUCAGGUUGUUAGUUUAGAGGAUGACAACAGAGACAUGGUACCUAUGUCUUUUGAUCAGUAUAGCGGCACUUUGGUACUCAGUAUGAUGAGAGGCAUGUCCUAUAUGCCUGGCUUGGGAUUGGGUCACCGCCAACAGGGGUCGUGCGAGUUUGCUUUCACAGUUGAUCAUGAUAUACCACAUGGAUUGGGUUACACUCCUUCUGAGGAGGAUGCAUGACACAUGGCGCGAUUGAUCCGAGAUAAGGUGAGAGCUCGCUUGUCCGAGGUUCCAUUCGAUUACCCCCUUCGCCCAUACACUUUUCAGUUGGCUGACUAUUUUGCCAAAGGAUUAGAGCAUGCACCCCACACAAAGGGAGUUGAUCGUGUUCAUGAGGUAGUUGAGAUUCAGGGUAUUCAAUAGGCCUUAGGACAAAUGUGUUUUGAGUUCUGAGACCACCGAGCCACCCAAGGCCAUGGUAGUUGCAUCCCCAUCGACAUUGGUCGUAUCCUUGACACAGCCCCAGGUGGGCCCCAUUAUGCUUUUGAUAUGUUUGGAGUUUCUAUGAUUAAUUCUGAUGGUGUGACACUUUAUGACGCUUGCACUGACACGAUGGACAUGAUCGGCACUGGCCGCAUUUUGGAUACUUCCCCACCUAGGCCCCGAUCCGCUUUUGAUGUGUUUGGGAUUUCUAUGCUUGAGUUUGAUGGUGAUGGACUUGUUGCUACUAAUAUUACUCAUGAUACUAUUUUUGUUGAGGGAGUGUUCGACUCUGUGGACCUACCUCUUUCUUUUGACACUAUGUCCGGGUUUGUCACCCGCUUUGAUGACAUUUCUGAUGGUAAUAAUGACAUGAGUAUUUUCGAGUAUUUGCCUGUGUCACAACAUUUUCCUUUGAUUGCACCACGAGCAUCCACAGCACAUGUAUGUGAUGUUGAUGAUGUGGAAGACACAGAUGACCCACUAAGUGGUCAGUCAGAGUGUGACUCUGAUUCAGAUACGGAGGAUAGGAAAGCUACACCCAUUUCUGGUAUCACUGAGUUGAUAGAUUUUGGGGCACCUAACUAGCCUAGGGAGCUUAGGAUUGGCUCUUCCCUAUCUCCCGAUGAGAGAAGUAGAUUGAUAGACCUAUUCAGGUCAUCCUUAGAUGUAUUUGCAUGGUCGUAUGAGGACAUACCGGGCCUUGACCCCACUAUAGUUCAGCAUCACCUGCCCAUUUUGCCAUAUGCUAGGCCAGUUAAGCAGAAAUUGAGAAGAGUACACCCUCGAUGGAGUUUGUAGGUGAAAGAGGAGAUUCAGAAGUAACUCAGUGUUGGAUUCUUGUCAGUGGUUGAGUAUCUUGAGUGGCUGGCUAAUGUCGUCCCUAUUCCCAAAAAGGACGACAAGGUUAGAGUUUGUGUUAACUUCCAAGAUCCGAACAAGGCCAGUCCUAAGGAUGAUUUUUUCUUCCAGCACAUCUGAUUCGUGCCCAGUCGGUGUAUCAGUUGAUUCAUGUCCAGCUAGUGCUCCUUGCUUGAGGAAGUAAUCAACAAAAUUUAUAACCUAUUACACCAUGAACUAGGGUAGCAAAGACAAAGCUACUAUAGCAUAGUGGCUCUAGGAUUGUUCACUGGGAAGGGUUUUUAAUUCAUAAAUGAUACCAAUUCAAAGCUGAAUUGGUGCCUUUUGAUUUCAAGGUUAGCUUUAAAAGAAAACAUAAUUUUUGGAUGAAAAAGGUUUGGUUUAAACUAACGGUAAAGAAAGUAAUGGAAAUUACUUAUGAAGAAAAACAUUCCUUGAAGGUUUAGGUUCACAGGGGAGGUUCCUCGUGCAAAAACAGAGCUCUGGUCAUUUGGUUCAUUUCCUCGCAUUAGAGAAUUAACAUAUAGUCAAUUCUCUAAUCGGCUCUGUACAGAUGCUUCCCUUUAAUGGGUUCAAACACUAAAUCACUCUCACUGAUGCACCUUGCAAUGGCUCAUACCUCUCACCUAGCACUUGCCAUUCAAGGUGAUCUUUAACCUUGGACUUCCCGUCAAAAGCUCGUAAGAGAUAACUAAUGGAUGUCUCCUUGGAGUCCAAAAGCUUACCAAGUGUUAGCUAUUCUAGAAAAUCCUACCUUCAAACCACCUCCCAAAGGCUCGCAAUAGAUAAACUAGUGCAUCUCAAUGGAGAUCACUUGCCUUAUCAAGUGUUGGCCUAGGUGAUUUAAAGGUGUUUUAAGUUAACUAAAAACAUAGAAAUCAUUAAUGGGUCAUACUUUCUCUUCAUUAAUGGCUGAAACCGCAAAGCUACUAAUUCUUGCACUUGGAACCUUUCCCAGCAACCUUAACUCCAAGGAACUAAAAGUCUAGCCACUCAUUCUCUGAGGAAACAUCCUUAGAGCUUGUUUGGCUAGUAAGAAAAUACAAUUAAAAUGAGAAGGUAAAGCAGAGCAAAACUUUGUAUUUUUCUUCCUUUUAAAAACUAUACAAAAGUUUUUUCGUCGUCCUUUUUUGGGAACAGGCUCCCGAGAGAUAUAUAUAUGGAAAAUUACAAAAUAUCUAUCUGAGGUUAUUCACCCUUUUUCCAAACUUAAUAACUAAGGAAUCCUAUAAUUGGUGGGUUACAAGGAGAUUUUGGGGAUUUAGACAACAAAUAUCUAAAGCAAAAUAUCUCAAAAUAUCCCAAAAUAUCGGUGGCAAAUAUUAGGACGCUUCAGGAGAACACCGCAGCACUGUGCAAAAUGGCUGCUCUUCCAUCCGGGUAGACGCUAUCAGAUGAUCCGGAUACGUCCGUCCGGAGAAGUUGAAACACUCUCCUUUUCUAUCCGACAUCAGAAUUCUGGACGUGAACAUCUGGGUGGAAGUGGUGGCAGUCGGGUACAAAUUGGCGGCAGCCGGGUGCAAAAUGGCGGCAGCCGGGUGCAAAUGGCGGCGCACAUCCAGAUACAAAUUAGCGGCAGUCGGGUGCAGAAUGGCGGCAGCCGGGUGCAAAUGGCUGCGCACAUCCGGAUACAAAUUGGCGGUAGCCGGGUGCAAAUCCUAUCUGGAUAUGUGGUCCGGAUGCUCUCCGAUGGUGUAUCCGGACGCCCUGUCCGGGUAUACUCCUUACAUAGAUUCCAAAUAACUCUCCUCAAUUUCAGAUUUGCUUUGGUGAUAAAAAAGCUAUCAAAACACCAAAACUUAACACAUUUUUUAUUAGAAUUGAUUGCAAGGUCCUUAACAUGCCAAUUGAGUUAAAAGGUGAUAACUACUACUCAAAAGUGUUUAAAAGAGUUAAUUACAAGCUAUGAAAUAGCACAUUUUGAGUAGUAAUCACUCCCCCUAACCGACAUAUUGCUAGUCCCUUAGCAAUGAAAGAGAGAAAAAAUAAAAAUAAAAAGUACUGUAAUUUACAACAUCAUGCUGAUAAAAAAAAAACAAUUUCCAAGCGGCAUGAUGAUCUAACUCUCACAUGGAAUAUUAAAGAAAUAAAACUCAAACUUCAACAAGAGUUAUCAAAAAAUUUGUCUAAUCACAAUUCUUAAAGAGAAGGCUUUAUGCAAAUUUAAGCUUUAAAAGAGUUUCCACUCCCAAAGGGUCAAACCUUACUCUUCCACAAAAAUCUAAGUGUUACUUGAUAGCUUCCGAAUAUAGUAUGUUGAACUAAUCUCUCCCCCCAACCUAACUCUUUUCCAACACUUAGUAAACUGACCAAAUUCAAUAGGCUAAGAACGCACCCUUUUAUUUCACAUUUAAGGUAUUCUUUUCUAAAUUGUCCAUGUAACGGGGGUCCAUCGAUGACUCCCAACCAAUUAAGGUUUAGGGCAUCAAGCUUUAAGGAUCUUUCAACCACUAACUCCUCGAAUUUUACCCCGGACUUUUGAGAAUGAAUUUUUAUACCCAAGCACCUACAGUAUGUUAAACUCCACCUAUUCACCCUUGUAACGAGCAUUGAGGUCGGUGACUCCCAACCAACGAAGGCUUAGGGCACCAGGUUUUAAAGAUUUUCACCAUAUACCCCUCAGACCUUGCUCGGGUUUCAAGGCAAGCAAACAUUUUUUUAUUUUUUUAUUUUUUAUUUUUUUAUUUUUUUUUCCCAAAGGCUCAUUGGCCUUUUACAAGGUGUCCUAACACUAUUAAAUGAGGGCAAAGGUACCAAGUCUAAAAUUUUCUUAAGUCAAGAGGGAAAUAGUUUUUCAUCUUAUACUCGGAACUUAUUGUGCACAGUGUGUGAAUAGCUUAAAGUGGAAGACAUAAGCUUGAAUUCAAUAGAAAUUUCAACAAUUCAUCAACUUUAAUAAGCAUAAUACAAACUCUAAGUUAAGUAAAAAGACAAAAAUUCAAUUUCUCCCAUUUCAUUUUGAAAAUUUUUCCUUAAUAACCAUGGAGAGUAGAAUAAAAACUUAAAAAUUAAGCAAAAAACAACUAAAUUACCAAAAUAGCUUAGCAUUAAUAACAAAAACUUCCUUCCUCAACUCCCCCCCCAACCAAGCUGAACAUUGUCCUCAAUGUGACAAAGCGAUUAAAAAAUAGGGAGAAAGUGGUACCUCCUGAGUGGCGUGAAGUCUGAGAUGUAUAGGAGAAACCACAUGUUUCAAAAAAACAAUAAAAGAUAUGAGUAGAGGAAUUAAAAUAAUAUAAUGCUAAGUGUGGUCACAUACAACCAAUCCCACUAUAUAACACUAAAAAGAUGGGGAUUUCAAAAAGGAAAUACAUAAAGUAAAGUAUGUAAAUGAUCAGAAAUGGGGAGGAUGAUGCUGGUAAGCUGAUGACUCAGGCAUGGGGCUCUGCAGUGGUAGGGGUGAGAUGCUCAAUAGCUGAUGGAAGACCCAGAUGGUGCUGAAGCUGACUCAGGAUGGCAGUGUGCUGAGUCUGGGUGGUCAAAAUCUGCUCCUGCUGAGAACGAAUAGCUGACAUCUCUUGAGCAAGGCUGCUCUGAGUCGCGGUCAGUGUCUGCAAUGUGUGGCAUAGGUCUCUAUACUCUGAAAUGGGUAUGGUCAUUCUAAGCUCGGUUGAAGUAGAAGGCUCUGAUGCAGCUGGAAUAACUGGCGGGGUGCUAUGGGUGGCAGGAAAAGCAGAGGGUAUAUCCUCAUGUAUGGGCUCUGUAGAUGCUCUCCUGGCAGCUGGUAUCUCAGCUGGCUGUGGGUCCUCUGACUGCUGUGGCUGUGGAAGCUCUGGAUGCUUUGUUCUAUAUGCUGUCAUAUUGGUUCACUUGUCGAGAGUGAAUACCUCUCGGCAUAUGCGUUUGCGCUCCAACUGAGGGUCUGAUGGAUACCCCAGAUGCUCCAAAAUUUGGCAUAGCAAUCUCGGGAAAAGAAGUGGAAUAGCAUCUGCUCGCAGCAGCUUCUUCCUAUGCACCUUCUCUUCAUAGUAGAGAAGGACAGCCAUAAUUAGAUGGUGAGGGCCAAAGAAAUAUCCCUCUGAUAUCCUAAACAGGGCUUCUAGCAGAACUCCUCUCCUCUGCACCCAAUGCUGAAGUGGAUAAAUGUUGUGGCGCAAGAGUGCAUCAAUGAAGAACAUGCUCGGAGGAAGUUCCUUCCUCAACAGAUAUGGAUUUGUGGAUGUUCCUCUGGACAAGAGAUGAACCAUUUCAAGCUGGGGAGGAUUAGUCCAUACUCGAUAAUCCUCUAGACGGGCUGGCUCAUAUGGAAUAUGCAGGGCCUCUGCUAUGUGGCGAGCUCCUAAAAUACAAUGACGUCCGUCAAUGGUGAAGUGAAUAAGAGUAGCAUCUCUGACCUGAUUAGUAGUCAUGGACUGAUAGAGUUCCGUUGCUACUCGGGGAUAGAAAAAAUCCCUGGGGGUCAACAAAUGCUCCAUGCGAUAUCUGUGCAGUAGAUGGAAUGAGUCUGCUAGCUCCGGCUGAAGCCUGAAGGUGGCUGUGUCAAAACACAGCUCAGAGUGAAAUGGUCGAGCUCGGCAGUCCAAAUUCCCUUCAAUGGGCAGCUGAGGCUCCACCGGAGGUUCUAAAGACGACGCCAGAGUUGGGUCUGGCGAGGGCUCUAGAGAGGGCUCCGUUAAGUCGAUUGGCUUUGCAUUUACUACCCUGGGUUUCUUUUGAGGGGGACGGCCACCUGACCUGGUCUGAUAACGCCUCGCCGGAUGACUCAACGGCAUGGGCUUGGCCGAAGGUGGGGCGGCUACUUGUCGCGGAGGCUCUAAUGUGGAGCCUUGAAUAGGCGCCUUUCGCAAGACUCUCAUGCGGCUUGACGGAAAUGAUGACUUUGCUCCUCUGGUUCGCGCCAUGGCGGACUGAAGAAAAUGGCCGGAGGUGAUGGCCGAUGGCUCGCGCGGCUUCGGGCUCAGGUGAAAGAGAAAACAGACGGUUGCUCUGAUGUUCUUCCUUUCUGAACCCUUUUGGCAGCUUAAAUGACCGAUUUUUAUAAAAAUAAAGGAAUAUCAAGGGUCGUUUUCACAGCUCAUUUCGCAACUGCGAAAUGAGGGGAACUGUGCUGCGAAAUGGCACUCGUGUGCCAAGAGGGUGCUUCACAGCUGCGAAAAUUUUCGCAGAGAGGGGCCUGAGGUUGCGAAAUGAUUUCACAAAGGCUUCUUUUAGGUUGCGAAAUCUCGCAGACCUCUGUUUUUCCCCUGUUUUACACUCUUUCUUGCUCCAAACGACUUUCCUUUAAUUUCUUUGCAAUUCCUCCUACAUGAGAUCAUUUAGAAAUACUAAGUUACAUAUAAAUACACAACUUAAGACCAAAAAUCACAAGAAUUGAUAAAGCUUGAAAUUAACAAAAUUAACAAAAACAAACAAAACAACAAAAAAAAAAAUUAUGGACUUUGGUGAAACCAAGUCCAUCUAACCCUUAUUUGAUUAGGCUUUCUGUGGCUCAAGGAGGUUGAUUUCCUCCUUUUCUGGUUUGAAUGGCUCAAUGAAUGGCUUGAGACGAUGACCAUUGACCUUGAAAAUGUCAGUGCUUUUGGAAUUUAGUAAUUCCACCACUCCAUUGGGAUACACUUGGUGAAUAAUGAAAGGGCCUAUCCACCUUGACUUGAGCUUUCCUGGAAAGACAUGGAGUCUUGAAUCAUAAAGCAAGACUCUUUGUCCUUUAUGGAAUUCUUUGUUGGAGAUUAAUUGAUCAUGCCACCUCUUCAUCCUCUGUUUUGCAACUUUGGAAUUGAUGUAAGCAUCAUUUCUUAAUUCCUCCAUCUCAUUAAGGUCUAAGCACCUCUUUGCCCCAACUCUGAUCAAGUCCAUGUUUAACUUCUUGAUUGCCCACCAAGCUUUAUAUUCAACUUCCACAGGGAGAUGGCAUGCUUUGCCAUAGACUAGGCGAUAAGGAGACAUACCAAGAAUAGUCUUGUAAGUUGUUCUGUAUGCCCAUAGUGAAUCAUGAAGCUUAAUAGACCAAUAUUUUCUGCUCGUGAUCACCACCUUCAUCAGUAUAUUCUUGAUUUCCCUGUUUGCUAGCUCCACUUGCCCGGAAGUUUGAGGAUGAUAAGGUGUAGCUACCUUAUGCUUCACUCCAUACUUGGCUAAUAGGGUUUCAAAAGAUUUGUUGCAAAAAUGAGUACCUCCAUCACUGAUUAUGGCCUUGGGCACCCCAAAUCUUGAGAAGAUGUUCUCCUUAAGAAAUUUGAGAACCACCCUGUGAUCAUUAUGUUUACAGGGGAUUGCCUCAACCCAUUUAGAAACAUAGUCUACCCCCACCAAGAUAUAAGAGUUACCAAAAGACAUUGGGAAAGGUCCUAUGAAGUCAAUACCCCAAACAUAAAAAAGAUCAACUAUUAGAAUGGGGUUCAUAGACAAUUGAUUUCUUUUUGUUAGCUUCCCAAGCCUUUGGCAUCUAUCACAGCUCCUACACAUGAUGUGGGAAUCUUUGAAAAGAAAUGGCCAAGGAAACCCUGAUUGCAACACCUUCAUGACUGUUUUCUGAGAGGCAAAGUGGCCUCCACAUGCAUUUUCAUGGCAAUGGCUGAGGAUCCCUUGUUGCUCUUCUUUAGGGACACACUUUCUUAUGAUCUGAUCUGCACAAUACUUGAAAAGGAAGGGCUCUUCCUAAUAAUAAGCAUGAAUCUUUGCAAAGAAGUGCUUCAUGUCUUGUGCAUUCCACUCACUUGGAACUUCACCAGUAACUAAAUAGUUAGCAAUAUGAGCAUACCAAGGAGCUUUCUCUAGCAACAUAAGUGAUUCCUCAGGAAAGUCAUCAUUAAUAGGUAAGACAUGGGAAUUGUGUGCUAUAGCCAACCUUGACAGGUGGUCAGCUACCACAUUCUCCACCCCUUUCUUGUCUCUGGUCUGGAGAUCGAACUCUUGUAACAAAAGAAUCCAUCUAAUCAGCCUUGCUUUUGCAUCUUGCUUCGUCAAUAAAUACUUCAAGGCUGAAUGGUCAGUGAAAACAAUGAUGAAAGACCCUACCAAAUAAGCACGAAACUUGUCUAAGGCAAACACCACAGCUAACAAUUCUUUCUUUGUAGUUGUGUAGUUCCUUUGAGCCUCGUUCAAUGUUUUGCUUGCAUAGUAGAUCACGUAGGGCUUCCCAUCUUCUCUUUGGCCAAGUACAGCUCCUAUAGCAAAGUCACUGGCAUCACACAUCACUUCAAAGGGUAGUUGCCAGUUAGGAGCCCUCACUAUUGGAGCGGUUGUUAAGAAUUGCUUCAGUUGAUCAAAGCUAUUUUGACAUCUCUCAUCCCAGACAAACUUAGCAUCCUUAGCCAAAAGCUCACAAAGAGGUUUUGAAAGAUUAGAGAAAUCUUUUAUAAAUCUCCUAUAGAACCCUGCAUGGCCAAGAAAUUGCCUUAUUUCUUUCACAGUUGUUGGGGACGACAAUUUGACAAUAAGCUCCACCUUUGCCUUAUCAACUUCAAUGCCUUUCUCGGAGAUGAUAUGGCCAAGGACAAUUCCUUGACGUACCAUAAAAUGACAUUUCUCCCAGUUGAGCACCAAGUCCUUCUCAAUGCAUCUGUUCAGAACUGCUUCCAAAUUGACUAAGCAUUCCUCAAAUGUACCUCCAUAAACGGUGAUGUCAUCCAUGAAAACCUCCAUAAUUCGCUCCACCAUAUCACUGAAGAUACUAAGCAUACAUCUUUGGAAUGUUGCAGGUGCAUUGCAUAAACCAAAAGGCAUUCUUCUGUAGGCGUAUGUUCCAAACGGACAUGUGAAAGUGGUCUUCUCCUGAUCUUCCACAUCAAUUUCAAUUUGGAAAUACCCUGAGUACUCGUCCAAGAAACAAUAAAAAGGAUGGCCUGAGACUUUCUCUAGCACCUGAUCAAUAAAUGGGAGUGGAAAAUGAUAUUUCCUUGUCACAACAUUCAACUUUCGAUAAUCAAUACACACCCUCCAACCUGAAGUGAGGCGUGUAGCAAUUUCUUCUCCUUUUUCAUUCUGAACCACAGUAAUCACUGACUUCUUUGGUACCACUUGAGUAGGACUCACCCAAGGGCUGUCAGAUAUGGGGUAAAUAAUACCUGCUUGAAGUAGCUUCAGCACUUCAGCUCACACCACCUCUUGCAAAUGAGGAUUCAAUCUUCUUUGAGGUUGACGAAUUGGUUUAGCUUCUUCCUCCAUAUAAAUGUGAUGUGUACAAACCAAAGGGCUAAUGCCUUUCAAGUCAGAUAUUUGCCAUCCUAUUACUUUCUUACACCUCUUGAGAACUUCAAGUAAAGAAAUUUCCUGAUGACUAGUAAGAGAUGAAGAUAUAACAACAGGACAUUGAUUAUUUUCUUCAAGGUAUGUAUAUUUCAGCUCCACAAGCAGAGGCUUCAAAUUGAGCUUUGGGGUCUCUUUUUCAGCAGCUUCUCAUUCCUCUUUAUUGAACAAAGGUAGAAUCUCUUCUCUCCUCCUCCAACCUUGUAGAGUAGCAAGCACAUUAGGGGGUUCAGAAAACCCUUCUUCAAGAUCCCCAAGACUUUCAUUCAGCUUGUCUUGCAUAUUCUGAUUACAGUGCUCCUCCACUAGAGUGUCGAUAAUGCAUACCUCUUCUGGAUCUUCUUCUUCUUCCGGAGUGAUUUGCUUUUUAGACAUAUGAAAAAUGUUGAGUUCAAGUGUCAUAUUGCCAAAAGUGAGUUGCAUGAGUCCAUUCCUACAAUUGAUGAUUGCAUUUGAAGUAGCAAGGAAUGGCCUUCCAAGGAUGAUAGGAACUGAAUUAGCUUCCUUUACAGUAGGAUCUGUAUCAAGAAUAACAAAAUCUACUGAAUAGUAGAAAUUAUCAACUUGAACUAAGACAUCCUCAAUUACCCCCCUUGGAAUUUUUACUCAUCUAUCUGCUAGAGAUAGGGUGAUUGAUGUUGGCUUCAACUCACCAAGUCCCAAUUGCUUAUAGACAGAGUAUGGUAGCAAAUUCACACUUGCUCCCAAGUCUAACAAAGCUUUCUCCACUACCUUUCCUCCAAUCAUGACUGAAAUGGUAGGACAUCCCGGAUCUUUGUACUUCAAAGGAGACUUGCAUUGUAUGAUUGCACUUACUUGCUCAGUCAAGAAGGCUUUCUUGUUCACAUUCAACCCUCUUUUGAUAGUACACAGGUCCUUUAGGAAUUUUGCAUAUGUUGGAACUUGCUUAAUCAUAUCCAGCAAUGGAAUGUUGACCUUCACUUGUCUCAAUACUUCAAGGAUUUCUGAUGCAUUUUUUAUCCCCUUUUUCCCAUGCAAAGCUUGAGGAAAAGGUGGAGAUAUACGUUUCUUCAUCAAUUCUUCCUUAAUAAGCUCUUUCUCCAUAUUUGCAUUCACUGUUGAAUCACGGUCCUCCUUCUCUUCACUAACAUCUUUCUGUUUUCCUUUCAUUUCCUCCCCCUUCUUUGUUUCUUCUUCUUCUUCAACAUGUGGCUUGGGUGUUGGUGGCUCAACCUUUUUACCACUCCUUAGAGUGAUCAAGGCUUUAACAUUUUUCACCUGUGACGAUUCUCCCUCAUGGAUUUCCAUUUCAUGGAUACCCUUGGGGUUUUGGUGAGGUUGAGAAGGAAAUCUACCCUUCUCUUGCACUGUGUUCAAGUUAGUGAGCCUUGAUAUUGAGUAUUGGAGAUUAUCUAUCUUUUGAGAUAGAUGAUUUUGCAUCCCAUUCAUCCUUCUCUCUACACUGUCAAUUCUUUGACUGAGUUGAGCAUUGAUGGCUUUUUGGUCUCCAACAAAAUCUUCCACAACCUUGCUUAGAUUCGCUAUUGCUUUUUCAAGACUUGAAGAUUGUUGAGAUAGUUGAGCCGGUUGAGAUGGUGGAGCCGGUUGUUGGUAUUGAGGUGCUCUUGCCUUCCAUGAGAAAUUUGGAUGAUUCCUCCAACUUGAGUUGUAAGUAUUUCCAUAUGGUGCAUUGUUAUUGGGCUUGAAUUGACCAACAACAUUUGCUUGAUCUCCAAACAUUUCCCUUACAGUUGGAAUUGUAGGGCACUCCUCCACCAAGUGUUCAUAAGACUGACAAAUAGGACACAACUUUACUUGCACUGGUGCUUCAGCAACAGCUUGCACUUCAUGCAUCUUUUUCAGUUCUAGCUCCUCCAAUCUUCUUGUCAUAGCUGCAAAUUUUGCUUUCAUAUCAUCAUCUUCAUUCAAGGUGUACAUCCCAGCCUUAGCAUUGAAAGCACUCGAUUGAGACUUCAUCUUUCCCACUUCUCCUUUGUUGGGUUCAUCCCAUCCCCUUGAAACUUCAGCCACAUAACUCAAGAAAUCCAUAGCUUCCUCAGGAUUCUUACUCAUGAAAUCCCCUUCACACAUUGUUUCAAGGAGUUGCUUCAUUGAGGAAGACAUCCCAUCAUAAAAAUAGCUCACCAACAGCCAUGUAUCAAAGCCAUGGUGAGGACAAGCAGUUAUGGCUUCUAUAUAUCUUUCCCAACACUCAUAGAAUUUCUCAUUCUCUUUAGCUGAGAAGUUUGAAAUUUGCCUUUUCAAGCCAUUUGUUCUGUGAGUAGGAAAAAAUUUCUUGAGGAAUUCAGCUUGUAAGUCAGUCCAAGUACGGAUACUCCUUAGCCUUAAAGAAUUAAGCCAGAUCUUGGCCUUAUCCUUUAAAGUAAAAGGAAAUAGCUUAAGCCUCAUCAAGUCGAUAGAAGCUCCUUCCUCUCGGAAUGUAUUACAAACAUCUUCAAAUUCUUUGAUAUGGGCAUAGGGAUUCUCACUUUCCAUUCCAUGGAAAGUUGGUAGAAGUGGCACAAUAUGAGGUCUGAUCACUAGCUGCUCUGUAGGGGGCACUAUACAUGAUGGUGCACUCAUACGAGGUGGAUGCAUUCGGUCCCUCAUUGAGAUGAAAGCAUUGGGAUUAUCCUGGUGACCAUGGUGACUAUGCUGAUCUUCAGGUGUAGCUUCCAUGAUAUUCAAGCUCAAUUCCAAUUCCUUGUUAUGAGGUUAUCAAGUUUAACAAGCCUUCUUCCACUGUCUCGUAUCUAAUUUGGCAUACACAACUAGUAUCGAUUGUAACUAAGAAAGAAAAACAAAAAUAGAGGAAAACAAAAAAAAAACUACCAAAAAGAGUUCGAUUAACUAAAACUAAAUUAAAAACUAUGCUAGUAUAUAAACGAGUAAAAGAAAAAACUAAAAGAGUUAGUAAAAUGAGAGAAAAUUCACUAAACUUGUGAUGAAAACCACAGGUACCUUGAAAUAAUAUCACUAUGAAGUUGGCACCUUCCCCGGCAACGGCGCCAUUUGAUUCGUGCCCAGUCGGUGUAUCAACUGAUUCAUGUCCAGCUGGUGCUCCUUGCUUGAGGAAGUAAUCAACAAAAUUUAUAACCUAUUACACCAUGAACUAGGGUAGCAAAGACAAAGCUACUAUAGCAUAGUGGCUCUAGGAUCGUUCACUGGGAAGGGGUUUCAAUUCAUAAAUGAUACCAAUUCAAAGCUGAAUUGGUGCCUUUUCAUUUCAAGGUUAGCUUUAAAAGAAAACAUAAUUUUUGGAUGAAAAAGGUUUGGUUUAAACUAAUGGUAAAGAAAGUAAUAGAAAUUACUUAUGAAGAAAAACAUUCCUUAAAGGUUUAGGUUCACAGGGGAGGUUCCUCGUGCAACAACAGAGCUCCGGUCAUUUGGUUCAUUUCCUCGCAUUAGAGAAUUAACAUAUAGUCAAUUCUCUAAUCGGCUCUGUACAGAUGCUUUCCUUUAAUGGGUUCAAACACUAAAUCUCUAUCACUGAUGCACCUUGCAAUGGCUCAUACCUCUCACCUAGCACUUGCCAUUCAAGGUGAUCUUUAACCUUGGACUUCCCGUCAAAAGCUCGCAAGAGAUAACUAAUGGAUGUCUCCUUGGAGUCCAAAAGCUUACCAAGUGUUGGCUAUUCUAGAAAAUCCUACCUUCAAACCACUUCCCAAAUGCUCGCAAGAGAUAAACUAGUGCAUCUCAAUGGAGAUCACUUGCCUUAUCAAACUAGUGCAGUCGGGUACAAAUUGGCGGCAGCCGGGUGCAAAAUGAUGGCAGCCGGGUGCAAAUGGCGGCAGCCGGGUGCAAAUGGCGGCGCACAUCCGAUACAAAUUGGCGGCAGCCGGGUGCAAAUCCUAUCCGGAUAUGUGGUCCGGACGCCCUCCGAUGGUGUAUCCAGACGCCCUGUCCGGGUAUACUCCUUGCAUGGAUUCCAAAUAACUUUCCUCAAUUUCAGAUUUGCUUUGGUGAUAAAAAAGCUAUCAAACACCAAAACUUAACACAUUUUUUAUUAGAAUUGAUUGCAAGGGUCCUUAACAUGCCAAUUGAGUUAAAAGGUAAUAACUACUACUCAAUAGUGUUUAAAAGAGUUAAUUACAAGCUAUGAAAUAGCACGUUUUGAGUAGUAAUCAACAUCGAUAUGCUAGUUGACAGCACUGCAGGGCAUUCGAUGUUGUCCUUCAUGGAUGGAUUUUAUGGGUAUAACCAGAUUGUAAUAGCUCUAGAGGAUAUGGAGAAGACUUCUUUCAUCACUAAGUGGGGUACUUAUUGCUACCUGCUUAUGCCAUUUAGGUUGAAGAAUGCGGAAGCCACUUAUCAGAGAGCUGCUACUACUUUAUUCCACGACAUAAUGCACAGAGACGUCGAGGUAUAUGUGGAUGACAUGAUAGUGAAAUCCCGAGACAGGGCAGAUCACUUAGCAGCACUACAGAGAUUCUUUGAGAUGAUCUGACAGUUCAGGCUAAGAUUGAAUCCCAAGAAGUGUACAUUUGGGGUGACUUUUGGGAAAUUGCUAGGACAGAUCGUCAAUGAGCGUGGUAUAGAGGUUGAUCCCGAAAAGAUCAGAGCCAUACUUGACAUGCUUGCUCCGAGGACUGAGAGAGAGAUUAAAGGCUUUCUUGGCAGACUACAGUAUAUAAGUUGUUUCAUUGCUAGAUUGACAGACAUAUGCGAGCCUAUCUUCCUUCUUCUGAGGAAGAACCAGCCUACAGUUUGGAAUGAUGAUUACUAGCGCGCUUUCCAGAAGAUUAAGGAGUGUCUCCUCUCUUCUCCAGUUUUAGUGCCUCCCACACGGGGGUGGCCUCUGCUUCUGUACUUGUCCGUUUCAGACAUGGCUUUGGGAUGCAUGUUAGCUCAGCUCGAUGAUUCAGGGAAGGAGCGAGCCAUUUAUUAUCUGAGUAAGAGGAUGCUGGAGUAUGAGUGCAAAUACAUUAUGAUUGAGGGCCUCUAUUGAGCAUUUAUUUGGGCCACCAAGAGGCUGAGGAACUACGUGACAGAGUAUUCCAUAUUAUUAGACUCACGAUUGGAUCCAUUGAGAUAUUUGUUUGAGAGGCAUGUCCUGACUGGUAGGCUCAUGAGAUGGUUGGUGCUGUUGACAGAGUUUGAUAUUUAGUAUGUUACACAGAAGUCGGUAAAAGGGAGCAUUGUUGCAGAUCAUUUGGCUUUUUUUCCCGUAUCUAACGACAAACCGAUUGACGAUGAUUUCCCUGAUGAGCAGUUUGUCUUAGUGACCAGUAUUGCAGGAUGGUGGUUAUACUUUCAUGGUGCUGCCAAUCAGUCGGGGUUUGGUAUCGGUAUCCUAUUGAUAUCACCACAAGGUGAUCACAUUCCCAUAUCAGUCCGAUCGGCAUUCUUUGAUCAUCAUCGACUGACGAAUAAUAUUGUUGAGUAUGAGCCGUGCAUUACAGGUUUGUAGACUGCGCUAGACCUUGGAGUCAGAUAGUUGGAGAUCCAUGGGGAUUCCAACUUGGUUAUUCAGCAAACUUAGGGUAUUUGAAGGACUUAGGAUGAGAAGUUAAAGCCCUAUCAUGCUUAUUUGGAUUUGUUGGUUGAUAGGUUUGAGCAGUUGAGAUAUAUACAUCUGCCUAGGGCAGAAAAGUAGUUUUCUGAUGCAUUAGCCACCUUAGCUUCUGUGAUUGAGAUUCCUGCGGGAGUGAUAGUGUGACCAUUGGUGAUUGAGACUAGGUCCGCACCAGCUUACUGUUGUUUGAUUGGGGAUAUUGAGGACCAGGAUGAGUUGCCCUGGUAUCAUGACAUUUAUCAGUUCUUGUUAUGUGGCGCUUACCUUGAGUCAGCCUCAACCAAGGAUAGGAGAGCUUUGAGGCAGCUAGCCACUAGAUUCGUGAUUUGUGGAGAGUCCUUCUAUAGACGAUCACCCGAGGGCUUAUUAUUGCUGUGUUUAGACCAUACCUCUGCAGAUAGAGUAAUGAGAGAGGUUCAUGCAGGAGUUUGUGGCCCACACAUGGGGAGACAUAUGUUGGCCCGAAAGAUUAUGAGGACAGGUUAUUUCUGGUUGACUAUGGAGGUAGAUUGUUGCCAGUUCGUUCAGAGGUGCCCAGAGUGUCAGAUGCAUGGUGAUCUCAUUCACGUGCCACCUUCGGAGUUGCAUGCACUCACAUCCCCUUGGCCAUUUUCAGUGUGGGUUAUUGAUGUUAUUGGAAAGAUCUCACCCAAGUCUUCUAGCGGGCAUGAGUAUAUCUUAGUUGCCGUUGAUUAUUUCACCAAGUGGGUGGAAGCUGCUUCUUAUGCUAGAUUGACAGCGGCCAAGGUGGCCAAAUUCAUCAGGUCACAUAUUAUCUACCGAUAUGGGGUCCCCCCGAGCUGAUUUCUGAUAGAGGGUGUAUUUCAGGGGCGAGGUGGAUAUAUUGAUUAAGGAGUAUAGCAUUUAGCAUCACAGAUCGUAUGCGUAUAGGCCGCAGACUAAUGGGGCAGUUGAGGCUGCAAAUAAAAAUAUCAAGAGGAUUUUGAGAAAUAUGGUCGAGACUUCUCGGGAUUGGUCAGAGAAGCUCUCUUUUGCAUUAUGGGUUUACCGUAUAUCUUUUCGUACUUCUACCGGGGCUAGCCUGUAUUCUUUGGUAUAUGGUAUGGAGGCGGUGCUGCCUGUUAAGAUUGAGAUGGGAUCCUUGAGAGUAGCAUUAGAGCAGCAAAUAUUUGAGACUGAAUGGGCUCAGUCCCAUUAUGACCAACUUAGUCUUCUAAAUGAGAGGAGAUUGAGGAUAGUAGAUCAUGUUCAAGCUUAUUAGAGGAAGACGACUCGUGCAUUUAGAAAGAGGGUUAAGCCUAGGAAAUUUCAGAAGGGUGACUUAGUCUUGAAAGUCCUCAGGGGAUUGAUCAGUGACCCUAGAAGCAAGUUUAGACCGACUUGGAGCGGGCCUUAUGUUAUUCGAGAUUUGACCCGAGAGGGAGCCGCCUGGCUGACGGACUUAGACGAAAAUCAGUUUAAGGAGCCAGUCAAUGUGGAUCAGUUGAAGAAGUUUUAUGCGUGAGAUCAUGGUUAGAGGAUGGGUGGCCAUCAUUUUUUAGUAGCCAUUUUUCUUGUUGCACACCCACACAUUGAUAUAUCCUAUUGCUAGCCUGUUGUGCCUCAUGUGGUUUGUUAUGGCCUAUUCAUUCACUUAGCCUUGCAUACAUUUUCUCACCUGGGUUGGGGGCCUGUCCUUUGCGCUUUACAUUUAUUGAUUGGAUCUGUGAGUAUCGUGAGCUUUCUGUCAUUGUUCAUGUGUUCUUUCUUUGGUCAUUCAUGGUUUCUUCUUUCGUCCAUUGUGCAUUUUCAUUUCAUCUGGCUUUGAGUUCUGUUUCUAUCAUCUCGACUCUAUUCGCUUCUGUUUUCUCUUAUGUGAUGAUAACACGCUCUUGUCUUGGAGCUACAGGUCAGGCCUUUCACACCCUUCAUUCCACUUGUAGUCUUUGAUCUAGGAUUCUUAGGUUGAGGUGGGACCAUUUGGGAUGAGAGUUUUGAGGUUCUUUUGGUUGGACUAUGCUAGUGUGGCAUUCAGCUAGCUUUGGUUAUUUGGCGCAAAAAAAAAAAAAAAAAGAAGUGCUUAUUUGGUAUUUGUUGUUAUACUUGGGAUUAUCAGAGAUCAUUUGGGUUUGAGAGAUUUAUUAUUCCUCUGAGAGUUGGAUGAGAGCAUUGUACAAUCCUUCUCCAUGGAUUUGGGUGACACAUUGGGAGUAAGGUUUGGGUUUCUUUGGCACUCGGUCCCCUGGAUCAUUGUUUACAUCACCUUUCCCAUCUUACAGUGACUUGCUUCAGUCUGGCGUUCUUGGGAUGAGUUGUUCAUCGUUGUCACAUAUUGCUACAUUUUUAUCCUAGCUUGUUCCUCCAUUUUCUACUACAUCCAAUCAUCAUUUGUCUUAUCCCUUUUCGCCUUCUUCUAUCCUCAUCGAAUGUCGUUUAGCUUUAUGAACGACGAGUUCUUUGGUGCACAUCACCUAUUGUUUGACAUUAUUCAUUUGGAUGUAGGUUGAGUCACCUUGCUCACUGAUUUCGUGCCCAGCUGGUGUACCUUGAUUUUGGUCCUUAGAUAGGAGUAAUCAACAAAAUUUAUAACCUAUAUCACCAUGUACUAGGAUAGCCUCAGCUAACAUAGCAUAGUGGCUCUAGGAUCGUUCACUAGGAAGGGUUUUCAACUUGCAACUGAUAAUAAUUCAUAGUUGAAUUGAUGUUUUUUUUCAUUUCAAGGUUACCUUUAAAAGAAAACAUAAACUUUGGUUUAAAAAUGAUUGGUUUUAAGCUAACUAAAAAUAGAGUAACAAAAAUGACUUAAGUGGAGCUAAUAUCCUUGCUUUCUUCUUAGGAGGACGGCUAGUUGACUUCUUUGCACGAGAAGAGCUUGCCCCGAGUGUGGUGGGUGAUCUUCUUGUCUCAUAUCGCCUCGAAUGAGAACUCAAAGGCGCGCCCUCUACUGAAGGUGGGACGACAAGUGGCUGUGAAGGCUCAAUCAUGGAGCCUUGCAUAGGGGCCACUCUUGGUGCUCUGGGAUGGCCUGAGGGAGAUGAGGUCUUGGUUCCUCGGGUUUUUGCCAUGGCUGACUCAGAGAGGUUUGAGAGAGGGUGGUCGGAGGUGCGUGCGCGGCUUGGGCUCAGAUGGAGGUCCUCUGGAAAUGGUGCUUUGGCUUGGCUCCUAUUUUGCACCAAAGGGAGGUUUUCGCAAGGCAAAUGACCGGUGUAAAGUGAAAAAAAAUGGAAUUUAAAAAGUUAAAUUAGAAGCCAAGUGACGGUUGAGAUUUUUCGUAGAGGAGCGGGCAUUUCGCAGCGGAGGCCCAUUUUCACAGCCAAGGACCAUUUUCGCAGCCCAUUUUGCAGCUGCGAAAUGAGAAAGUGGGGCUGCGAAAUGGCACUCGUGUGCCAAAGUGGGGUUUUGCAGCUGCGAAAUGGAGCUUUGGCUGCGAAAUUGAGCUUUUGAGGGCCUUGGAUGGUUUCACAGAAGGUUUCGCAGUUGCGAAAUGAAGGCUUGGGCUGCGAAAUGACACUCGUGUGCGAAAAGAAGGUUUCGCAGCUGCGAAAAUUUUGGCAGAAGAGGGCUAUGGGGCUGCGAAAUUGUUUCGCAGAGGAGGACCCAUUUCGCAGCAAACCCUUGAUUUCACAGCGAGUCCCUUUUGGCUGCGAAAUUAUUUCACAAAGGAUGGUCGUUUUCGCAGGGGGCUAUUUUGGGCUGCGAAAUUUUGCAGGCCACUGAAAUUUCUUGUUUCUGAGCUCCUUUUGGCUCCCUGAGACCUUCCUUCACCUCUUUUGCAAUUCCUCCUAAAUUAGAUCAUUCAAAAAGUCUAAGUUACAUAAAAAUAACAUAAAUUAAGACUAAGAUUAAAAUCAAAACAAUUAAUAAAGUUCUUAAAUUAACAAAAUUAAACAAAAAAUAUGGACUUUGGUGAGACCAAGUCCAUUUAACCUCUUUCUGAUUAGGAUUUCUGUGGCUCAAGGAGGUUGAUUUCCUCCUUACCUUGCUUGAAUGACUCAAUAAAUGGUUUGAGACAAUGGCCAUUGACUUUAAAGGUGUUAGUGUUGUUGGAAUUCAGUAAUUCCACCACUCCAUUGAGAUGCACUUGGUGAAUAAUGAAAGGGCCUAUCCACCUUGACUUCAGCUUCCUAGGAAAGAUAUGGAGCCUUGAUUCAUAGAGUAAGACUCUUUUUCCUUUUCGGAAUUCUUUGUUGGAGAUUAACUGAUCAUGCCACCUCUUCAUCCUCUGUUUUGAAACUUUGGAAUUGAUGUAGGCAUCAUUUCUUAAUUCCUCCAUCUCAUUAAGGUCUAAGCACUUCUUUGCCUUGGCUCUGAUCAAGUCCAUGUUAACCUUCUUGAUUGCCUACCAAGCUUUAUAUUCAACUUCUACAAGGAGAUGGCAUGUUUUGCCAUAGACUAGGCGAUAGGGAGACAUGCUAAGAAUAGUCUUGUAAGCUGUUCUAUAUGCCCAUAGUGAAUCAUGGAGCUUAAUAGACCAAUCUCUUCUGCUCGUGUUCACCAGCUUCAUCAAUAUAUUCUUGAUUUCCCUGUUUGCUAGCUCAACUUGCCCGGAAGUCUGAGGGUGAUAAGGUGUAGCUACCUUAUGCUUCACCCCAUACUUGGCUAAUAGGGUUUCAAAAGGCUUGUUGCAAAAAUGAGUACCUCCAUCACUGAUUAUGGCCUUGGGCACCCCAAAUCUUGAGAAGAUGUUCUCUUUGAGAAACUUGAGAACCACCCUAUGAUCAUUGUGUUUACAGGGGAUUGCCUCAACCCAUUUAGAAACAUAGUCCACCCCCACCAAGAUAUAAGAGUUACCAAAAGACAUUGAGAAAGGUCCCAUGAAGUCAAUGUCCCAAACAUCAAAGAGAUCAACUAUUAGAAUGGGGUUCAUAGGCAUUUGAUUUCUUCUUGUUAGCUUCCCAAGCCUUUGGCAUUUAUCACAACUCCUACACAUGGUGUGGGCAUCUUUGAAGAGUGAUGGCUAACUAAACCCUGAUUGCAACAUCUUCAUGGCUGUUUUCUGGGAGGCAAAGUGGCCUCCACAUGCACGCUCAUGGCAAUGGCCGAGGAUUCCUUGUUGCUCUUCUUCAGGGACACACUUCCUUAUUAUUUGAUCUACACAAUACUUGAAAAGGAAAGGUUCUUCCCAAUAAUAAGCAUGAAUCUUUGCAAAUAAGUGCUUUCUAUCUUGUGCUUUCCACUCUCUUGGAACUUCACCAGUAACUAGAUAGUUAGCAAUAUGAGCAUACCAAGGAGUUUUUUCUAGCAACAUAAGUGAUUCCUCAGGAAAGUCAUCAUUAAUAGGUAAGACAUGGGAAUUGUGUGCUAUAGCCAACCUUGAAAGGUGGUCAACUACCACAUUCUCCACUCCUUUCUUAUCUCUGAUUUGGAGAUCGAAUUCUUGUAGUAAGAGAAUCCAUCUAAUCAACCUUGAUUUUGCAUCUUGCUUUGUCAAUAAAUACUUCAAGGUUGAAUGGUCAGUGAAAACAAUGAUGAAGGACCCUACUAGAUAAGCAUGAAACUUGUUUAAGGCAAACACUACAGCUAACAAUUCUUUCUCUGUGGUUGUUUAGUUCCUUUGAGCUUCGUUCAAUGUCUUACUUGCAUAGUAGAUCACAUAGGGCUUUCCAUCUUCUCUUUAGCCAAGCACAACUCCUAUAGCAAAGUCACUGGCGUCACACAUCACUUCAAAGGGUAGUUGCCAGUUAGGAGCCCUCACAAUUAGAGUAGUUGUCAAGAAUUGCUUCAGUUGAUCAAAACUCCUUUGACAUCUUUCAUCCCAUAUAGACUUAGCAUCCUUAGCCAAAAGUUCACAAAGAGGCUUUGAAAGCUUAGAGAAAUCUUUUAUAAACCUCCUAUAGAACCCUGCAUGGCCAAGGAAUUGCCUUACUCCUUUUACAGUUGUUGGGAAUGACAAUUUGACACAAUAAGUUCCACCUUUGCUUUAUCAAUUUCAAUGCCUUUCUCGGAGAUGAUAUGGCCAAGGACAAUUCCUUGCUGUACCAUAAAAUGGCAUUUCUCCAAGUUGAGCACCAAGUCCUUUUCAAUGCAUCUAUUCAGAACCGCUUCCAAGUUGACUAAGCAUUCUUCAAAUGUACUUCCAUAUGUGGUGAUAUCAUCCAUGAAAACCUCCAUAAUUUGCUCCACCAUAUCACUGAAGAUACUUAGCAUACAUCGUUGGAAUGUUGCAGGUGCAUUGCAUAAACCAAAAGGCAUUCUUCUAUAGGCAUAUGUUCCAAAUGGACAUGUGAAAGUGGUUUUGUCCUGAUCUUCAAUAUCGAUUUCAAUUUGAAAAUACCCGGAGUAGCCGUCCAAUAAACAAUAGAAAGGAUGGCCACAGACUCUCUCCAACACUUGAUCAAUAAAUGGCAAUGGAAAAUGAUCCUUCCUUGUCACAGCAUUCAAUUUUCUAUAAUCAAUACACACCCUCAACCCUGAAGUGAGGCGUGUAGAAACUUUUUCUCCCUUUUCAUUUUGAACCACCGUGAUCCUUGACUUCUUUAGUACCACUUGAGUAGGACUCACCCAAGGGCUGUCGGAUAUGGGAUAGAUAAUACCUGCUUGAAGUAGCUUCAGAACCUCAGCUCGCACCACCUCUUGCAAAUGAGGAUUCAAUCUUCUUUGAGGUUGAUGAAUUGGUUUAACUUCUUCUUCCAUGUAUAUAUGAUGUGUAUAGACCAAAGGACUGAUGCCUUUCAAGUCAGAUAUUUGUCAUCCUAUUGCUUUCUUACACCUCUUGAGAACUUCAAGUAGACACAUCUCCUGAGGAGUAGUAAGAUAUGAAGAUAUAACAACAGGGCACUUUUGAUUUUCUUCUAGGUAUGUAUAUUUCAACUCCGUGGGUAGAGGCUUCAGAUUGAGUUUUGGGGUCUCUUCUUUAGCAGCUUCUUGUGCCUCUUCUUUAUUGAACAAAGGUAGAAUCUCUUCUCUUAUUCUCCAACCUUGUAGAGAAGCAAGCACAUCUGAGGGUUUAGGCAACCCUUCUUCAAGAUCCCCAAGACUUUCAUUCAACUUGUCUUGCAUUUUCUUAUUACAAUGCUCCUCCACUAGAGUGUCAAUAAUGCACACCUCUUCUGGACCUUCUUCUUCUUUCGGAGUGAUUAGCUUUUUGGACAUAUAGAAGAUAUUGAGCUCUAGUGUCAUGUUGCCAAACGUGAGUUGCAUGAGUCCAUUCCUACAAUUUAUGAUUGCAUUUGAUGUAGCAAGAAAUGACCUUCCAAGGAUGAUAGGAACAUAAUCCGUUUCCUUGACAAUUGGGUCUGUGUCAAGAACAAUAAAGUCUACUGGAUAGUAGAAAUUAUCAACUUGAACUAAGACAUCUUCAAUUACCCCCCUUGGAAUUUUCAUUGAUCUAUCUGCUAGAGAUAGAGUGAUUGAUGUUGGCUUUAAUUCACCAAGUUCCAAUUGCUUGUAGACAGAGUAUGGUAGCAAAUUCACACUUGCUCCCAAGUCUAACAAAGCUUUCUCCACUACUUUUCCUCCAAUCAUGAUUGAAAUGGUGGGACAACUCGGAUCUUUGUACUUCAAAGGAGACUUGCAUUGUAUGAUAGCACUCACUUGCUCAGUCAAGAAGGCUUUCUUAUUCACAUUCAACCCUCUUUUGAUAGUACACAAGUCCUUUAGGAAUUUUGCAUAUGUUGGAACUUGUUUAAUCAUAUCCAGCAAUGGGAUAUUGACUUUCACUUGUCUCAAUACUUCAAGAAUUUCUGAUGCAUUUCUGAUCCCUUUUUUCCCAUGCAAAGCUUGAGGAAAAGGUGGAGAUGUGUGUUUCUUCAUCACAUCUCCCUUGAUGAGUACUUUAUCCGGAUUUGCAUUCACUGUUGAAUCAUGGUCCUCCUUCACUUCACUGGUAUCUUUCUUCUUUCCUUUGAUUUCCUCCCUCUUCUCUGUUUCUUCUUCUUCUUUUUCUUCCUCUUUAACAUAUGGCUUGGGUGUUGGUAGCUCAACCUUUUUACCACUCCUUAGAGUGAUCAAGGCUUUGACAUCUCUCACCUGAGAAGAUUCUCCCUCAUGAGUUUCCACUUCAUGGAUACCUUUGGGGUUUUGGUGAGGUUGAGAAGGAAAUCUACCCUUCUCUUGCACUAUGUUCAGGUUAGUGAGCCUUGAGAUUGAAUAUUGGAGAUUAUCUAUCUUCUGAGAUAAGCCAUUUUGCAUGUCAUCCAUCCUUUUAUUCAAUGUAUUCUCUACACUGUCAAUUCUUUGACUAAGUUGAGCAUUGAUGGAUUUUUUAUCUCCAAUAAAAUUUCCCACAACCUUGCUUAGAUUCACUAUUGCUUGUUCAAGAUUUGAAGCUUGUUGAGAUGGUUGAGCUGGCUGUUGGUACUAAGGUGCUCUUGGCUUCCAGGAGAAAUUUAGAUGGUUCCUCCAAUUUGAGUUGUAAGUAUUUCCAUACAAAGCAUUGUUGUUGGGCUUGAAUUGUCCAAUGACAUUUGCUUGAUCUCUAAACAUUUCCCUAGCAGCUAGAAUUGUAGAGCACUUCUCCACCAAGUGCUCAUAAGAUUGAAAAAUAGGACAUGGCUUGACUUGCACUGGUGUUUCAGCAACAGCUUGCACUUCAUGUAUCUUCUUCAGUUCUAGCUCCUCCAAUCUUCUUGUCACAGCUGCAAACUUUGCCUUUAUAUCAACAUUUUCAUUUAAGGUGUACAUCCCAGCCUUAGCAUUAAAGGCAUUCGGUUGAGACUUCAUCUUCUCCACUUCUCCUUUGUUCGGUUCAUCCCAUCCCCUUGAUACUUCAACCACAUAACUUAAGAAAUCCAUGGCUUCCUCCAGAUUCUUACUCAUGGAAUCUCCUCUACACAUUGUCUCGAGGAGUUGCUUCAUUGAGGAAGACAUCCCAUCAUAAAAGUAACUCACCAAUAGCCAUGUAUCAAAACCAUGGUGAGGAUAAGCAUUGAUGGCUUCCAUGUAUCUUUCCCAACACUCAUAGAAUUUCUCACUCUCUUUAGCUGAGAAGUUUGAAAUUUCCCUUUUCAAGCCAUUUGUUCUGUGAGUAGGAAAAAAUUUCUCGAGGAAUUCAACUUGCAAAUUAGUCCAAGUCCGGAUACUCCUUGGCCUUAAAGAAUUAAGCAAAAUCUUGGCCUUAUCCUUUAAAUUAAAAGGAAAUAGUUUAAGCCUCAUCAAGUCGAUUGAAGCUCCUCCUUCUUGAAACGUAUUACAAACAUCUUCAAAUUCCUUGAUAUGGGCAUAGGGAUUCUCAUUUUCAAUCCCAUGGAAAGUUGGUAGAAGUGGAACAAUAUGCGGUCUAAUUACUAGCUGCUUUGUAGGGGGCACUAUACAGGAUGGUGCACUCAUACGAGGUGGAUACAUGAGGUCCCUCAUUGAUCUGAAUGCAUUGGGAUUGUCCUGGUGACCAUGGUGACUAUACUGAUCUUCAGGUGUAGCUUCCAUGAUAUUCAAACUCAAUUCCAAUUCCUUGUUAUGAGGUAUUUCAAGUUUCACAAGCCUUCCUCUACUAUCUCGUAUCCAAUUUGGCAUACACAACUAGUAUCAACUGUAAUAAAAACAAAAACAAAAGAAAACAAAAGAAAACAAAAGAAAACAAAACUACAAAAAGACUAAGAUUAAUUAAAACUAAAUUAAAAAAAAUGCUAAAAUAUGAACAAAUAAAAGAAACAAUUAAAAGAGUUACUAGAAUGAAAGAAAAAUCACCAAACUUGUGAUGAAAAUCACAAGUACUCUGAAAAGAUAAUAUCACUGUAAAGUUGGCACCUUCCCCGACAAUGGCGCCAUUUGAUUUCGUGCCCAGCUGGUAUACCUUGAUUUUGGUCCUCAGAUAAGAGUAAUCAACAAAAUUUAUAACCUAUAUCACCAUGUACUAGGAUAGCCUCAGCUAGCAUAGCAUAGUGGCUCUAGGAUCGUUCACUAGGAAGGGUUUUCAACUUACAAUUGAUAAUAAUUCAAAGUUGAAUUGAUGUUUUUUUUCAUUUCAAGGUUAGCUUCAAAAGAAAACAUAAACUUUGGUUUAAAAAGGAUUGGUUUUAAGCUAACUAAAAAUAGAGUAACGAAAAUUACUUAUAAAGAAAAGUGUUUCUUGGAGUUUUAGGAUCACUGGGAUCAGGCUCCUAAUACAAAAACAGAGUUCCGGUCACUUGAAUCUUUUCCUCGCAUUAGAGAAUUAACAUAUAGUUAUUUCUCUAACCGGUGUGGUACAGAUGCUUCCCUUUUAUGGAUUCAAACACUAAAUCCCUCUCACUGAUUCAUCUUGCAAUGGCUCGUGCCUCUCACCUAGCAUUUGUCAUUCAAGGUGAUACUUAAUCUUGGAUUUCCUUUCACAAGCUCGCAAGAGAUAACUAAUGGAUGUCUCCUUAGAGUCUAAAAGCUUACCAAGUGUUGGCUAUUCUAGAAAAUCCUACUUUCAAACCACCUCCCAAAGGCUCGCAAGAGAUAAACUAGUGCAUCUCAAUGAACGGAGAUCACUUGCCUUACCAAGUGUUGGCCCAGGUGAUUCAAAGACGUUUUAAGUUAACUAAAAACAUAGAAACCAUUAACGGGUACACUUUCUCUUCAUUAAAAGUUGAAACAACAAAACUUCCAAUUCUUGCAUUCGGCACCUUACCCAACUACCUUAACUCCAAGAGACAAAAAGUCUAGCCACUCAUUCUCUGAGGAAACAUCCUCAUUUGUCUAGUAAGCAAAAUACAAUCAAAGUGAGUAGGUAAGGCAGAGCAAAACUCUGUAUAUUACUUCCUUCAAAACUAUACAAAAGGUUGUCUUUAAGAACAAACUCCCGAGAUGUCUGUGUAAAGAAAAUUACAAACCAUAUAUAUGAGGUUAUUCACCCUUUUGUUCUUACUUAUUAACUAAGGAAUCCUAUGAUUGGUGGAUUACAAGGAGAGAAUGGGGAUUUAAACAACAAAUAUUUGAAGAAAAAAAUCUAAAAGAGUCGGUCGCAAAUAUCUGGAAGCACUCAGGUGGAUUUCGCAGGCAUGCAAGAUGGGCUGCGAAAUUUCGCAAGUUGAAAGUCUCCAUUUCGCAGCCAAAGGUUGAUUUCAACUUUUAGCUUGGUGUGAUUGGCUUCCAAUGACUAUAACUCCUUCAUUUCAGCUCCAAUUCAUGCACCGUUUGAAGCGUUAGAUUCCUGACUUCCCAAGCUUCGAAACAACAUAUAGUAUGCAUGAAAUGGACUCUAGAAAGUGCUCUAAAUGUGUCCAAAGUUGUUGUCCUCUUGAAUUCUUCAUGUUAGAUUUCUCUCUUUGCUUUCCCUCAUUGCAUUCAUGAUUUGCUUUUGGAAAAGGACUAUAGAGCUUCAAAACUUGGGUUCUUAAUGUAAAUGAGCUUUCAAUUGCUUUGCCAUGGAUUCUAUAGAACUCUCCUCAAUCUUGAAUUGCUUUGGUGAUAAAAAAGCUAUCAAAAACACCAAAACUUAACACAAAGUGAUUAGAAAUGAUUGCAGAGGUACUUAAUAUGCCAAUUGAGUUAAAAGGUAAUAACUACUAUUCAAAAGUGUUUAAAAGAGUUAAUUAUAAACUAUAAAAUAGCACUUUUUGAGUAGUAAUCACUCACAUGAUUCUAUGAUAUUUGGCAUUGCAUACAGGGGUUUGGCAUUUAGUUAUUGGGUAUUUGGGCCUUUGUGUCCCAUCAUUUCAUUCACCUGUCACCCCUGGCCUACAUUACGGUCCGAGUCGUAAGACCACCCUGAGGCCAUGAGAUCUCGUAUCUGCUUCGAUGCGGUUCAUUCGGAUAGGCUCCAUCUACUGAUUGAGUACGGGAUGUCAACAGGUCUCCAUUGCUUCAGGGAAUAUCGAGGGUCACAUAUUGCCUUUCCAUUCAGUUUGCUUGCCUCAAGUCCAUGAUCAGAGGCAAAUGAUACAGAGAGUUGGGACCGUUGAAAACGUCUUUGCUUGAUGCUUUGACAUGUUCAUACUAGGGCAUACCCUCAUCCUUGCAUACUGGCUUCGACUCUUACACAUGUACGCAGGCAGUUCGUUUCGCCUAGAGAUGUUUUGGAUAUCAGAGUUUAAGUAAGCCCCACAUUCAACUUGGUUUCUUCAUACAGCAGAGUGCUUUUGGGAGCUGACCUGAGAUCAAAUUCACGGUAUUCAUUGACCCAGCAGGAGUGUGCACACCCGGGCAUACCCCAUUCAUUGUCUUGUUCGCUAGCUCAGACAAUUGGGUCUUCAAUGAUGUAUUUCAGAGUUUUCAUUGAGAUAUUUGAGUUUCAGAGGUAAACAUUGGGGCAUACCCCUUAUCAGUUUUUUUGUGGAUAUUGGAUGUUAUGGAUUAGGGUGGAGGGUUUUUCCUCAUGGAUGGAUGUUUGUGAUAUUUCCAGCUUUUUGACUUUGAAUCUAUGUGCAGUUGUGGGUUUCUAACAUGGUUUUGAUGCCUUAGACUGGAGCAUGGCCCUUUCUUUGCACUUUUGGUCACUUUUAAGAGUUGUCAUACAGGGGCAUACCCCCCAUCUUUCUAUCUUGUUGGUGGGGUUAUUCAUUUCUUGUUUAUCGGCGUUUUCUGAUGUCACACUAAGGCACACCCCCUUUCUUUCGUCAUGAUUGACGGGUUUGACUUUUCUCUUAUUUGAUUCAUUUAUUGACAUUUUUCGGACGCCACACUAGGACAUACCCCCCUUUUUCAUGGUGCCAUUACUUUUCAUUUCCUUUCAUUUCAAUGGCUCUCUAGCAUCGUGCCCGGAUCCCCUAGUCAUUUCGGCGGCUCUCUAGCAUCGUGCUCAGAUCCCCUAGUCAUUUCGAUGGCUCUCCAAUAUUGUGCUCAGAUCCCCUAGUCUUUUGGGGGCUUACCCGCAUCAUGCCCGGAUGCCCUGGUCAUUUCGGCUGCUCUCCAGCAUCAUGCUCGGAUCCCCUAGUCAUUCGGCGGCUCUCCGGCAUCAUGCCCGGAUUUCCUAGUCAUUUCGGUGGCUCUCCGGCAUCGUGCCCAGAUCCACUAGUCAUUCCGGCGGCUCUUCGACAUCGUGGCCGAAUCCUUUAUUUUUCGGCAUCGUGCCCGAAACCCCUAUUUUUCGUCAUCGUGUUGGAUUUUCUUUUAUCUUUCUCGGCAUCGCAUACUGAUUUCCUUUGUUUUCUCCGGCAUCAUGCCCGGAUCCACUAGUCAUUCCGGUAGGUCUUCGACAUCGUGCCCAAAUCCUCUAUUUUCCGGCAUCGUGUCCGGUUUCCUUUUAUCUUUCCCGGCAUCGCGCCCGGAUUUCCUUUGUUUUCUCCAGCAUUGUGCCCGGAUCCCCUAGUCAUUCCGGUGGCUCUUUGGCAUCGUGCCCGAAUCCCCUAUUUUCCGGCAUCGUGUCUGGUUUCCUUUUAUCUUUCUCGGCAUUGUGCCCGAAUUUCCUUUGUUUUCUUCGGCAUUGCGCCUGGAUCUUAUAUCUCUCCCGAAAACGCGUCCGAUUUUCUCCUAUCUUUUCUGGCACCGUGUCCAAAUUCCUUUAGCUUUCUCCUGCAGUGUGCCUGGGUCCUUUAGUCCUUCGGUCAUCAUGGCUCAUUCCCUUAGCCUCUUUAUGGUUGUGUGGGGACAAAAUUGUUGGUCAUUGGAAUUCUUCACUAGAGUUCAUUUCACUCAUUCAUUCUUGCACUUUGCAUUCGUGACUCACUCGUUCAUUCACUCUACUAAAGAGGGGCAUAUUUGUAAACCCUCAAUUUUGUCCCUUGACACUUGCAUUUUAUCUUAUGGGUGCCACAUGCACCCAUGUUUUCAUAUGACCCCGCCAUGGCCCCUUUUUGGCCUUGAUCGAUUUCUGAGCCUUGUGUAGGUUCAUUUGCGGUCCAAUGUAGUGCGGGUGUGUAGUUCAUUUUGGAGUUCCGUCAUGGCCAAUUUCCCUAGUUGUUCACAUCAUGCUAUAGGGAAGGAAGUGCAGCCCCCCAAAAAUUUCAGUUCAGUUGGAAUUCAUAAGAGCAGGUUCGAAUUCGGAGCACUUAGGCUUGUUUUGAUCAUAUCUCCCUCAUCCGAACUCGGAAUCACGCACCGUUUUUUUUUAUGGACUCCUUAUUCAUCAAGGAACAUUCUGUAAAAAUUUCAAUUUUUUUUCUCAACUGGCUCGACUGGUUCCCAAAGUUUCAGAUUUUUUCUCAAUCGGAUGAAUUGGUUGGGCACCGGUUCAACAGGUGGCUUGGUGGCAGCCCAGUUUUAUAAAUGCUUUGCAUUGUUUCGAUCAAGUCUCUCUCAUCCAAGAUCAAAAUUGAGCUCUGUUUGUUUUUUUGGAUUCCUUAUUCUCUGAGGAAUCUUCUGGUAAAUUUUCAGAUUUUUUUCUCAAUCGGAUGAACUAGUUAGGAACCGGUUCAACAGGUGGCUUGGUGGCAGCCCCAUUUUAUAAACGCUUUGCAUUGUUUUGGCCGGUUCUCCCUCAUCCAGAAUCAGAAUUGAGCACCAUUUGUUUUUUUAGAUUCUUUAUUCUUUGAGAAAUCUUCUGGUAAAUUUUCAAAUUUUUUCUCAAUCGGAUGAAUCAGUUGGGAACCGGUUCAACAGGUGGCUUGGUGGUAGCCCCAUUUUAUAAAUGCUCUGUAUUGUUUCGGUCGGUUCUUCCUCGUCCGGGCUCAGAAUUGAGCGCCGUUUGUUUUGUUGGAUUCAUUAUUCUCCAAGGAAUCUUUUGGUAAAGUUUUAGAUUUCUUUUCUCAAAUGGUUGAGCUGGUUGGGAACCGGUUCAAUCGGUUUUGCUAGGUAGCUCUAGUUUCAGCGUGUUUUGACCCCCAUUUUUGUUAUGGCUUGGGCCCUUAGGCUCCAAGGCACUUGUAGGCCACCUUUAGGGUCUGAAUCCAGAUUUGGUUUGAAUUAAUGUGGGCCCACCUAUGAGUUGAGGGUAUUAUUGGCUAGGAAGGUCGGGGGGUUAUUGUGAAUGUUUGGCUUGGGCACAUUUUGAUGUUUGAUUAAAAAUGCUUGUGUCUAUUGAUUUGCCCCUGUUUGUAACGCUUGGCUGGGGACCCGAGGUACAUACUUGACUUGUUGGGAAUUGGAUUCAUUUGCAUGCAUGGGACUUGGAUAUGUUUGCUUGUUGUGUGUUGAAUUGAAGCCCCAUUUUAGAUGAAGUGGCACACUAAAACCCAGUGAACAUGAGCUCUAAAAUGCAUACAUUCAAUUUCUUUCCAAACAACCAGCGAUAAGCAGAGCCCCAUGCAAUUCGUAGAGUUCUCCUCAUGCAAUUUAUAUCAGCAAUGUAGUCUCAAGUACAUUCUCGGACCUCACUCUAGCAUUGGCUACCUUGGUGCACCUUACCCUCAUAAUUUUUUUUCUUUUCUUUGUGAUCUUACACAUCUUAAAUCUGGAUUUCAAAACCUUUUUCCAUCAAAAUAACUCUACUUUUCUUUAAAAUUCAUUCCUUAGGAGUUUCUAGGCAUAAAAUCCAAAUUUUAACAUACUAUUUGCUGCAAUUUUCCUUCUAGCACGCGUUCUCACUAUUUUCUACUAAUUUUCUUGAUUUUCUUGUUUUUCCUAAACAAGCAUGAAUAAACUUCAUGAUUCCAAAUAAUGGAACUCAUUAAACCAAUUCAUGCAAAAGUAAUUUGGACCUUGGUGGGUGGCGCGACAUCCAUGAAUUUUUUUUUAGAUAUUGAUUCAAAUGAGGUGUUUGCUUGAUAUUUAAUUGAAAUUGAUCCUCUUCAUGAUACAUGAGUUUGUUUUAUAGUUAUUUUUGAACUAACCAUGCUCCCCAUUAAAGCGCUUAGCUUGCUACUCUUGUACGCUAUCUAUCACCUAAUUUUCAGAAUUCUAUGAAUAUGCAUAUUAUUAUGAGCUAUAUCUAUGUUCAAUUCUAUCAUUGGAUGCCUAAAUGUUUGUUUUAUUUGCUCUAACAAAAUGCAUGUUGUGUGUCAUAUUUGUAAGCUAACUUUGAUGUCUUAUGAUAGUGCUUGAGGAGCAAUCUAGGUACACACCCUAACUCUCCUUUAUGAUUAUGAUUUGAUUUAUUAUUGGGCAUGCUUGUUUUGAAAUCACCUUAGCCUACCUAGGCAUUCAUAAUCAACUUAUUAAUUGCCACAUUUACCUCAAUUUAGUCAAUAGAGACCUUUUUAUGGCUUAGAGAGGUACUACCUCUUUGAGGUACCUUCCCAAAAGGUAACUUGAUCGCCGAACCUCCUUUUAAAAUAAAAUAAAAUAAGCAAUGACUCUAACUUUGACCAAAAUUAAUUUUUCACCAAUAAAAGCAAGUAUCGCUGAUGAGUGGGGACACACGUGAAAAUUGCAGGUCCACAGCAUGCACCUAGUCAAAUUGUGUAUUGUUUGCAAGAGAUGCUUGUAUUUAUUUCCUAAUGAGUUUAUUCUAAUUCUUUGAUUAGGAUUUCUUCAAUCACAUUGCUUGCUAUUGAAUUUCCAAUGGCUUAAUAUAAAUUAUUAGAAAAAUGUUGUUUAAUUAUUUCAGCAACUUAUCCUUUAUAAUUUUUUUUAACAAAUAUUAUCUCUGAUGUUCAUUUGUAAUAAAUAGCUAGAGAAAGGGCCCAAUGUGAACACCUAUGAGACUUAGUUGUGUUUGAGAGAUUACAUGGAAAUCUUGGCAAAACAUCUCCAAGCCUUGUUGUCAAAAAGGAAACCCUACAUCUCAUGCCUUUAUACUGCAUCUUAGCUUCUCAUCUUGCAAUGGACAAUGGUACUCUUAUUGAAUCAGUUUUACCAUACCAGUCAUCAACAUUUGCACUCAUUAAGCACUAAUUUAAGCACUGAUGCUUUUGUUAAAGUUAUUUCCUUUUUUGUUUGUUCGUUUUUGUUUUCUUUUGUUUUGGAGGUAAUUGUGUUGGAUGAUUUAUGUUUGUGUUAGACAACAAAGCUUGUCUUAAUGCUAUUGUAAAACAAGACUAUGCUAAUAAGAUUUUGAUGUUUACAAUGUUUAUGCCAAAUUGAAUUUUUAGUUUUCCUAAUUGAAAAUUUGCUUGUUUUCCCCAUUAUAUCGAUGUUAUUGUUGGAUUUUUGUUUCUGUUGAUCAAGCAUGUGCUAAAAGUUUGUUUUUUUUUUUUUUUUCCGUUGCUACUUCAUGUGUGUGGAAUUCUAGCUUAAAGUUAGUGAGGAAUUCUAGGGUUUGUUAAGGCCAUUUUUGGUAUUUUGUUAUUAGUUCCUAAUUUAAUGUUUUUCCUUAUUUAGUGGAGAUUUUGUUCUCUAAUCAAUUAAGAUUGAAUCCUGGUCCUUAUGGUGACUGAUUGCACUAUUCUCUUGUAUAUAUAUACCAUGUUGUAUUCUAUAGAAAGUAAGAGAAUUAAUAAAUAAAUAAAAAUUAACUUCUCAUAAAUCUUCAUGGUAUCAAAGCCUUCCCUCUAAAACCCUAAUUUUCCACAUCACCAAAUUCGUCAUGGCUAUUGAGAGACAAAUCUCAACCUUUGAAGUGACCUUCAAUCCAGAAACGAUGCCAACGAUGAACAACCAUGGAAGAGCCGAGAACCCAUCUAUGCUCAUCACAGGUCACAAACUCAAUGGCCAUAAUUUUCUCUAGUGGUCUUAGUUAGUGAUGAUGUAUGUCUGUGGAAAGGGCAAGGAUGAAUAUCUCACCAGUGAAGUAGUUAUCCCUGAGAAGACCAAUCCCAAAUUCAGGGUGUGGAAGACCGAGAAUCACAUGGUGAUGUCUUGGUUGAUUAAUUCGAUGAAUACCGACAUAAGAAAGAAUUUUCUCCUCUAUGGAACUGCCAAAGAAUUAUGGGAUGUAGCAAGGGAGACAUACUCAAAUUCUGAAAACACUUCAAAAAUAUUUGAGAUAGAAGCCACUUUACACAACCCUACGGCAGGGAGAUCUCUCUGUUACCCAAUACUUCAACAUUCUUUCUCGUCAUUGGCAGCACCUAGACAUGUUUGAAGUUCACACCUGGAAGUGCCCUGAAGACACUGCAUUGUACCGAAAAAUUGUGGAGCAAAAGCGAACAUUCAAGUUUCUCCUUGGCCUCAACAAGAAUUUGGACGAGGUUAGGGGGAGAGUGAUGGGGACCAAACCUCUUCCAAGUAUUAGAGAGACAUUCUCAGAAGUUCGCCGUGAGGAAAACAUGAAAAAGGUUAUGAUGGGAUCUCAGAAUUCUGCCCUAUCAAUUGAAGGAUCUACCUUUGUAGCACGAGGACUUCCAUCAAACACCAACAGUGAAAAUCGCCAGAAAAUGGGAAACCUUAGUGUGACCACUACCGAAAACUAUGACAUUCCAGAGAAAAUUGCUGGAAGAUUCAUGGCAAACCAGCUAAUUGGAAGCCAUCCAAACCAUUCAAUGAUAGAGAAAGUAGUGUCCAUAAUGUUGCUACCUCAGAAGACAAGCCAACCUCAACCAAGACCAGUCCUUUCAGCAAAGAGCAGCUUGAGAUGCUUCAACAACUCAUAAGUCAAAACUCCCUAUCUCAAUCCAGUAACUCAGCAUCUGGUAUAGGCAUGUUGGCACAAAAAGGUGAUUUUUCAAAUGCCUUUGCAGUAAAUAAACAACACUUGAAUCCUGGAUUAUUGACUCUGGAGCAUCAGAUCACAUGACAAGAGAAGGAACCAUAUUUCAUGAGUACAACCCUUCUAAAGAGAAAUAUACAGUUUGGAUUGUUGAUGGAUCUCUAUCCAAAGUUGCUGGAACAGGCUCAAUCAGGGUUACAAACGACCUUAAUCUAAACCCUAUUCUCCAUGUCCCUAAUUUGGAAUGUAAUUUACUCUCAAUCAGCAAAUUAACUCGUGAUCUUCAUCGUGAAGCUAAAUUUUUCUCAAACUUGUGUAAAUUUCAGGAACUGGAUUCGAGGAGGAUGAUUGGCAAUGUUGAGAUGUGCUCUAGACUCUAUCUUCUCAAGGGUGAUACUCCUCUAAGAAGACGAACUCAAAAUGCAAGUUGUGUGUCGCUUAAGAGUCGGUCAAUUUUAGAUUUUUGUGUCAAUAAAGAUAAUGAGGUCAUGUUAUGGCAUUAUCGUCUGGGUCAUCCAAAUUUUAUAUAUCUUGAAAAAUUGUUUUCAUCUUUAUUCAUCAAUAAAAGUCCAAAAUUUUUCAGUUGUGAAAUCUACCAGCUUCCAAAACAUACUCACAGUAGUUACCCUAGUCUUUCAUAUACACCAUCUCACCCAUUUGCCAUGAUUCAUAGUGAUGUGUAGGGUCCUUCGAGGAAAAACAAUAUAACAGGAGCACGGUGGUUUGUCUCGUCUGUUGAUGAUCACACUAGAUUGACCUGGGUAUUCCUGAUGAAAGAAAAAUCUGAAGUUGGAAAAUUUUUUCAAAUUUUCAAUUCCAUGAUCUAAACUCAAUUCCAGACCAAAAUCCAAGUUCUAAAAACUGAUAAUGCCAAAGAGUACUUCAAGUUUGUUCUAGGUAGUUACCUCAUGAGUCAAGGAAUAGUCCACCUAAGUUCUUGUGUUGUCACCCCUUAAUAAAAUGGGAUUGCAGAAAGAAAAAACCAACAUUUGUUAGAGGUAGCUAGGUUCCUCAUGUUUUCCACUCACGUUCCUAAACAUUUUUGGGGGGAGGUAGUACUUAUAGCCACGUAUCUCAUCAAUAGAAUGCCAUCCAGAAUUCUUAAAUUUAAAACGCCUUGUCAAUCCCUUCUCUAGAUCUUUCCACAUACAAAAAUCAUCUCUUCAUUAGAUCCAAAAAUAUUCGGGUGUUCAACUUUUGUCCAUAUACAUCAGCAACAUCGUAGCAAAUUAGACCCUAAAUCCAUCAAAUAUAUCUUUAUAGGGUACUCUUCACAUCAAAAGGGUUAUAAGUGUUAUUCUCCCAUCACUAAAAGGGUAUACAACUCUAUGGAUGUGACAUUUUUUGAACAUCAAGCUUACUACCACAAAACCGACAUGCACGGGAAGAACAUGAGAGCAUUCCAGUUUUGGAAGACACUUGAUCUUGGGGACACCCUACCAUUACCUCAUCUUACUUCUCAGCCAAUUUUCAGUCAACAACCAAAAGUCAUUAAUCAAAUUCCAGUUCAAAUUUCAAUGUCUUCACAACCUAAACCUGAGAGUCAUCCUCCUACUACCUCACCUCAAACUCUAGUCCAUAAUUACUCUAAAUCACCACUAACUGCAAAUAAUGAGUUUAGCGUCUACAUUAGGAGAAAAAGGCCUAAGAGAACAAUAGAGCAACCAACUCCUCUAAAAAAUGACCAAAAAUCUUAACCUAGUCCAAGUCCUACUCAAAUUCACUUGGGUAAGGGAACUACUAAUCUUGAAAAGCUAGUACCAUUUGUAGAUGAUUCAAAUAUUCCGAUUGCUUUGAGAAAGAGUGUUAGAACUUGCACAAACCAUCCUAUCUAUAGAUUUAUUUCAUAUGAUGGAUUGUCUCCCUCCUAUCAAGAUUUUGUUUUAGUUCUUGAUAGUGUGCAGGUUCCUAAUUCUAUUUAGGAGGCUCUCAAGAAUCCAAAGUGGAGAAAGGCAAUUAGCGAAGAAAUCAAAGCUUUGGAGAAGAAUGGAACAUGGGUAAUCUCUGAUCUUCCUCAUGGAAAGAAACCAAUCGGGUGUAAGUGGAUUUACCAUUAAACAUAAGGCUAAUGGAAGUAUUAAGAGAUUGAAAGCUCGCCUUGUUGCCAAAGGCUUUACUCAGUCUUAUGGAAUAGACUAUCAAGAAACAUUUGCUCCAGUGGCCAAACUCAACACUAUUCAAGUUCUUUUUUAUCUUGCAGCAAACCAAGAUUGGCCAUUACAUCAACUAGAUGUCAAAAAUGCUUUUCUGAAUGGUAACUUGGAGGAAGAAGUGUAUAUGGAGAUACCAUCAGAGUUGGAAACUUCUUUCAACAACAACAGGGUGUGCAAGCUUAAGAAAUCUCUGUAUGGACUCAAAAAAUCACCUCGAGCAUGGUUUGACAGGUUUGCAAAGUCAGUUACAAAGCAAGGAUAUACUCAAUGUCAAGCGGAUCAUACACAAUUUGUGAAGUUCUCUUCAGAAAAGAAAAUAGCAGUCCUCAUAGUGUAUGUUGAUGAUAUCAUCUUAACAGGUGAUUAUGAAGAGGAACUAUUGGGAAUGAAGAAACACUUAGCCAAAGAAUUUGAAAUCAAAGACCUUGGCUAUCUUAGAUACUUUCUCGGUAUGGAGGUGGUAAGAUCUAAGAAAGGCAUAUUUUUCUCCCAACGUAAGUAUGUUCUAGACUUACUAAAAGAGACAGGUAUGCUUGGAUGUAAACCUGCAGACACUCCAAUGGACUCAACCAAGAAAAUAGGAACUGAGAAGAACAGUGCACCAGUUGACAAGGGGAGAUACCAGAGACUUAUAGGACUUCUUAUCUACCUUUCACAUACUCGACCUGACAUUAGAUUCUCUGUUAGUGUUGUGAGUCAAUUUAUGAACAACCCAAUAGAAGAACACAUGGAAGCUGUGAAUACAAUUUUGAGGUAUCUGAAUAUGACCCUAAGAAUAGGACUGUUGUACAAAAAGAAUGAUACUAGAGAUGUUGAAGUUUUCUCAGAUGCAGACUGGGCAGGUGAUGUGUUAGAUAGGCGAUCAACAUCUGGAUAUCGUUCCUAUGUAUGGGGAAAUCUCGUGACUUGGAAAAGCAAGAAACAGUUUGUAGUCUCAAGAAGUAGUGCAGAAGCUGAAUUGAGAUCUUUGGCUCUUGGUAUUUGUGAAGGAACCUGGAUAUAGAGACUGCUGAAUGAGUUGGGAAUAUCUACUGAGAAGCCUAUUAAAAUGUUCUGUGACAACGAAGCUGCCAUAAGCAUUGCAAAGAAUCCUAUACAUCAUGAUAGGACGAAACACAUCGAGAUAAAUCGACAUUUCAUUUCAGAAAAGAUUGAGAAGGCAAUUGUACAGUUGGUCUAUACUCCUACAAAAUCCCAAAUGGCACACAUACUCACUAAAGCUUUUUCAAGAACUAACUUUGAAGAACUGAGUCACAAGCUGUGCAUGUACAAUAUCUAUGCCCCAGCUUGAGGGGAAGUGUGGAAUUCUAGCUUAAAGUUAGUGAGGAAUGCUAGGGUUUGUUAACGUUAUUUUUGGUAUUUUGUUAUUAGUUCCAAAUUUAAUAUAUUUCCUUGUUUAGUGGAGAUUUUGGUCUCUAAUCAGUUAAGAUUGAGUCCCGGUCCUUAUGGUGACUGAUUGCACCAUUCUCUUGUAUAUAUAUAUCAUGUUGUAUUAUAUAGAAAGUAAGAGAAUUAAUAAAUAAAUAAAAAUUCACUUAUCAUAAAUCUUCAAUGUGCAAAGCAUCAUUAUUCAAAUUUUUUGUUUGUUUGUUUUUGUUUUGUUUUGUUUUGUCUUGUCUUGUUUUGUUUUGGAGGUAAUUGUGUUGGAUGACUUAUGUCUGUGUUAGACAACAAAGCCUAUCUUAAUGCUACUGUAAAGCAAGACUAUGCUAAUAACCUUUUAAUGUUUACAGUGUUUAUGCCAAACUGAAUUUUUAGUUUCCCUAAUUGAAAAUUUGUUUGUUUUCCCUAUUAUAUCGAUGCUAUUGUUAGAUUUGUGUUUCUAUUGAUCAAGCAUGUGCUAAAACUUUGUUUUUUUUUUUUCCUUUGCUACUUCAUGUGCAAAGCAUUAUUAUUUGAAUUUUAAUGAUUCCAUUCAAUUCAUUAUUCAAUAUUUUCAUUUGAUAUUACAUCUAUCACAUUUGUUUUCUUUUCUUAGUUUGUUUUGUUUUGUUUUUGUUUUUUUUUUUUAAUUUGUGAAAUUUGAAUUUGAUGGAGCCACCAUUAAUUUAUUUUUCCUUAUUAUUGUGGGGUGUGCUUUAUUUUGUUCAUGUAAAUAUCAUCGUUGUGGCACUAUUAUUAUUAUGUAACCUUUUUUUUGUUUAAUCUAUUGUUCCUAUGAGCAUUAAAUUCUCCUAAAAUGUAUGGAACAGGCUAAACCCUUUCUAUAGUUAUUUUAAAAAAUUUAUUUUUCAUCUAUUUUCUUGUGCUCAAAAAAUUAUAUUUUUUAGUAAAAUUGAAAUUUUAGGGAGCGCUUAUGCCUUAAUGACUCAACCCCUUGAGGGUUUAUACCUAUCUUAGCAAGAUGUAAACCCUCAUGCCUCUUAUGCUUUUACCUUAUGAAACUAUACCCAAAAACAAACACCACAACUCCUUGCCCCGAUCAAAGGAUACUUGAAAGUUUGCUUCAAAUCAAUUUCAAGGCUAAUAAUCAUAGGCUUGUCAAAUUCAUGUUGCUAAAAUUGGUAUUGUAACCAAAGUAAUAUUAGGAAAUCUUCAAGUUUCAGCUCCUCUUUUUAUGUUGGCUCUUGUAUUGUUAGGUGGCUUCAACCUUUUGCUUUACUUAUGCUUUAUGAGCUACUCCAAUUAAAAUAAUGCUUCAAGUAGAUGUUCUUUGGAUCUUCACUCUAGCAAGAUACUUGCAUUGCAAAAAUUUUUUGUAGUCCUAGAUAGGUUAACUAGGAAGACAAUAGCUUGCUUAAGAGGAUUGCCUCCUCUUCUAUUGGGUUUGUAAAAGUUUUGCUUCUCCCUUGACUUUAGGAGUCCCGUGGUUUCAAAUUUGGGUGUGCUCUAGGUUGUAGCAUGCCUUAUGCUUUCUAAAUGGUAAUCUUCUUCUUGUUUUGGCUAGGAUUCUUUCAUUUAUUUUGCUUGUUUGCUUUCUUUGUUUCUUUAUUGUGGUUGAAGGAUCACCAAUCAACUUUUUAUUCUCUGCAAAAAUUAUUUAUGUUUCAUACCUAAAAAAGAAAAAACAAAGGCUAGUUAGCCUAGAACAUGUUUUAUCUUGUUCUUCUUUUACUAUUAGUAUGGAUUCAAACUUGGGAAGAGGCCUUGAAACAAGUUGCAUUUGUGUUUUCUUAACAUACAUCUUUAUUCGAUCAUUUUUGUUAAGUAUUUGGUGUCUUGUUUGUUCUUUUAGUUGUUUUUGUCUCUGUCAAAGUGUAUAAUUGUAAUAUCCCAUAUCAUAUAGGGAAAAAAGUUUUUCGUGCUAUAUAUAUGUAUAAACUCCACUUAAUCUUGUAAAUGUGUUUUAAAGUCACGAGGGUUUCUUAGGUUCAGAGCAGAUAAUAUCUACACAGUUGGAAGUAGGUCAUUACUAAUGGUAUCGGAACCAAUCUCCAACCUCAAUGUGAGAGAUUGUUUAGCACCGAAAGGAGUGUCUAUCUAUUUGACCCUACAAUCAUGUGGAAUAUAAUAAGGAAAUUGGGUUUGCAUGAGGAGUGUGAUUAUGAUAUCCUACAUCGAAUAUGGGAAAAAGUUUCUAAUGUUAUAUAUGUAUGGACUCCUCUUAACCUUGUAAACGUGUUUUGAAAUUGUAAAUGUCACUUAAGUUUAGAGUGGACAAUAUCUAUACAAUUGGGAGUAGGUUGUUAUAAUAAUUUUGAUUUUCCUUCCAUAUAUGUUUAAUUGCAUAACAUUAUCAUAGAAAAAUAUUCAUCUAUCAUAAUGUAGCGUCUUGUAAAGCUUAUGUUGGGUGUUAUGAUUUUAUCUCUCAUCAUUUUUAUUAUUCUGAUUCAACAUCAUCUUAGCUUAUAAUCAAAAGGCUAUAAAUUGUAGGAUUCUUUUCUCCAAUUUUUUACUUGAUAUCUUAUAAUGCCAUGAAAUGUCUAUAUUUUGAUGCAGAAAGUCGUUCAUCCUUCAUCUCUCUCACUAGUUUUGCAGAACCAUAGUCAUUAGGCACAUGCAAGCGUUAGACAUGCAGCCACUUCCAGUGUUGGAAGAGACUUUGAACUACCUCUUAAACCUAUUAGAUCCACGGAGCAUCCUUUUGAAGUGGUUCAUGAUUUCAUCUUUGAUAGGACAAGAUCAAUAAGACACGAUCUUAGCAUGGAGAAUAUUGUUAAUGAUCAAACAAUUCAUACGUAUGAAGAAAUGGUAUAAAUUUCUUGAAACAUAAUCUUAAUUACCUUUCUUUUCUUAGCAUUAAUCUCCUCAAUAUACAAUAAGUUAGCCAAUCCACUACUAAACACACUCCUAGUUGCAGAAAAUAAUCAAAAUAUACAAGAGAUGUUGUAUAAUUGAGUCAUUAUCCUCUCUUUUUGCUUUAUUGAAUAAGAAAAUUCUAUUCAGUGGAGUCCAAAUGAGGUGAAACUGUGAUCACACAACUUUUAAAGCCUACUUUAUAAUGGAUAAAUGAAUGGUCUGGUUCUGAAUCUUUCUCGGCACAUUAGUUAUUAUCCAAUCCAUUCUAAUUAAGUUAUCCACUAUUGAGUGUCUAUUUCCAAUGAAAGUUAUGAAAGGCCCAUAGAACCCAAGCAACUCACACCGCUUGCGAUGGGAAUUGGUGUUCUUUCCCGUAAUGUCAAGUUUUCUAGUACACUUGGUGACUUUGUAGAAUAUGCCUACGGAAAGGGCUGCCACCUUCUAAUUCCCAAUCAUACAAGUUUCUUAACCAUAUUUCAAAAGUUGUAUUUCUUGUUCCGUCUCUUAAAGUUUUUUAAACCUAUAUCUCUUUAUCCUUGGCAAUUCAGAAAGAUGAGGAAACUAUUUAACAAGAACUCCAUCAAUUUGUUCCUCAAAAUUUUAUAUAGUUUCUCUCUCUCACUUUCAAUUUAAACUCUUGAUUUAAAAGAACAAAUUCAUGGCCAGCAACAUUUUUAGCCAAGCAAUAGAAUGUACAACAAGCAUGCAUAUGAAUGAACUGUAUUGUUUAAUGAUAAUAGAUCAAAUAUUUUAAUCUAAUCCUAAAACCUUAGAGUUAGCUAAAAGCCUCAUCUUAUGUUCUAACUUGUGGUUUGUUUCACAAUACAGGUGAAAUUUCAUAUUAUAUCCCACCAAAAGCUUUGCAAUUGUAGCAGCAAGCCAAAUUUUUAUUUAGUUAUUACCUUAAUAUGGAGCAACUGAAAAAGUGUCUAACAUCUCUAUAUGCUCUAUACAAAGAAAAUUGCAAUUCAAAUUUUAUUUACAAGAAUGAACCUGAGUUUUGCUCAUUUCACGUUCUUCUUCACCUUGGCUCUAACAGCCAACCACUGGUGGAUAUCUGCUUUCAUUGUUUGUUUGAGUUCAUCUUUUUCAGUAUUUGUACUAGUUUCUGAAGGUGUUACUAUUUUUGUUCUGAGGGGAGAGUCACUCUCUUUGUGGUUGGGUCUUGUACCUUCUGUCAUUUUGAAGUCAAAGGAAAAAUGUUUUGCCCAAGACUUUUAUAGUACGUUUGGUAGUGAUUUUAGGAAGUGUUUCUAGUCUUUUUUAUGCUUGAAAGAUAAAAAAAAAAAAUUAAGUGGUAAAAAGACUAGAAACACUUUAUAAAAUAACUGCCAAACGCACUCUUAAGAUGACCAUAAAGCUGUUGUAGAUUCCACUUGCAUUUAAAUUGUUUUUAUUCCCUUUACAUUUAACUCAAUGUAGAGUGGUUAUGUUUUUCCGUUGAUUUUUUUCUCUUUUUUAGUACCCAAUGUUAAAGUUUUGUUUCACGAACUGAAAGGUCCGUCUUUUCUAGUGACAGUGGAUGGGCAAUUAUAAGUGUUUCCUUUGUACUACAACAAUUGAGGCAUCAUAUUUGCAAUAUUACAUUAUUAUUAUUUUUUAUAAAUGAGCACAAAAUAUAUAAUAAAGGGCGGAAAGCCACAAAGCAUACAGGGAGUAUACAAAGCAGCUAAAAAGCAAAAAACUCAUAAACAGAACAAACUCACCAGCCCUUAAAGAGCCGCUAACCACUCUAAGAAGCCUAAAAUCAAAGAUGACUCCUCUCCCAUAUACAUCCUAGUCCAACUCCAUAAAUUACAUGCAAAAGAAUUCUUGAGUUUCUGAAUAGCUAAAGAACCCCAUCUAAAAGCUAACCUAUUUCUUUCCUUCCAAACCGUCCAAAAUAUACACAACGGGAUGGAAUUCCAAAUCUUUUUCCUCUUUUCCCCAUAAAAGGGCCCCUCCAACAAAAUAACACCUCUUUGACUGUCUCUAGGAACACCCAUUGAGCCCUAAACAAGGAAAGAACGAUCUCUCAGAGGACCCUGACCACUGUACAGUGUAAAAGAAUGUGAUUUACAUUUUCCUCUUCACAGCCACACAAAUAACAACGAUUAGGGAGCUGCCACCCUCGUUUUUGAAGCCUAUCCAAUGUGAGGAUUUUUUCCCAAGUGGCUUCCCACGCAAAGAAAGCAACUUUGGUUGGAACCUUAUCCACCCAAAUGAUUUUUUUCGGAAAGACGAGGGGAUUGGGGGUGAUUCGUGUUUUCCCAGCUGGUGUACCUUGAUUUUGGUCCCCUGAUGGGAGUAAUCAACAAAAUUUAUAACCUAUAUCACCAUGCACUAGGAUAGCCUAAGCUAGUAUAGCAUAGUGGCUCUAGGAUCGUUCACUGGGAAGGGUUUUCAACUUACAAUUGAUACCAAUUCAAAGUUGAAUUGGUGCCUUUUCAUUUCAAGGUUAGCUUCAAAAGAAAACAUAAACUUUGGUUGAAAAAGGUUUGGUUUCAAGCUAACUAAAAAGAAAGUAAUGGGAAUUACUUAUAAAGAAAAAGCGUCUCUUGGAGUUUUAGGAUCACUGGGGUCAGGCUCCUCAUGCAAAAACAGAGUUCCGGUCACUUUGGUUCUUUUCCUCGCAUUGGAGAAUUAACAUAUAGUUCAUUCUCCAACCGGUGUUGUACAGAUGCUUCCCUUUUAUAAAUUUCAGCACUAGUUCCCUCUCACUGAUUCAUCUUGCAAUGGCUCGUGCCUCUCACCUAGCAUUUGCCAUUCAAGGUGAUCAUUAACCUUGGACUUCCCUUCUCAAGCUCGCAAGAGAUAACUAAUGGAUGCCUCCUUAGAGUCCAAAAGCUUACCAAGUGUUGGCAAUUCUAGAAAAUCCUACCUUCAGGUCACCUCCCAAAAGCUCACAAGAGGUAAACUAGUGCAUCUCUGUGGACAGAGAUCACUUGCCUUACCAAGUGUUGGCUCAGGUGAAUUGAAGGCGUUUUAAGUUAACUAAAAACAUAGAAAUCAUAAACGGGUUACACUUUCUCUUCAUUAAAAGCUGAAACAUCAAAACUACCAAUUCUUGCAUUCGACACCUUCCCCGGCUACCUUAGCUCCAAGAAACAAAAAGCCUAGCCACCCAUUCUCUGAAGAAACAUCAUCAGAGCUUGUUUGGCUAGUAAAUGAAAAAUACAAUCAAAGUGAGAAGGUAAUGCAGAGCAAAGACUCUGUAUUUUACUUCCUUUCAAACUUUUACAAAAGGUUCGUCUCCUUGAUAACAGGCUCCUGAGAGCUAUUUAUAUGAAAAUUACAAUAAUAAUUAUUACCUGGAUAUUUACCCUUUUUCCUAACUUAAUAGCUAAGGAAUCCUAUAAGUGGUGGAUUACAAUGAGAGAAUUGGGAUUUAGACAUCAAAUAUCUGAAGCAAAAUAUCAAAAAUUUGUCGGUCGUAAAUAUCUGGAAGCACUCAGGAGAAUUUCGCAGGCGCACAAAAUGGCUGCGAAAUUUCGCAGACGUACAAGAUGGCUGCAAAAUCAUUUCGCAGCCAAAGGCUGAUUUCGCAGCCUUGCGAAAUUGGCCUUCAGCUUGAUGUGAUCAUCUUCCAAUGGCUCUAACUUCUUCACUUCAACUCCGAUUCGCGAACCGUUUAAAGCGUUAGAUUUUUUACUUCCCAAGCUUCGAAACAACAUAUAGUAUGCAACAAAUGGACUUCAGGAAGUACUCCAAAAGUGUCAAACAGUUGAUGUCCUCUUGGAUUCUUCAUGUUAGAUUUUUCUCUUUGUUUCAUCCUUGCAUUCAUGAUUUGUUUAUGGCAAAGGACUUUAAGGCUUCAGUUCUUCAUGUUUCUGAGCUUUCCAUUGCUUUGCCAUGGAUUCCAAAGAACUCUCCUCAAUCUCGGAUUGCUUUGGUGAUCAAAUUACUAUCAAAAACACCAAAACUUACACAAUUUGAUUAGAAACGAUUACAAAGGUCCUUAAUAUGUUAAUUGGGUUAAAAGGUAAUAACUACUACUCAAAAGUGUUUAAAAGAGUUAAUUACAAGCUAUCAAAUAGCCCUUUUUGAGUAGUAAUCAAGGGGUAGUGAUUCAUGCCCAAUUGGUGUCUUAGCUGAUUCGUGUCCAGCUGGUGUUCCUUGAUUGAGGGAGUAAUCAACAAAAUUUAUAACCUAUUACACCAUAUACUAGGGUAGCAAAGAAAAAGCUACUAUAGCAUAGUGGCUCUAGGAUCGUUCACUGGGAAGGGUUGGCAAAUUAUCAAUGAUACCAAUUCAAAGUGAAUUGGUAUUGUUUCAUUUCAAGGUUAGCUUAAGAAAUAAAACACAAACUUUGGUUGGAAAAGAUUUAGAUUUAAACUAACUGCAAAGCAAGUAAUGGAAAUUACUUAGGAAGAAAAACAUUCCUUGGAGAGUCAGGUUUACAGGGGAGGUUCCUCAUGCAAAAACAUAGCUCCGGACAGUUGGUUCAUUUCCUCGCGUUAGAGAAUUAACAUAUAGUCAAUUCUCUAACCGGUGUUGUACAGCUACAUCCUUUAAUUAGAUUUCAGCUUUGAUUCUCUCUCACUGAUGCAACUUGCAAUGGUUCGAGCCUCUCACUAAGCCUUAACCAUUCAAAGUGAUCUUUAACCUUGAACUUCCCUUCUCAAGCUCGCAAGAGAUAACUAAUGGAUGUCUCCUUGGAGUCCAAAAGCUUACCAAGUGUUGGCAAUUCCAAAAAAUCCUACCUUCAAGUCACCUCCCAGAGGCUCGCAAGAGGUAAACUAGUGCAUCUCCAUGGUCGGAAAUCACUUGCCUUACCAAGUGUUGGCCCAGGUGACUCUAAGGUGUUUUAAGUUAACUAAAAACAUAGAAAUCACUAAAAGAUUACACUUCCUCUUCAUUCAUGGCUGAAACCACAAAGCUAUUCAUUCUUGCACUUGGAACCUUUCCCGGCAACCUUAGCUCCAAGGAACUAAAGGUUUAGUUACUCAUUCUCUGGGGAAACUUCCUCAGAGAGUGCAUAACUUAGUAAAUGAAAAAUACAAUCAAAGUGAGAAGGUAAGGCAAAACAAAGGUCCUGAAUUUUACUUGCUUUCCAACUUUUUACAAAAAGGUUUCUCUCUUGGAACAGGCUCCUGAGAGCUAUUUAUAUGAAACUACCAUCAUAGCUAUUACAUGGAUAUUUUUCCUUUUUCCUAACUUAAAAGCUAAGGAAUCUUAUUAUUGGUGGCUUACAAGGAGAAUUUUGGGAUUUAGACAACAAAAAUCUGAUGAAAAAUAUCUCAUUGUGUCGGUCGUAAAUAUCGGGAAGCACUAAGGACCAUUUCGCAAGUGAAAACGAGGUCUGCGAGAUUUCUCAGAUGCACAAAAAGAGCUACGAAAUCACUUCGCAGCAAACGGUUGAUUUCGCACCGCUGCGAAGUGAUCUUUCAGCUUGCGGCAUUCGGCUUCCAACGUGUCGGGAAACUUCAGGGGGAAUUCCUCAGCACUGUGCAAAAAGGCUGCGAAAUCAUUUCGCAACAAAAGGGUGAUUUCGCAACGCUGUGCAAAAUUCUUCCUUCAGCUUGGAGUGAUCGGCUUGCAAUGGCUGUAACUCCUUCAUUUCAACUCCAAAUUGCAAACCUCUUGAAGCAUUGGAUUGUUGACUUCCUGAGCUUCGAGACGACAUAUAGCAUGCAUCAAUUGGACUUCAGAAAGUGCUCCAAAAGUGGCUGACAUGACUGUCAUCAAGAAUAUGCUUCAUGGCAGAUUUCUCUUUGCUUCCUCUCCUUGCAUUCCGGAUUUGCUUAUGGAAAAGGUCUUCAAAGCUUUGGUUCUUCAUGUUUCUGAGCUUUCCAUUGCUUUGCCAAGGAUUCCAAAUAACUCUCCUCAAUCUCGGAUUGCUUUGGUGAUUAAAAAGCUAUCAAAACACCAAAACUUAACACAAUUUGAUUAGAAGUGAUUGCAAGGGUCCUUAACAUGUUAAUUGGGUUAAAAGGCAAUAACUACUACUCAAAAGUGUUUAAAAGAGUUAAUUACAAGCUAUGAAAUAGCACUUUUUGAGUAGUAAUCAGGUAGCCAUCAAAUUAUAAGCAUCCCGAAUCCGAAAAAUAUCAAGACCCCCUCCUUUCCAUAACACUGAGUCCUCUUCCAUAUCAAGCCUUUUUACAACUAACUUGGGCAUUCGAAAAAGGGAUAAUUGGUAGAUGGGUAUACUGGCCAAUGUACUUUUAAUGAGGGUAAUUCUCACACCCUUAGACAUGUAUUGCAUUUUCCAAAUAGCUAAUCUUCUUCUUAUUCUUUCCUCCACCCCAUCCCAUAUAGACAAGGCCUUGUGAUGGGCUCCAAGGGGCAGCCCCAAAUACUUAGUAGGAAAAGCCCCCACUCUGCACCCUAACUUCUCAGCCAUAUCCUCAAUAUCUUCAACCUCCUCAACAGAAAUUAAUUCACUCUUAGCUAGAUUAAUCCUAAGACCAGAAGCUGCCUCAAACCACCCCAAAAUCCAGCCAAGAUGAGUUAGAUGCUCCUUCCUUGCUUCAUAGAAGAUGAUUGUGUCAUCAACAAAGAGCAAGUGGGACACAUUCAUCUCCAUCCCCCAUUUUCCUCGAAGUUUGCAACCAGAAAUGAAGCCUCCAUCAAUAGCCUUUCUUAUAAGUGCACUCAGCACUUCCAUACCCAAAACAAAAAGGUAAGGAGAAAUGGGAUCUACUUGACAUAGCCCCUUGGAACUGGAAAAGAAGCCUACUGGCACCCUGUUGACAAUAAUAGAAAAUUUUGCAGUUGAGAUGCACCACCAAAUCCACUCCAUCCAACGAGACCCAAAGCCCAUCUUGUGCAAAACCUUCAUGAGAAAGUUCCAAUUAAUACUAUCAUAAGCUUUUUCAAUAUCCAAUUUGCAAACCAGUCCUUUCUCUUUAUGUUUCUGCCAAUAAUCAACCACCUCAUCAGUUAUGAGAGAGACGUCUAGAAUCUGUCUUCCCCUCAUAAACACAUUUUGAUCCACCGAGACCAUCUUACCUAACACUUUCUUCAACCUAUGGGCUAGCACUUUGGCCAGAAGCUUGUAUAGCCCCCCUAAAAGGCUGAUAGACCGAAAAUCCCCGAGGUCCACAGCCCCACCUUUUUUUAGGAUGAGGACCAAGAAGAUAGUAUUUAGACUUUUGGCAAAAUAUUUUUGGUCAUAAAAUUCCUUAAACAGCUCUACAACCUCCUCCUUCACAAAAUCCCAACAAGAUUGCCAAAAGGCCACAGUAAACCCAUUCGGCCAUUCAUUUCCAACAGAGUUAAGUGAAUUUCUUCCUCAGUAAAGGGCAUCUCCAGAGCUUCAACUUCACCGUGGUUUAGACGUUGAAGGUGCAACCCCUCAAUGUCAGCUCUCCAUCCUGGCUCUUCUGAGAGCUAUUGUUGAAAAGCAUUCACAAUCCCCUCCCUCACCUCCUGCUCCUCAUCCAACUCCACCCCAUUGAUCUUGAUUUUAUCCAAGGAGUUGUUUCUUCAGUGGGCAUUGGCCAUUCGGUGGAAAAAUCCUAUGUUCUUAUCCCCUUCCUUUAGCCACAGCUCCCUUGACAAUUGUCUCCAAUGGGUUUCUUCUAAAAGCACCCACUUUUUAAAGGUUUCCUUAGCUUCAUUUUUCAACUCCGUUUCUCCUUCUGGCGGGCCCCUUUCACAUUCCACCCCAUCCCAAAAUUCAACUUGCUGGAGAGCUGAGCUUUUAUUAAUUUCCAACCUACCAAACACAUCCUUGUUCCAAACUUUGAUUUUUUUCCUUCAACACCUUUAGCUUAGCAGCCAGUCUAAAGUUGGUCCUCUCUCGCCUCCCCGCUCCCUACCACCAAUCCCGAAUGAGAUCCUUAAAACCAUCAACUUUAAGCCACAUGUUUUCAAACCUGAACGGGGAGGGUCCUCGUCUUAACCCGCCACCCUUCAAUAGAAUGGGAAAAUGAUCUGAAGUGGGCCUGGGAAGCCUACUUUGGACAACCUCCCUAAACAAGUCAAGCUAGUUUUGGGUCACCAGGAAACAAUCCAGUCUAGCCCAGGACUGAUUGUUCCUAUCUCCACUCCAGGAAAACACAACCCCUUGCAAAGGAAGAUCUAGGAGCUCUAGUUCAUCAACCACCUGAGCAAACCUUCUCAUUGCACCAUUUAAACUAUCCUGACUGCUCCUUUCCCUUUGGAAAAGGGUGACAUUAAAGUCGCUCCCUAAACACCAGGGAUCAUCCCAGAUGCCCCUUAUUGGCCUUAGCUCAUCCCACAAAGUCUCCAUUUCAUUCCUAGUGAACGGUCCGUACACUCUUGUGAAGAUCCAAACAAGCCCAUCUUCAACAUUCCUGAGCCUACAGGAAAUAGAAAAUUGUCCCACCUCCAUCUUUAGCAUUUCCAGGGACCUUUUAUCCCAGCAAAUCAAAAUCCCACCCGCAAAGCCUUGAGCACCCAUGGCUCCCCAAUCUAGAAACCUCCCAGAGCCCAAAGUCCUCACCACACCCACUAACAUUGACUGAAUUUUCAUCUCCUAAAUACAGAACAAAUUCACCCUCUGACUUCCAAUCAUAGCCUUGAUCACCUUUCUUUUAGAGCUAUCGUUAGCUCUACACAUGUUCUAGUUCAACAACCUUAACUUCAUUAGACAACCAAAAUCUGGCACCCUCUUCCUUGCAUGGUACCUUUUUAUUUCCUCCCCCCUUCAUAAUUAAUGGAUCAUUCAAGUCUCUUCAAUUCCCUUUCAAAUUUCGAUUUUUCUAGAAGAGUUUCACUAUGAACUCUUUCCCUUCUUUUUUUUAUUUUGACCAGAAACUCCAAAAUGUCCUUCAAUCUCUCUGUCAAAAACCCCAAAAACCUGCUGAACCUCACUAGAUCGCUUUCCUCCCAACUAGUUUCCUCUCAUCCUCUAACUUCGAGUGGCAUAGCACUAGCUAAGCAAAGUUCCUCUCCACUUUCUUCAAUACUACCAUUAUUAACUUUCAUUAGCUCCCAACGAGUAACAGUCUCCAUCAUUGAAGACUCCGUACCAUUAACCAUGCAGCCCGGUCAUUCCCUCUGGAAUUUUUCCAAUCUGGCCCUAGAACAGUCGUAAUACUCCCCCAAUUGAGUCCGACCAGAAAAAGAAGAGGGGGGAGAUGAGAAAUCACAAAGCAACGUUCCACAAGGGUUAGAGGUGUUCUCAUACCUCGAAGCUUCCUCCAUUAGAGCACAGUUAGUCUUCAAACUCUUCUCUAAAAGUUGUUCCUUAGUCGAAGGUCUUCGCAGACCUUCGUGCACCCAAAAGGAAAAGAUGGAAUGGUCUGGAGCCCCCAAAAGUCUUAGGCCAAAAAGAUUGUAAAGACGGGAUGCUCCCAGCUGGGCUCUUCCCUCAGCUAAGGGCAAGGUCAGGCCUCGGCAAACCAGCCCAAGCACCACAAUAGGCUCCUUUUCCUUGGCCCACCUAGAACCCUUAAUAAACGACAACCCAAAAUGAGAUGGCCCAGUCUCGCAGAGAAAGGCCACAAGAGGAGCAGGCCCAGUAAUCACAAUGGGCUCUGCUCAACACGGUGACGAAGACCAACCCGAACCUUGGGACCCAACUGACAGCCCAACAAAGCACCAACCAUGACCCAUGGCCUGUCCCGACCCACUAGUCUGCCCCCUCGUCCCAUCAGCAGGUAGUAGCAAGUCCUCAAGCCUCGAGGCAUCGUCCUCCACCCGCACGCGCUCGAUUGUGCAUGCGAUGGCCUCACCCCCAACCUCGCCUUCUGUACCGAUAAUGUUUCCACUCUUUCUUGCCAUCGUCAUUCUCAGGAUUGGCCUGACCUCCCACCGGAGGGUUACCUCGUAGUAGAAUUCCUCAGCCCAAACCUCCACCACGUUGGGAAGCUUCUCGUCGUUGAGCUUCAUCAGGAUCCUUGCCCACUGCAAAUCCUCCAGCUUCUCCAUUUGGGAAUCGACUGCGAUGAAGCCCCCGCACUCCUCCCCUAUCCUUCUCAUAAUGGCUCGAUCCCAUAAGGAAAUGGGUAAUCCCAUAAUACGCACCCAAGCCUUGCUCUUUUUCACCCCAUCCAUCAGGCAUCCCAUCUCGGGCCUCCAUUUCUCCAAACGAAUGAGAGACCCCCCAACCGAAAUACCCCCGAUUUUUAAGGUUUUCUCUGCUUCUACCAAAAACUCAAAUUCAAGUAAAACUUUGCCCCUUUCCAAUUUCGCUAGCCCUAGAUUACCCUUCAGUCUCCAAAUAUUCUCCAAAUGGGUCCUUCUACUUCUUAGGUCAUCCCCUCUCACAGAGCUAGGAUUCCAAAUCCCAACUAAACAGUGAGCCAGCUUGUUUAAGUUUCGGCUCAGCUCCUUCUUUCUUAUCUCCACCCUAAUCAUUGUUUUUUCUUUUCCUCUUGGCUAUUUAGCCACUUCCGCGUAGGUUUUCCCCAUGCUAGAUUUCGACAACAACGCUUCUUUUUUUUGGCAUCCCUCUUCUCCGUUAGUAAAACCCAAUCGCCAUAGCGUCUCCACCAUUGAAACCCAGCCACCCUUAGCUCUUCUUCCUUUUGGAAUAAAGAUGCAAAACCUUUUGUUUUCCAGGUCCGCAACCUCUAAUCGAAGAAAAUACCCCCCUUAUUUUGAUCCCGCACCAGAGAAUAGGCUCUCCCACUUUCCUUCCACUUUCUUUCCCUUUUACCAGUUCCCGCGUCCUUAAUACAAAGAACUAGACCAUCGAAAAAAAACCCAAUGAUCUUCGGUCCCAACCUAAUCCACGAGAAGAUCCCUCAUUUCAGUUCCACAAUUGUAGCUUGCACUUUACCUUUCUGCUCCUCCACCUCGACCUCGAACGACUUCAACUCCACUCCAAAACUACCCUUUCUAAAGCUUUUCCUAGUCCCCACGAAGACAACACCCUCUGCACCCUCGCUCGCUCCACCAUCUACACUUUCUCUCGCUCGCCGCACGCCUCACUCUCCAUCGGAGCUCUCGCUCGUUCUCUCUCUAGCCCUCUCUCCUCCAUUUCUCAUCUGUCUACUAUAUUAUUGAACCUUACAUCAAUGAGGUUGCUUAAAUAUGUUGAUUUUGCUAGGUUUCUCAAUUUGAAAAAUAUAUUAUUCUCUGUUCAUUUAUUGUUUUCCAGAUUCAUCUCUGAGAAUAUAUCUAAAAUCUAGAGUUGAGUAUUUGUGCUUUUAGGUUUUAUUUUCCUUUCAUUUUUGUUGGUAAUUGUAUUUCAUUAUUCUUAAAUUUCUCACCAGCUAUUUCUUUAUAUGGUUUAUUGUCCCUCACUUUCUUCAUCCAUCUAAAGUGUUCAGAUUCAAUUAGCUUGUUUCGUAAUCUAGGUCUUAUUUAGGAGUUUCUUCUCAACUGCCUUUUUUAGUGCUUCUAAAAGACAUGCCUGAUUUAUAUACAUUUUUAUUGGUUUUUUUUUUUUACCAUAAAAGGUUCAAGCAUUGGCAUUGUCAUGUGUUAAUUAGUGGCUAUAAACUUCAUCCGUAUCCAAUUGCACACUUGUCCAAACUCUUGAUGAUGAAGGUAUGGUUGCAUUUACUAGUAUGAAAUUGCUAAAAUUUGUCAUCCAAAGUUUCAAUUUCUUUUGAAUCUUGAAGACUUAAUUUGCAUUCUUGUAGGAAUUAGAUGUGGAAUAAUUUUGCAAUGUUUGUUGUCUUAAGACCAGCACUGAUGAACGGGGAAAUAAGUUCUUAUCAACCAAGCAAACAAACUUCCAUUAUCCCAAGGAAGUCUUUCCAAGCUACUGCCUUUUAGGUUUGGAACACUUUUAGAGGUAACAAUCAAUAGGAAUUAGUUAUUCUUUCAAACUUCUUAUUGUACAAAUAUAACCUGCAUGUGCAACCAUUUAUGAUCCCAUAAUUUCAAGAAUUUAUGACACCUUCUAGUGGUUAGUUUUUCUAGGAAUAGAGUGAGACAAUCUAUUCACCCCCAAAAACCAUCGUCAGAGGAACAGUAGAUAACCCGCAAGACCAAAUUUAUGUGUGUGAAUGGAGAUGCAUGUUUUUUACAUCCCAGUCAUGUAGUGUUGUGUCAAAGGGAAUAAUAGCAGGUGAUGAUAAGUGGUAUUUCUAAAAUGUUCGAAGAAUAUUCCAUCUGUCAUGUAAUAUUGCUUUCUCAAAACUGUUUUUGAAGUCUUAUUUUUAAAUAUUAGAGUUGACCUCUUGUACACUAUCAACUGAUGUUGUAACUUAACUAGAAAGAGAAAUUAUAUAAACUUAGCCUUGGUUUGGAUCUUGAAAGAUAGCAAGCAAAGAAAAAUUAGGUUAAUAGUGAGUUGAUUUAUUCUCUUCCCAUGGAUGUAAGCACAUUCUUGAAUCACUUAAAUUAUUUUUUUCUUGUCUAUUAUUCAAUUGUCUCUGAAAAAAAAAGUGGUAUCAGCGUUUUUUCCAACACAACAAAUGAUUCAUGUGACAACUGCCAAUAAAGGAAGCACUUAAGAAGGAGUUUGUAAGGUGUUACAUGGCAGGUUGAACAAAACCAAUAGCUAGAGAGAUAUAUGAAAUAUUUGGGGGCCAUUGAUCCAACAAUAGUAGAGAAUAACAUAAGAAGAGACCCUCUAAUCACCAUUUUUGCUUUCGAUUCUUCUCUACAAAACAUCAUCUCUUUAUACAAAAAGACACCCCAUGGCUGAGCUCGUAUUAUUCUCUGCAUAUCCCAAAACUGCUCUCCAAAUUUUAGGGCAUGGUACUCUUUUGAGUGGUAUUUUUGGUACUAAAUUUAAGUAUUCUCUCAAAUACCUAAAAUGCCCUCUAGAUUUUAGGGCAUGACCCACUCUUUGAGGUGGUAUUUUGGGUACUAAGUUUUGUUAUGAGAGGUUUUGGUGUGGAAAUCGGAGGGCCUCUUGGGAAUAUGAAAUUAGAAAUGUUACACACGUUGCAUGUAUUUUCUUUUGCGUGCAUUACACUUAGAUUGGAGUUUAUGCAGUUACUCACUUUUUGUGUGUCCAACAGUACUGUAUGUCACAUCACCAUAUGAUGGGCCCUUUAGCCUUUUUUUAACCCCCUCCCCCCAAGAAAAAAAAAACCUAAUACUAAAAAUAAAAAAAUAAAAAAAAACCUAAUACUAAAAGGACCUUAGCUUGCAAACUAUGUGGAGGUAGGCCUCCACAUCCAACUUCUUAGAGGGACCAUGAUCACUUAGGCCAAGGAAGUUUGAGGCAAUAAUACGUCUACGAUGCCCUUAGAUGUUUUGGGCACAUGCACGCUACACUAAUGUAUUCAACGAGUCUGUAACCUUGACUAACAAGCUUAGGUAAUCUUUGAAAUUUCAUUAUGAUGGGGAAGGUUCCACAUGAACGACACUUGCACAUGGGUUAGUUAAUCCUAAGAGAUGGGGGAAGCUCGUCAGACAACGCGUGACACUCGAGCUUUGAAAGGUAAUUGAGUUAACAUUCCUAAACCGGGACAUGACGGUCUACAACAAUGUUAGGUAGUCUGAAGAGUCAUGUUAAUUGUUAUCGGUAUUUUUAUUUAUUCAAUAGAAAUUGAGGAUUUAAAAAAUACCACAAAAAUUAGAAAAAAAAAUUAAUUAUAUGAAUAACAUUUCAAAUAUUUAACAAAAUGUAUGAAAGUUGAAUAUCAUACACGAUUAAAUGGCUAGAUCAUCUUCUUUAGUUUUUCCAUGAUCUCAUCCUAUUAAAUGACUCAUCCAAUAUUAAUUUAUUUUAAAGGUAAAAUUAAUUAUAUUAUAAUACUUAAAUACUUUACCAUGCUAUAAUCCUCUAGCUAAUAAAUGAAAUCAAAACUUAAAAAUCAUUUUUAUAUAUAGAUAUAUAUUAUUAAGUUUAGGUAGUGAAGCAAUUAAUGUGGGUAUAAAAUUAAUGCCAAAACUUUUGAUUGUUCCUUCACAUUCUCCACAGCAAAGGAAAUAAGAAAAAUAAAGAAAGAAAUUUAGGGUAGUUUUAUUUUUUGUUCUCAUCUCAUGGUGAAAUUAAUAGAGGAAUGCUUGGGUUGGUGCUCAACAAUCAAGUGACAUCCGAUAUAAUGAUUCUUCCAAUCCUGUAAAUAUUGUCCGCUUUAAUUUUAAUGGAUCAUCAUCACUUUAAAUUGCAUUCACAUUGUUAAGAGCAAUUCAUACGUACAUAAUAUUAAGAACUUUUUCUUAUUCGAUAUGGAAUAUAAAAUUGGGUAUCUUUCUGAUUACUACCAAAAAGUGCUAUUUUGUAGACCUAAUUAUAAUGGUUUUAAGCACCUUUGAGUAGUAAUCAUAUUCAUUUAACCCAAUUAAUUCAUUAAGGUCCUUAGUAAUUGGUUUUAACCAUUUUGUGGCAAGUUUACAUGUUUAUAUCAGCUUAUGAAUCAAUUCAAGCAUGCCAAAUGAUGGAGGAGCUACUUGGACAAGUUAAAUCAAGCUUUUAGCUACACCAAAGCAAGCCAACAAAAGGAGAAAAGCAAAGAAAAGCAAAGAAAAGCAAGGAGGAAAACAGAGGACAGCAGCUGCAGUCUUCGUUGGCACUUUUGGAGCACUUCCCGAAGUCCAUUCUCUACAUGCUAUAUACCAUUUCAAAGCUCAGGAAGUCAAGAAUCCAACGCUUCAAACCGUGCAUGAUUUGGAGCUGAAACGAGGAAGAUAUGGCCUUCGGAAGACAACUGCUCCAGGUGUGCGAGAAUUUCGCACACCCCCCUUUAGCUGUGCGAAUGGUGUGCGAAGUUCGCACACCUUCUUCAGGUGUGCGAAAAUUUCGCACACCCCAUGCGUGGUGCGAAUUUUCCCCUGUUUCUGCCGACUCCACUUUAGAUCUUUUCUUUUAGAUAUUUUUGUAUAAAUUUCCAUUCUUCUCCUUGUAAUCCACCAAUCAUAAGAUUUAUUAGCUAGGAAAGUUGGAAAAACUUCUCUAUUUAUAUCCCCUUGCAUCCGUUGUAACAAAUAAUUGAUAUAUAGAUAUAUAAUACAUAUUACGUUUUACACUCUCUCGUUUUCUCUUUUCUCUUCACUAUUUUAUUUUCUUGGUAGCCAAACAGCCUCUAAGGGCUUUUCCUCAGAGGAUGAUUGGCUAAAACUUUUAGUUUCUCAAAGUAUGGAUGUUAUGUGAUGACUUGGAUGCAAUCCCAUGGAAAUUUCUCACACCCGGAAGGUAAGGUAGUCGUUUUUCAUUAAAGGUUCAUUAAUGCAAAGUUUGGUUUUUAUUUCCUUUGGACAACUUCCAACGGCCAAUACUUGAUAAGCUUUUGGAUUUCUAUCCAUUAGUUAUCUCCUACGAGCUAUUGGAAGGUGAGGUUUUCAAUUCCAAGUUUUGUAUUAAUCCGUUAGAACCAAUUUCAAUGGCCAUUGAAAGGUGAGUUUAUCACCUGGAAUGACUUUGAGUUGCCAAUAUUUGGUAAGCUUUUGGCUUUAGACCAUUAGUUAUCUCUUACGAGCCAUUCAAAGGAAGUCUAAGGUGAAUAACCAUUGAUGAAAUUCACUACCAUCUGUUUUGCCAUUUUAAAGGAUUAAAACGUGAUUUGCUAAAUCCAUACCGGUUCGGGAAGCAAGCAUCACCAUAGUUGCAACCCCAACGCGAGGAGCCUAUCCUGAGAUUUCCAAUUUGCAUAAGAGCCAGAGCAUAGCUAUCCUAUCUUUGAGAAACUUGUUUUUACACCCUUUCAUUUUAGUCUUUAAUGUUAGCUUAGAUUAGUUUAAAUCUUUCUAAAACAUUUACAUCUUCUUUUAAAGCUAACAUCCAUAAGAAAAUCACCUAUUUUCCUAACUUGAAUAUCACUUGUGUUUGCGAAAACCCUUCCCAGUGAACGAUCCUAGAACCACUAUGCUAUAGUAGCUUGGCUACUUUAGUAAUAGUAUUCAAGGUAUAAAUUUUGUUGAUACGCCUUUAAAGCUAAGCUACCAUGAGUCGCAUCACUUUCAAUUUUAGAUGUUGCAUAAGCAUUCCAACUCCUAUAUAGACACAUUGCGUAAAUAUUCUUAUUUAAUAAAAGUUUAUAUGUCAUUAAAUAAAUAUAGAAUUUUAACAUUAAUUGCAGUGCUAAGUGCAAGAGAUCUCAUGUUUAAGUCAUUGAUUAAGAUUUAUUUGAAAACUUAACAUUUGUUACUUAAAUAACUUAAGUUGACUUUAAAUUAUAUUAUAUUUAAAUUAUUUGCUUAAAAUUUAUUGUUUAAUAUUUAUUUUAAGUAUUAAAGUUAUUUGAUAAAGUUAAUUUAAAAAAUAUUUUAAAUCACAAAUUGUCAUAUUUACCUUCAUUAAUUUGAAUUAGUAUUUACAUUCAUUAAUUUUAUUUAAUAUUUAUUUUUAUUAAUCUUAAAUAAUAAAUUUGUUUAUUAAACAUUUAACAGAUUCAUAAAAUAACUACACAAUAUUCACAAUAAUAAAUGAGUCAUGAAUUUGAAGUCAUGAUUUUAAAAUGUACGCUAACAAGAUAUGAACAAAUGAGACAAAAAAAAAUGAGAUUAAAAAUAAGUUAAUUAUUUUGAUUUAACACUUAAAAUUAAAAGUAACUUUAAAUUAUAAUAUUAAGUUAUUUUAGCAAAUAUAUUUAAUCUAUUUAAUGAAUUAAAUUAAGUUAUUAAGUCAAAUGAUUACCAAACACCCUAUUAAGACCCAGAAAAUGGAAUGAGUUUUAAUAGUAUUCAGGAUGGGCAUGACUAGGUGGUGGUUCAAUGCUGAUUAAUCAUAAUUUAAUCUAAGCAAAAUAUGUAACGAAACUCAAACUGCACUAUCCAAAUGGGCGCCAAGAACGUUACAUUUGACAAAUGCCAGUAAACCUCUACAGCUAGAAAUUAAAAGAUCACUCUCUUGUUGUAUCUCUCUUUUUCUCCAAGCCCCGGAAGGAAAAACUCGAACCCCAUUAUUUUGAUCACAGAAAAAGUGGCAAAAAAGUGUGUUGUAGUUCAUCUUGAAGCUCAUUAACUUCAUCUUAAUUUGAUCCAAAUUGCAGAAACAUGGGAAACUCCAUGAAUCUAUGGUGCUAUGGUGGCCUACAUUCAUAUAACUGGGGACACUUUGGUUUAAACUACAAUGACCCCAAACAGGGUUUGUAGAGACUUCAUCGAGAUCACUAGCUUCAAAAGACUGAGGAAGAAAGAUGUUCUCAAUGAAAACUUGGUGUCAAAUUGCAGAUAAAGACCUAAAAAUCCCACUUAAUGUGUUCUAGGAAUUGUUGUUUGAUAGGGAGUAAGAACAGAGUGCACGAGUUUUGGGGUGGGGUGAUACCUAAAGCACUAGAGUAGCACGUGAUCAAGCCUCACUUAGUGAAAAGCUGUUUGGUUUGUACAUGUCUGCUUAGUGAUACUUAGGAUUGGCGAAGUAUACAUCUCCUUUGUGAUCAGGUUUGUAUAUGGGCAGAUGAAUGUUCAUGUGAGGUUCAUAUAUGUUUCUGAUACAUAUCACCCUGGAAGAAUCUAGAUCAAGGGGAUGAGUUUCUAAGCUUGACUAGGUUUGAGAUGUUUGAGAAUUGGUGAGCAUGAUAUAUAUCAUGAUAUUGCAGAAGACAACAGAGCUUCUGAAAUAUGUCAGGUUCAAUAGUAGGAAAUCUUAUCAGCUGUCACUUACUUUAAUCCUAUGAUCUCAAUAUUCAUUUGUUGAAGAAGAAAGAGGUAUCUUGAAAAAAAUUUGCUUUCACACUAUUCAAUUACAAGAGGAUGUUCAAUUAUAGAAGAAAAUAAUAUUCACUAGACUCUUUCAACUUAAUCAACAUGCAGGGAAAACCAGUCGGGUGACCAAUUAUUCACAUAAUAACUUAGGUGGUGUUUGUUUUUUUGGCUUUUUGCUGAAAACCAUUUAGUUUUAGAAUUUAGGUAGUUUGUUUUUUUACUUUUUCAUAACUUAUCAUAAACUUUUUACUAAAUAGAAAAAGCCAAAAUAUGUGGCUUUUUCUAAAUAGAAAAAAUAACACAAUGGUUUUUUUUACUUUUUAAUACUUAAUAGAAAUAAAAUACUACAAAAACAAACAACCUAAUAUUUAAUACUAUUAAGUAUUAAGGUUCUAUUUAGAAUUAAGUAAAAAAACAAACACCACCUUACUGUCUUUCUACCUCUACUUGUUAAUCAUCAGCCAAGCUUAUAGUAAUAUAAGCUUGGGUUCAUCUCUCUAUGCCACUGAUGACAACUCCACAUGGGCUUCCCCUUCUGGUGAUUUUGCAUUUGGAUUCCGACCGUCUCCAAGUGAAAAGGAUCUAUUCCUUCUUGCUCUCUGGACUGCAAAUGGAAGUUAACCGGCGCCAAGAGGAUCAAAAGUCGAGCUUGCUACCAAUGGACAGCUUGUUCUCCAGAGGCUAAGAGAUAUGGAAGACAAAGACUGGUAAUGUGAGCAGCAAAGCAGUGCAUGGUGCCAUGCUUGGAGAUGGAAAUUGUAUACCUGUAUAUGGGAGAGCUUCAAGCACCCAACUAAUACCAUAUUGCCAACUCAGGGAUUGGUGUUGGAGCCUACUGUGCAGUUGCCAUUUUUGAGAACCUGAGGUUUGCAAAUGGAACUGGUGUAUGAGUUUAUGCACAAUGGUUCUUUAUCAAGCUUCCUUUUUGGAGGCGCCCAAGGACUGGUGUACCUACAUAAAGAAUACAGUAAACAGAUCAUCCAUUGCGACAUAAAGCCCUCAGAACGUAACUCUUGGAUGAUUCUUUUACAGCCAAAGUUGCAAACUUGGACUGGGAAAGCUUCUGAUAAGCAACCAGACUAGAACACUCACAGGCAUCAGAGGGACUAUGGGGUAUAUUCAGACAACUCGGGCAGCCUAUGUCUCUUAUAAUAACACGUUAUGAAGCAUCAGCUCAAUGCCGGGGUUCAAUCUGCAAAGCAAGGGAUUCAUCAAUGUUUCCUUCAAACUAAAUGAUAAGGAACAGAAAUGGAUCAUUCUGCAUUUUCAGUGGUGUUUGUUAUAGCAUUUAUACAAGAACUCUAGGGGUUUCUAUGUAUAACUUCAUUCCCAUUUUGUAUAAUCCAAAUCUCUUCAAUCGAUUAAAUGUAUAAAUGAAUCCUAUUCAUUGUUUGGAGUAACAACAAAAUUCUGGAAGACUGGGAAAGUUUCAACACUGGAGAGAAGACAAAAUGACCAGACCAUAAAUUCUGGAAGAGGGCUUUGCUUUCUAACCAUUACCAUAAUUUUAGAGCUCAACCCGGAUGAGUAAAUUAUAUUUCAGAAUGUUCAGGAGAUAAUUCUAAAGUGAUGAACCUUCUACUCACAGUUUUUUGUUCUUCUUGAACAGAGCAAUGAACAUCAAUAGUUCAGCACCCAGGAAUCUCCCCUUCCUCCAAUUCCCCCACUGGGAAAAGUCACCUUUCCAGUUAAGAAAAUCAUCAGGAUUAAUUUGAGCAAAACAUCAGAGUAUACAUCAAGAAAGCCUUGAUCAAAAUCAAAAUACAUCAAGAGCUGCCAUUUUCUUCUAUUUCCUCUUCCCUGAAUGGAAUGCCUUUUGGACUGAGGUGAUCAAUGGUAACAGUCUAACACACUCCUUAAGCUCUGAUUGAGGUCAACGGGGAUUGGCACAUUUAAUGACUUUGAAAUCAUAGCUGUGUGAAGGGAGGCAAACAUGAAUCUCAGGAUAAUCAACAAGUCAACAACUAUCAAUCAGUAAGGAAAAGGAAAUACCUUUGGAUAUUUACAAAUCAAAAAAUUGAGAGUCCAGCUUCUCUGUACAGAAAGGCUUGAGCUUAUUCCAUGGCCAGUCUGAAUUACGGAUGAGAGGGUUGAGUUUUCUUUCAUUCUGCAAUAAGAUUAAAAACAUCAAUGAAACGCUAAAAGUUUAUAUAUAGAAGCCCUUUAAAGAUGAGAAUUGGUCAGAGAGCUCACCCAUGGUCUAGUAAAACAACAUCUGUUAGAUAAGUAACCACCAUUCUAUUGUCCAGCUAAUGCAUUUAGAUCUAAGAUAAGCUAUGGAAAAAUAGUCAAAAAUAGCUAAAGACAGUCCAAAAACUCAUUUGACUAAUAAUUUUCUAAAAACAGUAACAUAAAACCUGGAUGAAGAAUCCACCCCUCUACCUCACACCACUGCAAUGCCAAAUAAAAUGUUACAAUGACCAUAUAUGGUCUUAAGAGACAAUGGGUGUUGUUUGGGCUCAAGACCUAAGACAAGCCAAAAAACAAGAAGAAAACAACAUCAAAAAUAGAUGGCAAAAUAGAAGGAUAAGGUCACAGACAGGACAAUAUUAAAAGAAAUUAUUAUUUUUCCGACCUGAAAAUCAAGGCAUUCAGAAGAGUACAAGUUUGUAAGUAGUCCAUGGAAACCAGGGAACAUAUGCAGAUGUUGUACUCUAUUGCAUAAGGCAAACACUCAAUACUUACAAGCAUAAUCAUGCCCAGAAAGCCGUGAAUCCCUUUUUGUUUUGCUUUUUUACCUAUUCCCAUCUCUUAUGGCCAGAAGUUCCUUCUGUGGCUGGUUUGUUGUGAUGGCCAUUUCGGGUCCUAACAGACUUGCUAUUGUUGUCUGGGCACCUGCCUCAGAGAAAGCCUGCCAAAGAUCGGAGUCUGGGCCAGGGGAAACGGAUUUUCUUUGCUGGAGUUCCCAGUCUGUUGCUUCAAUCUUUUCUCUGUGCUGUUAUGAGAAGAAAACCUAUCAGACACAUGAAUGGGUACAAAAAGGUAAACUUCAGGUUUUGGUUGUAUUGAAAAGCACAGGAAACUUCACAAGAGGCAAAUUAUACCCCAGACUUAUUGAAGAAAAAUAAAGUACAAUUGACUUACCCAAAUGUCUACUUUCUCAUUUAUAGGUUUCCUCCUAAACAAAUCCCCACAUCUAGGACAGGAAAAGGAAGAAACUGGGAGUCGACAUUUUUUCAACCAAAAGCACUAACUUAUCAAAAAACAUAGUUUUCCAUUCAAUGCCCAUUUCUUCAGGCUUCUUAAAGUGCUUAUGAUUGGUGGAGGUUCUUCCAAAAUCACACAACUUCCAUAAUCCAUUAGGGCCCAAUAGAAGAUUCUCAGCAUUUAUAUAAGAACUUCAGGGUUUAUACAUAUGAUCAUGUUACAGUAUAAAUCAUAGUGAACUGGUGGAAUUUGAUCAUUAGCCAACCUCAUCAAAAACUGUUUCACAGUUGAGGGGAUUGUUAACCUUGCCAUGGGCCAAGCAGCAAUUUCUGAAGAAGCUGGGUGACAAAGAGUACCAUCAUUUGGACUAGUUUCAAUGGAAAUUCCUCUGUUUCUAUACAUGAUAUCUUCAGCUUCAGCUUUUCCUUUUGCUUUGACAUGGCUGAAACUGAUCCUGAAAUCAAAAAUCCCAUGCAAGUAGAUAUUUAACAGAAGAGGAUCCGAAUCUCUUCAAUUGAUUAAUGUAUAAAUGAAAUAAUCAAAAUUUUUAGAGAUAAUUAUAGGGAGAUGAACCUUGUACCUCUGAGUUUCUUAGUCUUCUUGAACAGAGCAAUGAGCAUCAAGUGUUGAGC